This 275847-nucleotide long non-coding RNA is filed under the name Gossypium barbadense (sea-island cotton). Lineage: Eukaryota; Viridiplantae; Streptophyta; Magnoliopsida; Malvales; Malvaceae. The record is from RNAcentral.
UAUUUCGUCUCCGAAAGCUCAAUUUGGAACCUUCGAUGAAAGCAGUUAUGUGGAGAAUCCUUUUCUCUUCGGGCCUCCCCUGCAUAAAAAUUGCAGCGACCUUGAUUCACCCCCGACAGCAGCACCAAAUACCUCAAACAACGAAGAAAAAAGUGGUUUGAUGGACAAGUAUGUUUUUUGGGUGACCUUUUUUGUUUCUUAUGUAAUUGUAUUACUGGUUAUUGUAGUAUGUUUUUUGGGUGACCUUUUUUGUUUCUUAUGUAAUUGUAUUACUGGUUAUUGUUCUCGUCCUGUAUAUAAAUAUCCUUAUUGGCGACAAGCAUGGUUUUUUUUUUUUGUUGAACACUGCAUCAAGACCUACCAGUAUUUUAUCGAGGACAAUCUUCUACGAUUUCCCAUCUUCAAAAGAAGCGGGUAGCCUUGUGCUUUGGUGGUUUACAUUUGUAUGUAAUUGCUUUUCAAAGUUUGUUUGGGUUAUUUGCUUUAAAGUUUUUAAAGGUAGAACGUAAUAUCUUUGUUAUGUAAUAAUUGAUAGUGUAUUAUGAGAAAACUAUAUAAAAUGUUAUGCAUUACCGAUUAAAACAUUUAAUAAUGCUUUACAAUUUUCAGCAUUCUGAUAAACAUUUUGUAGCAUAUAUAUAUAUAAUUUAUAUCUAUCUAUAUUUUUGUAGUCAAACAAGCUAUUGAUGUUGUGGUAAAAAUUUCAUAUUGUUUCAAACCUUAGUGUAAGGAAAGAGAGAAAAGAUUAUAUGAAACUGUGAUUUCACAUCCCUAUCCCUUUCAAAUAGGAGAAUAAUAAAUUAAAUUUUUCCUCCUGAUUUUUAGCACUUUAGUUGGAUUUGAAUUUUUUCAAGAGAAAAAAAUUGGAAAUCAGGAGGAAAAAUCCGAUUUAUCUCGUAUUGAAAAGGGAUAAAGAUGAUGUGAAAUCACAAUUUCAUACAAUUCCUUGUCAAAGAAAAAUCUUCUGCCACUAAAUCAUAAGCUCAAACUUAUAUAUAUAAAUAAGGCCAAACUUCAUAUUAACUACUAAAUAUGAAUGACAAAAAUAGUCUUUAAAUUUUUAAAUGAUAUAAAUAUUUUUUAAAUUAAUAAAGUUAUCAUAAAUAAAUAUGUAGUUGCAUUAUUUUAUUUAAACUCAAAUUAAUAAAUAUUUAAAAAUUUAGUUCACACGAUAUUUAUCUAAUUUGAAAUUAAUAAAUUUGAGUAACAAUAAAAUUGAAAGCCUCCAAUCUCCCCAUAGUAUGUGUUGAUAUGUUUUAGAAGAGCUUAAUUUGGAUUCCAACUCCUUCACAACAACUUAUUGGCACAGUUUAGUGGGUUUUUCAAUCUAAAGUCAUUGAGAAUAAGGAAUAACCAAUUUAAAAGAUCAAUAAAUAUUAAAGGUGAAAUUACUUAAUAUAUUUAAUCUUCCUUUAAACGAAACAAAUUAAUUGUUGAGUUAUUGCAUUUAUUCUGUGUGAUUUAAUUUUAAAUUUUAUUUGUCGAUCUUCACAGAAUUAUUAAAUACUUUGAGCAACUUAGAGGAGCUAAACAUGAGUCGGAAUGAGGUGAAAGAAUUUGUGCCAAUAAAGAAUAAAGGUAUAUGUAUCAACUAGGGAAGUCUUACUAAUUGUUUGCCAUUAAAUAUCUAGUGAAUGAUGCCAACCACUAAUUUGACUCUCAAAAAAUGGAAGUUUGGGAAAGCUAAAGGUUGCUAUGUUAGACUAUGUGUUCACCGGUGGAACUACUUCUCUAAUACAGCUUCUGUAGACAUUCUUAUCUAUUAAGACCUUAUAUUUGAGAGGCAAUUACUUCAACAACACAUUUUCUACUCAAGGUAUAAGAUGUAUGUGCGUGAAUAUAUAGUUUUACAAUUUGGUUCCAUUUAAAAAUAUUAUUGUAACACCCCAAAAUUUGGGGUUAAAUUAGGAGAUUAUUAUUAUAAUUAGUCUCAAAUGGUGUAGAAAAAUAGAAAGCUCAAGCCAAGUCCGGCAAAGUUCAAGACAAUACAUGAGAUAGAAGCUUGAAGAGGCUUUAUUUGACUUAGAAAUAAUAUCUAGAAAUUUUGUUAAAAUGCUUUGGUAUGAAUGAAAAACCAAAACCUGUUAGUACUUUCUUUGCUUUUCAUUUCAAAUUUAAUGUUACUAUGUUGCCAAAAAAUAAUGUAGAACGAGAAUACAUAUUAAAGAUAUCAUAUGCAAAUGUUGUUGCUAACUUAAUGUAUGCUAUGGUACGUACAAGAUUUAACAUUUCACAAACAAUUAGAGUUGUGAGCAGAUAAAUGCAUGGUUCAGGAAAGGAUCAUCGGCAAGCUAUGAAAUGGAUUUUGCGAUAUAUCCUUAAUACAAUGGAUAUUUGAUUGAUUUUUUAGUAGGACGAUAAUCAAGGUGAAUGGAUAUUUGAUUGAUUUUUUAGUAGGACGAUAAUCAGGGUGAAUGGAUAUUGUGAUUCAAGCUAUGCUAGCGAUCUAGACAAACGAUGAUCGACUACUGGUUAUGUGUUUACUCUGGCAAAGGAGCCAGUUAGUUGGAAGUCUACUUUACAGUCAACAGUUGUCUUAUCUACUACAGAAGCGGAGUAUAUGGCAAUCACAUAGGCUGUAAAAGAGACAAUUUGGUUUCAAGGGUGCUUGGUUAAUUGGAAAUUAAGCAGAAGUACGUCAAAGUACAUUGUGAUAGUCAGAGUGCUAUUCAGUUAGCAAAGAAUCAAGUUUAUCAUGCAAGAACGAAACACAUUGACAUCUGAUAUCAUUUUGUACGAGAGAUUUUAGAAAAAGUAGAAUAAAGACCCAAAAAAUUUCUACCACUAAGAAUCCUAUUGAUAUGAUGACUAAGAUUGUGAUUGUGGUUAAGUUCCAACUAUGUUUGGACCUAAUCAUUGUUAAAACUUGAAGGUUGAAAUUUGAAGAUACUAUCAAAUAUUGUUUGACAAUGUGAAGAUUUAUUGAAGUAGUACAAUCCCACAUCUCAAAAAUACAAGGUUAUGGAGAGUUUAUAUUACUAUAAAUAGGGGUUGUUUUCCACCGUUAUUAUCAUUUUCUAACAAUUAAAUUUUCUAGUACAAAAAUUUACUUUCUUACUCUAUUCACACAUCACCUUCAUAAAAUUUUGCUUUCCAUAUGAAAAGUGACUACAAACAUUUACUAUCUAUAAGGAUGAUUUUUUAAGUUGAAUUUACAUGAGGGUUAAAUUAGGAGAUUAUUAUAACUGAAAUUAGUCUCAAAUGGUGUUGAAAAAUGGAAAGCUCAAGUUCAUUAUGAUAAAAGUAGAACAUCAAUAAGAGAAAUAAAAUAAAAUUAUUGUUAGAAACUGUCAAUUAAUUCUUACUCACCACCAUGCAUACUUUGGGUAUUAAAUACCCUUUUACCUCAUUUUAUUGAUGAAUCAUGGCCUCUCUAUUAAUUGUUUAAAACAUAUAUUAAAAAAGAAAUAUCAAAAUUAUAUACGAAAAUGAUUUGCAACAAAUAAUUUAUUUCUAUGAGAAAAAAAAAAUGGCUAUUUAUAUUUAUUUUUUGUAAAAAAAAAGGAACUUGUGGAAGUGUUUAACCUAAGUAUCUUUACAAGAGUAUAAACCUUAUCUUUGCUUUAUAUAUACACUGCUUUGAAUCUGAUCCAGACUCAGCUUCUUGCCUCCUGCUUUUAAUUGGUUUAUGAGCGUUUAUUAGACAGAUUCAAGAUUAUGGGCUAGUAUACCAAAAUUUACUGUAAAUACACUAGGCCUUAGCUCUCUCUAGGGGGGGACAAAACUUUCAUACCGAGCUUGCGACCGCUGGAUCGACUAGUUGGAUUUAUUGGUUCGAUUAUCGGAUUAGCAAUUCUGAAGUUGGUUGUUUUCUAUUGUGCUCGGCCAACUACAACCAACAGACCAUCCCAGAACGCCCAGGAUUAGAUCGAGCCUCGAACACGCAUUAACCUGAAACAAAACCGAGCCAUUCCUUGUGUCAGUAUGUAGUUCAUUUCAUGUCAUUCUAAAGCGUUAUUGGAUUAGCAAAGUGGGUCUGAACACAGUACCAAAAUUUCAAGGUUGGCUUCGACAUGCAAUAACAUGACUGCCAUUCCCCUUCCUCUAUCAAUCUCAGCCUGAAACGGAAGAAAGUAAAGAUGUUACAGAACUAUCAAACUAUUAACAUAAUCGGCGUUGUAUUUAAACCAACUCACCACACAGGCGCAUAUUGUGAUGCCUACAGCUGCCAAUGCUGUUGUGACCUCAGCCAUCAUUCCUAAAAUCAUAUGUGCAAUUAGCAAAAAUAAAAUGAUUAAGAAAGUCUGAUGCAACCUAUAAUGGCUGAAAAAUGAAAGCAUAUUGACCUUAAAUGCCUGGUUGGAUCUCGAUAAACAAGGUUCCAAGACUAUAUGUUAUUCGAAUUCAAGUGUGAGACUGUGAGUGCAGGUAUGUUCAAGUCUUUGUAAAUUUUCAAUGUAUGUGGAGCAUCCUUGGAGGAUCAUAUCCCCAUAUACCCAUAUCCAAAUAUGUGCUUGACAUGGGUAUAGGAAAAUGAAGAGUCGGAGCAGUAUGGACUAAGACAAAUGUCUAUGGGAACAGCUUGGUAGGAUGAUCCACGUUUCCUUUGAAGUCCAAAGAAAAAGGAAACAAGUUAACUAAAGGGCUGUAAGUCAACAGUCUCAUUGGAUCCGUAGCUAUUUCAUAGCAAAAUGUGUCUACUUUAGUCAUUCAAAUUUCUAAGUCACUAGCAUCAAUAUGCCACCAAAUAAGUGUAAAAUAACCUGAACACAAUAGCCAAAAGAUUUACCUCGUCGGUCUAUACAAACGACAGAAAACCACUGGAUAGAAUGUCCUUCAAGAUUGUGCCACGAGGCGAUUUUACUGGCUUGCCAACUUUCCAAACCAGGCAAGACCUCCUUGUGAGGUGGAUUGUUUGCAGGUAUCAUUUUUGCAGCACCAUUGCCCAGUGAAAACAAGUAGCCAUUGGCCUUUGAACCCACAUCCUGUACUUGUUUGUUAUGUUUCCCAUUGACCUUAGGGACCCAAAUACUUCCAUUUUUUGCCGUCAAGGCAUCUUCAGAACUUCUUCCUGGGGUUGAAAAAUCCACAAUGUUCUUCAGGAUCUUCUCCCAUAGAGGUCUGCUCUGUCUGGAACUAUGUGAGAGGUCUUCCAUUUCACUAUCCUCUUCAGAAUAAGCAAUGAAGUCGUUUACUCUAUCUGUUGUUAUUUCCACAGCAGAAAGUGCAGCUUGCUCCCUCAAGAACUAAUUAUUAGAAAUUUAGACAGUCAGUGCCUCAACGGUUAAAGAGAAAAUAAAAAAUAUAUAUAAUUCACAGUUUCAUACUCCAUGCAAUUCAACCUACUUUCAUGAUUUUGUGCCUGGCACUACGUGUUUUAGCAUGUUGCAACCACUGUUUAUGCCUUUGAAAAGCUGAUUUGCUUGAGAGUGCCUGGAACAAGAGGCAAAGAUGUACAUUACGAAAGAACCAGGGUAAUUGCUUGUGCACAAAUGAACUAUAACAUCAAUAUGUUAACGUGGUCAAUUUAGGAUAGCGGGCAACCGAGAAGGCAGAUAAGAAUAUUUGACAGCAAUGGAAGUGGUUCAAUCUGUAACCAAGUCUUCUUCUCUGUCAUAACUGACAAAAUAGUAAAUAUCUCUUCAAUAUUAGGUCCAAUGACCUAUAACCGUACUCUGAAUUCGGUGCACUAACUGCUAGUUUCAAAUUUUUGAAAGAAAAAGAAACACAAAUUUAUAUCAUCGAGCAUAUGAAAUACGAGUUGUCCCACAAUCUAAAUAUUAUCAUGGAAGCAUGUUCUAUUAUAAGCUCAGCAAAAUGGACAUUGAACCACGUUCAAUAUAUACUAACAUUAUAGGUGAUAAUCUCCACAACUUCUGCAUUGGCAAGCACAUGCGUGGGAGAAACAAGAUUACCAUUGACCUGCAAUGAGAAAGCCAAGCAUUGAAUUGGUGCAAUUUGUUGUAGGCUGACACUAGAAUUAGAAAUUAGCAACAUGCAAUACAAAAGUACCUUCGCCGCCACCAUUUUGUUUCCAAUGUCGGUGUGUAUCAUGUAGGCAUAAUCAAUAACAGUAGCCCCUCUAGGCAAAUUUUUAAUCUUCCCAUCACAAGAAAUUUUUAUAAGAGCACUAGUUCCCACAAAAUUAUGGUAAUAUUUUAGCAGAAAUAAAAGCACAAAUUAUGGUUUAUGAAUUAUCAUACCUCUCCCCUUGGGGUAAAGACAAAGAUACGACUGCAUAAGAGAUCUCUGGUUAUGGUAUCUACAAAUUCUCUAGAGCUCAUGUUGCCAACGAACUCCUCUUGCCAUUCUCUGAUUGCAUUGAGCCAACCAACCUGGAGAAAAGAGAAAGCUUCAUCCAUAAAAUUAGCAUUCCUGUCAGGGGCUUUAAAAGGUCUGAAGGAAGUCCUUUAAAGACUAUUCCUAAUGACAACUUGUCAAGGAAACUAGGUAUACCCUGAGUGCUAUGUUUGCAUUGUUAAGGCAAACUAGUUUCCCUCUUGAAUUUCUACCAUUUGGCACAGCAUGCCCAACUAGACCAGUAACAAAGACUCUCCCACUAUAAUGAGCAGCAAUGCCUCUCUCAGCUAUCAAAUCCAUCUCUUCCGUUCUAAUCUGCCAGAAACCAACAAAAGUAAUUUAAUAAAAUAUGUUGCAAAUUUCAAAAAAGAAACAGACUAAAUUACAAUAAGCAUUAUUUGGACUUUCAUUUUUUGAUAAAUUACUAACAUAAAUGAUUCAUCCAGGAUUCAAAAUUGUUUUGAAAGAACUUAAGGAUAUCCUCACAUUAAGAACUUUAUUCCAAAUAAUUUAACUUAGCAAAAAGUUGUUCUAGAAAUAGCUGAAAGGAAUAUUGAGAAUGUAAGAACCUGAACUUCCAGGCGAAACAUGCUUUCAUACAAAAAUGGAAUUACGUUUGUAUGAAGACUUUGAUAGCCAUUAGGUUUUGGUGUUGCUAUGUAGUCUUUCAUCUGUUCAAAAGACAGACCAAUAUUUCACAAAUUAUCAAUAACCUAACAUCAAAAGUACACCAAAAUAGAGGAGAAAGAAGGAUACAUACAGCUCUAGGAACAGGAGUCCAAAUACCAUGGACCAAACCAAGAACAUGGUAGCAAAUCUGCAUGAAGUAAAUGCAUUUGUUACCGAACUACAUAUGCAUUCUUAGACAACUACGUACUUUUUUAUUGGCAAAAAAUGUCACCUGUGAACUGCACAAAGGCCCAACUCCAACCGAUGGCUUUGGUUUUAUGAUUACACGAAGCUGUUUAUAACCAAGAGGAACAAUGUGUCAAUAAGCAAAAAUAAACCAUAAGAAAGUUUCGUGUUAGAUGUCAAGAUGGUUCAAGGAAAUAUCAAAACAGACCUGGGCUAUUUGGUUAACCUCACUGAUUGAACCCUUAGAUUUGAGCACAGAUUUGUACAUACUGUGAUCCAAGAAGAAAAAUUGCAUGUAAGGAAAUUAUCAUUCAAACAUCUGCCUUCAAAGCCAUCAUAAAAAAGCAGGCCACAGGGGAGUGGAAAAUUAGCUACAAGUAUUCAAAGGAACACCACAUUCAAUAUAGAAAUCGAAACCGAUAUCUUAAAUCACACUCAACCUAAUUGUUUUCACGUCUAAUGCGCACUUCACCCAUUGUCACCCACAAAAAUUUCUUAAAACCGUGUCAUAGGUCUUUUCUACUGCAUUAGUGCAUGGUCCCCACUUAAUCAGCUAAGGCAAAUAUUAAUGAAAGUACAGCAAGAAACAUUGCAUAAUGACAAACCUAAUAAACCCAUUCGCUCUUGAUGAUAAGCAUAAAAUGCAGCUUAAAAUAAUUCCCAAAACUUCUAGACAUGUGUAUCAUUAGGACGAAAACUAAAUAAAUAACAACCAAAAACACAGGAAAAAGUGCUUCACCUGUAAGGUUCCUUGCACACUGCACAAAUUUCAGUUUUAAGAGUCAUAAGUUCCAGGAAUUGAUCAUUCUCAAUCUUUUUCAUCAAAAUUUUGUUUGCCUAGUACCCAAAAAAGAAAAAGAAAGAUAAUCAUAACCAAAUAGAUUUGGUAUCAGUUGAAGAACCUUAAAACUUGACACCUCAUAAAAUGGACUUUCAACAUUUAAUUACUAUUUCAAUUAUCAAUCGAUAAUGUUUUUAGAGCUCUUUCUAAAUAAUUUUUGUGAAAAGAGGACAAUGUUUACCUCCAUGAGCUCUUUUUCAUGUUCUUUGUAGAGGUCUGCAAUUCUUCUCUUCACUUUGGCAUAAUCUUCAGGAUUUGUGUACAUGAAGGAUAAAUUUUCAAGUUCAGACUACAAAAUACAAUCAGAUGUGUUAAAACCAAAUAUAAUCUUGAAUUCAUGAGAAUAAAAUAGAAAUUGUAAUUUUUUUAAAAAGGAGCAUAAGGAUGUACCUUAAUUUUAUACAUCCCCAACAAUUUUGCCAAAGGUGCAAAGACCUGCAAUGUCUCCAUUGCAAUGCUGGACUGAAAUAAUACAAUAGAGUCAAAACGAAUAACUAAAUGGUCUAUUUCUAGCUAAGGUUCAUCUUUACCACCAACCUGUUUAUGUGGAGGCAUAUGUGAAAGAGUGCGCAUAUUAUGUAAUCUGUCAGCUAAUUUGACAAUGAUGACGCGAACCUAAAAGGAAACCAUUUGUUUAGCACAUUACAUUCCAUAAAAACAUCAUCAAAUAAAAAAAAUUCACCUCCUCUGUCAUGGCUAGAAACAUCUGCUGCAGAUCAUCAGCUUUCACAUCUUGUACUGAAUCAUUUUCAUUCUUAUACUUCAACUUUCCCAAUUUGGACACCUGAUUAGGAAAAAAAGAUAAAAAAAGAUGCCAAAAUGAGCUAAAACUAUCUAGUGUUUUGUCUGACAUGGCAUUGAGCUAAAGGAUAAUGACUUAUGUUCAUAAAAGUAUAAACAAAGAACCUUGGUCUCUCCUUCUACAAUGCGACGUACAGUAGGACCAAACUCCUCCUCUAUUCUCUGAAAUGUAACAAUAUUUGUAUCUUCCACAGUGUCAUGAAGCAAUCCAGCUGCAAUAGACUCCCAAUCCAAUUCCUAGAACAAUAGUUGAGGUAAGUUAAGACUUCAGAUCCCCAUGCAGAAUCAAUUUUUCAAUGAGAACAAACUUCAAAUUAACUCACAAGUUCUCCAAGAAUACGUGCAACUUCAACUGGAUGAAUGAUGAAAGGUUCUCCACUCCGUCUCUUUUGACCAUCAUGUGCCUCAAAAGCUAGCUGUAUCAAACAAAAAACAACUUAUAGAUAUACGUCAAAGAGAUAAUCCCGGAAAGAACAUGGUAAAACAUUUUGCAAACUGAAGGCCUUACCUUAAGAGCAUUAUGGACCAACUCCAGCUCAUUAGGUGAAAGGUAUGAUAUAGCAGGCUUCAGACCCUAAUGCGAUUAUAAAAAUAAUCAGUAUAAGUUUGAAGAUACUAUAGUAACAGCCUUGCUUGCAGAAUAAUCAAUAUUGUUAUAGACAGGAGGUUUGGUAACAGCAAUUUUACCUCCCACAAACUUUCAGGAGAAAUAUCAUUAGAGGUAUCUGAAGAGAAAGAUGAUGAACUACACAACUGCCACCUUUUACAACCAACAUGAAGCACACUUGAUCUGUAGAGUUUCCCAAGCAGUAUAAACUCAGAAACAUCCGUUGAACACCAUCCUCCUACAUCAAGAGCCUGGCAAAAACACAAGAUUCGACCAUCCCAAAAUUAGGAACAACCAAUGCCUUUGUAUAAAAGUCAUACAUAAGGCAUUGCAAUUCGAUUAAAAGAUAAUAUUUCACCUAAAGGAGUUGGAAAAAAUUGCAUGUCUAUUUCUUUGUACAUAUAUUCUACACCUUAAUCUAAAACAGUCCAGUUUCAAAAUUCAUAUACCAGCAAGGAACUUUUGAACAAUUCCACGCACUCAAGAAAUACAGCAACUUGCAGUAUCUAAACUCAGCAAAUCAUUUCGUUUUUGUCAACCUAACGUUAACUACCCUUCCUAUAUACCAGUUCGCAAUCUGAUUAGAAAGCAGAUAACAAAAAUCAAAAGCAAUACUAUGAAACCAAAACAUCAAUUAUAAUUAAAUCAAGUCAGCUAAAAAAUGCACUAAAUACAAUAAACUCAAUCAAAUAUCACAGCCAAUGUAAGAUAUAUCUUGAAAAACUGAGAAAUUCUAGGAAUCCAAUAAACACUAAGAGGGAAAAACAGAAAUAAACUCACUGGUUUGAUCCGAUUUCUUCUCCCAUGGCGAGCGUAACCAAAAGGGGAAGAAUGAGAAGGAUUAGCCGUGCUUGCAAGGAAUCCAGUUAAGACUCUUGGAGCUUUCCAAGCACACGAAAGCAUGCUACAGUCAUACCUUCCACUUCCUUCCCCUUUCGUAAACUUACAUAUAUUCACACAUUCCACAGAAACUGCAAUCAAACGAAACAAAGGCAAAAAAAAAAAAAAAAAAAAGGAAAGAAAGAAAUCAGUGAACACACAAAUAAAAUCGGAGUUAAAAAAGAUGUAGACUUAAUUUCAUCACACAGUUUCUUCGGUAGCUUCAAAUUUGAACAAAUUCGAAAUUUAACGAAGAAACGAACAGUCGAAAUUCAAACAUAUUUAAACAGCCGAGAACUAAAAUUUCUUUAAAUUUUCCAAAAUUUCUUAUAGAAACAAAGUUCAUCGGAGAAAAUUAGAAAAUCAAAAACAUAAAAAUAAAUGAAAAAAUUAAGGAAGUGAAAAGGUACCGGAUAAAGAAGGAGCAAAGGCCAUGUCUACAACAGCAGAGUAAUCUCAUUGAAUCGAACUAAGCAUUAAAACAGUAACUCAAUCAACAAUCCAUCACAAAAAGAAAAAAGAAUCAAAGAUAAAGGGAAAGAGAAAGGAAUUUCGAGGAAUUUAUCAUUCGAAAUUUGGAAUUGGAGAUGGAAAAUUGGAGCAAUAAGCGAUGGAUUUGAAGCGAGGAGGAGAAUACAAGAGAUAAUCUAGAGAGAGAUAUUGAAGCCACACAAAUAUACCCUUCUCUUUCAGAUAUUUCCUUCUUUUCCUUUUUGGUUAAAUUAUUAAAAUAGACCGUAACUUUUAUAAUUUUACUUAAUUCAACUUUUAUAUUUUUAUUAUAACUAAUUAAGCCCUUUUCAAGUGUCCUAUCAGUAAAUUCCACUUCAAUUCAGAUUUAUUUUGGUUUAAUUAUACUAUUUGUGCUUAUUUAAAUUUGUAUAUAUAUUUUUAAGUAUUUUUUGGAUCGUUAUAAUUAUUUAAAUAUAAUAUUUAUGAUUACAGUUAAAAGAAUAUAGUUUUUUUCAAAAAUAUAUAUAGUUUAAAAUCUUUCUACUAUUUAUUAUUUUAAACUUGUCUUAUUAAAUUUUUAAGUGGAAAUUUCUUGAAUUAAGUAUUUUAAUUUUUUUUCCAAUUAUUAAUUGUGUUUUUAGGUUUUUUUAUCACUCGUGUCCGUUUUACUGUUCAUGUUCAGAAUUUUUGACUGCCCCUCCCAACAAUAUUAUCUUUGAGAUUUGAACAUGUGUCUCUCCUUUAGAAUACCAUGUGCCUUACCAUUGCACCUAGAGGUGUUCAUGGCCCAACAAAAAUUUUUGGCCGGUUUGCUAAGCCUCAAGUCCAACCCGCCAGUAUUAAUUUUUAAUAUAAUUUUUUAAAAAAUAUAUAAUACAUCAAAAUAAAAACAUUAAAAUAAAUGUUUUCCAACAAAUUGAAAAUAAAAUAAAAAAAAUAUGUAUACUUAAAUAACAUUAAGAUAAAUAUAACUUAACAAGUAAAUGUGAAAAAUAGUAACAAAAUUCACAAUAAAACAAGAGUUAUACAAUAUCCAAAUAAUAACAACAAAAUAGUAGCAACAUAAUUAUAAAAUAGUAGCAAAAUAGUGAAGAAAAAAACAACAACAAGAAAAUAGCAAAAAACAGUAAAAAGAAUAGCAUUUAUUUUUGUUUUCAUAUUUGGGCCGGGCUUAGGUCAAAAAAUAUUACCCAAUGUAUUGUCUGUUUUCUAAAUAGAUCUUAUUUUUUGCCCAAAUCUAUUUUUCGAACUUAUAUUUUUACAGAAGCCCUCCUACUUUUCGAACGGACCUUUGAGUCUAGUCGGAUGGCCUGACCUACGGACAGGUCUAAUUGCACCCAACAUUUGAUAUUAUGUUUUUUUUUAUACAAAAUUUAAGAGAUACAUAAAUAAAAUAAAAUUCGAAGCCAAAAUAAUAUUAACUUUACUUUCUCAAUUUUAUCAUUUUAACUAAAAAUAUAUUUAAUAUUCCUUACAAAUUUAUUAAUUAUUUAUUUUCAUCUUGAGUCUAUUAUAAUCUAAUUUUUAUUAAUUGUGGUUUUUUUUUUCCUUCUUUUCCACAGUAUGUUGUUAGGUGAGUGGAAUUUUACUCAAUCGGACAGCUUCAUCGUAAAAACACGUUUCCAUACAUUGGAAUUGACGUUAAUGCCCUUCUUUGCACUAUUUUCCUUUUGUUUACACUAAUAUUUGAUGACAUAAUUGCAGACCUCAGAAAACAAUAUUUUUAUUAAUUUAUUAUAUGGUACGAAAAUAAUACGAAAAAUAAUUAAAAUGUUAUAUAAAAUGUUACAUGACAUAAAAUAAUAAUACGAAUAUGAUAUUAUAACACGUAAAUUCAUGUAAAAACAAUAUGAAUAUAUAAAUUAUUAAAUCUAUAUAAAAAUGAAUAAUAUCUAAAAGUCGUAAUGCAACUACGAUAUACUUUGAUAUUGUAUUUAUUUAUUUUAUAAUUCAAAUUUAAAAAAUGAUUACAUGUUUUAUUUUUAAUUAUAAUUUUAGGAAAAGAAAAUGUAUUAUCUAGACUUUUCUAUAAAUAAGAUCUUCUCCCAAGAUUUUCAAUUUGUUUAUUGGCAUCCUUCUUUGAUCCAAAAAAAAAUAAUUCAAAUCAGUAUUUAUUAUAAAAAAUAAAAAAAAUUUAUUUGCAUAUUAAUAUUUAUCAAUUUUAUAAUUCAAUUUAAAUAAAAUUGUUAUUAAACAUUAAUUCGAGAUGGACAAUUUGAAUUACAAGUUUCCUUGUUAACGACCCAUUCCAUGCAAGCUGCAAUGGCUCCACAAUUGGAGGCAAAAUGAAACAAUCGCUAUAGUUUGAGGUUAAUUUUGCAAUUACGCCAAUUUUAUAUAACAAAACUUUUUUUAAUAAUAUUUUAAGUAUAAUUAUCAAAUAAUCACCCAUAUUUUAAAAUAUACAUACAUAAUUGAAUAUAUCCAAUGAUCGAAUUUGAGAUAAGUGUCGAUCAUGAGAGAAACCAAAAAAAAAAAAAUUAUGAAUCAAAAUUGAAUUGUCAAAAUCUAAAUUUAUCAUUGUAUGAACUUAAAUUUACAAUUUUAGAAGGGUUAAACUAUAAAUUUACCAUCUUAAUUGAAUUAGAUUUUUUUAAAAAGUACAAUUUAAUUAUAGAUUUUAUGUAUAGUUGACUAUAAAUAUAAAAAGAUUGACUUUAGAUAGAGCAGGGUCAAUUAUGAAAUUAUGAGGGUCAAAAAGUGAAGGCCAUGUGGAUAAUGCAUCACUAUAAUGCAAAUUACAAUACUGUACUUUGUUGAAUUAAAACGUGGUUCGUCCAUAAUUUAUUGAAAUAUUCAAUUAAAAUUCAUAAUCGAUGACUUUUUUAUCACAAUCUUUGCAAUGUAUCAAAUUUAAAUAUUUAAGUUAAAAUAUAUCUUUCUUUCUUUUCUUUUCUUUUUUUAAUUUUGGAAUUUAAUUUUUGUAUUUGUAUUUUUGUUCACCCCUACAAUUUAGUAUUGAUACUCGGGUAAGGUAUCGAUUCAUUGAUCCAAGUAUUGAUAUCUUAUGAUUUUGAAUUGACUUUAUGAACAUCGAAGCUAAAAACUGUAUCGAUACCUAGUCUGGGUAUUGAUACCUAUGCUCAUACUUUGAAAAGUUUGCAGUUUGAUCAUUCUUCAGGCUCGGGACAACUUAAGAGCUUUUGUAAGCUCGAUUGAGUCCCGAUUUUGAUUGUAUUACAUAAUAUCCAUGAAAUUAUGUCAUGAAUCAAUAAUGGAAUGAAUUAAUUGCUAUGAAUUGUAUGUGGUUUUUUCCGAUAACUGUAGUAACAUUCCAUAGCCUGAGUCCGGCGAUCAGACCAAGUGAGGAGUGUUACAUUCGAGAUAUGAUAGUAAAGAUUGAAUGUUGAAUAUGAUAUGUUAAAUAGUUUGAACUAUGAUGUUUAGUUUAUGAGACAAUAAACGAAUUUGUGAUAUAAUUAGUAUUUGGAUUUCAUAUGUAUGUACUUGGUAUUUUUGCUUGUAUGUGAUUAAUGCUUUAAAUCAUGUUAGGACCACUGAGCCUUAUUGCUCAACAUACGAUUUUGUUUAUUUCUAUGUGUAAGUAUCGUAGACCUCAAAGUCUCAAAGUGAUUAGUAGCAUCUAGACUCAACUUUCAACUCAACAAGUUUGUACAAUUUUGUUAUAUUAAUAGCAAGUGGCAUGUAACUAAUAUUAAAGUUGGUCCUUAGGUUCAAGUUGUCAUUUUGAUACUUAUGGUUGGAGAUGUUGUACUUAAAUAUGACCAUAUACGUUGAUGAUGAAUAUGUGUAUUAAUUUGAAGGUAUAAUGAUAUGUUUGCUUAUCCAAGUUAUGUGAUGCUAUGAAUUGAAAUUAGAAGGUUGCUUGCAUGCUAAGUAAAUGGUUGUGAUGCUUGAAUCUAUAAUGAAUAAGUAUGUGCCCGGGAUGUGUUUGAAAUGUUGAGAAUGAUGUCGUGACAUCAUGUCCAUGUCAUCAAAGUCGCAAUAUUCCCUUGCUAAAGUUGUGACAUUAAAACCUUUGCCAUCAAUGUCGCAACAUUCUCCUGUUGAAAUCGCGAUAUCAAGUUACUAUCUUCAUGGCCACAACUCAACCCUAUUGAAGUCGCGUCAAAAAGUACUGUUCUCAAUGUCGCGACAAUACCUCUAUAUUGGUUUUUUUUACAUAUUAGUCCAUCAUUUAUUACUGAAGUUUCAUAAAAGCUUUAGUAAGCCUACUUAUAACCCGAAUAUGAAUAAUUAAUGUUAAUAGAAGUUUUAGAACUUAAACGUUUGCAUGAUUUGUCUUUUGAAUAUUGAAAUGAAAAUUGUAGUUGCUUCAGCAAUGAAUGUGACAUCUCAUAUCUUGGACCGACGAUCAGUUCAGGUGUAGGGUGCUACAGAUAAUAAUGGGGAAAAAUGAGGAUAUUGAAUAAAUUUGUUGAGAAAUAUAAACUUGGAAUAGAUUGGACACAAUGAAAGUAGAAUUAAAUUUGGGAAGUUUUUGAACUAGUCGUCCAAACAUCUAAAUGUAUAAAGUUAGUGAGGGUACAAAUGUGUAGUUUUAUGAAAACAUGAUAAGAAAAAUAAAGUUUUUCACUAAUCCUAGUAUUGAUUAUGAAAAGAUAUAAUAUUCUUUUGUAGUGGAUGAAAUGACAUUUAGAUAUCUUAUUGGUUUGGCGGUUAAUGAAAAUUUGGCAUGCAUCUAAUGUUUGUUGUUAUAGACUUUUAUAUGAAUCAUUAUAUAGUGGAAAUUUAUAUUAAAAUCCUUGAAGGAUUUAGAAUACUAGAAGCAGAUAAAAAUCUUGAAAAAUUGUUCAAUAUGUUUGCGUAAACAUUUAUAUGAAUUGAAAUAAUUUGAACAUAUGUAGUAAAUUUGACUUAUUGAAUAGUAGUUAAAGGAAGAUUAUAUGAUCCAAAAUACUUAUAUGUACUUUUAUAAAAGGAUUAUGAUAAAAAUAUGUUAUGAUUAUUGUUGGAACUCCUGAAGAAAUCAAAAUAUAUUUCUCCAAAAAAAUCUUCCUCACUCGUGACUUUCAGAAGAAUGAAGAUAUAAACGUUUAGCAAAUCCAUUCAGGUGAUCAAGCUAGUAUUCAAGAUUGAAUACGUAGAAUGCGAGAUAUUACGUGAUGUUGUCAUGAGAGGGAGUAAAUACAUGUUUUACUCUUUUUCCCUUAACGGAAGUUUUGUCCCACUAGAUUUUUCUAGUAAGGUUUUUAAUGAGGCAACAUGUUAUACAUAUUAUAGAUAUAUAUACUUUUUUUCCUUCACUAGCAUUUUUUCCCCCACAGGGUUUUUAUCUUAAUAAGGUUUUAACGAAGUACAUUAUCUACCAAACAUCCAAUGGAGAAUGUUAUGAAUAUUUUGUUAAUAAGUGAAUCCUCAUUAAGAUAAAGAUAAGUUUGAUGUACUUUAGGACUCUAAUAUUCAUUAAAAGUUGAUUUUUAUUUCAUUUAUACUUUUUAUAUCUAUAAAUAUAGACUUUAAAGAAGCAUUAUAAAUAUUCCUAUUAAUCAAUAAAAUUCAGAGUUGUUGUUUUGUACUUUGUUCUCUUUGUUAUUUAUUUCAUAAUACAAACCAAUUAAAUUAAUUUAUGUUAAAUUUUUUCUUUGAUGUCGGCCGAAUUAUUUUUUUUCCCAUGGUAAAUAACAGAUGAAAAAUGUUUUAUUUAUCAGAGUUAAAAAAAGGGAUAAUAUUGUUGUGAGUUUAAAAAUAAAUUUGAAUUUGGGCGAUGUUAGAUGGUUGAUUCAAGUCUAGUUUAAGUAUGAUAUUAAAUUUUUUAUAUUCAUUCAAGUUUAACUCAUAUAAAAUAUAAAUCUAAAAUUUUUCUUAAGUUCGUCUAUAUUUAUAAAUAUUUUAAUCAAAUUCAUUUUAGGCCCAUUCAUAUUAAUUUUUAAAUUUUCUAAAGAAAAAUUAUAUUUAUAUUUAAUCCAAUAUUUAAUCAUUUAUAUAAUUUUAUUUCUUAAUUUUCUUUUUGAAAGACAUUUAUUAAAAUAUUAUAUAUAGGCAAAUAAACAUUUUUUAAUGUUAAAAUUAACUAUUAUAUAUUACUUUAUAUUUAAUUUUUACGUGUUAUAAAUUAUAUAAUAUUUAAAAAUAACAUAAUAUAAUACAUUAGAAACUUAGAAAAUGAGCCGAGUCAGACUCGAACCUUAAAAUUUUGAACCUGAGCCUAAGCCCGACUUAUAUUUUAGGCGAGCUUAAUUUUUUUAUAAACUUAAUUUUUGGACUUAAUAUUUUUGCUUAAACCCUCUCAAAUAUCGAGUGAGCCUUUAAACUUUGAUGAGUAACUUCGCCUCAAAACUUUUGUUGAAUUCAGUAAAAGAAAUAUAUUAAACAUAAAAAGAAAAUUUCCGAAGAUGCUGAAUAGAUUCAUAAAUAAAAUCUUAUUUUGACGGAAUAGAUAUCACUUUAAAUUUUAAUUUAAUCGGUUCGUACAAUUAUUGCAUUUAAGUAGCUAGAUUGAUAUACAUUUAAGAAGUGGUCAAAAAUAGAACGACGUCUAACGCAUUGAUACAUAGUUGUCGAAACAUGAUAUUUCUAUGAGGCAACUCCAAUUGAUUCCCUGGCAUUUUCCUCAACCCGUUGUCGCAAGUGAUCGCGUCAUCAAUGGCCGAUUCCAAAAACAUUUUUGUAUCCUUGUAGUUCUUCGACACCAGUGAUGAUACCGCGCCAUCGAGCUGCUGUGUCGCCGAUAUGUAAUUAUCUUCGCAAUCCUGGAAGUUCUGCUCCACUGCCGGCUCCAGUUUCUUUGUGUCGAGUGUCUUCUUGAUGUAGAAAGAUGUGUUCGUGCCAUUAUUCGACGCCACCUUGAUCGAUAUCAAGGCAAGCAUGGCUAAGUCAGCACUUUUGCUGGCAUGUUCUGCCAUGAGGCUCGAGAUGCAAAGAUCUUUCGCCUUCACCUUCUCGCAAGCCUGCGCAACUAACGGGUUGUUCCCAUUGGCAGCAUUUAUCGGCGGUGAAAAGGAGAGGUAAAGACAGAAAAUACCUACAAACAAUACAACAUUAUUUAUGACAAGCCUCAUUGUUGUUGUCUCCUUAUAGUUUUUGCCCUCUUUUUCCUUCUCGGGUUUUUUUAUUCGGAAUUUUGUAAAAUUUGAGUUCGUUGUGUUUUUAAAUAAUGAAAAAAAAAUGAUAGUGUGAUUUUUUUCUUUUAAACAACAAUUCGAAGUCACUACGUUAAGUGCAGGAAGCUUCAAUGAUAUCUAAAAAUGAUGUGGUAAUAAAACAAAUUCAAGAAACAAUGUUUGGACGGUAAGAUUCAAAGAGAUACGCGUAGCCACUCGAUCAUUAUGAAUUGGAUCCGUUGUUGAAGGGUUUGACCCCUAAAUUUAUUGUAUUCUGAUUUAUCGGAUCCUAAUAGAUAGUACAAAUUUGAAUAUAUCUUAUUUGUAUAUUGUAGAUUUAAAUAAUUCGAAUUUAUAUAAUCUUUGAUUUUGAAUAUUUUAAUUAUUAUUUUUAAAAAUUUUAUUUUUACAAAAAUUGCAUACCCCAAAUCCAGCUACCAUCCCAAAUACAAGGCCUAGAGACUCAUCAAGGUGUUAAAAGUAUUUUGAUCCCUUUUUAUUAUUAAAAUCUCUUUAUUUAUUUUUUAAUACCAUUUAUAUUUAUAUUACGGUCUAUUUUGAAAUUUUGUCCCUUUUAAUAAUAUCAACUACAUAAAAUUGCACAACUUGCAAGAAAAGCACUUUAUUUUUUUAAAAAAAAAAAUCAGAAUUUAUCUUAAUGGAUUUUUGUAAUAUUUAUUUUUAUUUGCCGGUUGUAUUAUUGAUAUAUUUAAUCACACUAAAAAACAUAUUAUUAUCAGAUGUUUAAUAUUAUGUUAGAUUGCUAUUUCCGCAUGAUAAUCACGAAAAUGUAACAUCAUUUUAGUUAAUAGAUUUGACAAUUACCAUUUAAGUAAUGAUUGUAAUUUUAAAACACGACAAGCAUAAAGACUAAAAAUAUCAAAUUGAAAAAGAAGAAAAAAACUAAAUCCGCAAGUUAGCAAAAAUCGAUUUGCUCAAUAAAUCAACUUGCUUGAGAUCAAAUUGAUUGUACCCAGAUGAAAACAAUCUGCAAAAUACUUGCAAAACAUCUAAGAUUCCAAGUAAAGUUACCGUUAUAUUAGCUGAUCCUAACAUGGGGCAACAUAAUCUCUCAUAUUUAAUUCUGAAAAUGGAAACAAUGGAUGGAUAUCCAAAAUAGAAAAACAUGUUCAAUCACACUAAAAAAAAAAGGGAAAAUACCCAUUUCGGUGAUGAUAGGUUGAUAGCGGUGAACUCAAACCCUGAAGCCUUUGCUGUUCCUUCUUCCUCUAGCUCUCUCGAAUUUCCUUCCAUUUGACCGCACGUAGGGCUUGGUGUGGCUGUGUGGCACACCAGGAGCUGGUCCGAAGUGCUUCACAGCUUCACGAGCAUUCUUUGGACCUCGGAGGAGAACCUGCAUGGUAUAUUUCAACCUUAAAAUCUCAGUCCAUUUUUAUCAUUCCACAAUAUUGAUAAGUUAGCAAAUGCAUUUCCUUUUCGUAAACCCCCUAAUUAAAGCUAGGGUACUCAGACUCGAGUGUUAUAUCCUAUACAUGCUUAACUUUUUUCUACAUUUUUCCAUGUAUUUGAAGGAUUGUACCUCCCUACCCGUGUCUGAAAAUGUAUCAAACAUAAAUGCUUCAAGAAAAUGAAAUGCCAGAGCAGCAUAGUAUUAGGUUGCCAAGAAAAAGAGAAACAGGGGUAAUCUUUAAAAAUCCAAACAUUUCAUAAGGGAGCUUCUGAAAAUGUUUUUCAAGCCUUCUAAUCAUUACGGUUAAUUAUAAAGUCGAACAUUCAAAAAAUCAUGAGUAAAAGAAAACGAUUUAAGUUGAGCCCAACAUAGGAAGCAUGAACACAGACACAUAAUAAGGAUAACACGUACACGAAACAAUUUAUAAUCAGUGUAAAAGCAAAAGGACUGCCUUUACAACUAAAUUAUCAAAAAUGAGUUAAUACAUAUAUCUAUACGGAGAUCACAAUAAAUGACAGAUGAAAGAAACAAAUAACAGUUGCAGUAGGAAAUGCUUAUCAGCUCAAGAAUUUUGAUUAAAGCUCAAUAAGCACGGAUACGGACACACAAUACUGGCAACAGGUAUGCUCAAACUAAUGAUUCUGCUACCCUUAAACUAGAACAUGAAUUGAUAUAAUCAUAUAGCUGCAUGAAGAGCUUUAAAAUGUUUAUCUUCUCUCUCGAACUAGGAUGCCAAAUCUCGAAACAUUUUUGGGUUCUAAGUCAUUAGAACAUUGGAACUUCAUACAGAUCAAACUAGCAGGUUUUAUCAUAUCUAUUACCUGCCAAAAGCUAGCAAAAAACACAAGCCAAAACAUUCCUAUCCAAACAACAAUGGUGGAAGCUAACUGAAGUAAAAAAAAGAAGAUUUGGAAGAUGAAGCAAAUACCGUGUUCUGCCCAAGAGGUGCUCGAAGAGCAAGUUGGUCAAACGUUAAACAUUCCCCACCGGCCUUCUCGAUCCUUGCCCUCGCCGUCUCAGUGAACCUUAAUGCAGUAACCUUCAGUGCCGGAACUUCAUACACUCGAAUGUCAUCGGUGACGGUCCCAACUACCACAGCGAUCUUAUCCUCCUGAUUGAUCAAACCAAUAACAACAUCAAUCUCUCGUCAUAUGAAAAAAAACAAUCAUAUUUUUAAAAGAGAAAAUUACCUUGCCCUUCAUGUAUUGAAUCAAUCUGGAGAGAGACAAUGGCGGUUUGUUGACUUUGCUCAUGAAAAGCCGCUUCAAAAUCACGGCAUUGAAUUUGCUCCCAGUCCUCCUUACUAGAAACCUGUAAAGCUGGCCGUAGAUCCAACACAUACGUUCGAAAAGAAAAUCAAAAAAUUUCUCCGUUAAACAGAAGAAAAUAAGAUGAAACGACUGGAGAAAGCGCGGGAACCUUGACGAGGAGCUUGAGGUAGAUAUCAUCAGACUUCGGAGCAGUUCGCUUUGUCUUCUUGCUCUUGCCGCCGGCGACCAAAUCGAUACCCUGAAAUUGCAACGAAAAUUUUGUUGAAAGCUUAAAGAGACAGAAAAGAGAUUAAUUGAUGUUAGGGAUUUGGAGAAGCUGGAGAUACCAUUGCCGGUGAUCACUGCUGCUUCGGGGGAAGGGGGUGGGCGGCGCUGCUGAAAGAACAAAUGGCCUUAAGGGGGAGAAAGGUAGGGUUUUGUUAGGGAAAAUGGUGAAAUUCCGUUCAAAGCUGAAGUCCAUUGAUUUCAAUGCAGCCUAUAUUUUUGGGCCGUUAGAUCUGAUGAUCCGCUAUAUCUGAUUAUACUCCAUUGAAGGGUCCGGCCCGCAUGGAAAAAUUGCCUCUAAUGAUUCAAUUGCUUGCAAGUCCAAAUAUGAUUAAUUUACCUAUAAAAGUCCAUUUCCAAGUAUAUUUACGGAAAUGGGCUAAUUUUUGUAUUAUUUAUUAGAAAGGGCCGAUUUUGGUAAAACGCGUCCACGUAGGAGCGUUUUAAGGUGAAAUUUCAGCAAAACGCGCCCCUGGAGGAGCAAUUUUCCAUGUCAGCACAAAACGCGCUGACGUGGAUGCACUUUGUUGACGUGGCAAAAUCGCUCCCCUAAGGGUGCAUUUUGCUCCGUGUUUUUUUCUCCAACAGCUAUUUUAUUUUUUGACUGUUGGGGGGUCCAACAAUAAAAAAAAAAGAAGUAUAAAAACCCCCUCAUAUUAUUUCACAUAAUAUUUCUUCAAAUUUUGGCAAAAAACUCUUUAAUUUCUCCCUAAAUUUCUCAAAGCUCUCAAAUUUCUCCUUAAAUUUCUCAAAGCUCUCUUUAAUUAAUUUUUUCCUUUUAAUUUUUUUCUAAAUUAGUAUUUUUUUACAAUUUCAAAAAUAUUUGAUCAUGUUAACAAUGGCUAGGGAAUUAAUUCGUCUCGAUCAUAAACAUAUCUCUGUCGAAUAAAUGAAAAUGGUAAGGGUUAAUUUUAAUUUUUGAAUAUUGUUUAAUAUUUUUUCAUUUAUGUAAUUUUAAUUAAUUUGUAUUUUAUAAUUUUUUAUAACAGUCUGUAGAUUGGGUGUUACAAUGUUAUAUUCGUAAUCUGUCUGAUCCUCCAUCAUCGUUGAUAGAAAAUUACUUGAGGGGAGCGGGUUUUGGCACAUGGGCAUUAUAAUUCGAGGGUGCAAGUAACUUAUCAGCGCGUUAAUAAAGAGGUAGAGACCCGAGACGCACACAUUUCAUCUUCCAUGCGGAGAGUGUACUAUCACUUUUGAGGACGUGCAGUUAUAAUUAAGAUUGUCGGUGGAUGGGUUCGCACUCACAGGGCCCGUUCAAUCUACUGAUUGGGGAGCCAUAUGCUACGAUCUUUUAAGUGUAAUUCCGGAUAAUAUUUAUGGAGGUCGGAUGGAGAUGGGCUGGUUACGAGACACAUUCCCGGAGCCGGAGAAUGAUUCGAAUGAAGUAGAAAGAAUACGAUAUGUUAAGGCAUACAUCCUUGAGAUGAUUGGAGGUUAUUUGAUGCCGGACUUGUCACGAAACCUCCUACAUCUGAGGUGGCUGCUGAAACUCAUUGAUUUUAGAGCAGCUGGCGAAUUUAGUUGGGGGUUUGUCGUGUUGGCAACAUUGUACCGGAAGAUGAAUGGGGCGAUGCCACCAAAUAAAGCCAAAAUCAGAGGUUGCCUAUCACCACUACAAUUAUGAGCUCGUUUCGCUUUCUAUUUUUACGUCUCCGAGUAAACCACCCAUAUACAUUUCCACUCAUAACGAGGUAAAUUUUUAUUUGAUUUUACAAUUAUUACAUAGAUUUAAAAUAAAUUUGUAUGCUAACAAUUUAUUUAAUUAGGUGGAACCAUCCGGUGAGUUAUGUUGGAAUACCUACCGCUCUUAAAGAUAUACGACUUCUAUUAGACCAACGGUCGGAAGUGCAAGUAAGUAUUAAAUAAAAUAUAUAUACAUAAAAUAGUUGUUUCAUAUUUAGUAUUUAGUAUUAUGUAUAUAACUAAUAUUUUUAUCAUGUUCAUAUAGUUUCAAUGGACACCAUAAGAGGAUCUGACAAUUUGGGCAGUAAUUCUGGAUGAAUUCUUUCAAAUUUCGAACAUUUGGCAUGUUAAGGUCCCAUUGGUCAACUAUGCUACUGUCAAGAUGCACCAGACAAAUAGAGUGUUACGGCAAUUUAAAUUCAGACAACAGAUUUUCGAGGCACCUAAGGUGCUCGAAAAAGAGCACAAAAUUGACUUAUGGUAAACGAAUGUGAUUUGGUCGGUAUUUUUCUCAGAAUAUAUCAAAAUUUUGGAAAAUUAGUAUGAUCAUAUACCUACUCACGAACCGAUCAUCAUUUUAGAGUUAGCAUGCGCGGCGGAUUACAUAUCAUGGUUUUAGGAUUCAUGGCAAGUCAUAUUUGCUGUCGAAAUAGCAGAGGCGUCAGUAAAUCCGUGUGGAAAGGGAACGACGGGGCCCUUUAAAUCCAAGAAUAAGGGAUGACGGCACGGGUCCAUCAAUAGUGCCCACACAAUCACCGAGUCUAACGCCUCAACUGACGACACCCAUACCACAGCCCUUCAGAUUAUGCCAAGUGUGUAUCCUAGCCCUUAUAUGUAUCCUAACCCUUAUAUGUUUCCUUUUUCCAGUCCUAUACCAAGUUGGAAUACAUGGCCUGGUGUAUCUCCUUUUCCGAUGACUUCGACUCAACCGACGAUAUAUAGGCCAUCGUCGCCGGAGGGAUCGCACUAGGUAUCGUCGAGGAGCUUAUCUCAUUACCAAUCCCCAUCGCCUUAUGAGAUUCAAACACCUCCACCGUGGGUGAUGCAAACACCUUCAUAUUCUUUAUUUUAUCAAUGUGGGUCAUCCUCCCAACACCUACAACCGGAGCAACCACAACCCCCGCCGGAAGCUAAACCAAGGAGGAAUCCAGCGCGUAAUCGUCGACCACCCCAUAUGGCACUGAUUCCAACUGGCACAUACAUUGAUUUUUUUAAUAUAUCUGUAAAGCUAUUUUUAUAUUAUUUUAUUUAAUAAAAUGAAAGUUACAUUUAAUAUUUUAAUAGUAAAUUAUUUUUAUAUUUUUAAUAAAAUAGAAGUUAUUUUGAAUAAGGCAAUAGAAAUAAUGCAACAUAGUUUCAUUACAGCAAUGUUGCACUGUACACUUAGCCUCAAACUUCUCGAAUUUGGAUUUAACCACGUUGUAGUUAACCCUGUGAUUUAUGCUAUGUUAUUUCAAUGCACCAAGAAAACUAUCAUUACUGGAAAACUCCUUACCAACUUCCAAUUCACCUGAAUCCAAAGAAGAACUUGUACGGUCACGGUCACGGUCACGCCUUCUAUGCGGUAGAUCUGGAAACUCCAACGCAUCAUUUGUUGAUAUAUCGACAUUAUGCAUGUGGGCUGGAGGCGAGUACGCCCUGAAUCGUGGAACUUCAUCAUCAUCAUCUGAACCCCCUUCAAUGUCUUCAGGUUCGGAUGGAACAAGUCCGAUUCAGAAAAUAAUACAACUUCUGCACCAUCGAGGCCGAGAUCUCGAGAUGGAUCCACAUCAGACUCAUCAUCCAACCCACCAUCAUCUGUAAUGUACGAGGUCCCCUCACCGGUGGACGUUGUAGGGAGUACAUCAUCCCUUUUUGUGGACGUUUUGUAACGUCCCUAAUUAGAUGUGGAUUGCCAACCACUAAAAGUUGAUGUCAUUCCCCAAUAAGUAUUUCUAGCAUCGAACAUCGACCCACCAAUAUGCAUGUCCCAACUACUAACCGAGUGUCGUGUAGGAGUUGUAUAUUACAUACUGCCACCCAACAUGGGCGCUUUCGUGUUCUGCCUCCCACUAACGGAGUGUCGGAUAGGGAUCGUGUAUUCCUCUCGAACAGCAGUAAAUGUUGAAGUCACAAAUGUUUCAUUUAGCGAGAAAAUUGUACAUAUAACUCAAGAUAGGGCAAUCCACUAGCGAGAUGAGUCUGCACUAUCGCCUCAAAGCUACGACCACCUUUGAUAUCAAAUGAGUCAUAUACACGGGAUCAAUCGAAGCACAAAAUCAAUACUUAAUAGAAGAAACACUCAUUGGCGUCGUUCUGAAGAUUUAGCGCCUAAUUCUUUUACAAAAUUCUAUCAAAUCUAUAGUCUAGUUAAAAACUAGUCGCAUUAUUUUCUCUGAUAAAAAAACAACACCAUUCUAGAUGUCACGGACCUCACCAUCAUAGUAAAUAAUAGCAUUAAUAUGUUCACUCAUCUUCAAUUUCUAUUCUGCUUAGCCUCUCUAAUUUUUCUUACUGUAACUUAUGCAACAUGAGAAUGAAAUUUGACUCAUUUAUAGCCUAAGACCAAACAUGAACUACUGUAGAAAUAGAACGUCGACUUGGGAGUUUUUUUCAGUAAUUUUGCUGACAAUGCAUCCUGCUUGAAACGUUUUUGACACUAUUUGUUCAGAAACGUCUUCUCAAAAUUAUUUUUUCAGGUACUAUAGAAAAAGAAUGUCCACGUGGAAGCUUUUUUUAGUAAUUCUGCUGACAGUGCAUCCUGCUUGAAGCAUUUUUCACACUAUUUGUUCAGAAUUAUAUUAUCAAAAUUAUUUUUUUGGGAACUACUGUAAAAAAAAUAAAAUCCUUAUUGUCAAUAUAAUUUUCCCUAAACCCUAAACCUAAACACAAUAUUAUUUUAAAAAAUAAAACCUAAUUUAAUUAAUUUUUUAAAGCCCUUAAACCCUAAUUUUAAUAAUUUUUAAAAAAUAAUACUAAAUCCUGAUUUAUUUUUUAAAAUUCCUAAAACCUAGAACCCUAUUAUUUUAACAAAAUCAUAAACCCUACAAACCUAAGCCUAAAUUAUUUUAACAAAACUCUAACCCUAAAAACCCUAGGGACUAAACAUGCAAAAAGCCCUAACCUAGAAAAAAUACGGAGCAAAACACGUCCUAGAGGAGCGAUUUUGCCACAUCAGCAAAAUACGUCCACAUCAGCGUGUUUUGUGCUGACAUGUCAAAAUCGCUUCCCCAAGGGAGCGUUUUGCUGAAAUUUUACCCUAAAACGCUCCUACGUGGACGCGUUUUGUCAAAAUCGGCCUUUUCUGGUAAAUAAUGCAAAAAUUGGCCCAUUUCCGUAAAUAUACUUGGAAAUGGGCUUUUAUAGAUAAAUUAGUCUCCAAAUAUUUACGUGAAAUAAAAUAUUGUUUUUUAAAUAAAAAGCAUAUCAAAUAUAUAUUAUUUUUAAUUUUCAAGACAUAUGCCAUGUUUUUAUUGGUCGGUAGUAUAAAAGUUAACGACGUUAAUCAUAUACUUAAAAAAUAAGUAUUCAAGUCGAUUAAGUCUUAGAUUAAGUUUGAUUGGCAUGAACAUUAUUACUGAUAUUAUAAGAAGAUUUGGGUUUGAGUGCAUUGAAACACAUUAUCUUCCAAAUGAUGUUAAGUUAUUUUAAUUUUUUAAUUCAUAUUUUAAUUAAGUGAUGUUUUGUUAAAAAAUAAAUUAUUUAAAUUACUAUAUUUAAUUUUUAUCCACAACUAUUGAAAAUAGUAUAAAACAUUAUAUUAAUGAAGUUUAAAUUAUAACAUAAAUUAUUUUUGAAAUUUAUUUGUAUCAAACAAAAAUUUUGUACUUAAUUUUCACUAAAAUAUAAUUUUAAUAAUUAUAAAAUUCGAUUAAAAAAUCAGACUAUCAUAAAUAAUUAGUACUAAUUUCUUAUUGCUUGGUUCGGAAGUGAAGAAAAAAAUAUUACAGCAUCAAAUCAAUGUCGUUGUAUACAAAGAAUAGUGCAGCAUAUACCAUUCUUCCUUUAAGACACCGCCUCCGGCAGAUAAAAUCGGAACAGAGUCACGGACACAGCCUCGUCAAUCCAUUGUAUUAUUAACGAUUUUAUUGUUUGGUGUACUUUAUAACAUAUUUAGUUCUUCUUCAACAGCACGGCUCUGAGCUGGGCGACAUCAAUCUCGUUCCCACAGUUCUCCGGUCUAUAACAUCCGGUAACCGGGUCCGGAACCCACGAAACCUUCUCUUUUGUCUCUUCCCUUGCUUGCUUCGCCACCGCAGCGUUGCUUGCCGCUCCUCCUCUUACUCCACUCGAAACAACACCUCGUGACGCUGACGCCGCCGCCGAAUAUCCUCGUCUGAACAAAACAAGAACCCAACAACAUCAUACACAGCCCUGGAAUGCAAAUGAAAAGAACUUAUAUUAAUGGUACCUGGAGAUAGCGUUAAAGAUUCCAUUGACAACCAAGGUGGAGAAAAGCUUAGCCAUUUUUUUUUCUUAUAAAAAAUCAAACUCUUUUCCCUAUGGCAAAACUGCAAAAGCUUUAAACUUAAUAGUUAUGGAGUGUUUGAAAGAGGGGAGUCUCGUUGCCUUUAUAUAGAGACCCGUGAGAGAGAACGAUAACGUGAAACGGCAACGUCGUCAACACAAACGACAGACCUCUCUUUUGCUGACACCUGGCUCUCAUGUAUUUAAUUAGGUGACCUAUUUAAUUAUUAAAUAGAUCAAUUUUCCUAUUGAACCAAAGAGGGUCAAGGACCCUGCUUAUCCCUCGUUGGUUACGCUCCCGUUUACAAUUCAACUUCAAGCUAUAUAUUUCAUCCAUAAAAUUAUAAAUAAAUAAAUAAUCUUCAAAAUAUAAACUUGUUAAAUGAUAAAUUAUUUUUUCAUCAGUAAAUAUUAUUUCUAUUCAAUUUUAAUUUAUUUGAUUAUUUUUAAUAUUAUAAGGACUAAAUUAAUUCUUUUAAUAAUAUAAGGAUUAAUUUAAUUUAGUUAGCAGCACCUUGCAAAUAUAUUCACCGAAUGGAACUAUCAACUAUCAAGCGAGCUAAAAAGAGGAGUCUUUAAUGGGUUGAUUAAGAAAGAAGAAAGGUCGAGGUGAGUCCUCUUAAGUUGACUGAUUUUCUAACCGUUGAUUAGGAGCUGAGGAGGAUAUCACGUCCGUCCACGUUUAGAAAAAGAGUGGUUAGUUAGAAAACAGACGCGGCGGAGUUGCCUCUUCUUUGAUGAUGAACAAUGCAAGGGGGUCAUCGUAACUUCCUACACGCGUCGCCCUUGGGGUAUAAUUGUUAUUAUGAAAUUUAUAUAUAAAGUUCAACAACCAAUUGUUGCUAAGGUCUACUAAUUUUGAGGUUUCUAACACACAUAUAUAUCAUUUUUAUUAAUAUUUUAAUAUUAUAUAUUUUCUAAAAUAUUUUUUUAAUUAACAACAAUUGCAUUGAAAAGUUAUAAUACUUUAAUUAAGGGUGAGAUUGGUUGAAUGGCGGGAUAUGAUGCGUUUAAUUUACUUUUUGUCUCACCUGCUUUUACACUAAAUGUACCGUCCAUCCAAACUCACCCUAAUUGUGUUGUAUAAAAUCAUAAUUUAUAUUAAUAAUUGUGUUAUGUAAAAAUUAAUAUUACGCAAUAACACAAUUAUUUUUGGUAGAAUAAAUCAGUAUUAAGUGAUUACAAAAAGAAAAUCAAAUUAAGACAUCAUAGAACCAUUAUAAUCAACCUAGGUUCUUACUAAAAGUAGUGACUCUUCAAUCAAUUGUAAUCUCAUGAAACCUGUAACAAUAUACUUAGUCAAAUGAUUCGCAACAUCAUUCUAAAUUCUUAGAACAUAGCGAAUACGAACCUUUCAUUUUUGGUUUAGCAGUUGAUAAAUUAGACAAAAUUCUACCAAUCUACUAUCGGCGACUUCACCAGCUAAAAUCUUCUCCACUAAUAGAGCAUUAUCACAUUUCAAUUCCAAUUGUUUGAAUCCCUUAUCUAAUGCUAAAUUUAUGAUCUGUAAUUUUUAUUAUUCUAAUUUUAAUGUUUUAAAGAUUUUAUAAAAUCUUGAAAGUAUAAUAAAACUUUAAAGAAAAUAUCUUACCCCAAAGUUUUUUUUUUAUUACUUUACUAACAAAUUAUGCACGUUAUGUUGUUAAUUGAUGAUAAAUGUAAGUGUGUUUUCCCCCUAUACAUUAAACUGAGAAAAUAUUUAACAAAAUAGACAGGAUUUUUGAAUAUUUAGCAAAAUAAUAUUUUGCUACAGUGUAUGGGUUGAAGUUGGAGCUAGGAGGAUUAGACUUUAAAAUUGUGGUGUUAUAAUAACGAUAGAACGAUCAUAAAGUAAUAAGAAAAUAAAAAUAAAAACAAAAACAUACAGAUUUUACGUGAAAAAUCAUUUUAGAAAAAAUCACGAGCAGGGUAAGAGAGAUUUACUAAUGUUAAAAAACAAAUAAUAUACAAUAAGAGUUUCAACUACAUCUAUUUAAAAGUUGAAAAACUCUAUUCUAAUUAAAGUUAAAUAGAAUAAGAAUAGUUUUAUACGGAUUUAAUUUAUUUGAUAUGAUCUAUUAAUAAAAUAUAUUGUUGUUUUUUUAAGAAUUUAAAAGUUAGAAUUUUGGAAUAAUUUUGAUCAUCCAUUUAUAUUCAUUAUAAUGGUGGGAUGUAGCUUGGCUUAUAAAUAAAAAGGCAACAUAGCAUAUUGAGGUGAAUAACACUUGGUGUACUUGUAAGGGUCUAAAGACUAGCUAAUGCUUCUCAAAGUGGAUAAAGGGUUAUCAUUUUAUAGAAAGUUGACUUUGAACAUACGUCGGUGUCUGUUUUGUAGAGCUAAAAGUAUUCUAGAAAGAGAUAUAAUAAAUAUUAAAUAUAUAACAAACUAAUUAAUGAUAUUAUAAGUAACAAUAUGAUGGGUAUAUUAAGAUAUUAAAUUUCGGUUUUUUUAAAUUUUUGAAUUAAUUUUUUUUGAAAAAAUAUAGAACUAAGUUAAUUUUAUAGAAAAAAUUAAGGAACUAGGCUAAUUUUAAAGAAAAGUUAUUAGAAGCGUUUUUUAGGUGAUUUGCAGAAAAAACACUUUCUAACUUGAAAUAUUUUUUGUCACAUCAGCACAAAAGUGGCAACACCAAUAUUUUUUUUUAUUUUUUGGUUCCACCUAUUAAUGUGGAAAUAAAACUUACAAAACAUGUAUUUAUAUAGACCCCGAGUCUCAUUUCCCUUGUUUUCUUAAGCAAUAUAAGAUAUGAGUAUAUAGAGACUUAUAAUUCAUUUACAACUUGUUCCUAGAUAAUGUGAGAUUACUUACUCUUUCAACUAACAACAUAAGAUUAAAUGUUAUACUUAAUUUUUAAAAAUUAAAGACAAAACUUUGUAUAACAUUAAAUCUAACAAAAUAAAAUAUUAAAUACUCCUAUACAAAUAUUAUUGUUAUAAAAAAAGUCCAAUAAAAAAAAAAGACAAAGUUACAAAUAUAAAAAUUCACUAUAUUAUAAAACCUUAUUUUUUUAUAUAUUUUAUUUAUCUAAAUAUUAAAUAUUUUUUUAUAUCUUAGUUAUAUUUCUUUUAUAUUAUAUUAUAUUAUAUUAUAUGUUAUAUUCAUUCUAUUAGUAUAUUCUAUUGUAAUAUAAUAUUACUAAUAUUAUUGACUUCAUUUUUAUUUUCUAGUUUAGUAUAUUUUGCAUCCAAAUUAUAUAGAAAUUUUUUUAUAUAGAUGGAUCGAUUUAAUAGAUUUAAUAUAGAUUAAAUUUGUUUCUAUUUAGUUUAGAGUUCUAAAUAGAGAUAAUUGGAGAUAUUAUGCGUUACUAUAUGUGUAAUGUAACCUUCAAAAUUUUGAACUUUUUUUAGUAAAUUUUAGCAAUAAUUAAGUCUUCAUAUCUCUGGUUAAGGACUUUAUUUAUAUGUUUGAGAUUAGGGGUUUGAGUAAUUUUUUUUGAAAUUUCUCUAUUUAUAUUGACUUAACCCUUACCUUUAAACUCUCGACUUUAAAUUACUUCUAUGUUAAUCUGUGUUAAGAAUGAGCUUGCUGGUUCUGUAACACUCCUAACCUGUAUCUGUCGCUGAAACAGGAUUACGGAGCAUUACCUAAAUUUACAGAUCAAAUACAGAUAUUUCGUAACAUUUAACAUUCAUAUAAAAAAUCAUUCAUAAUGAAUCAUAUUGUCCCUUAAAAAUUUCAAAAAUUUUCCAAGGUGCAAGGAACACACGCCCGUGUGGGCAUUCGAAAUAGGGCACACGACAGUGUCCCAGCUCGUGUUCAUACCCGUGUAACUCUCUGACUUAGGUCACACGAAAAAGUCACACGCCCAUGUGCUAGGCCGUGUGAACACAAAAAUUUACAUUAAAUAAGUGAAGGGGUCACACGGCCAAGCUACACGCCCGUGUGCCAGGCCACGUGAUUAAUUCUGAACAUUCUGUUUUGAAAUUUUAAAUAUGCAAGGGACACACGGCUGAGACACACACCCGUGUCUCUGCUGGUGUGGAAAAAAUAAGGCCAUUUUCUAGUCAUAUUUCUCACCCAAACUUGUCUUCCACCUACAUUAACUCUUAAACAUACUCUCAAGCCAAUACAAGACAUUCAAACCCAUUCAAAAUUAAGUCUUAUACAUGAUAUAAUACCUUUUAUAACCAAGUAUACAAACUUACUUAACUUACCAAAUUCACAUAUAUGCAUAUUUUACCAAAUAUGCUAAUUCAAUUUAUUCAUUAAUAUACCAAUAUGAUUCUAUCAAUCAACCAUUUCAAACACAUAUCAAACAUGAUAUAGCCUCUUAUAUUCACAUCAAAACAUGUCCAUCACAAGUCAUUCCAAUGGCUAGUUACAACCAAAACAUUUAUAUACCAACAUUGGCCAAGUUAACUUAUACAUGCCAUUAUAACCAAAGUUGAUUUACUAAAUAUACCGAGAUGAGCCGAUGGAUAGUGUGAUGAUAUCUCCACCAAGCUUCCAACCCAACGAGCUCUUGAAUUACUAUAGAGCAGAGGAAAAUAAAACAGAGUAAACAUAUUAUGCUUAGUAAGUUCGUAUUACGAGAAAUUAACUUACCAUUCAUUUUUAAAAAAAUAAACAUACAAAAAUGACUCCAAAGAAAUUUGGCAAUUAGCCUAAUCACAUAUAACCUAUCAAACAUGUUAGUCAUGUACUUCAUGUAAAUAUCAAGAAACAAGGAAUCAUCAUGUAACAAUUUUCAUAUAUAUAUGUUUUCCACAUCAAAUAUUCAUAUAACUUGUACAUUUCCAUAAUAAUCCAUCUCAAGUUCAGAUUAUUCCAUGUCGGAACUUUACCCGUUAAAUUUAUUUGAAAUAUCGAUGGAUACACAAGUAGUACACUUGAAGUGUACAAAACUGUAAUCCGUCAAUUCAUAUUCAGGAAUGCUCAUACGAGCACAUAAACGGGAAGAUCUCUCUCGAUCCAUAUAAUAGGAAGCUCAUGUGAGCUGUAUAAUAGAAAGCUUAUCCAGGCUGUAUAACAGGAAGCUCAUAAGAGCCAUAUUCAGGAAACUUGUGCGAGCCAAUAACGAGUAGCUCUGAAGAGCCAUUAAUCAGGAAGCUCCGGAUAGCCAUAUAUCGAGAAGUUUAAGCGAGCUAUAUCGGGAAGCUCCGGAGAGCCAUUAAUCAAGAAGCUCAUAAAGAGCCUUUAAUCGGGAAGCUCACGAAGAACCACAUAUCGAGACGCUCAUAAGAGUUGUGGUGUGUCCAUAACAUAUACAGAGUCACUACCAAUCGGGAUGCUUCGAAGAGCUAUUAACUGAAAGCUCGCAAUAACUAUAUAACAGGAAGCUCGAGAGGGCCACAUAUCGGGAUGCUCAUGAGAGCUAAUAACGGGAUGUUCUUUUGAGCUGUGGUGCGUUUGCAAUAUAUGCAGGACCACAACCAAUCCGGGAACCCUAUAUCCAUCGAAUUUUAUUUAUUCAAACGAGACUUAAUACUUGUCGGACAUUAUUGGAUAUGUGAUCAAUUUCAUAUAUAUAGCAUUUAUAUAAUUCACAUAUACAACAUUCAAUUCAAACAUAUAAAUAUACACAAAUUAGUUACACGAACUUACCUUGACAAAUGUUCGUGAAUUGUAAUCUACUAAUCCGAUACUUUUCUUUUUCUCGAUUCAAUUCGUAUUUGGUCUAUCCAGAUCGAUACGAGUAAAUUUAGCCCAAUUUAAUACAAUUCACAUCUUAGGUAAAAUUACCAUUUUGACACUGUACUUUUGAUUAAUACAAUUUCAUCCCUAGGCUCGAAAAAUUAAAUUCAUGCAAUUUAAUCCUUAUACCAAGCCUAGCCAAUUUUUACAUGUAACAUUCGCAGCCCAUGUAUUUCAUAAAAUUCAAAAAAAUUUCAUGAAUUUUACAACUUUUCAAUUUAGUCCCUAAAUCACAAUUUCACCAAAAUUCUCUUUACUCAACAACCUUUCAUUUUCUACCAUAAAACUUCAUAAUUCAUGCAUACUCAUCCAUGGAAAAACCCUAAUACUUUGAUAAAUUUACAAAUUAAUCCCCGAGAUAGCUAAAUUAAGCUUUUAUGACCUUGGAAACAUAAAAAUAAUUAAAAACGUGACUUGAAUACUCACCUAAUUGAGCCAAAAUAAUUUACUUGAACUUAAGUUUCUAUAACUGGGGUUUUCAUCUUUUUAAUUUAGGAAAGAUGAGAAUAUGAUGAUAUUUUUCUUUAUUUUAUUAUUUAUCAUCUUUUUAUCUCUUACUUUCCAAUUUAGUCAUUUUCUUUAUUUAAUUUUCCAUGGAUGAAUCAUCAUACUUAUCUACUAACUCCUCUUAAUGGUAUAUUUUCCAUAUAAGGACCUCAAAUUUUGAAUUCCAUAGCUAUUUGAUACUUAUAGCUAGUAGAACUCAACUUUUGCAUUUCAUGCAAUUUGAUCCUUUUAUCAAUUAAACAUGUAAGCGGUAAUUUUUUUCUUAACAAAAUUUUUAUAUAAUGUUUCUAUCAUACGGUAGACCAUAAAAUAAUUUUAAAAUAAUUUUUCUUACGGACUCGAAUUUGUGGUCCCGAAACCACUGUUUUGAUUUCAUUGAAAACGGGUUGUUCCAUGUUCAAUGGUUAAGCUUUUGUAUACCCUUUGGUUUUAUGUUUGAGUCUCUGUACAAACAAUAAGGAAAUAUUUUUGUUAUUAAUCUGUUAGAGUAGUUAGUUUUUAUUUUGAAAGUUAAUCGAGUAUUUUUUUUACAUUUCUUUCCUCAUUCUUCCUCUCUUCUUUCUUUUUUUUCUCAUUAUUUUCUUUUCUUUUUUCUUUAUUCUUUUAUUGUGUUCCUUGUGUGUUGCCAUAUCUUGCUACUGUUACGAUAGGAAAAAUCCAUAUUCUGUUGUCUUUGCUUGUCGAAUUAAUUGUGUAAGUUAAUGAGAAUGUUUUUCGGUAUUUGUAGUUCAUUUUGUCGAAGUAAGUUUGCUUGAUUGCUUGAAUUUGUUGGUUUAAGUUUCAAUUGGUUUCUUUUAGGCAAGGAUCGUGACGGCAUCGUCCCUCCAUUGAGUUAAUUUCGCAUAAUACUGUUCGUACGAGGGUGAGCGUGUGGGCCAAAGUACUAAAAAUUUUCCUAAGGCCAUAAGCGUCGUUCGAAUCAAACGUAGGCCUUCCAUAGGGUUUGUAUGCUCUGAAUUAGACUGUAUAAAUUAAUAUCCAAUAUUAUAAUGUUGAAUAAUCAAUUAUCUAUACGUGUAAUUAAUGUGAUAACUGUUAAAUGAUAAUAAUUUGUAUUAUCUGACUAUGACUUAUAUGUGAAUAAUUGUAUGUGCAUCAUUGAUAUCUGUAAAUUGUAUCUGUAUUGAGUGGGAAUGAUAUAAAAAAUGAAGUGUUGGCAAUUUAAUGAUUUGCUGUAACACUCCAAACCCGGCCUAGACAUUAUGGCCGAAUCUAACGAUGUCACAUGGUAGUGCUUUUCAAAAAAAUAUGUCGUCGCUAAAUCCCAUUUUCUAUUUAACCAUUUUUUUUCAUUUUCUUAUGUUAAUUUCAAACUGUGUCGUUCGUUUCCAAAACAUUAUUCAUUUAUAAAUCGUUAUUCAAUUUCAAAAUAUUUUUUUAUUUUUAUUGCGGAAGCUUUUAAAUAGUUUGUUUAUUCGUGGUACUUUUGAUAAAACAUUAAUUUCAAUUGAAAAUCCAAGUUUUACCUAACACUAGUAGAUUUAAAUCAUAAAACCAUAUAAAGUCCAAAUUUUAAACCAAAAUUCGUAAAGGCCAUAAUUACAGCAAAAUACUCUCAAAUAAAAGUAAAAUCAUAAAUAGGUAAUAAAUAGUGUAAAAGAAGUCGUGUGGCCACCACUGAGUCCUCUGCCGCACCGAUCCGCCUAUAUCUGAGGAUUACCUGUACUGAUUAAACAGAAUGGGUGAGUUUACGUAAACUCAGUGUGUAAUCCCCAUACAAAUGUACAGACAGUAAACAGAUAAUCACAGUCUGGGCUUAAGCUCUUUUCAGUAUCAGUAUUAGUCCAGUUUGGGCCUUAGCCCAUCUCAGUACAAAACUAGUAAUGAAGUAGAACUUUAGCCCAUCACAGUAUCAGUAGCGGUAAUAGAUAUGCAGUCACAAAAGUCCUACCCAUCCAGACUCUACACACCAUCUCCGUCCAAUCCUACACUCCAUUGAGGAUAUAAUCAACCCACCCAUCACUACGCUCUAAGUAGUACCGAAUGCGGCACUAGACAGUAGUUUGAAGCAGAGCUGCCAGUAAAUUAGGCUCGAGGCCUUUCAGUACACUUCCUCUGAACAUUAUAAUCUCCCAACCCAAUGUAAUGCAAUAUACAGAUAUAACAUGCUAUAACAUAAUAUCAUGCAUGUAAACAGGGCAUAUAGUAUCAAAUCAGUGGGACAUCAUCAAGCUUAGUCAUAUCAGUCAUACAAUCAUUUCAAUCAAUUAGAGGUCUAGGUAAACUUACCGACCCUACAAUAGGUUCACAGUUGACUUGGGCGACCCGUGCAACCUUAUCAUUCAAACAGUGAAAAUGGGCCUACAAGCCCAUGAUGUUCGCCGUGUGGCCCACAUGACCCAAAUUCGCCUUGGCCUCGUGAUCCAUUUUAAUGUAAUCCGUACUAGUUAAUUAUUCAUAUGUGUUUCCACAAUUUACUUAUAUGAUCCUUCAAAGUUGUCUACUUGAGUAACUAUUACUAAAUUAUUUGUAUCUUAAGCUACAAAAUUCCAAAUUAAGAUCCACAAUUUUUUUCUGAAACCAGACUCAAAUAUCUUCUUACCAUAAAAUUUUUAAAAUUAUUAGUUUAGUCAAUAAGUACAGUGAAUGAUAUUCUCAUUUAUUUCUCUUGAAAGUAGACUCAUUCAAGACUUUAAACAUAUAAAUUAUAACACAUAAUUAUUUUUAUACAAUUUUUAAUAAUUUUCCAAAGUUAGGACAUGGGAUUCCAAAAUCAUUCUGACCAUAUCUCACUAAAAUUCAAAUAUCUCAUAAUAGGAAAUUCUUUUGCUUAUUUCGUUUCUUCUAUGAGAAACUAGACUAAAAUAUAUUUAAUUCCAUAUUUUUUUCAUUCUCUAAUUUGAUUUUCAAAAUUUAUGGUGAUUUUUCAAAGUUAGCCUACUACUGCUGUCCAAACAGCAAGCAAUUUCGACUUUUCGCCGAAUCCCUUAUUUUUGUGUUUCGAGUAUACACCUAGUUUUGUUUGAUGCUAAAACAGUCCUCGAGCACAUUUACGAAAACAAGUAACACCAUAAUCAGUCUUACCUUGCGAUUAAUCAAAAUCCCAAAACCAAAAUACUUACCCAUAAAACGAUGAACACUUACCGCAAAACUUCAAAUCGGUACAUUUACGAAAAUCACGAUGAGUGCCUUAAUCUUCACGAAAUGCUACUGCCAACACCCCGGAAUUAGACUAUUGAACACAAAAUAAUAUCUUAAAAUGAUACCCAACAACUUACUGAAUUUGCACAAGUGCUGCUUAACGCUAUGAAAUCAAGAUGAAAGAAUGGUUUAAGGGGAACAAGAGAAUUUUGGUAGUAGAGGAAAGAAAAGAAACGAUAAUUGAGUAAGAAGAAAAGAAGAAGAAAAUUUCUGUAGAGAUGGGUGAGAGAAAAUGUGAGAAAGAUGGAGAGAAAAACGACUCUCUUUUUUCUAAAAAGGAAAAAGUGAUCAAAUUUUGGAUAUUCUCCCCUAUAAUCCCCUAAUUCACUCCUAAAUCACUCCCUCACUUCCCACUACAUAUCCACCACUCAAAAACCCAGUCUAGCACAACUCUUGCCGAAAUUAGGAGCAAAAAUACAACAUUUGUCGUCUUAAAGAUUCGAACCCAUGACCUCAUUCACACCAACACUCCACUUAUCCACCAAACCAGCAGGCCCAUUCUGUUAAUUAUUUUCCAACUUUUACUUAAAAGCCUACUGACCAAAGAUUAUUCCUAAAAAUACCAAAAUUUGCCCAAGUCCUGACUUGAACUUGGGACCUCCUAAACACUCCCAGAACACAUAACCACUAAAGCUGACAAAUAUUUGUGUCACAUAUUCACAAUACCCAAAAUUAAAAUUUUGGGGCAUUACAUUUGCCGAAUCAAGUGGCUAAGCCAUAAUUUGUAUCUGAUUCUAGCGAUUUAUACCAUACUAUUUUAACAGACAGUCUGUAAUUAUUCUGAAAUGUGCCAUACCGACACUAAUUGGUGUGUAAGGUUGGAUUGGUACUUGAUACCCUAUACAGUGUGUUGGGAUGGUCGGGAUAGCGUGUAGCAAGUGAGGGUAGAAAAUUACAUUUGAUUAUGUUCUGUAUCCAUGUCUGAUCUAUUCCGUAUUUUUAUCUAAGCUAUAUGAAUAUAUUGAGUACCAUCUGUUUCUGAUACUGUAUCUGCAGUGUGGGGAAUCGCUGCUACAUUUAUAUUGUUGAUUUGUUUUUAUACAUGCUACACACAUUAAGUUAUAAGCUCAUUCCUAUUGUUGCCUAAAUUUCAGGUAAUCCACAGAAUUAGAAGGCUUGGCGUGUUAACUCAGAUAUUAUAUGUUAGUUUAAAUGGCUAAUUGCUUUCUAUAUGAUAAAUUUUAAAUUACUUAAAUGUUACUUUUCUCUUAAACGCUUUGAUGUAACAUUCAGACUUGGUCUUAACGUCUAGAUCGGACAUGGGGUGUUACAUAUAAGUUUGCCUUUAUUUUUUUAUUGGACUUUUUUAUAACGAUAAUAUUUAUAUAAGAGUUUUAAAUUUUUAAAAAUUAAGUGUAGCUUUUAAUCUCAUGUUGUUAGUUAAAAGAGUAAGUAAUCUCACAUUGUCUAGGAACAAUGUGUAAAUGGAUUAUAAGUGUUGAGAAAAAAGUAGACAGUUACCUGGGUAGUUAGGCUCAGUUAGUAUAAGUUAGUUUGUUAGUCAGUUAGCAAGUAAUAUAUAAAAACUAAUGAGUUUAUAAUUAAAGAGAGACUAAUAGUUUUCCUACUGAAUGUACUAUUUUUUUCCAUUCAUCAAUAAAUUAUUGAUCAGUUUUUCAACAUGGUAUUAGAGCUCUUGUGAUCGUUGUCUUUUUGAUUGUUUACAAUUGUUAUUUUUUUGAUCAUUCACUGUUGUUCAGUACUAUUUCUAGUCAUUCUAGUUUGCUCAGUAUUGUUGGUUGGUCUUGUUUUGUUUUGGGUUCUAUAGGUUGAUAGACAAGCCCAUUUUCUGUUGGUUUUUACUAGCCCAAAUACAAUUGUUAGGCAAAGUUUAGUUGUUAAUCUAGGGCUUUUUUCACUUGUGGUGUUUCUUCUUGUUCUUGCCUGUUGAAUUUUUUUGUUUUUAACAUCGGAGUUUUUUAAUCAUUGUGACUUCUUCUGAAUCAGUUAUUGAUUUUAAUCAUCCUCUUUACCUGCAUCUAUCUGAUACUCCAGGUACCUUGUUGGUGUCUCACCAAUUGCUUGGAGUUAAAAAUUAUAAUGUUUGGAGUCGAACCAUGAAAAUUGUGUUGUUGGCCAAAAAUAAAUUGGUGUUUGUUGUUCUAAGGAUUCAUUACCAGAUGAGAUGGGCUAUCAAUGGGAGCGAUGUAAUGCCAUUGUCUUGUUUUAGAUUUUGAAUGUAGUUAGCAGAGAGCUCUCAGUAGUGAUUGUUUUUGCAUCUAGCACAGCAGCGGUAUGGAACGAUCUUGCUGAAUAGUUCCAUAAAGUUGAUGGUUCUAGAAUUUAUUUUUUGCAUCAUGAAAUCACCUCGCAUCUUCAAGGUAUUGCUUCCAUCUCUGUGUAUUUUACUAGGUUGCGACUGUUUUAGGAUGAAUACGAUACUCUUGUGCCCUUUUCUUCAUGUGGAUGUGUUCAGUCAAGAUAGAAUAUUAAGCAUGCUUUGCAGUAGUGUCUAUUCCAAUUUCUAAUGGGAUUGAAUGAAACAGAUAAUUCAGUGCGUAGUCAAAUCUUGUUAAUAAACCUAUUACCAUCUGUCAAUCAAGCGUACUCUAUGCUUGUGCAAGAAAAAUCACAAAUAUAACAUAGCUCUAGUAUUGUUGGGUCUGAUCCAGUCUCUUUUCACCCAGCACACAUGGUACAAAAGAAAUACUUUACUGAAACCUAUGAUCAUUGCAAGAUUAAAGGGCAUAAAAGGGAAAGUUGUUAUAGGAUAAUUGGUUACCUUGCAGAUUUUAAGUUCACUAAGAAGAAGGCAACCAAUGUUUCUGGAUCCGUAGUGAACAAUGUUUAUGUUAACGAUCCUGUAAGUGGCAAUGAAAUGACUAGUGAUGUUGGUUUGUCUAGUCUACAAGCACCUGUGUUUACCCAGGCACAGUAUCAACAAAUCUUGAGUUUGUUGAACAAUGAGGCUAUAGUUAAAGUUGCUGCAAGCCUAGCAGGUAUGGUUGGUGUAGGUCAAAAUUGGAUUAUGGAUACUGGAGCUACUGACCACAUGCUUUCUGAUUUCCAAUCCUUAGAAUCUCUUGUUGCAUGUGCAUCGCAUUCACCCUGUGUUCGACUCACAAAUGGCUUUUAUGUUUCAAUUACUCAUGUUGGCACCUGUACUGUUCAACCAAAUUUUCAGCUUACUAAAGUUCUCUAUGUUCUAAAUUUCCAUUAUAACAUUCUUUCCAUUGCUAAACUUACUAAUGAUCUCAAUUGUUUUGUUUCAUUUUAUCCUUAUUUUUUCCUCAUAUAGGAUCUUUCAAGUGGAAAUAUUAAGGGAAUUGGUAGGGAGCGAGGUGGUCUUUACAUCCUAGAACCUUCUCGACAGACUAGUGUAGCUGUGACUCAGUCUGUUGCAUCCGCUGAACCACCAUUUCAUUGGCAUACUAGACUUGGCCAUGCUUCUGGUUCAAGAUUGAAUAAGGUGUUUAAUCUUCCCUGCACAGUUUCGAAUAGUGAUAGCAUACAACAAUGUCUUGUGUGUCCUCUUGCUAAACAAACUAGACUUCCAUUUCCUAUAAGUACAUCUCGUGUCAAUACUAUUUUUCUCUUAUUCAUAUAGAUUUAUGGGGGCCCUAUCGAGUUUCUACUCAUAGUGGCCAUAGGUAUUUAUUAACCAUUGCUGAUGAUUACUCAAGAAUGACAUGGGUGUAUUUGUUAUGAUAUAAAAGUGAUGCUCUUGUAUAUCUCAAAUAGUUUUUUGCCUUGGUUAAGAAUCAAUUUUACACUAGCAUCAAAUUUGUUCGUAGUGAUAAUGGGUAUGAAUUUUUUAAAAUUGAGUGUAACGAAUUUUUUACUAUGUUAGGUGUUGUACAUCAAAGCUCGUGUAUUCACACUCUUCAGCAAAAUGGAGUUGCUGAGCGUAAACAUAGACAUUUGCUUGACGUUGCUAGGUCUCUCAAAUUUAAGUCUCAUAUGCCUAGUAAAUUUUGGGGUGAGUGUGUAUUAACUGCAUGUUUUUUGAUAAAUCGACUAUCUACUCCUCUCUUGCAUUGGAAGAGUCCUUUUGAACUUUUAUAUCGUAAACCUCCUGAUCUUUCUCUUUUAAAAGUGUUUGGAUGUAUUUGUUAUGCUACCACACCCAAUUAUCAUGAUAAAUUUUCUCUUAAGGCUAUUCUUUCUAUGUUUAUGGGAUAUUCUAUUAUUCAGAAAAGUUAAUUGUUAUUCAAUCUUGAAACCAAAAAUUUCUUUGUUAAUCUUGAUGUUGUAUUUCAUGAUACCGUGUUUCCUUUUCCCUUUCCUACAAAACAUUUUUUAUUUUUUCCUACAGCUGAUAGCUCUACUUUUUUUAAUCUGGAGCUUUUGUCUUCCAUUCCUAUCAUUUCUCCAUCACCUAUUUUGCCAACACUUUCUUCUUCCCAAACUUUACCUACUAAUACUGAACCAAUUUCUCUCCUGUUAAACCCCUUACGACGCACCACACAGUUUAUCAGGCCACUUGCCUCAAUGAGAGAUUACAUCUGUUCCAACCAAUCUUCUGCUUCCCUUGCUACAGGUUCAUAUCUUAUUUAUCAUGUUUAUUCCUCGUUGCAGUUACCUAUUCACACACAAUUGUUUGUAUUCUAUAUUUUUUCACUGACUGAACCCCAAACAUAUGCUGACACCAUCUCGGAUGCAAGAUGGGUCGAUAUUAUGCAACAAAAAAUUUGAGCUUUGACAGACAAUGGUACGUGGGAGGUCAUUUCUUUACCUGCUGGUGCUAUUCCUAUUAGGUGCAAAUGGGUUUAUAAGAUCAAGUAUAACUCUGAUAGCUCUGUUGAACGAUUUAAAGCCUGAGUGGUAGGGAAAUGGUACAAUCAGCAGGCUGGUAUUAAUUUUCAGAAGACUUUUUCCCCUGUGGUUAAGCAUGUCAUUGUUCGAACUAUUGUUAGUAUAGCUGCCAUGCAUGACUGGCCCCUUUUCCAAAAGGAUGUUUACAAUGCCUUCUUGUAAGGAGAUUUGUGUGAAAAGGUUUAUAUGGACAUUCCAGACGGUUUUCACACACAGGGGGAGCACAAGGUGUGUCUUGUGCUCAAAUCAUUGUACGGUUUGAAACAAGCUUCUCGACAAUGGAAUUUAAAGCUUACUGAGGCAUUGUUGCAAUGAGGUUACACACAGAGCAAAUAUGACUAUUCAUUGUUUUCCAAAAGACAAUGGGGUAACAUAGUUAUCCUACUUCUCUAUGUUAAUGAUCUACCAAUCACAGGAAGUGAUAUUGGUAUGAUAAAUGAGCUUAAAAAAAUCCUGCACUAAAUUUUAAGAUGAAAGACUUGGGUGCAUUGAAGUAUUUUCUUGGAAUAGAGGUUAUAAGAUCAAGUGAAGGGUUGAAUCAAAGGAAGUUUGGAGUUGAUAGCUGAUGUGGGGUUAAGAGAAGUGAAACCAGCAAGUACGCCUCUUGAACAAAAUUAGAAACUCAAUUCAAUUGAGUAUGAUGAGUUUAUACAAAUGAGGGCUGAUGGCGAUGAAUUGAUUACUGAUGUUGCAGUAUAUCAAUGACUUCUGGGAAGGUUGCUAUACUUGACCAAUACAAGACCAGACAUAAUGUUUGCAGUUCAACACUUAAGCCAGUUCAUGCACAAACCAAAAAAAAUAUCAUUUGGAGGCUGCUUUUCAGGUGGUUCUAUAUAUAAAAAAAAUCCUGGUCAAAGUAUCUUAUUGGCUGCAUUUAGUAAACCACAACUUAUUGCAUUUUGUGAUUCCGAUUAGGCUUCAUGUCCCAUGUCCAGACGAUCCGUCACUGGUUUUUAUGUUAAGCUUGAAGAUUCUCUCGUUUCAUGGAAAUAAAAAAAAACAAACUACUGUUUCUCGAUCGUUAGCAGAGGCUGAAUAUAGAAGCAUGGCAGCAGUAGUAGCAGAGGUUAUUUGGUUGGAUGGCUUGUUGAAAGAGGUCUGUCUUAGUCAACUUGAUAAGUCUUUACUUUUUUCAGAUAGCGAGGUAGCACUACAAAUUGCAGCAAACCUUGUUUUUCAUGAAUGCACUAAACAUAUAGAAACUGAUUGUCAUUUUGUACGAGAUAAAAUUGGAGAAGGUUUGAUUAAAAUGCAACAUAUUGGUACAACUGAACAUCUUGCAGAUUUGAUGACUAAAGCUCUUGGAAUCAAGCAGCAUGAAUAUUUGGUGUCCAAGUUGGGGGUUAAAGAUUUGUUUCACCCCUCAACUUGAAGGGGGUUGUUGAGAAGAAAGUAGACAGUUAGCUGGGUAGUUAGACUCAGUUAGUAUAAGUUAGUUUGUUAGUCAGUUAGCAGGUAAUAUAUAAAAACUAAUGAGUUUAUAAUUAAAAAGAGACUGGUAGUUUUCUUACUGAAUGUACUGUUUGUUUUUUUUCCAUUCAUCAAUAAAUUCAUGAUCAAUUUUUUAACAAUAAAUUUUUAUAAAAUUGACCUAGUUUCAUAAUUUUCACAAAAAAUGCCUAAUCCUAUAAUUUUUUUUUUAAAAAAAAAGAUGACAUUUUUUUAGCAAUUUAGUUGGUUUUUACAAUGCCAAAUUUUCUUCUCUAUUUGAAAAAAAUUAUGAUAAUAAAUAUGUUUUUGUUGCAAGUUUUUUGGUGAUUAAUGAUAACUUUCAAGUCUUUACACCAUUACAAUUAUUUCUAGAAUUGUUUUCAACAGUAUUGAAUGCCAUAGUAAUUAAAAGUAAAUAAUUUUAAAGAUCUAAAAAGUAUUGCAAUAGAUUAAAGAAAUACAAAUUAAGAAAAAUAAAUAUGAUUUUUUAUUCAGUCAAAAGCAAUGUUAAUGACUUAAAACUUCACAAUAAAAUUAUGCUAUGCCAAUUCUAACUUUAAAUGAAUUUCAUUCAUUACUUCCAAUUGCUUUAAAUCUAUCUUUGGAAAAAGCAAUAUGUUUGGUCAAAUAGCAGGAUGAAUGAAACCCAAAUUCGCUACUUUCAACCAAACAAUCGUUUAGGGUAAGUAAUUAACAGCAAAUUAGAUAAUUGAAUCGGUUGAAUCGGUAAUAGAAAAUAAAAUAAAUUGUUAAAAAUAAAAAAAAUCAAUAAUAGAAACAAAAAUGUAACGAUUCAUCCGUUUAUUAAAAUUUCGUCUCUUUUAUAUAUUUUUGUUUUUAUUUAACAAUUGUUGAAUCAUACCGAUUAAACUAAAAUGCAAUAGCGAUUCGGCCACUUUAGAACAUUGAUAUUGAAUUACAAAACCUUCUUUCAUCGAUUCUUAUAAAGAGUAUUAGGCAUGCUCAUUUAAGAUAUUUUGAUAAUUUGAUAUCCUUGAAAUUAAAUUUUGUAAAAUAAGAGACGGUAUUACUGAAAUCAGGUCUGUUCGAAUAAAGAGAUUGAAUUGUUCACCGAGCGAAAUUUUUAAAACUGAUUAAAAACUCUAAAAUUAAGGUGAAAAUCGACAAUUGAACUGCUUAAACUAAUUUAUAAUUUUUAUUAAUUAUUAAUUAAUUAAUUAAUUAAUUAUUAGACUAAUAAUCAAAUCAAUUAUACUGAAAACUGAUAAUUUAACUGAUUCAACGAAUGUGAUUAUCAUUAUAAUUGGUUCAUUUUCUAGUACCUCUCACAAGAUUCAAUAUUUUAGUGGUAAUUAUCUCUCCUGUAUUUGGUGAAUCCCACUUGUAAGUUGUACCUAAUGUUAGUAACACAUUAUCAUUAAAUAAAAAGUUGGUUUUGGAUAAUGUGUGUGAAUGGAUAGGAGUGCUUUAAUUGGAUUAGAGAUAGAAUUAGCCUAAUGACAACUUGAAAUAGCUAGUUGCCAUAGCCUUUAAACUUGCCUAAGUUAUGUAAAAACUUGUACUUAUCCAGGACAAGUUGAAAUUCCUAGGUAUUCACUUUAAAUUUAAUAAUAUUUAACAUCAUACAAUUAUAUAAAAUAAAUACAAAAUAAAAUAAAAUUUAGGUUGCGUUUGUUUCAUUGAAAAUAUUUUCAUCAAAAUGAUUUCUAAAAAAUGGAUUGACUCUUUAAAAAAAAUUGAUAUUCUUUCCUGAAAUCAUUGUUUAAAUGUUGUUCUUAAUGAAACAAAAUAUAUUUGUUACUUGAAAUUUGAAAUUUAUUUUAUAAUAAUCAAUAUCAUAUAUACAAUGUGAUUUGAAUCAAACCGAAUUGACUGGUCGGACCGGGAACUGACUAGAUUAGGAACCGAUAUGAACCGGCUAAAAAACUAGUUGAAUCAACAAUUGAACCAGUGGUCGAAUCGGUUGAAUAAAAGUUUUUACUUUUUUAUAAAUUUUUAAUUGGACCGAUGAAUCGAUGGCCUGAUUGGUUCAACUUAAAAAAAAAAACAUUGCAUAUAUAAACUUAAUAAUAAUCAAAGCCUAAUUAAAACUUAAUUUAGAUUACAUAUAUGAGUGUAUAGUGGCACAUUAGAGUUGGGAUAAAUAAAGCUAAACAUGAUUUAAACAAAUACUCAUAUUCAUGGGCAUAGCCAGGGGGUUGGUAGGGGCCCCGACCCCCCUAAAAUAGAAAAUUUUCCAUUUAGGCCCCUUUAAAAUUUAUAAAAAAUUAAAUUAAUAAAGGUAAAAUUACAUUUUGAUCUCCUAAAAAUGAUAAAAGUUUGAUAUAAUCUUUUAAAAAUUAUAAAGAUAUAGAUAUUAAAAUGGUGAAAUUGUAUUUUUCAUAUCGUAAAAAUAUACAAUUUAAUUUCGGCCACCCUAAAAAAAUUUUCUGACUUUGUCUCUGCUCAUAUUUAUAUAAUUAAAAUAUUUAUAUUAUAUACUAUAAAACAUUUAUUAUUAAAUAUUUAUAAAUUGUCAUAUAAAUUUAUUGUUAAAAAAUUAAUAAUAAAUUAUAUUAAUAGAUUUUUUUUAAAGGUUAUAUUAUUGAAUAUAAAUAAUUAAAUAUAUAUGUUUAAUAAUAUUGAGCAUUGUAAUGUUUGAUAUUAAUAUUAUAAAUUUUUAAAUAUUUUUAAAAUUUAUGAUAAAAACUAUUAUUAUAAUAUUAGACCUGACUUAAAUUAAUUUUUAUAUAAAAAUAAAAUUACUCAUAAAGGGACUCUUUUCUAAAAAAUGAUUUAUACUUUUCAAAUUAGUAAGUCAAUUUAGAAGAAAAUGGAUUUAUUUUCCAUUGAUCAAGUUGUUUUCCAUAAAAAAAAUACAAAAAAAAUAUAAAAAACAUUUAUAAAUUAUUUUCUGUUAAACAAACACACCCUUAAAACAACAAUAGAAAUACAACAUUAUGAAGUCAGGGGCUCUAUCCCUCAAAAUGGUAAAAUUUCAUUUAAUUAUUUUUAAUGCAAUAAUAAAAUUAUAUUUGGUCACCAAAUGAUAAAUUUUGAGUUUAAUCUCUUUAAAAAUUAUAAAAUAAUAAGUAAAUAUAAUGAUAAAUUGUACUUUAAUCUUUUUAAAAAUUUAUAAAUCAAUUUUAGCCCCUAAAUUAAAAUGUUGGUUAUGUCACUACCUCUAGUAUAGAGAUGUUUCUAGCUCGGGUCAAGCUGGGUCUAGGUAUGAUAAUAACAUACUUCAUGCUUGCCUCAACCUAGUUCGACUCGAAAUAUAGCUUAAAAUUUUCCUCAAGUCUGUCCAUAUUUGUAAAUGGUUAACCCAAGCUCAUUUUAAGCCCGACCAUAUGAUUUUUUUAAACUUUUAAUAUAUAUAUAUAUAUAUUUAAUCUGAUUUAAUAUUUAAUAAUUUUAUAUAAAUUUUAAUUAUUUUUAUAUAUAGUUAUCUUAAUUUUUUAAUGUUUACAUUAAAAUACUAUUAUAAAAUACUAAAGAUUUAAUUUUUAUGUGUUAUAAAUUAUAUAAUAUUUAAAAAUAACAUAAUAUAAAACAUUACAAACUUAAAAAAUGAGUUGGGCCAGGCUCGAGCCCUAAACUUUCAAGGCUCGACUCAUGAAUAAGUCUACUCUAAUAUGGUUAUAUUUAUCAUUUUUUGGUAAGGUUUAAAUAGAUUAAUAGUAGGGUUGAGAAAAAAAUUGAAAAAUUGAAAAUUGAUCUGAACCAUGAUGUUUUAAUGAUUUUCUAUUUACAAAUUAAAAGAUCGUGAUUAACUCAACCAAGUUGAUUUCUAUUUUUUAAUUUAUUUAAAAUUAUUUUUGACUUUUCAUGAUAUAAAAUUAAUUAUAUUAUAUUUAAAAUAGUGAAAAUAAAUUUAAAAUACUAUAUAAAAAAUUAUAAUAGAAGGACUAAAUCCCAAAAAAGGCAUAGAACAGGGAUCUUCUUCAGAAUUUGACCUAGCUUUCAUAAACAAAAAGAAAAAAAUGGAAUUGGGACCCACACGUAAUCCAUGGGUAGCCCGUAAACCCGUCCGUCUUGCCAUUUGGUCAUUUAGUAAACCCACCUGAAACCAUCGAGUUUUCUCGCUCGGCAAAAUCACAUUGAAGUUGGAAAUUUUGCUUCAAAUUCACAUUCCAUCUGCUCUAAUCAAGUGAAAGAGGGUGACAGAGAUGGCAUCUGGUUGGGGAAUCAACGGCACCAAGGGCAGGUGCUACGAUUUCUGGGUCGACUUCAGCGAGUGUAUGUCCCGUUGCAGAGAGCCCAAGGACUGUGCUCUCCUCCGUGAAGACUAUCUCGAGUGUCUCCACCAUUCCAAGGAGGUAAGAUUUCUGCAUUUCAAAUCCCCCCCCAAUAUCCUAAUUCUUUUUGUCCAAUUAGUUUUCUUAACCAUAUUUCAACUGUAAUUUAUGAGAAAAUUUCCUUGAAUUUGAUGCUUUGUUAAUUAUUGCCAAUCAUCCUUAAGGCUUCAAAGUGGGCUGGGAUCGGCCUCAAUUAGUUUAUUUGAGAAUCAUUUGCAAUUGAAUAAUGUUAUAUUGUUUUGUUUCAAUCAUAAUUCUGAAUCCAAGAUACUGCUGGUUGUAGCGUGUUUAGAUUCUGGCAUUCCCUUAUUUCAGAAAAGGGUGAGUUGGAUCAAUGUAGAUGAGCCUAGUGUUAAUUAUGAAUCAUUAAUAGUUUGAGCGCCGGCCUUGUUAAUGUCUUAGUUCUUCAGUUCAUACUGAUUUAUGAUCCAGUUAUAGAUAACUUCUAUAGGUGCGAGUGCCAGAUACAGGUAUCUGUCCUAGAGAAAUAUGUUCAAUUUUCUAAAAUUUGGAGGGUCAUAUCCCCAUAUUCGUGUCCAGAUACGUUUCAUGAUACAUUUUGGACACAAGUAUCAAACAUGAGCACUUCAAGAAAAGUGAAGGAGUUGGAGCAAGCUUUGAAUAGUUUGGGAGAUCAUUUACCCUUAGUGAGUUACUUUAAACUUUCCAUGGUAUUGGGUAUACCGACUCAUUUUUCCUCUUCCAAUGUAGUGUAGAUGUAUGAGGCUAGUUUCAAGACAUCUCUACACUGGCACGCUUUUCGUUUCUGAGUUCAUCAGAUUCGUAGAUUAGUUUUUGCAAUCAAGGUUGGAUAAUGUGGUUUUUUUUUUUUCACAAUUCCCUUCCUUUUUUUACCUUAUUCAUUAUAAAAGGGCAAUAUGCCAUAUUUGUUUCAAUGUAAUUCAGUUUUCAAGAAGAGAAAGUGUAGCGUCAACUUAAAAGCGAGGGAAAAAAGGGAAGAUAUGAUGUUAUAUCUCGGGUUUUGCUUAUGUAUAGAUGUGUUAUACCCCCACCUGUGUUAGGACACGUGGCAAGUUUAGAGGACACCUGAAUAAUAAACCUGCCACCAACAAGCCGGUAGGUCACCUUGUGAAAUCAUCCUCCUUAGAAGACUACCAACUGGACAACAGAUGACCUGGUCUUCAUUGUUAACAUGAAGUUGUUAGGUCACCACACAUCACGUAUCAAUAAUAUGCUUUACUUGUAAUUCAACUCGUAUAAACUCAUAAGAUAUCCAUGCCACGGUAUCUUUAGGGGCCUUCAAGAAGGAUUCUUGAAUACCAUCUUUACGUUCCUUUCUUGAGUUGCUACUACAUUUAUGUUGUUGCAAAUUGAUAAACAAUGUUUCUUGGACUCAUAUGUUAGUGUCAGAUAUAGGUGUAUGUGUUAAACAUGGGUAUGCUUAAUUUUUUCUAAGUUCUUCCUUGUAUUGACGUUUGAUAUCUUGGUCCUCAUGUCUGGAUACAAAUCAAGUAUGGGUACUUCAAGGAAAAAAGAAGAAUUGGAACAAUACAUGCUUUUCUGCCCAUGUUGCUAUUAGUAUCCUGCUAACUUAGUAUGUAGUUCAAAAGGCAUUAGAGCUACAAACCUGAUAUCUCAAUCAAUAUGGCUGACUUUGAGGCAGCGGUCUGGAAUUUGUGAUGUUUUAGUAGUUUUGUAGUGGCAGCCAGUUUGCAUAGACAAUCAUGUUGCCUUCUAUCAUUCUCUUCUCCGAAAACUUUGUUAGAUGCGAGCUUCAGUUACAUGGCACAUCGUAUAUUGGAUUUAGAUCAAUUUUGUUUUUCGUUCCACAAUCUUUGGUGCAUCGAAAUCAAUUUGUGAUCAAUCUUGAAACUAUUGCAGUUUCAACGAAGAAACCGAAUUUAUAAGGAGGAGCAACGUAAACUAAGAGCUGCAGCACGAAAGGACAAGGAAGGCGAAGCUGGUGUUCACCAUCAUGGAUAGUGAGAAUUUGUUGAUCCUUCUAAAUUCCCAAGAAUAAUAGAAUGGCAUGGAAGUUGCUUCAUCUUUUAUUGGGAUUGAUCUUCCAAACUUUUUUCCUUCUUACUUUGGGUUUCUCUUUCCUUGAAAUGAAAUCUUGUUGUUUUGAGCCUAUGCCAAGAGGCAUUAAUUAAUCUUUGCUAGCAUCAAUGAUUUGGGAAUUUGUUGUGUCCAUUGAACUCUCUUAUAAUAUUGCAGAUGUUUUGGAUGUUAAAAGAAAAUUACGAUCAACACAAUAUGCUUUUCUUAAGGGGAUAAUCAUUAAAAAGCAAUGGAAGUUGUGUAAGGAACAUGAAGAAUACAAACAUACAUGCAAGGACAAGAUUUAAUGAUGCCAAACCAAACUUGUCUUGUGACGUCUUCCAAUCUCUCAACCUUUGAAAUUGACUUGACUUUGCUCUAUAAAAACUUCAACAUAUUUAUACUCCUUAUAAUGUUUUAGUUCUUUUUUUCUCGUAAUUAUACUAAAUGUUAGUAAAGCACGUCACUUGCAAUUACCAAACUGAUUUAAUUUCUUUUAUGUUUUUGUGUUUUGUAUAAAAAAUAAAAAUACGCUUAAAAAAUGUUUUCUCCAAUUUAGAAAUAAAUCUAAAUUUGGUUGCAGAUUGAAUUCUGAUUCGAUUGGUAUUAAUAUUAUUAUCUCUGUAGGACGAGUUGCUGAAAUACAUUUAUUCUUCCAUUAAAGGGUAGAGUUGGAAAGAGAUAUGGAUAGUUUAAUUAAAAAGAAAUAAAAUUUGAUUUUCAUAGUAUAUAAUAAAUAAAAAUUAGUUUAAUUAAAAUAAUUGUUAACUUAUGAAUCAAAAAUCGAUCAGCCUAACCACUUAUACGAGUGGAAUCAAUUUCUUUUUCUUUUCACAAUGUCGAAACCGUUUUUUGAAAACAAAAAAUUUUGUUGUCGACUUAAAAAACAAAAAUUGGAGUCGCCACCGAUCAUUUAUUAAGGUGUGAUCGGCGCACCUUAAAAAUAAUUUUGGUCUGCGAAAUUUGAGAAAACAAGUUCGGGAGUCAGUUACGCACGAGGAAGGAUUAGCACCCUCGUAACGCCCAAAAUUGAUACCAAAUUGAUUUUAUUUAUGCCUUGGUGUCGAAAACUUGAAAAGAUUUUAAAAGGAAACUUUUUUUUAUUUCAUGAAUGAGUUAAAAUGAUAAGACAUUCUUAUUUCAAAUAAAUAAAACACCACACCCAGUGAGUUAGGGCACAAUGUUUUUAAAUCCUCAAAAUACCCGAAUAUUGCCUUUUGCUUUUGAAAAUUCUUAUUUCGAGAAGAAAAUGUCAUGACCAGUAAGUUAAGACCCAACAUUUUUGAAUUCCAGAGAAUAAGCUUUUAUUUAAAAUUUGCGAAUUUAUUGCAAAACAAAUACUUGGCUUUCUAAAUUCAUCGAAAAAUAACCGCAAUCCAGUAAGUUAGGACACGAUCUUUCUCAAGAAUCAUGAAUGCCAAAUAUCUCGAAAAUUUAUGAAAUAUCAUGAUUUUAAUACUUUAAUGAAACCAAAAUAUAUUUCCCAAAAGGUAAGUUAAAAGUUAAUGUAUAAUAUGAAACAAAAACCUAAAUUUAAAGCACAUAUGAAUAUACAUUUACAAAAUAUACACAUGAGUAAAAUAUACAAAUAAAUUUGCAAACAUGUGUGCAUGUAUUUUUUCAAAAAAAACAUAUAAGUAUACAUGUGAGAGAAAAGGAAUGAAAUAUAUAAACAAAAACCUUGUAAUAAUUUAUAAAAAAAUUAUGUACUUAUGUACAUGAAAAUUAUGAAAAUAAGAUUUUUAAAAAAUAUAUGUAUAUGUAUAUAUAUUUACAAAAAAAUGUAUAAGUAUAUAUAUAAAAUAUAAAGUAUAUAAAAUUUAAAAAAAAUAUAAAAAAAACGUAUGGAUAAAAGAUAUGCAUAUGUACAUAUAAAAUAGAAAUAUACGAAUAUAUACGUAUUUACAGAAAAAAAUAAUUUGAAAACAAAAGUAUGUAUAUAUAAAGAACGUUUGUAUGUACAAAAAUAUAUAUAUUUAAAAUCUUUUAAAAAUAUAUGUAUGUGUAUUAUCUAAAACAUGCGUGUAUAUGUAUAAUAAUAAUAAUAAUAAAAGGUUAAAUUGAGCUAAAAAGGGAAAAAAAAACUAAAUUCGAAGUAAAUUUGAAAAUAGGACCACAUUGAAUGCGUGCGCAAGAGUGGAGGACCAAAAGGGAAAUUAUUCCCUCCCUCCAAAAACGCUGCGCAGCAGUGGGCUAAAUUGAAAAACAAAUAAAAAUUGCGGCUCAAUUUAAAAAGAAACAAAGCAUGUUUAAUUGCAACGCGCCACGAACAAGAGGGACUCAAUGCGCAAUUUACCCUUUAAAGCCAAACGCGCAGAUCCUCCCCUUUGGGUCGGGUCACCACGCGGGUCAAGGCUUGGAUAAAAUGGCGCCGUUUUGAGGUUUCAAUAAAACCCAACUUUUCCUUUUAAAAAUUUCAUAACCCAUUUUAAAACAAAAAGAAUGCUGCACCCCUCCUCCUUUUUUGUUCUCUGCUAGGGUUUUACACCCAAGCCGCCGCGCCGCCGUUCCACCGUGCGCCACAGCUCCGAUCGCUACGGAGGUGGUGUCGAUUGACGCUUUCGGCCAGAGAGGGGUAAGCUUCCCUUCUUCUUUUCUUAUUUGUUGCGCUUGUGUCCCUCUUUUUCGCAGGUUUGGUGACCGUAAAGUGCGUGCGACGAGAGCGGAGCGACAAGCGCGGCGUGUGGGCGCUGUUGCGGCGUGCGUGUGGGAGCUGCUGCGCCUAGGGUUCCUGCUAGUGUUUUGGGCUCGCAAGCUUGGUUUAGUAACUUGGGCCAUUGGGUUUCAAUUAUUGGGUUUUAGUUUACAUUUGUUUUUUUAUUUGUAUAUGGGCUGGGUUUAGUAGGUUGGGUCUAGCAUUUGGGCCUAUUUAUUUUCUUGGGCCCGGGCAUUAUUGGGCUUGUACACACAACACUAAGGGUGCGUUUGGUUCGCUGUAUUGGAUUAGAGGUGUAUUGGAUUAGAGAUGUAUUGGAUUACUGAUUCAAGCCGUCCGGAGAUCUGACGCCGUCGAGUCGGAGAAGGAUGCAAAGCUGAAAUCGGGAGCGGGUAGAGGUUUGGUUCGCUGGCACGUUCUGUUUAUGUUGGGAGGGAGAGGGUCGGCUGGAGGCGAUUUCAGCAAGGGAAGGGUAAAUAAGACACCGAUUAGCUAAUCUUUGCUGUUGCAAGGGAUUACAAAUCGGUGGUGAAGCAGCCAAAAUGUGGAAUCCGUCCGCAACGGAUUAGAACAGUAUUAGAGAAAACAGCGAACCAAACGCUGUAUUCAGUGGGGCCACCGAUUCGGGGUGUAAUGGAUUAGCCAUUACACCCAACCAAACAAAGCCUAAUAAUUUGGGCUCAUAAGAUUCUUUAAAAUAAUUUAGGAGAAAUUGUGCUAGUAAUCACUCAAUUAUUAGUAUAUAAAUUUUUGUUAAUUAAAAAAAUUAUAAAAUAGUUACUCAAUUAUUAGUAUAUUUUUGUUUUAGUCACCCCAUUAUGAAAAGUUCCAAAAUGAUUACUCAACUAUUCAAUUUUGUCUUGUUUGGUCACUAGCUGACUAAUGGUGACGGUUUUUAAAAUUGGCAUAAUAGCAACUUUAGCCCUCUACAUUUAUAAAUUAUGUCAAUUUAGUCUUAAUUCUAAAAAAAUUAACUCUCAACAUUUGCAAAUUGUGUAAUUUGAUAUCUCUUUCUUUUUUUUAAUUAUGUUUCUCUUUCUGACAUUUAGGGUUAAUUUUAAAAGAAUGAGAAAAGAUGAAAAUUAUUAUCUUAGAUUUUUUUGUGUUUCCAUUUUUUUUUGUAUAUUUUAAAUUAAAUUUAGUUGAUCAAUUUGUUUUUUUUAGUUUUUUAAGUGAAAGGGUCACAAAGAAGAGUAAAAUUGCAAAAAGAAAAAAACUAAAUUACACAAUGUGUAAAUAUUGAUGGUUGGAUUUUUUAGAAUAAAGACUAAAUUGACAUAAUGUAUAAAUGUUAAGGCUUAAAUAGAGGUGUUCAUGGGCCGGGCGGCCCGGCCCGGCCCAACGGCCCGCCCGAAAUAUGGGAGGGUUCGGGUAAAAAUAUAGGCUCGAAAUAUGGGUUUGGGCAAAAAAAUGAGGCCCGUUUAAAAAAUGGACCGGGCCUCAGGCACGACUUUUUUGGCCCGGGCCCGGGACCGGGCCCGGCCAGAAUAUAUAAUAAAAAAUAUAUUUUUAUAUUUUUUAAAUUUUAAAAUAUUCUAAAAAUAUUUUUAAAAUACUUUUUUUAAAUUUUUUAAAAAAAUUGGUGUUUAUUUUUUAAAAAAUGGGCCGGGCCGGGCUCGGGCCUAAGAAUUUUUUUCCUGGCCGGGCUUGGACAAAAUUCUAGGCCCAUAUUUCGGGCCGGGCCUGGGCCUAGUAUGCGGGCUGAAAUUUUUUAUGGGCCCGACUGGGCCCAUGAACACCUCUAGGCUUAAAGUUGCUAUUAUGUCAAUUUUAAAAGUUGCCACCAUUAGCCCACUAGUGACCUAAAAAGAUAAAAUUGAAUAAUUAAGUGACCAAAAAAGAAAUUUACUAAUAAUUAGGUGACCACAUUGUAAUCUUUAAUAGCUGGGUGACUACUAAUGAAUUUACCCAAAAACUUGAAAUAAAAAUUCAAAUUUAUACCAAAAGUGGCUAAUGGGCAAACCAGACACCUUUUGUUGAUGAAGAUGAUGCUGGUAACGAUUUUGAACCGUCAGAUGUAACAAGAUCAAACGACACCGAUACAAUGAAAAAACCUUUUUUUUUCUCUUUAAAAAUUAUUCAAUAAUAAAGUUUCGUAAAAGAAAAAGAAAGUACUAGAAGAAGGAACCUUUCUUUACUCACAAAUAUAAGCGAAAAAACCAAAGGGCCAAAACCUUGUCUUGUUCCAUUGCAGUUUCUCUUACACACUAUCAUCAUUAUUACCGGUUUGCUGUUUUUCUAGGGUUUUUCAAUCUAUACUUCUUCUCACUAAUCAUGAGGUAACCUUAUAAUCUUAAUUCUUUUUACAUGUUUUGAUGUUUUGUUUUCGUUUGGUUUUAUGAUUUUGACAUUGUUUCUGUCAUUGUUAUUAUCUGUUUCAACAUGUUCUUAAAUCUCUUCUUUCAGUAUCUUUGUCUAAUAAUGAUUUUAUUUUCUUUGCUUUUACUUUUCAUAGGGAAAAUAUGAAUGUUUGAACAUUGUCGAUUUUAUUUCAUUAAUUUGGUUCUGUUAUUUAAUUAUUGGUAAAUGAAGGCUGUAAUGGGGUUUUGAUUAGGUUGCCUAUCUGGGAUUUUUUCACAUUGCCAAUUUGCUCUUUUUCUUUUAAUUGUUCUUUUAUUAACCAUGUUUAAAACUUGAUUUUUUUUUUGUAGUCGUCAUCCAGAGGUAAAGUGGGCUGAAAGAGCUGACAAGGUUUACAUUACGGUGCUAUUACCGGAUUCGAAGAAUGCGAAGGUCAAUCUUGAACCCGAGGGAGUGUUUACUCUUUCGGCUAAUGCCGGAGCUGACAAUAACCUUUAUGAAUUGAAGUUGGAUCUUUAUGAUAAGGUCAAUGUGGAGGUAAGAUUCCGACAUCUAGUUAUUUCUGAACGUCGGAUGAAACGUCGUGUCUCGUAUUGUAGGGUUUUCGAGUCUUCAAUGAUGAUGAUUAGUGAAUUGUGUUGUUAGUAUUGUCCUGCUGAUUCGAUGUUUAUAAAUGAUGAUCAUGAUGAUAAUGAUGAGUGUAUGGUACAUAUGAAUGAUUAUCGGUGGACGGUACCAGCAGUAUAAUGCUGCUGAUUUGUUGUUUUAAAAUGAAUUUUGAACAUUUGCAAGUCGGUUCUUUUUGAAGCCUGCUAGAUUUUGUAAUCUCGAGUUUCAGGUGUAUCAGUAUACUAAUGCUAUUUGAUUAUACGAUCGAGCAAUAACUUUUAUUUUACGAACACAACAUGUCUAAAUCUAGCUUUUUCCUGGAUCUCUUCAUAGUGUAUCCUGUUUGCAUACGGUGUUUGCUACUGCAGAAUGCCCUUGAUGUAUGCAUGUCUGAUGAUAAACAUUUUGCCCUCCGGACAUUUGUCGGUUGUUAGUGUGAUAUUGAUUUCUGAGCAAAGUACAUUCCGAAAAUUUUCUUAUUGUAUUUCUAUUGUUCUCUUUUUGGACAAAAGGAAAGCAAAAUUAGUAUAGGAGUCCGGAACAUAGUUUGUGUGUUGGAGAAAGCCGAGAAAGUGUGGUGGAAAAAACUAUUGCGCAGCGAAGGAAAGGCCCCCCAUUAUAUUAAAGUGGAUUGGGACAAAUGGGUCGAUGAAGACGAAGACAAUGGUUAGUGUUUUUAUUAUUGAUGCUUCUCCGAUUCUUUCUUCUUCUUUUUUCUGAAAAUACCCGUUUUCAGUACUUCUGUCUGAUGCAUAUUCGUAUACGGUAUGGGGAUAUGAUCAUUUACUAAUUGCUAAUACUUUUAAAUAGGUCCUGGUGAUAUUGACUUGGGAGGAAUGGACUUCUCGGUACGCAUAUAUCUAAUACUUCAUCUGUAUUUUUCAAAUUUUAUAAUAACUUACAAGUAUUUCCUUUCUAACCGAAUAUCAACGUGUCUUGCAGAGCUUUGGCAAUAUGGGAGGCAUGGAUGGCGGUGGCAUGGAUGAGUUUGAGGACAGCAGUGACGAUGAAGGUAAGAACCCUGCAAGACAUUAGCAUUAUGUUGCCAUUGAAUCGGUUUUGACGUUGGCUAAACAUUCCAUCCUUUGUAGAGCAAGAAGUGACGAAGCCAGCUGAGCAAGACAUGAACAAGGCAGAUGGAAAUGCUAAGCCGGAGGAGCAAGGUGCCGGGACUAUGGAAAAGAAGGAAACCGAUGCAAGCACAUGAUGUGAUUGUUAGCUGCCCGAUAUAACAACAAAUUCUAGUAAAAACCUAUAAUUAUCAAAAGUGUGCUGUUUGUAUGAACUGAUUGAGGGCAUAAUUCAAGGUUCUAUGGUUACAAUUUAGAAAUGAGAUUUUCGAUUUCAUCUUCGUGUUGGGAUUAUUUUAGUACGAUGAUUAUAACCUAAGCAGACUUUCGUGUUUGUGAAUUUUGUUGUGUCAUAAUCGUAUUUUAAGUCUAUUUUAUAUCAAAGGUGUAAGCUUUUUUUUUUUGUGGGUCUCCGAUAAUCAAUUUGUUUUGAUGGUCAAGGUGUUUAUCGCUCUAGGCGCGAUUUGAGUUUGAGUUGUGCUAAUCGUGUUACUAUUAGGACUUUGCUCUCCUCUUAUAACUUAACCCCAAAAAAAAAAAAACAAAUUUUAAUGAAAUAGAGUUCAAACAAGUGAUGAGCAAAACAUUAGUCUGUCUCACUUUAUUGUUAUCCCUAUCCACUUAUUAUUACCAUAAUUUUAUUCGGUUUUUACUCUCACUUUCAUUAACCCUCAAUCGAAGUAAAAAAAAAAAUCCCUGUUCUUGAAACCUAAAGAAAAAAAAAUCUAAUUUGCUUAAAUGUGAAAUACUUUGUUUAUAUAACAAAUUAUGUUUUUAAUAUGUUCAAAGUGUUCUGUUCCUAUGGACUUUAUGGCUUUAAUAUGAUAUAUAUUACCUUACUUUUUAGUAAACUCAAUAUCCACCAUUUUCAUUUCCUUAUUUUUGAUAUAUUUGGAACAAUUUUGUGCUCAUCGUCCUCUUAUUUCCAUUUAUUUAUUAGUUUUUCUCGAUAAAAUGAUAUAUUUAUCAAGAAAAUCAUAAUUAAUCAACUAACAAAUGAUGCAAUGAUAAAUAAUUUAAGUAACUUCAUAUCUCAAGUUCAAGUUCGAGUAACCAUUCUCUUACCUCUUGUCAAAUAAGAAUCAAAACAUAUUUAUCAGCACUAAAAAGCCAACAGAUUAAAACUAUAAUUCUAGUAAACAAAAGCAUUUAACCAUGGAUUUAGGUAUUGCCAUAAAAGGUAGGUUUUCCCUCUCCACUUUCUGGUUCUUCUCUUUUUCUUGAUUUUUUAAUUGGUCUUUUAGCAAAUGAGUUAAGCUAAAUGCUAUCAAGCAAAAACAUGUGCAUAAAUAAAGUCGGUUUUACUAUUACUUUGUCUACUUUAUUUUUUCAAAAAGCAGCAACAACAUUAGUAGUUAUAGGGUUUUAGUGAUAUUUUAAUUGUUUCUUUUAAUCUUGUUCCAUGGAAGGUUCGGCCAUUUGAGGACUAGUUUUGUGCAUCAUAAGCUAGACUACACUAUUAUUAGCAAUUGAUACCGAUAAUGCAUCUCCAGUAGUUUUUUAGUAGUGCUAGUUUAGCCCCAUUCUUGUUGUAUUCAUCUUUUUUGCCACUUCAGCCUCCACCGAAUGCAGUUAAUCUAGUGAUUUUUUCUGUUUGUGCUUAUUCACAUUCUAGUUUGUUAACCCAUGAACUUUUCUAUCGUAUGAUAUUUCCCUUAGUAAAAAAAAUGGAUUUUGGUUGUCAACUAACAUGGUAGAUUUAUUAUGAGUGAUCAAUGAAAGUGCCUGACACCCUUGCAGAUAUAUAUAUGAAAUUGAUAAAUAUAUAUAUAUAGGGUGUACUUGAGAACUAAAUAAACCAAACUGUUCAAUUUGGUUCCUCACGCGACAGACAAAUAACUAAACCACGAAAAGAAUAAUAAAAAAAAAAGCAAACCCAACAUAUGAGUACUCAAAUGUGUCAAAACAACACACCUAACACAAUAUAUUGAUAUAUCAAAUAUGUGAAACACGAUAAUGACACAAAUACAUGGCCAAACUCUGCUAUACCUUUACAAAGUAGAGCUCUUUUUUCUUAUUUCGGGUAAAUUCAAUAAAUUCAUCCCAUUAGCAAGCAGGUAAACAACAGAAGAAAGGCACAGAGACCAUCAUUAACUUGAACCAAUAAAUUUAACAACAAUUCGUCUUUGCAAGCUAUUAACUCAAUAACUAAAAAACACAGUUAAAUGAUAAAAAACCACAAUACACUGAUCCUUAUAUGACUUAUGCAAUGUACCUAACAUUUGGCACUUAAAAGGCAAACACUUUUUGAUAGAACUAAUCCUCCAACUUCAGUCAUUUGGAUGCAACCUGCUUCUUAAAAUAGCCCAUGUUACCCCCUCAAAACAAAGUAGAGCGCUGCAUCAACCCCGACCCCGGCCACUACCUGCCAAAACGAAAACAAACAGCAAUCAAUCCAUCAGUCUUAAUUUAUCAAAUGUUAAGCCAGUCAUAAUGGAUUAUUCAAUCAUCUGCAGAGCUACAAAACCAGGUUUCGGGGCUUUCAGCAAGUUUACCUCUGCCUCCAGUGUUUUUUCCACCUGAACCACCCCUCCCUCGGCCUCCACUUGUAGUCCUAGCACCAUCAUCUAGCCCACGCCCAGCUCCUUUUGGUUGCCUUCCACCAGGACCAUCUUCUCGACCCCUGCCUCUCCCACGGCCUACACCAGGAGGCUUCCUAUCUGAAAAGGUAAGCAAAAUAAUAAAAAAGCCAGGUUAAAAAAGUACCCAUGUCAGACGCAUACCAAUAUCCAGCAGUCACACGAGUUCAAAUAACAUAGGUAUAUAAUACGGUUGCCACACAAAAUACUCUGUACCCCAAAAAAUUGAAUACCAAGAUAAUUAUCCAUCCCAUCCAGUAGUUAGCAAGAGAAUUAUAAAUCAUACCUGCACGACUCUUUGUUUCUUCCUGAACUUUAUCAAUUACCUGAAAUUCAAAUGGGAAAGUUACUAAUAUUAAUGGAAUGGCUAAAGGAUACUAAAAUGGUUAGAGGACAGCACAAGAAAACUAUAACAAAAACAAGCAGCAAUUUACAUGAAACCUUUAAAACCCAAAGCUGAUCAAGUAACAAGAACUAAAUUUUGCAUUUUACAGAUCCAAGUUUAUCAACUUGUUGUAUAGUAAAUCAAAUUACCGACUUAGCUUCAGAUAAAUGAAUACUACUUUUAACACCACAGAAGACAAAGAAAGCUUAUUCAACAAUGAAAUAGAUAAAAUUCCACUCUAUCCUUUCAUGGAAGCAACUAAAAAUCAAGCAUUUACAAAAUUCUAACAUAAACGAAGCUAAAAACACAUGAUAAAUAAUCUCUAUGAUGCAAAGUUAGUAAUAAAACAACAGCAUAUACAUGGAAUAAAAGAUACCUCAUCAGGAACUCGAAGAUACUUAAUUGUAUUUCCACGGAUAUAGCAUUCAGGCAUUCUCCAAAACCUGUCUCCAUCCUACAUUAUAUUUUCUCAAUCAAACCCUGACCAUAAUUUAUAAAAAAAUGUUUUAAAAAACAACACCCCUACUUUUAUCAUAAGAAGAAAUAAAUAAAACAAGAAACAUAGAAUGAAUGAAUUCAUUUUUGCACCUUUGAAGUACAGAUAACUUCACGAAGAUGGAUGUUCAUCCAAGUGUCGCAAUUGACCAAAUGUCCAUUAUAUGUCUCCCCAUUUUUCAGUUCCACCAACUAUUAGCAAAUAGAAAUAAGAAACACAGACACAAAAACACACAAUUGUUUUAAAAAUCAAUUACUGAAGAGAACUUUUUGUACCAUAUGUAGAGGCAUACGAGGAAAUGUAAAUGUUCUUACCAUAGGAUGACCCUGUGCCGUUUUUAGUAGAGAAAGAGGAAGCUGCCAAAGAUUUGCAUAAUAGAUAAGACAGGUGAGUCGAGCAAAGACAACAAAGUAUUCAAAAACACCUUAAGAAAUCAAAAUUAACCCAAAAAUCAUCUGAUAGCGUCUCAAAAGUUGCUUCUUCUUUUUUUGUCUCUUUUUCCUUUUCUUUGAAUAAAAACAUUACGAAACCAAAGUUAAACCAAAAACCCUUUGAAUGCAUAAGAAAGUUGUUUUUUAGAAUUUCCCAGGCUUUCUAAGCAACCAAACAGACAAACAAGGUAAUUUAAAAGACUAACCUAGUAUCCUUUUCUUUCUCUUUGAAUGAAAACACAUUAAAAAAGCAAAAUUAACCGAAAAACCCUUUGAUAGCAUAUGAAAAGUUUAAUUUUUUUUUUCCGAUUGCCUAAUUUUCCAGGGUUUUCUAAGCAACCAAACAGACAAAGAAGGUAAGUUAAAAGAGAUUAACAUACCAUCUUUUUCCUUCUCUUUGAAUGAAGAAUAACCCUAGCGAAGAACAAAAAAAACCUGCAGGACAAAAAAAAAAGGAAAAACAGGCAAAGGAAUCAAGAACAAUGUCAAAGAGAGUAUGAUAAAGAAAACAAAGUAUUUAUAAAACCUUGGAAUUGAAAUCUUAUUAACUGUACAGCAAUUACGCUUUACGCCUAAACCCUAGCACGAUCGGAGAAUAAUAUAACGGGGUUUUUAUAAAUAAAUAAAUAAAAAGAAAAAAAAAAGAAGCUUUUUGUUGGUAGCAAAAAAUGAGGGAAGAGAGAGAGCGAUAAUCAAUCGGCUUAAAAACCCUAAAUUAAAAAUGAAAAAGAAAUCGAAAAUACCAACAAGAGAAGAAACAGGAUCUCACUUCGGGUUUUUUCUGUUCUUAUUUUUGUCCGAAUUCGAUUUCUCUCUCAAGUGUUAUUUAAUAUUAUUUUUACUUAAUUAAAUAUUAAUUUUUUAUAUGGGAGUGAAUUAUACUUUUAUUAAUAGCUAAAGUGGAUAAAAUUUUAUUAUAUUAAAAAAAAUUUUAAAAAUAAAUUUAGAGUUAAUAAAAUUAAAUUAUUCGAAUUAUUUGAGUCAACUUGAAUAACUCAAUUCGAGUUUGAGUCGAGUUAAAUUUUACAAUUCAAAUAACAGAUUGGUGUAAAUAUUUUGAUUCUCUCAACUUUGAAAAUGAACAAAUUAGUCUCUCUCCCAACAAAAAUUACAAAAUAAUUAAAAAAUUUUAAAAAAUUUCAAAAUAUUUAUAAAAAUUUCAAAUUUUAUAUAUUUUUAACAAAUUCUAAAAAAACAUAUAAAGGAAGUUGAAAUAUUAAAAAUUUUCUAAAAUAAUAAUUUUGAAGAACUAAAUAAGUUAAUUAAUUAUUCAAGUUUAUCAUAUUAAAGUAUCUAAGUUUUUAAACAUAUUUGGUUUCAAAUUUAUGUGCUCUACCAUGAAAUUAGGUAUACUGUAACAAUAUUUUAAUUUGACAUGUUUAGUUUUUUAAUUUAAUUCGAAUAAUUUCACUCAAUUUUACUCAAUUUCAUUUCAUUCGAGUUAGAUUCGUAGAAAUUUCAAAUCAAGUUAGAAUAAUAAAAUAGGACUUGUGAACUCGAUUAACUCGAAAAUUUUUUACUUGAUUCGAUCGAACACUCACCACUAUUUACUGGUAUAGAAAAUAUAGUUAAAUAUAAUAUAUUUAAACAAAAUAUAAUUUUAAAAUUAAAAGUACAAUAGAAAUUUUUGUAUUAUGAGUCGUAUUGCAUUCUAUUUAUUCUAUUAAAAAAUAAGUAAAUCAAUCUAUAUACUUAUUUUUUUUGUCAAAAAUUUCAUUCAUUUUAAGUUAAUCCCGCUAAUUUUUAAUGGAUAAUUUUAAUAAAAAAUUAAUUUACUUUUAUUUAAAUAAUAAUAAUUUAUUUUUUUUAAAAAAACAAAAUAUAAUAUUACUCUUGUAAUAAGGCUUUAAUGAUUCUUUUUUUUUUACUUUGUGGUGGUGGUGUAGAUAAAAGAUGUUACUGAGAGCGAGGGGUGUUGGUGGGUAGAUUAUGAGGAAAGUGUUGGGUUUUGGGGAUGAGAGGUUUACUCGCAAUAAUUUCCUCCAUAAGAUUCUUCUCGCUUCUAACAUGCUUAAAUACAAGAACUAAGCAGCAGUUAAGUCCCACUCAUUCGCCAUAAUUUCCCUUAAUUAACUCCAUGGUUGCCUUCUUAACGAAAUUCAUAAUAAUAUUUUGGAUUUUGGGGUUGGUUGGGUAAGUUUAUUUGGUUUGGUGCAUUUGGAAGAAUAGAAAUUUAUUCGUCUUUCAAGGAUUUACAAGAAAUGCCGUUGAGAUUGUUGAAGUUUUUAUUCCAUUCAGAGGUAUCCUUUAUUAGAUAAUUAGGUUCACCUGCAUACUGAUGCUGCAGUUAAUUUGACUACAAGUUUAACGUCUGCAAGGAGAGUGGUGCAGUAUCAUAUAGGUGAUUGGAUUUCAGGUUUCAAUCAUUUUUUGGAGGAAUGCUUGUCUUUGAUGUUGAGUUAUGAUGUAUUUUAGAUUGACCGACUCUUUUACGAAAGUGGGGUGUGGACAAGAUUUUGAUUCAGACUAAUAAUUCUGCGGUAAUCCAAGCAAUCCAAGGGAGGAAAUUUAGAAAAUUCGAGUUUAACUCUGGCUAGACGUGUUCAGCAACUGAUACAGAAUAAAGAAUAUUAGGUGGCAUAACAUGUCCCUAGAGGUUAAUUGUGUUGCCGAUCAGAUUGCCAAAAUAACUGCUGCUAAUGUGUGGGGAGUAAAUGGGUUGACAACUACUUUUGAAAGUUUAAUUGAAGCCAUUAAUAAUGAUAAGGGUAGUGGUACUUUUGAAAUUGUAAAUCUGGAUUAACUAUUUUUCACCAAAAAGAAUCAAUAUUUUAGAUUCAGACAAUUUUUUGUAAAUUAAUUAAAAAUAUAUGGUUAGAUUUUUUCUUAUUUUGUAUUUAGCAUUAAUUUUGACAUUUUCCAAACAGUUUAUAGUACAUGCACACUAUUAUUAUCAUAAAAAUCAAAAUUGAGAUAUGUUAUAUUACAUAUUUCUAAAAAUUUAUAUGUGAUUUUACGAAUUGAGUUGGUGUUGAAGGUUGAUACCAACUCUAUCCUUCUAUUUACUACAAUUAACAUUUGGCCCCUUUAGAGGAUAGUUUUUUUCUGGUUGUAUUUUAUAAAUCGACCAUUAUCCAACUUCAGUUUUUUCAUUGUUUAACCAUUUAUAUAAAGAUUAGAAUUCUAAGAAUAGAGAGUUAAGAGAAGUUAAAAUUUACAUACACAACGAUAUCAAGGGAAUGUGACUAUAUUAACCUUCGAACACCCAUUAUCUAAAUCCUCUUUACUUCUAUAAUUUGCAAUUCAGAUUAGCUAUACUAUAUAGUGGGCAUUCAUAUUCGAACCCUCCAGACAUACAACAAAAUAUAAAGAAAAAAACUUGAAAAUAAGAAAAUUGAACAUACCCAUGCUAAGCACAUUUCCUUAAUAUAGGGGCUUAAGCAUUAAACAAUGAUUUUACCACACCUUGGAUGUAACAAAUCUUCAUAAGUGAAAUAAGUUAAAAAUUAGAGAAAUUUGCAACCUGGGAAACUCAUAGAAACCUAAAGUCAGGCUACAACUUUUUAAUGGAAAUGGUCCAAAGAAGAUCAGUAUCUGAUUGCACUGUGACUUUCUCUCCUACGACUAUAUUCGACGAGCUUAUUAAACCACCAAACCUCAUCUCCGUGUUAUCUGGAACAAGAAAAAUAAGAUAAACUCAUUACGGUAAUGUCAAAAAAGCUGGCUCCUGAUGGAAGUAUGAGAACAGCGUACAAUUGAAGAUCAUUGUUACCAUAAUUUUGCAGCCAAGCUAAGUAGAAAGGAAUAAUCCGGUAUGCUAUCAUCUAGAUGUGAAUACCACAAAAUAGACUUAAGACAGCAUACUAAGGUUUACAUUUACUAUAAUAGAAAGGCAAUUCAAAGGAGUCACUAGUCACGCUAGCUCAGUAGUUCCAAAUAUUUCUAUCUGAGUAGCGUGGUAGGAAAGAAGCUAUUUUAAGUGACAUUUAAUAUCUCCAAAUAUAUAUAUCUCCUUGGUCCUUUGGAUCAUAAUGAAAUGACACAAAGAGGUAACAGAUUCUAAACAUGUAAAAGAUUUACCAAUGUUUAUUGGUGAAUGUAAGGGAUACAUUGUAAAGCACAUAACAUAAAAUUAGCUUCUUUCUCUACAUUGACAUAAUAAGGCAUGUAAAACUUAUGACAUGAGUAAAGCAUGAAAUUGUGUCCACUUCAGUUCAAUAGCCUAGUAAAUGGAAAGCAAACACUAAAGUAAAGUACUCAUAUACUUACUCAGAUUCCACUGGAGCCCAGUUGUUGUACUACUCCUCGAUGGCACCCCGAUUGGGAUGAGUCCACAGUGUGGGCCCUCAACAGAUGUUUGAAUAUGAAUCUCGUGAUGAUGAGUCCUAGGAAGAAGAUAGAUGAGACUAUCAUCCGACAAAAGGACUAUCCGCAAGGAGGAGAAACAAUAUAGAACGUUUAGGUUUCCCAUCUCGUGGUCAUAUCGUCCACCAAGUGCUCCGGCAACAAGAAUGCAAAGCUGCCAUUAAAUCCAGAAAAAUAAAAGAUAAACUAUCAAUCAAAGCACAUAGACUAUAGAUAAAAAUGUAUAGCAGAUGGUAAGAUCAUGUCCUAACUAUAACAAAUACCAGCUCCGAAAACUAAUAUUUUGGUACUAAUGAUAAUAAAGGUAAAAUGAAAGUAAAAUGAAGGUUCACAAACAGUGACACUUCAAAAAAGAAAAAAUACUAGAGCAAUUAAGUUUAACAUACACUAGACUUAUUCGCAUCGGGAGCGAAGUCCCAGAUGUAUGUUAUACAUUUAUGUAGGUCCGUGGUGUCUUGAUCAUGGGAUUUAUCAAUAAUCUUCGUUCCCUGCACCAAAGAAGCAAGCGAAAAAUGUCGAGUGGUCGGAAUAUAUAAACUAGAGAGAUGUAAUGCAUUAACCGCAAGUUAAAACAUGAGAUUGGUGAAGAAUAAGUGAAAGCAAGCUAGAGAGUCCUAAAGGAAAACAAGAUCAACAUGAUGAGCUAAAUGGUUCUACAAAAGGAAAUUUGAAAACUUACAAGGCUCCUAUAAAAAUCAAGUACUUCCUUUCGUAUUGAAUCCAUAUCACCGUUAAUUACAUCCGGUUUGUAUCUGCAAUGAAACAAAGCACCAUGUUUAUAAAUCAUUUUAAAAUAACAACUAAAGCAUUAGCAUCAGUUAACAUCAAUUUAAGGUCCCAUUCAGCAUUGCAGUGGGCAUAACUUUUAAGGUCAGCAUUUUCUUAACUUUUAUUAUUAUUAUUAAUUAUUUUUUAAUAUUUUGUACUUUUUCACGUCAAUUUCAAUUCUUCAAACACAUAUCUUUUCAGCAUAAAUAUUUCAACGCAAGCUUUUGUUAAGCAUUGCCUGGAUCAAAUCAUGAUGAAACUAAAAAGAACAUACCGUUUAACUUAUAUAAGAGUUCAAAUCAAAAGAUGCCGACAGAGGCACGUAAAUCAAUUUCAACAGAGCCAUUAUAAGACAAACGCAGAAGCGGUAAAUAAAGACAAAAAAAAAACCUGCGUCGAACAUCGGAAGCAUCUUCCUCAGGGAACAACAGAGGCAUUUCAUCGAACACACGGUUGGCGCCACCAUCAGCACAGAGACGAAGCUGAGCUGCACUAAACAAAAAAGUAAAGGAAAAAAUUAAAUCGUCAAACAGAAACAAAAAAAAAAGAGAGAGAAGAGGACGCAGGAUAAGUACCGUGUUUCCAAAGCAAAGGGGCGAAUCUGGGGAGGGUUUGGUUAAGAACAACAAGGGCGUACGUUAGAGAAGGGCGGUGGUGUAGGGGAAUCGUAGGGAGCAGAAAAGUAGAAGAAUGAUGCAUUAGGUCCAUUGCCUAACGUGCGCGGCGCCGUGAGAGAAGCGGUGACAGAGAAGAGAAGAGGAUGGGAAGACGGUGUUUGAAUUGUAUCAUAAUUAGCGAGAUCAAAUGGAGAUUUUGAAAAAUAAAUAAAUAAAUGAAAAAAAAAUAGAGACUCUCUCUCAAAUAAUUGACUUUUUCUUCGCUCUUUGCCUGUUUUUUUAUUUGUUUAAUUUAUAUAUCAAACGAGGGCUUCAGUCAAAGAAGGCAACGCGACCCCACAAUCUGAUUGCGUCAAUAAAAUAAUUUUAUGAAUAAUAAUAUUAAAUUAUUUAAAUAUUAUUUAUUAAAAUUAAGUUUUUAAAAUAUUUGAUGUAUAGACAAUUUUAUAAAUUUUAUACUUUAUGUGUUGUUAUAUUAAACUAUUUAAACAUCAUAUAACUUAAAUAAUUUUAAUUUUCUAUAAUUAUGUCCAAAAAUAAUAUUUUAACCUUAAAUUAAGAUUUUUAUAAUAGACUAUACUUCACAAACCACAUUUUUUUGAACACUAGUAAUUUUUCUAAACGUUGUAAAAAAAUAGAUCCUUAACAAUCAGGGUAACAAACUAUAAAGUAGUAUGAAGAUAGAGUAAUUGUAACAUCUCUUGUUCGGGUUAAAUCGAUAACUCGAGGAACGAAUGUCACAUUAGGCACUAAGUCACUUAAAUAUCAAAUAUAUCUUUUUUAUACUUAAUUUUAUUUUUAUAAAGUUCAAUUUAGACUUCUCAAAUCAUUUCUAAACAUUUACUAACAUAUUUAGUCCUCAAAAUGUAUUAAAUUAACAUCCAAAAUAUUAUAUUUUCAUUCUUAUUACCAAAUACCAUGUAAUUUCCCAAGAUUGUCAUUUAAACAUAGCAUAAACACCUUACGUGCAUUGUCAUUCUAUGUCCAAAAUCGUAUACCAAAACAGCUUUGAAACUUUGAGGGUUGAUAUGAUCCUUGUGAAGAAGUACUUCUCGUAUUUUUAAUCUACUUUCUUUCACCUACGUGUUUAAAUAAACGCGUUAAGUUAUAUGAAUAGCCUAGAAAGUAGUCAACUGAAUUCAAUCUUACCAUAUAUAUAUAAUUUAAUUAAUUUUUAAUAACAUUUGUCGAAACCCCUUUUUAAAAACAAAAAUUUUUAGUUUCGACUUAAAAAUAAAAAUUGGAGUCUCCACCAACCCUUUAUUGAUGUGUGAUUGGAUCACCUGAAAGCAAUUCUGGUCUACGAGUUUUAGAGAAAAUAAACGAAUUCGGGAGUCAGUUACGUACGAGGAAGGAUUAGCACCCUUGUAACGCCCAAAAUUGGUACCAAAUUAAUUAUUUAAUGUCUUAAGGUCGAAUGAAUAAUUUGCUUUCGUUUUAAAAACUUGUCUCGAGAUAAUAAAAUGUCACAUCCAGUGAGUUAGGACACAACCCUUUGAGUUCUCGGGAGUAAAUUUAAAUCCUGAAAUGCUUACAAAUUUAUUAAAAAAGAUGUUCGGCUGUUUAAAUUCAACAAAAAAACUGAAGCCCAGUAAGUUAAGGCACAAUCUCCUCAAGAAUUUCAAACGCCGAAUAUUUUGAAAACUCAUGUAUAAAAUAAUUUUAGUAGUUUAAAUAAAUCAAUAAUAUAUUUAAAGAAUAAAAGUAUUUUAAUGCAAAUUGCUCACGUAUAUAUAAAACAAUAUUAUAUAAAAAUUACUUUCAUAUAAAUCUUUGAACAUAAAUAUAUAUAUAAAAUAGAUUUUUAAAGAAACAUAUUCUGCAAAAGAAAAAGCACCAAAAAUAUAUGCAUUAUACUAGAUUUUUUAAAAAAAGAAAUAAAAUAAUACAUUAGAAGAUAAAAUAAUAAUAUAUGACAGAAAUAUAAAUAGAAUAAAAUUAUGCAUGCAAAAAAAAAGGUUAGAUAAAUUGUUAUAAAAAUAUAAUAACAAUAGUAAUAAUAAAGAUAAGAACGAUAAUAAUACAGCUAAUAUUUCAAAGCUUUAGAUAUAUAUAUAUAUAUAAAGUAAUAUAAACAAGUACAGUACAAUAAUAAAUGUAUUAAUAAUAUUUAAAUCAAUAAAUAAACAAGAUGACAUAAGGGGAAGAAAAAAAACCGCACCAUGGGCAUAUAUAUAAAAAAAAUGUUUUAAAGUUUAUUUCUUAAUGCAAUGAUUGAAGGAAUAAUAAUAAAUAAAAAUGUGUAUAGGUGAACAGAUAGGAUAAUAGAUAAAUAAAAACCUUGGAUUAAAAUGUAAUUUAAAUAAUACAUUGGGGGCCAAUCUAGGAAGAAAAUAAAUGAUAGGGUCGAUUGGGGGAUUAAAACAAAUCACGCGCACAAGUGCGAGGACUGAAAAGAAAAUUAUUCCCAUCGCCCAUGAGCACCGUUUCGCACAAGGAUCUGAUUGAAUACCAAGCGAAAUUAUGGGGCCAAAUUUAAAAAAUUUAAAAAAAUGGGAGGGAGUAAAUUAAAAAAAAAACGAAUAAACGCGGGAGGGCCAAGGUACCGCCGUCUGCGGUGGCCGAAAAACGAAAGUCAUCAUUUUUCUGAUUUUUCCGUCCCCGAGCCCAUGGAACGCCGAUUUUUAUCGGAAUCGGCACCUCUCUUACGGAAAAGGUAUUAUAUUUACCCUUUAUUUUUUGUUUUCUUUCGAAAAUAAUAAAAAAGUAAAUAAACAAAAAGUAAAUAAAUAAACUGAAAAACUACCUUUGAAAAAGGUUUGUACUUGAAUCGAUUUUGCUCUAUUUUCUUUUCAUUCAUUCGUCCGUAUCCAAAAUAUACAAAGAUUCGGGUCUUUAUAUAGCCGAAAAAAAACUAUUAUCCUAUUUUUUUGUUAUUAUCUCCUACUAUUUUCUCUCUAUAGGACUCCUUUUUUGUUAUUAUCUCCUACUAUUUUCUCUCUAUGGGACUCCCUUUUUGUUAUCUGGGCUAUGUAAAUGGUUUUUUAGCCAGGCCAAAAUUGGCCUAUUACAACAUUUAUUCACACAGUUUCUUUUACUAAUAUACUUAAAACUUUUAAUUAAUUUCCAAAACAUAAAAUCAUUUAAAUAAGCUUUAUAACUUAUAAUUUUUAAUUUAACAUAUAUUAUCACUAAUUAACUUUUACAUUUACAUAUCAAAAUCUUUCUUUCGUUUCACAAAUAUAACAUAAACACUUAAUUCACAUAUGUUAUUUAACACUUAAUUUACAUGUUCACUUUUAUCUCUUUUUUCACAUAUUAUUAGACAUACACACGCACUUUUACUUUCACACUUCACUUUUGCAGUCUUUAGUGAGUCUCAGAGAAGUUUCAAUCAAUCAGAACAUAUGAUAUUUCAGAUCAUGCAAUAUUUCAAUAAAUUCCAAAGCUCCAUGCCAAAACAAAACUCUUGGCCUUUAAGAGAACUCUAGAAAACAUAGGAAACUCCAUUAAACAUAUAACAUAACUCAUUUAUCCUCUCCUAAUCUCCUUUAAACCUCAACAACACUAGCCUAGUUCCCAUUCGAACCCCUUGAUCUAUCGUAAUUUGAUACGUCAAAACAAGCUCUCUAAAACACUCGAUGAGCUUAUUCUCAAGCAAUUUACGAGUUUUUUUUUCUAUACUUUUGUUGGUUUUUAGUAUUUAGUAUUAAUAAUCGUUUUUGCUUAGCUUUACUCCGUUUGAAACCCAAGUUGGCAAAAUGGUGUCAUUGGAAGCCUAAUGGUGCGUUUGAGUUGGUGUAGGGAAAAGAUGAUGGCCAAACCUUGAGGAGAACUACAAUGGAUAUGGGUGUCGCAACAUUGAGCCUUCACUACUUCGCAGGUGCAAGACUUCAUCAUGGAGCAAACUAUCGAGGGUUACAUGCAUUUUCCUUGUGGAUCACCUUAUUACCUAAACACUCAUGGGUUCAAUCCUUGAAAUACUCAGAGUGUUCCAUUGUGACACUUAUAAAUAUUACAACUGACCUAUCACACUUGCAGCACACCGCUAUAUUCUAAUUGUAUUUGUUUUGAUUCAUAAUCUCGGCACACGCACGCCGAGGUGCGGUCACCCAUAGCCCCUUUUAACCCCAAAAUCAUUUCAUAUCACAUAUUAUAUAUCCUUUAAGCUCAUUAAGUCAUUUAUUCACACAACACUUUAUUCAUUCAUUUUAAAUUACAUAAGCAUAUACAUAAUAUUUUCAUUUCACACAUUCACAUAUUCACUUUUGUAUAACAUACUUGACAUAUCACAUAUAUCACUUUGUUUGUGUCACCUUACUUAUUCACUUUGAAUUAUAUAACCACAUGCACUACAUCCUCACUUUAUACAUUAAUUCACUUUCAUAUAACACUUUGCUUUCAUAAAACACUUCACUUAAAUAUUUAUUUCACUCUUUUAGCACACUUGGUAAUUUUUUAACAUUUUACAAUUUAAUCCCUAAAUUCAUGAAAAUCCAAUAUUUACUUUUAUAACACUUAGUAUCACUUUUCACUCCAUUUAAACCUUUAAUCACAAUAUUUGUUUCACAUAUCAAAAUUCACACUUUUUUACAACUUAGUCAUCUCUAUAGUAAUUUCACUAUUCUACAUCUAUCUAUUCACUUAUAAAAAAUGACAAAUAAAUAACUUUUCACUUUUUAUAAUUUAAUCCUUAGUUUCAUAAAAUUCACUAAUCACUAAAUUAUCACUUUAUCAUUUCUUACAUUACUAACAUUACCUUUAAUUACAUAUUCACUACUAAAUUCAAUAAUCUUAAUCAUGUCUAAUUUAAUUAUUUCAUAUUAAAAUUUAAAUACUCAAAUAACCAAAUUAAAAUAAACUGACUUUAAUUCAUUUAAGUACUUACCUUUUUCUUCACUUGAAAUUAAUCAUUCCCUUCGCUUUCAUCUUCAUCUAAGUUGUUUCCAUGAUUGAAAUAUUUUCAUAUCACUCUAGGAUAUGAAAUUAAGUUUGGUUUUAAGGAAAAAAACUCAAGAAAAAUGCAUGGGAGUUUUCCUUUUCUUUCUUUCCCCCUUUUGUUUCUUUCCCUUCUGUUUUUGCUGCCCCAAGCGAUUGCCGUUUAGCCUCCCAAUUGUGUAGAAAAUUUUACAAUUUUCCCUUUUCUUUUUCAAUUUAGUCCAUUUAUUCCAUCAUCGAAUCAAAUUUCAACAAUUUUCAACCUCAAUUUCCAUAAAUUUCCACAAACUUUCCACCUCAUCAACUAUGAGAUUUUAAUGUCAUCAUUAUGGCUCUAAAUAUCAAUUAAAAUUGGAAAACAACAUUUAGGUCUCUCCUCUAUGAAAUGGGAAAAUUCCAUUUUAGUACCCAUUCUUUUCCAUUUUAUUCAAUUUGAUCCCUAUCUCAAUUUUCCAACUCCACACUUCAAUACAUAUCCAUAUCACAUUCAUAAAAAUAUUUAUUUGAUUUCACCUCCUUUUCAGAAAUGCUCAAUUUGCACUUGUAGUCCUUCAACUUUUUAAAAAAAUGCAAUUUAGUCCUUAAUAAAUUCCAUUAUUCAUACUUUCUCUCCAAAUACUUAAUUCACCUUUAAAAUACUUAUUCAUUUCAAAGGCUAAAGUUUUGGGGGGAAUUACAAUAAUUUGGUCUAAAAUUUCAAAAUUCGCAUAGAAUCUUAAAUAACCUCUUUUUUGUUCAACAAGAAUCUUAAAUAACUUAAGAAAAGGUUGUGAUAAGAUUAUAUCCUAUAUUACGACAUAUGUUCAAGAAUGUGAGAUUAUAAGAUGACUGACACUAUAAUUUCAUUUAAAAAUAUAACAUUGCAAGUCGUAAUAUAAGAUUCAAUGAAAACAUUAUAUUAUUAUAUAAUUAAUUAUUUUCAUCGUAUCGUGUAACGUGAUGUAAAUUAAACCAUUUUCAAUAAAUUUUUUGAAGGUGUUGUUUGUAAAAUGUAAUAUAAUAAUUAAAAUAUGAUUUUCUUUCCAAUUAUUGAUAUAUCAUGAAUUAAAAUUAAAGCGAUAAUAGUAAAUAAAAGAAAAAGAAAUUAUGGCAGCAAUCAUAUCGACUUUUCUCAUACAUCGAGGAGUAAAUAAUCCCAAUAUAAUAAUAUUUCCAGAAAAUAAAAACUAACAUUAUUUGAAUAAAAAAUUGGAGAACAUGCAAGAAUUCCAGAUUUUGAGCAAAUAAUUAAUUUUUUUAAUUUUUUAAUUUUAUUUUAAAAAAUAAAAGCGGCAAUACAAAUAGACAUCAUGUCAGUGCUAACAUGCAAAAUAAUAAUAACACCAUGUGUCAUGUUGUUAACUUGUUAUUUGCUAAAUAUACCAACCCAUUGGUUUUUUUUUUUUUUGGGUUAAUAUAAUUUUUUUUCAUUAGUUUAACUAUUUUUUUUAUUUACUUUAACUUUUAUAUCUGAUACUUAGGUCCGUAAAAAUAUCAUAAAAUUUCCUGUACUAUAUUCUAGAUAUAUUUUAAUCAUUUAUUGAAAAAUAAAUAAAGUAAAAUCGUCAUUCUGUUAAAAUUGCACCGUUAGAUAUUUAUUUUGGUGUUUAUAUAUAAGGUAUAAUAAUAAAUUUAGCUCUCAAUAUUUUUACAUUUAUUCAAUUUGACUCUUACUCUUUUAUUAGAAGUAAAUUAUAAUUUUUUAAAACUAAUGAGGCUAAAAGGUAAAAAAAUAGUUUGUAUUAAAAAUAACAAUACCAACCCAUUAAAUUUUAAUGGUUAUGAGAUUUAAAAGAAAAUUGACCCGUACUCUUUUAUUAGGUUGAAAUUGUAAUUUUUAACUAUUUUAAUGUGUUCAAAAUGUAAAUAAUUCAAUAUAAUGAAAAACUGUAAUUUUGACCCCUUUUAAAAAAAUGUAAGAAAAUUUUUCAACUUUUCUUCUCUUAAAAUUUUUUAAUUUUAUAUCAACCAUAUCACAUAAUUCUUGACCGCUCUCCAUUACGUUUUUUCAACUUUCAUUUUUUUUAUAUUAAAAAAUAAUCAUCUAUGUUAAAAUGCUAAAUAUAUAACCAAUAAGAUGGUAAAAUAUUGGAUGUGGAUGGAAUAUUAUAAAAUAAUAAAGAAAUUUUUAUAAGGUAUCGGUAAAUGAAAAAUUGAUAGUGAUGUAAAAGGGAAUGAUUCACUUAAACAAACAGAGAACUAAAAGAUACAAAUAAUUGAAGAAGAGGAAGACAAGGGACUUAAAGUUAUUAAAAGAGUGAGAGAUUUGACAAUUGUUCACUGUAUAACGUCACAUCAUCGACAAUUAUGGAAUAUGGUGAAUGUGUGAUCGGUCAAGUGACAAGACCAUUAUAUGUGUUAUCAUACUUAGAGAUGAUGGUAUUCUCGCUAUAAGUGGAUGGUCUAAUUGCAGGUGAUUUAUUUGAGUAAUGACUAGUUAGGACGUGAAAGGAAAAUGAUUGGAGAUGUUGUUUAGAUAGCUUAUCGUGAUACCAUGUGUUGAAAUUAAAUUGAAGUAUAAUAAGAAUAAAAGGGUAAUCAAUUGGUGAUUAUUCAAAGAAAAAGUGAAAACCAUAAUAGAGGAAGUGGGUGAUAUUAAGCUUAGCUUAUUGGGUAUGUUUAGGUGUCGGUCGACUUUAUAAAUUUAAUUUAUGAUUCUCUACUAGCUUAAGCACAUAUAUUUGAAACAGAAGUGAAAGUAUAUGAAAUCCAACUAAAGAAAUCUGGAAAAGACAAAAGCAACCCUCCCCUCCCCGACACAUCGCAUCGGUUCUCCACAGCUGUCUUCAACUCUCCCGGUCGGAAAUUAAAUCACUCCCACACUUAACGACGCCAUUUUCAUCAGAGAAAUCUAAAUAUCUCCCCCCCCCCCCCAAAUUCCUAGGGUUCUCUCUCAAAUCCUUUCUUUCCAAUUCCGUAUUGUUAGGGAUUUGAAGCUAGUCCGGAUCGGGUAACGAACUGGAAGAUGAUAGACAAUUGCUUGGGAGCUCAAAGAUCUAGAAAGAUCCAGAGAGCUCUCCGUCAUUGCAAGGUCACCAUCCUCUGCCUCGUCCUCACCCUCGUCGUCCUACGUGGCACUAUCGGAGCCGGUAAAUUCGGGACUCCGGGACAGGACCUCGCCGAGAUCCGCGACCACCUCUAUUACCGGAAACAAGGCGAACCGCAUCGCGUCCUCAAAGAAGUCCAAACGACGUCGUCAGAUAACCACGACGGCGCCGACACCAACGCCGGCACCAAUAACUACAACGAGUUCGACAUCAAUAAGAUCUUAAUCGACGAGGAACCAGACGUCCCGAAACGCGAUCCCAACGCGCCCUAUUCGCUCGGGCCCGGAAUCUCCGAUUGGGACGAGCAACGCUCUAGAUGGCUGCAAGAAAACCCUAAUUACCCAAAUUUCAUCGGUCCAAACAAACCGAGGGUUCUCUUAGUCACUGGUUCAUCUCCCAAACCUUGUGAGAACCCUGUCGGUGAUCAUUACUUAUUGAAAUCGAUCAAGAACAAGAUCGAUUAUUGUAGAUUACACGGGAUCGAGAUAUUUUACAACAUGGCGCUGUUGGAUGCUGAAAUGGCAGGGUUUUGGGCGAAAUUGCCGUUGAUUCGAAAGCUUUUGCUCUCGCAUCCGGAGGUGGAAUUCUUGUGGUGGAUGGAUAGUGACGCCAUGUUUACUGACAUGGCAUUUGAGGUUCCUUGGGAAAGGUAUAAAGACUCCAACUUUGUUAUGCACGGUUGGAAUGAAAUGGUUUACGAUCAGAAGAAUUGGAUUGGGCUAAACACUGGGAGUUUUUUGUUGAGGAAUGGGCAAUGGGCACUUGACAUUCUUGAUGCUUGGGCUCCAAUGGGUCCUAAAGGCAAGAUUAGGGAAGAAGCAGGGAAGGUUUUGACCCGGGAGCUUAAGAAUAGACCCGUUUUCGAAGCCGAUGAUCAGUCUGCAAUGGUGUAUUUGUUGGCUACUCAAAGGGAGAAGUGGGGUGAUAAGGUUUACUUAGAGAAUUCUUAUUAUUUGCACGGUUAUUGGGGGAUCUUGGUUGAUAGAUAUGAGGAAAUGAUUGAGAAUUAUCACCCAGGUUUAGGGGAUCAUCGUUGGCCGUUGGUGACCCACUUUGUGGGGUGCAAACCUUGUGGUAAGUUUGGGGAUUACUCGGUGGAGAGGUGCUUGAAGCAAAUGGAUAGAGCAUUCAAUUUUGGGGAUAAUCAGAUUCUUCAGAUUUAUGGGUUCACUCACAAGUCAUUGGCCAGUAGAAGGGUUAAGAGAGUUCGAAAUGAGACCAGUAAUCCGCUUGAGGUGAAAGAUGAGCUUGGACUGCUUCAUCCGGCUUUUAAAGCCGUUAAGGUAUCCUCUUCUUGAGGAUAUAGGCUUUGUAUGAUAUCUUAUGCUGCUAAAUUAUAGGUUACAGUAUUCAAAUGUUGUGUAUGCAGUGGGAAUUUUGUGCUUACGGUCUGGAUAAAUAGUAUUCUUUUGUUCCUCGUCUUUAAAUUAUGAGUUCUUUAUAUGCUUUCCGAAUGAAAACUUAGCUCAUUGUUCUUUCCACUGCUAUUCAUUUUUUGUUGCUUAUAAGCAAACUUGAUUCUGUCAAUGUUUUAACAUGGUGAUAUAUGUUACUGCAUUUGUAAUUCAAUCAUUAGUCUGCAAUGUUUAUCGAUGUUGGGAGCUGGUAUACUUUCAUACUGCUAGGGUAAGCCAGUGAAACUAGGCCGCUGCAGGUACUCUGUUCUUUGAAACUUUAGCUGGAUGAAUAUAUAGUGGGGUUGAAACUUAAUUGUUGUGGUUAAUUGCUUGUUUACGUGGUUCAAAAGAAAGUGAGAAACAUUUCACUGAAUGAGGUAAGCAUUGAUGAUCAUUAGUCUCGUUCUCUGUUUCUUGUUUCUUUGAUUCGUACUCUUUAGAUCCCCAUGGAGGAAAAGAGUCGAGUCUUGCUAGGAAUAGGAUGAUAACGAGCUGCAGUUUCCUGCUUUUAUCAUUUUAAUGGCUGAUAUUUAUGUUGCUCCGAUUCUUAUUUUUCUUCAAAUAUCCGUGUCCAAUGUUCUUGUCUGACACACAUCCGUAUAUGAGCGCCGGAUAUGAUCUUCUAACUACAUGGAAGAACUUAAAAUAGUUGGACAUAUGUUUGACACACUACUAAAAGCUGUCGAUACUCAUUUACUCCAUAACUUAGUUCACUAGUAUUGAUAGAAUCUGUUCAGCAAUGGAUUCAUCUUUACAAUUACUUUAAGUAUCAAUGUUUGACAUCUAUGUUCUAUGCUUGUUGAAAUAUGAAUAUAGAGAUAUGGUCAUUUAAACUUGUGUUAACCACGUGCCCAUGUCCGAAUUUAUAUUCGACACAUGUUUUCAACUGCAAUAGCUCUAGAUGUCCUAAACAGGGUUAUGAAUUUCCGAGACACUUAACGAUUAAAUUGUAAUUUUUUUACUUAAAUAAUUAAAACAGAAGCUUACCUAUAAAUCCAUAAUUUACCCCUAAACCAGAACAUGUCGGACCAGUCAACCUUCUAUAAUAUGGAUAGCACAAAAUUUCAAUAUAAUAUAAUAAAAAUAGAAACAAUAAAAAUGGGAUUGAACGACAUUUUUUUUCUUAAAAAGGUAGGACUUUAUUAACAUUUUCUGGAUUUUAAAAAAAUGGUCUUAAGUAACACCUUAUAAUUAAAUUUGGUAAGUGCACUGGGCCCGGACCUCUCAUGACAAACUCGUGGUCUUCUCCCUCUUUGUGGAUGGCGUGGGGUUACCAAUUUUUGGAAAUUAAACCAAUAAUGGAGCUAUCCAUUUUUCAUUACGUUAAUGACAAAAAUAAUUAAUUAAAAUUUAUAAAAAUUAUAAACCAGUGCAAUUGAUUCAGUUAUUGAUUUUUUUUUCAAGUUUUUCAGAUUUUUAUCUAUUCACAAACAAUUUAGUUUAUAGUUAACUUCAUGUCAUCGAUUAAAUCGUUAAAACCAUUGAUUUAUGGUUUAACCGAUUUAAUCAGUUGAUCUAGUCUAAUUCUAACAUCUCUCGGAAGAUCGAUUUUUCCGGUGGCCAUGCUUUUGGAGACUUGUUCCUUCUGAUGGGACCUUUCGAGCUCUUUAAGUUCUGUUUUUAUUACUUGAGCUUUUUUUACCAUUGUUUCAGGUGAGGGCGUUCAGAGAUGAAUCAUGAAUUUUGGGGACUCAAAAUAUAAUUUUAACAAUUAUACUAAUUUGUAAAUUCGUAAAUUUGUAAAGGAUUAAAAAAUACAUUUACCAUUUUUGGGGGCAAGGCUACAACCUUCUCCUUUAUCUAUGCCUUGGUUUCAGGGUGUUGCAGUAAGUCCAUCGCCAAAAAGAGUGAGGGUCUCAACCCAAACUCUUGUCCAUCAUGUUUUUGCUUUACCCUAAUGCUUGUUCCUCUAGGUUAUCGACAUAAAUCUCCCUCUCUUUGCUUUCAUGUUGAUCUAUGUGUAGAAGGGGGAGUUGCUCGUUGCCUUCGUGGCUUAGGAUUAGGGUUUUUAGUAUCUUUUAAGGUCAUUUUUAUAGUUUAUAUUCGAGAUUUAUGAUUAUUUUUUUAUAAUGUUGUUUCCAAGCAUUUAACUUUCCUAACAUUUAUUUGCUUUUUUCUUUUGGCUUUUAUCUUUUAUGGUAUUCAACAUUUAUUUAUUCAUGUUCGUGUCUAUAACCGAAAAUAAAUCUAGAUAAUUUUUUCAACAACAUAAUGAUACAUAUACAUAUACAUACAUAUAUUCAUCACACUAAAGGGGAAAAUAAUUAUAAUUCUCACAUUCACUUAUUGCUAUAAAAAAAAUCUAAAAUUGGUUAACUUGUGAAUUGAACUAAUAGUUGAACUGAUUUUUAUAAUUUUUUUUUAUUUUAAUAAUUUAUUUUCUUUGAAUUGAUCAGAUUAGUUGUUCUGGGAAUUAAUUGGUCGGAUUAGUUCGGAAUUGAUUCAACUAGUUUUUUAACUCGAUUCAACUAGUUUUUUGACUCAAUUCAACUAGCUUGUACUGUUUCAUGGGUCAAUCGGUUUUUUACCUAUCACCAUAGGGGUGUGCAUAAUUCGGGUAAAACCGAAAAAAUUCGGUUAACCGACUGAAUUCGGUUAAUCGGUCGGUUAACCGAAUUUUUUCGGUCGGGGGUCAGUUAAUUUUUUUAUGAUUUUUCGGUUAACGGUUAAUUCGAUUCGAAAUCGGUCAGUUAACCGAAAAUUUUCGGUUAACCGAAAAAAUUAAUAAAUAAAAUUAUCCAACCCAGCCCAAACUCAAUUACCCAACCCAAUAAAACUAAAACUAAAGUUUACCCAAUUACCCAAUUACCCAAUUCAAUAAAACUAAAACUAAAAGACAACCCAAUUUACUAAAGUCUAAAACCCAAUUUACUUUAAUAAUUUAUAAAAUUUUUUAAAUUUUAAAAAUAAAAAAAUAAAAAAAUUCGGGUAAUUCGGGUAUUUUUCGGUAAUUCGGCUAAUUCGGGUAAUUCGGGUAAUUUUUAACCAAAAAUAAAAAAUACAUAAUUUUCGGUUAAUUCGGUUAACCGACCUUAUUAACCGAAAAAAUUUCGGUUCGGUUAAUUUUUUUUAAAAAAAUUGGUUCGGUUAACGGUUAAAAUUUUUAGAAGGUCGGUUAAUUCGGUUAUAGUAAUUUCGGGUCGGUUAACCGAAUGAACACCCCUAUAUCACCAGAUUGAUACCCCAACCGAUUUUUGGUCCAAUUAGUCGGUAUAGUCCAAUUUAAAUAAUAUUAAAUUUUGACUUUUUUAUAUUUUUAAAUUCAUUUUUAUUUUUUCAUAUUUUUAUUUUUUUUAAAAUUAUAAAUUCGUAGUUUUUUAUUUAAAAUAUAAAAAUACUUUUUAAAAUUUCUAUAUACUUUUAAAGGGUAAUGACCAAAUUAAUAAAAAAAUAUAAAUAUGAAGUUAAAAAUGUUAUUUUACAUUUUACAUCAUUAACUUUAGUGGAAAAAUUAGACGGAGGGUGCAAGAUUUUUAAAGGGUAAACUACCUAUUUAGUCACCGAGUUUACCUAUAUUAUUAUUUUGGUUACUCAUUUCAAAAUUUUGUUAUUUUGGUCCGUAUUAUUAGAUAAGUUAUCAAUUUUAGUCACUUUACCAUUAAAAUGGGUUUCAUCACCAAACAUAAUGCUGAUGUGGCUUGCUAUAAUAAUAAAAUUAGCCCUUAAUGUUUACCCAUUUAAUUAAUUUAUUCUUGAUUUUAAAAAAAUUAACCAUUAAUAUUUACACAUUAUAUAAACCCAUUCUACAAAUUAAGAAAAUAUAAAAUAAAAUUUAAAAAUAAAUAAAAAUUCAAAUAUUUUAAAAUUAAUAAAAAUAUACAAAAUACUCAAAAAAAAUUAUAAAAAAUAUAUUUAAAAAUUGUUUUUACUUCCCACCUUGUGGCUUUGAUGGUUCCCGCAGCUGUCGCUUGUGCUGCCUUCUUCGUCAACUUCUCGCAAAAUCACAAGUAAAAAGCGAAGAUGCAAAAUUUACGCAAUAAAAAGAAAUUAAAAAGAAAGAGGGAACCUUUCAUGGAGCUGCCCAAGGUUACUGCCUCUUUUUUUUCUUUAUAAUUUUUUAGUAUUUUAUAUAUUUUUGAAUUUUUAUGUUAAUUUUAUAAAUUUAAAUUUAAAUUUUCUUAAUUUUUAGAAUCAUGACCAAAUUGGAAUAUUGUGUAAAUAUUAAAGGUUAAUUUUCUUAUUUUUUUCAAAAUAAUGAUCAAAUUAAUAAAAUGGGUAAAUAUUAAGGGUUAAUUUUGUUAUUAUACCAGGUCACUUCAGCAUUCCGUUGGGUGAUCAAAUCUAUUUUAACAAUAGAGUGACUAAAAUUGACAACUUAUCAAAUGGGAAUGACUGAAAUAAUAAACUUUUGAAAUGGGUCACCAAAAUAGGAACGCGGGUAAACUCUAGCGACUAAAUAGGAAGUUUACCCAUUUUUAAAUAAAAAAAAGACUCAAAAUUAAAAUUAUAAGGACUAAAUUAUAAAUUUAAUAAGAGUAGAGGGACUUUAACAUAUUUAAACCAAAAUAAAUCACACCGACACAUAACGCCAUUUUUAUCAGAGAAAAGAGUAUCUAAAAUCUCCCCAAAUCUUCCAAAUUUCAUUUCCUAGGGUUCUCUCUCGAUUCCCUAUUUUCCAAAUUGGUAUUGUUAGGGAUUUGACGCUAAUCCGGAUCGGGUAACGAGCCGGAAGAUGAUAGACAAUUGCUUGGGAGCUCAAAGAUCUAGAAAGAUCCAGAGAACUCUCCGUCAUUGCAAGGUCACCAUCCUCUGCCUCGUCCUCACCCUCGUCGUCCUACGUGGCACUAUCGGAGCCGGUAAAUUCGGGACUCCAGGCCAGGACUUCGUCGAGAUCCGGGACCACCUCUAUUACCGGAAACAAGGCGAACCGCAUCGCGUCCUCAAAGAAGUCCAAACGACGUCGUCAGAUAACCACGACGGCGCCGACACCAACGCCGGCACCAAUAACUACAACGAGUUCGACAUCAAUAAGAUCUUAAUCGACGAGGAACCAGACGUCCCGAAACGCGAUCCCAACGCGCCCUAUUCGCUCGGGCCCGGAAUCUCCGAUUGGGACGAGCAACGCUCUAGAUGGCUGCAAGAAAACCCUAAUUACCCAAAUUUCAUCGGUCCAAACAAACCGAGGGUUCUCUUAGUCACUGGUUCAUCUCCCAAACCUUGUGAGAACCCUGUCGGUGAUCAUUACUUAUUGAAAUCGAUCAAGAACAAGAUCGAUUAUUGUAGAUUACACGGGAUCGAGAUAUUUUACAACAUGGCGCUGUUGGAUGCUGAAAUGGCAGGGUUUUGGGCGAAAUUGCCGUUGAUUCGAAAGCUUUUGCUCUCGCAUCCGGAGGUGGAAUUCUUGUGGUGGAUGGAUAGUGACGCCAUGUUUACUGACAUGGCAUUUGAGGUUCCUUGGGAAAGGUAUAAAGACUCCAACUUUGUUAUGCACGGUUGGAAUGAAAUGGUUUACGAUCAGAAGAAUUGGAUUGGGCUAAACACUGGGAGUUUUUUGUUGAGGAAUGGGCAAUGGGCACUUGACAUUCUUGAUGCUUGGGCUCCAAUGGGUCCUAAAGGCAAGAUUAGGGAAGAAGCAGGGAAGGUUUUGACCCGGGAGCUUAAGAAUAGACCCGUUUUCGAAGCCGAUGAUCAGUCUGCAAUGGUGUAUUUGUUGGCUACUCAAAGGGAGAAGUGGGGUGAUAAGGUUUACUUAGAGAAUUCUUAUUAUUUGCACGGUUAUUGGGGGAUCUUGGUUGAUAGAUAUGAGGAAAUGAUUGAGAAUUAUCACCCAGGUUUAGGGGAUCAUCGUUGGCCGUUGGUGACCCACUUUGUGGGGUGCAAACCUUGUGGUAAGUUUGGGGAUUACUCGGUGGAGAGGUGCUUGAAGCAAAUGGAUAGAGCAUUCAAUUUUGGGGAUAAUCAGAUUCUUCAGAUUUAUGGGUUCACUCACAAGUCAUUGGCCAGUAGAAGGGUUAAGAGAGUACGAAACGAGACCAGUAAUCCGCUCGAGGUGAAAGAUGAGCUUGGAUUGCUUCAUCCGGCUUUUAAAGCCGUUAAGGUAUCCGCUUCUUGAUGAUAUAGGCUUUGUAUGAGAUCUUAUGCCUACUAAAUGAUAGGUUACAAUAUUCAAAUGUUGUGUAUGGAGAGGGAAUUUUAUGAUUUAGGUCUCGAUAAAUAGCAUUCUUUUGUUCAUUGCCUUUAAAUUAUGAGUUGUUAAUGCUUUCCGUAGGAGAACUUAGCUCAUUGUUUUGUCUUCCGCUAGUCAUUUUUUUGGUAGCUUAUAAGCAAAAUCGAUUCUGUCAAUGUUUAAACACAGUGAUACCUUAUCGCUCGAAUAUGUUGCUGCAUUUGUAAUUCGAUCGUUGGUGGUAGCUGGUUUACUUUCAUACUGCUAGGGUAAGCCAGUGAAACUAGGUCGCUGCAGGUACCCCGUUCUUAGCAACUUUAGCUCGAUGAAUCUAUAGUUGGGUUGGAACGAUUAUCAUUAGUCUCGGACUAUUUGCGACGAGGAGCUCUCGCUCUGUUGAACCCGCAGUACUAAUCUAAACAAAAUGUCUUUGUUUUAUGACUUUUAGAGAUUAUUUGAUAAAAAUUGAAAGUUUUUUUCAAAACUAUUUUUUAAAUAUUCAAAUAAAUAAAGAUAAUGAAUGCAUCUUAUAUAGUAUUUUUCAAAAAAUAGCUUUUUUAUAUAGUAUUUUGAGUUAUUUUCAUUCCAUUAUAAAAAAUAGAAUUUAAUUAUAAAUUAAAUAAAAUAUAAAAUUCGGUUAGAUUUGGAUAAUCAUAAAUUUUAAUUCAUUAAAAAAAAAUCUAUACAUCAUCGAUUCGUAUGGAUUUUUAGUUUCUCAAUAUUUUGCUUGCUCAGCCCGAAUAAAAUCAACUAUUCUAAAUUAAAUGGGUUAAAUCAUAAAUUAAAUUGAUUUUAAACAAUUUUUCUCUGAUAUAUAUAUAUAUAUGGUUGGGAAAAUACGAGUUCAAUUAAAAGUCCGAGAAAACUCCAGUCUAUAGGAACCCAAGUCCGAAAUAAUUAUAUGAUAUUACUUAAAAUAAAAAUAAAUGGUAAAGAUUUAUUUUAUAAAUAUGUAUUCAGAAGCACUUUAAUUAUUUUAUAUAAUAUAAUUCUAUUAAAUAUAUAUAAUUUAUGCUUUUCAUAAGGUAAAUUAGAAUUGAAUAUUUAUAACGUAAAAGAUUCAAAAUCAUUUGAAUUUGAUGAAGAUCAUCUUGUUCAACCUGAGCCCAAAUCUUAAAAACUCUAAAUCUAAGGGUGGGUUUAGAUAGUUGGUGCAUUUACUUAUAGUUACUAUAAAAACAACAGUGACGAUGAUAUUAAAUAUUGUAACGAUCGUGUAAUGUGUAAUAAAAAAUAAACUAAGCACACUGCACCAUCCAUUCAAACCUACACUAAGAAAAUUUGAACUUAAACAAAUUCUAGAAAAAAAAGAUCUAAACCUAAAUUCAUCCCAUCUAAAAAAAUCCGAAUCCUACAAGUUAUUUGAACUGUUAUUUUGGUUGGACCAUAUAUUUUUACUUUGUAGUAUUGAUGUUUUUACCUUCCUUUAUUCAUAAUUUGCCAUUGCGUGCUGCAGUUACCAAACACAAAAAGGGUUGACCUCAGUCUCUUCCCCUAUCAACCAAAACAUGUCCGAUCAGUCAACCUUCUAUGAUAUAGAAUAUAGAUAGCAUCAAAUUUUAAUAAUAAUAAUAAUAAUAAUAAUAAUAAUAAUAGAAACUAUAAAAAUGAAAUGAGAUGAGAAUUAAAAAAAAAUUAUAAACAUUUUUUGGAUUUUAAAAAAUGGUUUUAAACAACUUAUUAGAAUUAAAAUAUUUAUUAUUGAUUUAUCACUUAAAUCAUUCAGUUUCAGUUUAAUUAGAUCAAUCCAUCAUUUUUAACAACAAUUAAAUAUAUUACUAAUUCAUACAAAUUAGUAAUUUUAAAAAUAUAUAUUAGAAAUUUAUAAACUGGAUUAAUGAUUUUCAAUUUUUAACGAUUUACAAAUGACUUGGUCUAUAUUCGAUUUUACAUUAUCGGUUUAACCAAUGGUAUCAUUGGUUUAGUUUGGGCCUCCUUUAGAUAGAGAGUGAUUAUGGUGUGAUAAAAUUUUUUAUUUCAUAGUUAUAAUUAAUUUUACCGUCAUCGUCAUUUUUAACUUUAUUGAAAGUAAAUACACAGGUUACUCCAGAAGGUAAGAAAAUCUAAAAGCAGGGAAAUUAACCAACGACAACAUAUCUGGAUAAUUUCUUCAACAACAUAUAUACACAUACAUACAUAUAUAUAAUAUACAUAUAUAUUCAUCACACCAGAGGGGAAGCUUCAUAAUUCUAACACAUCCACUUAUUGCUGCUACAUACCUAUAUCUUACAAUUUUUUUUUUAAAAAAAGGACGUCGGCGAACAACCUUAACGACGGCAGCGAGUAAUGGUGCUGCAACCUCGUGUGUAAGGGUUAGCUUCGGCUCCUGGCCGACAGUUAUAAUACGAAGCGCCCCUUCGAGAGCACGGCACGGUGUCCCUCUGAAGUGCUUUGUAGCUUAUGUAAGUGGUGGUUUGCAAUAUGCGCCUCUUGAUCUCGGACCCUAUGUCGAACUCAUCAUCGUCCACGUUAGCCAUGCACUCCGCCGUUGAGUCCUUGCAGCUACCGGACUUGUUCACCGUCGCCGGCACCCAGCUCAAGUGAUGCACACCACUUGAUUCGGCGGCCAACACGGCGGUGAUCAGGGUUGUUGUGAGGAGUAAGGAAAUGGCGAGCAGAAAACCCGAGGGAUUAGCCAUUUUUUUUCUUUUCUUUCUUUUGUUUUGGUUUAUUAAUGUCGGGACAAGACACGAAUGGAGGUGCCAACUUAUUUUUAAGGCUACUGGUAAAAAAGAGUCGAAAGAAUGACAUUGGCUAUCUCUUUAUUUACUAUAAUGCCACUUUGCUUUCAUUAGAGGUAAAAAAAAAAACUCAAUUUUACAGUUUGGUAACUUUAUUAUUAUUAUUAUUAUUAAUGUCACUUUAUUUACCUUAGUCAACAGAUUAAUCCGAUUUUUAAUCAUUCUUUCUUACAAAUGAAGAAGAAGAAUUUUUAUUUAUACCUUUCAAUUAAGCCCUUUUUUUUAGUUUAAAAUAACAUUUUUCAUCUAAAUUCUUUCAAAUAUUUAAUAGUUUCGAUUCGAUUUAUAAAUAUUUCUGAUUAUUAUGUUUUUUCUUUGUUUAAAUUAAUAUUUAUGUUUCGUUUUCAUUACACGAAAUAUUAUCUAAGACUAAUGAUGUUAACUUUUUCAUAUUUUCCAAUAAAUACUUGAGAUAUGAUAAAUCCAAUAUUUGAUACAUGGCGAUGAUGCAAUCAAAAUAUAAAAUUUAAAUAUAAACUAAAAUCUAAAAAAAACUUAAAUAUAUAAAAAUAAUUUUUUAAUAAAAAUCAAAAUUUAAAUUUUUUUUAUCAAAAUAAAAUUCUUUUCAAUUUUUUUAUAAGAAGCUUAUAAUUUUCUACCAUUCCACGAGAAUAGACCUUUUCUUUUUGAAUCGAAAAUUUCUAAAUGUAUUUAUAUUUAAAUCGAAAUUUUUCUUACACAAAUUAUAACCUUUUCUAAAUAUAAGUUUUUCUUUUUGAAAAAAAUGGUUGCCACAAAUUUUUUAAAAAUAGAAUAUAAUUUUUUUACAAAACAUCAUAAAUUUAAACAUAAAAUUAAAUUAUCGAUUGAGUUUUAACUCGAUUGGUAUGCACGUUAUUACUAAUGUAGGAAGACGUGAGUUCGAAUACUCUAAAAUGUAUUAUCCUCCUGUUUAUGGGUUAGAAAGGGAUUAUAAAUAAUUUUAGACAUUGUAUCAAAAAUAGCAGAUAUAAUUAGAACCUAUAUAAAAUAAAUAGCAUUCUGAUACCUGAAUAGACAUCCUUUUGAAAAAUAUUGUACACUUUUUUAAAAGAGUAAAUUAAAUUUAGAAAUAUUUUGUUUUUUUUUUGAAUAAAAUAGACUCGAAAUUUUUUAGAUAAUUAUUUUCUGUAAAUAUAAUAGAUUUUCAAUAAUUUUUAAAAUUUUAGAUUAUGUCAUCACAAUGAUGUCAUAAUCAUCGUAUGAUAAAUAUUUAUUGGACCACAUUGAAAAAGUUAGCAUCUUUUGCCCCAAAGAUCAUUUAGUAUAACAAAAACCAAACAUGGAUACCAAAUUGAACAAAAAAAAAAGAAAAAGAAAAGAAAAAGACAUAGAUGGCAAAAUGGAUAUUGAUGCCAAACAUAGGUACCGAAAAGUAUAUUUACCCUUCAAAAUAUUGUAAUUUAAUAAUGUUCUCAUUUUUAAUAUGACUUAAAUUCAGGAUUAAGGGUGUGUUUGUUUUGCGGAAAAUGAAUUAUGAAAAAUAUUUUUUUAUAUUUGUUUUAUAGAAAAUAGCUUGAUUAAUGGAAAAUUAAUCUUUUUUUUUUAAAUUAAAAAGUGUAAAACAUUUUCAAAAAAAAUAACUCCUUUGUGACUAAUAUGAAUUUUAGAUAAAAAUUAACUUGAAUCUAACCAAAUAUUAUUAUAUUAGUAAUAAGUUUUUAAUUUUAUUUAGAAAUAGUAAUUUCAAAUAUUAUUAAAGCAAAUAUAUAUUUAAUAAUAUAUAAUAAAUUAUUAAUAUAAUUUAUCAUUUUCAUAGAACUAUUCAAUAUUACAAAUUUAUUUUAAUAAUAAAUUUUAACAUUAAUAAUUUUAAAUUUUAAGUAAUAUUUUUAAUGUUUUAUUGACAAUACCAACAAGUGAUGUAGUGAUAAGGUAAAUUGCACUCCCAAAUAGAGAACAUAAGUUUGAACUUUGGAGACGAUGUUUUUGGAAAUGACAACCCCGAACAUGGACCAUAAAGUUGACAAAAAGAAUAAAAAUAAAAUAUUUUCUAUUAUUAUUUUAAUAAUAAAUACGGAAAAUCAUUUGAUACACUGCUAGUAGAGUUUUUUAGACUUCUCCACAAGUGGGUUGAGGGUUUGACAAGCGUAUUAUAAGGUGUGGUAAAAAUUUUAAAAAACAAUUAUACAAAUACAUGUGACACUCGUUAUACUCUCAACCCACUUAUGGAGUCUAAAAACAGAGUAUCAAAUAAUAACCCUAAUAAAUAUAUAGAUUAGAAUUUAUAAAUAUUUAUCAAUAAUUUUUAAAAUAUAAAAUAUGAAUACUUUGACAAUAUAAUAAUGUGAUUAUUUAUUUAAAUUCUACUCAACUUCAUUUAUCCCUUCUAUCUCCAAUGUAGCAUUAUCCCUCUUAACUUCAAAUUUAAGUUUUAUUUAGGCAUAUUGAUUAUUGUUACGUCUAUAUAAGAUAAUAUACUUAUUAUAACAUAAAUUUCAGUUGUAGACGAUAAUGCUUCAAUAAUAUUUAUUUUAAAAUAUAAUUAAGCACUGAUUAUUAUUAAGUUCAUAUAAGAUAGUAUAUUUAUUAUACAAUAAAUUUUAAUUGUUAAAGGGCAAUGCUUCGAUAAUAUUUUAUAACAAAUACAACUUAUGUUAAAACUGUUUCAAACAAUAACAAAUAUUUUACACGAAAUCAUCGAAAACACUAAUAAAUAUAUAUAUAUAUAUUUUUUCUAAAAAUCAUAUUUCGAAUUUCGAAUUUCUUUUCAAACUAACACAACAUGUAAGCUACUUAUUUUGUUAAGGAAAAUCAGAUAAUGUCAAAUUUUAUGACAAAUCCUCCAUGGGUAGUUUUUAUGUAUAUAUAUAUAGAAAUCCUAGUUGAACCAACAACCUUAAAGAGUUUGCCUGUCCUAAUCCUUUUGACUAGCAACAAUAAUAAUGGCAAAGAAUAAUCACAAGGCUUAACCUAACCCACCAAUGGAAGAAAAAUGAAUUUUUUUAGUGAUAUGGUUUACUCCUUUUUUAUGAUUUCUUUGUUAAAUCUCAUUAGUCCAAUUGACGCUUUUGCAAGUUCAAAAACCCCUAGAUAGCUAUUUAGAAAGUUUAGGGUAACCCAUUUUUUUAAAAACAAAUUUCUAGGAGACUCUUUUAAACCUAAUUCAAGAAAAUGAUUGAAAUGGUGAUGUGAGGAAACCCUAAUUAAGGGUUUCAAUUGAAAUUCCAGUUUUUACAUUCUUUUUAAUUACUAAUAGUUUGAGAAUAGAAUAAUGGGUUGUGGAUAAUAAUAUUUGAGAUAUAUUAUUUUAAAAAUAUUUGUAUGAUUAAACUGAAUUAGGCAUUGCUCAUAUGGACGGAGUACAUUUUUUUUUAUCUAUUCCUUUAUUGAUUCUAGGUGUCUAAAUAAAUAAACUACCCAUAACCCUCCUAGACCCAUAAAUAGGAGGAUAAUGUGGUUCAAGGCAGUCGAACUCACGUUCUCUUGCAUUGACAAUAAUAUCCAUGUCAAUCGAGCUAAUAUUCGAUUGGUAAAGUUGAAUUAUCCUUAAAUUUAUUGGAUUGGAUUCAACCAGUAAAGCUGAAUGUGAAAUUUUUAGGAACACCAUUUUUUUUUUUCAAAUUUGUAGUUUUAAGAAUCAAUACAUGUAUUAAUGGAUGCAUUGACUGUGGUCUCAAUUAAUUAUUUAAAUCUUAUCAAAUUCUUGGAAAUGAUAUUCUUAUAUUUGAGUUUCAAAUAUAUAUAUCUAUAUAAAGUUUCAUAUAUUAAUAAAUUUUGUUUAAUAUCUUUUAAUAUAUUCCUGUUUUAUAUUAUGUUCACGUUAUUAUUUUUCAAAAGGGUUUAUUUUUAACAUAAAAAUAUGUAAAAAAAUAUAUAAACAUUUGAUAAAACUUAAACUUAGGAUAAUUUAAUUUUACAAAAUUCGAUGUUACCAUUUCAAAGAAAAAUUCAUUUAUUUUUAUAUUAAUUUUAAAAAUAUAAUUUUUGCAUAAUUUAUUUUACCCAUAAGUGUAGUUAUAAGUUUGUGUCAAUUUAAAUUGGAAUAAUUUUAUUUUAUUAGAUAGAAUUGGAUUUUCUUUUGUAGAUUUAGGUCCACAUUGGAUAGAAUUUGGGUCGUUUUACUUUUUGGGCCAUUUAACCAUUGAUAACAAGGGUUGUUUCCUCAUGCUUUUGGGCUUCAACUAAAACCAAUUUACUUAAGAUGUGGGUUAAUUCAUCAAACAUCCUCAAACUAUCACUUAAAUUUUAUAUUAGUCCUUAAACUUUAAAAUAUUAUAAUUGAGUCCUCAAUGGUUAUGUUAACCUACCUAUCCAUUUAAGCAUUUAUUUGGAUCUAACUCUUCUAUUAACCUGCCUAUCAAUUUAGGCAUUAAAUGUCAAUUUGGAUUUAAUAGGAAAAAUCUUUAAAACACUUAUGUAGCCUAUCACAAAGAUAGUUUUUGGAUUAACGUGUUAAAAUAAUAGGUAACAUAAAUAAAAUUUAGGAACAAAUAUAAUACAAUUACAAUACAUGUACAAAUAUAUGUCGAACUAAUUACAAUGUAGAAUCCAACUAGUAUAGCGCACAAUGGAUGAAGAAUUGGGUAAAACUGAAUCACUUUGGAAAGAACUGGACAAAACUCAUCAUGAUACAUGACAUAGGAGCGACAAUGACAUAUUAGUUAGAUUAGUUAGCUCACCUUCAAAAUAAAAAAAAAAACAAUAUAAAAUGACAAGGGAAAAGAAAAGAAAAACAAAUCAUGCAAAACAGAUGGUAAAAUUUAAGAUGAAAUACAAACAAAUACUAAUUUCAUGCAAGCAAUACAUUAAGCCUCCUCCGGAGGCCAUUAUUUAGAUAAAUUAUAAACAAAACACCCAUCUUAAAUCAUAUUAUAACAUUAUCUUGGAGCUUUCAAAUAAAUCAAUUCAUAGCCCUCUGGGUUUAUCAUUAUUGAGGUAUUCUCUAGCAAUUCCCCCAUUAGCACCCUUAGGGAAGAACCCACCCGGCCUAUGCUCAUCACCGGUACCGUACAUGAUCCUCAUAAUCUCCUUCGGUGUUCUUGAGUAAGAGAGCGAAUCCGAUCGGCCGACAACACGUUGUUGGUAGUUCGACUCUCGGCACCAUGCUUCAAAGGUACGAUUAGGCCUUUAUCCUUGACACCACACUUGCCUACCUCGUUCCUUAGCCUCGAGAUCAUGUUUGUGAAUUCAAACACCGUUAUGUCGUAAGGGUCCACUUUUUCUUCACCUUUCUCAUAUAACAUUGUUCUUAGAACUGCAUCUUGUCCAGCUUCCACUCCCAACAACCCUGCAACCAACCAUAUGACUUCGAAAAACAUCUAUUAAGCAUCCAAUUUAAAAUUAAAUAGAUUUGGGUUGAUUAAUAUAAGAUCUCAUAGUUAAAUCGAUUUAUGAUCAUUUUAAUGAGUCUCAAACUCACAAUCAUAUGUAGGUAGAGACAAACUUGAUUAUAACAUAUGGGCAAAAUCCAAAAAUAAUAUUUUCUUUACCCCAAUGAAGUCAAAAUUAACCUCAAUUAUUUUAAUUAAUUAGAUUUUAUAAUAUAUAUUUAAAAGGUACUUUAUUGAAAAACAUCAAUAGGCUCGCAAUCAUGGGAGCAAAAAGGGGUUGUUGCCAUGAAUAGUAAUGAAAAUAGAAAGAGAAGUAUAGCACAGCAAAGUGAUGAUGGAGUAGCCAUUUUACUAGCUAUGUACCAUAAAUUUAUUCAUUAAAAUUUAUAUAUUUUGUUAAUUUAGUUUUUAUUUUUAUUUUUGAAUUAAAUUUUGUUCUUAAUUUUUUAAAAAGAAUCAAUUUUGACCACCAACCUUCCAAAAAGAGUCCAAUGGAAACACUGACCAUUAAACUUAACAAAAUGCAUGCAAUCCAUGUAUAUUUCAUUUUUUUUAAUUUUAUGAACUUUUUAUAAUUUUAUGAAUUAUGAUUUUUUUUUAAUUUUAAAUUAUUUGUUGACAUGAAAUAUAAGAUAAACAGUGUCAUGUCAACAUAAAGUACACAUGGGCUAUCAUGUAGGUUGUCACAUCAAUAUCGUUAAAAAAUUAAUGUUUUAUUCAACAUUUCUGUUAAAAAUGAUUUGAUUAUUUUUGAAAAUUUAAAAAUUUAUCAUUAUUUUUGAAAUUUUAUUUCUGUUAAAAAUGAUUUAACUAAAUUAAAAAAUGUAAACAUUAUUAGCCAAAUUUAUCAUUAUACUUGAAUUUUAAAACUUUAAUUUAUAUCAAAACAAACAUUAAAUAUAAAUAAAAGAAAUAUAUUUUAAGGCUUUUUUUUAAUAAAUAAUCUAAUAAUAUUAAAAAAUUAUAAAAAUUAACCUUAUACUAAAUUAUUUAUGAAAAUGACCUUAUUUCUACAGUGUUAAUGAGUACCACCACUUCCUAAUAUAGUAUCACAUCAAAAUGUGAUAGAAUCAUUGUCUCUUAAUUACAAAAAUUAUUAGAUGUGAACUUUUUUUUUUGUGCUGUCACUUCCCAAGAUGGCACCCAUGUAAGUUUUCUAAAUACAUUGUAUCUUCGUGGGUAUUUUUGGAGUUAAAUGGAAAAAAAAAUUAUUAAUUCUUGGCGUCACAUCCUUUAAUGAGGCACCAAAUUGGAUUAAAAAAAUAUUUGUUGGUGCCGCCUCCUUCAAUAGAGGCACCAAUACCAAUAACAUUGUUUUUUUCUCUCUAGUGCCGACUCCAUAUGUGACGGCACCAUAAAUUUUUUUAGAAUUUGUUGGUGCUACCACUUCAUAUCGAGUUAUCAAAAAAGUUAAAAGAAAAUUCUUGGUCCCUACUCUAGAGUCUAGAUGUGCGGCACAAGUAAUUUUUUUUUGAAUUUUUUGGUCUCGCGAGUCACCAAAAAUUGUAAAAAAAAAAAAUCCCUUGGUCCCUACUCCAGAUGUGCUAGCACCAAUAAUUUUUUUUUUUAAAUUUUCAGUCCCAUCACUUCAUAUAAUCACCAGAAUGAGUAAAAUAAUAUUUUGGCACCAAAAUUUUUCGGCAUGAGUAUCAGAUUAUAUGGAACAAUGCAUUUCUUUUUCUCAUCAUUGAUUGUAUCUUAUAUAUAUAACUAACGAAUUAAAUAUUGCUUAACACAAUUAAAAUUCAAUUAAAAAAAUUAUUGGUGUCGCUACAUCCAGAGCAGGAAACAAGAAAUUUUUAUUUUUUACUUUUUUGGUGACUCCAUGUGAAGUAGCAACACUAAAAAAUUCCAAAAAAAAAAGUACCACCACAUUUGGAGUAGGCACUAGGAGAGUUUUUUUUUACUGGUAUUGGUGUCUCCAUUGAAGGAGGCGGCACCAACAAAUAUUUUUUUAAUCCAAUUUGAUGCCUCUAUUGAAGAAGGUGACACCAAAAAUUAAUCAUACAUAUUUUUUCCAUUUACCUCCGAAAAUAUCUGUGAAAAUACAGUGUAUUUAGAAAACUUAUUGUACAGGCCCAUUUUGACCUAACCUAUUUCAGCCCACUACCCGAGCAAAACCCAAUUACAACCCAAACCACAAACCCAAUUAACCUACCCAAUACCCAAAACAUAAACAACAGACCUUAAACAAAUUAAACCCAAACCCACCUAAAACUAACCCAAAUACAGCCCAAACCCGAACGGCCCAAUAAACUUAGGCCCAAUUACCAAAUUCAGACUAGGGUUUCAGUCUCUAAAACCCUAGCGCCGCAUGCUUUGACCCUUGGUCUCUGCCACCGUCAAUCACCUCAGCCACUUGCCUCUGACUCGCGCCGCUCGUCCAUCACCCUGCAAACAAAGAAGGCAGCAACAACACGCAACAGAAAAAAAAAAGAAAAAUAGAACAAGUUGUAACAAUGGCUAUAAAAAGCCAUUCAAGCAUCUGUAAUGGGGCCCCUCUUUCAUUUUUUCAAGAAAUAAAAAGGGCAAAGAAAACAGAUUCAAGAAAAUUUUAUUUUAGGUAUAAGCUCUAUUUUCUUUUUAUUUAUAUUUUUCUCUUUAUUUUUCUUCCAUCCGAAACUGUUUGAUUCUUUAUUCUUAUUUUUAUUUUUAAAAACAUACAUAUAUAUAACAUAUAGAUUUUAAAAUAAAAAAUAAUACCUUUUUUUUUUUAAUUUUCCACGGUGGCCGGCGCGGCGGCGUCAAUGGCGGCCCUCCUCGCUGGAUUCUGGGCUGAGAGUGUAACACCCCGACUCGUGUCCGUCGCCGGAUUAGUGUUACGAGGCAUUACCGAUCAAAACCCGACUCAAUUUUUUUUAUAAAUAAAUUAAUCCAUUAUAUAUAUACUAAACCAUAAAUCCUAAUCAAUACACAUUUGAAUAUAUAUACAUUCGUUUACUCUAUCAAUACGCCAAACGUAAUUAAUCACCAACAUUUACAAGCAUACUUCAAUUUAUAAAUCAUCUCCUAUAUUCACUUAACUACUAAAUCCAACCAAAUCAUAUAUAUUUCAUAUAUAAUACGUAACCUAGACACUUAACUUAACAUUAUUUAUCUUAAUGAAUAUAACAAACUUACUUACUUCAACCACAUAAUUACCGAAACACUUGAAUGAAAUCACCAUGCACAUAUAUAUAUUACCAUAUAAAUACUAACCAUAAAAUACUAAUCCAUGAUUAAAGUAUGCGUAAACCAUAAUUCAGCCCAAAACCGAACACAAACAAGAAAAUUAAGCCAUUUUCGCAUGGCUUAAUAUUACAUAAUCUAAAUUCAAGUAUUUCAUCUACGCUAUACAUGCCAUAAGAUCGAAUUCAAAAUUUACAAAAUACCGAGAGGAGUCGAUAGUGUGAUAAUCUUCUCUGACGAUCCCCGAGCUCGUAACCAACUUCCAAAAAUCUAUAAAACGAAGAACAACAUACACACAGUAAGCUAUUUAAAGCUUAGUAAGUCAUAAGCAAAAAUUCAUUUAUAUAUAUAUUAAUACUUAUUCCAUCAUUAAGUUAAAAUAAACCAAAUAUCAUAAUAUUUUGUACCAUAUAACACUUUAAUAAAAAUCACAUUGUAUUUUCAUAUAAACAAACCAUAUGGCCAAAUACACAUAAAUAUUUAGCAAAGCCGAAUAUUCAAUAAAUCAUUAUGCUAAAACAUGCUUAUACUCAAAUGAUUAACUCAUACUCUAUAUUUCAUUUGAAACUAUUAUCAAAUUAAAAUAAUCAACUUACCUCAUCAGCAAUUAAGCAAAUGGCUAACACAUACCUGAAUAAUUUAACUUUCUUAACACAUUUAUUUGCUUUUACUAUUGCUCCUAUAAAAUUUAUAAAACAUAGAGCCCUAUAUAAAACACCGGCAUAAAGCCUGCUAGGCACAAAGCCCGAUUCAUUUCACCGGCACAAAGCCUGCUAGACAUAAAGUCGGAAUUAAUUCACCGGCAUCAAGCCUGCUAGACAUAAAGUCUAAAAUAAUUCACCGGCAUCAAGCCUGCUAGGCAUUAAGCCUGAAAUAAUCCACCGGCAUCAAGCCUGCUAGACAUAAAGUCUAAAAUAAUUCACCGGCAUCAAGCCUGCUAGGCAUUAAGCCUGAAAUAAUCCACCGGCAUCAAGCCUGCUAGGCAUUAAGCCUGAAAAUCUCAUAUACAAAGAUGAUCUUUCGUAUAAUUCUUUAUGUUUACCUAAGUCUUACUCAAUAACCGUAUCUCCGUAAGAAUUGAAUUAUAUUCAAUUCUCCAUAGCAAACAAACAUUCGAACCACAUAUGUAUAAUUUACAACAUUAAAAUUCAGCUCAAAGAAUUUGUAACCUAUAUUCGAACCACAUAUGUAAGUAAAAUUCAUACAUUAAAUUCAGCUCAAGAACUUUGUAACCUAUAUUUGAACCACAUAUGUAUAUAAAAUUCAUACAUUAAAUACAGCUCAAGAACUUUAAAUAUAUAUAUUCGAACCAUAUGUGCAUAUAUAUAAUUCAUAAUAUUAAGUUCAACUCAAAGAAUCAAAGAACUUGUAUCAUACAUUCAAACUUUAUAUAUAUAAUUCAUAACUUUAAAUUCAACUCAAGAAAUUAAAUCUUACAUUCGAACUACAUAUCCAUGUAAAUUCUACUAUUAGUUUCAUAUCAUUGAACUUAAAGCAUACUUUAGCUAAUAUACAUGUAAUUUAUACCAUUAAUAUCAACCUCCCAAAAUUAAUUUCUAUGUUCGGCUAUCACAUAGAAAAAUCACCAAGUUUUAUUCAAUUUAUAUACUUUUAGUUCCAGCUUACUAAAUGUAUGAUAGAUAUAUUUAUAUAAAUCCCAAUUUAAUAACAUUUAAAUUGCUAUUAGACUUACCUUGGAUGUCGUCGACUGUUAAAUCGGCUACUCGACCACUUUUGUAUUUCCCCGAUCCAAAUCCGAUUUCUUUAAUUCUUGAUCUAAGCAUAUUCAAAUUAAGUUUAUUUAAACAUCAUUCUAUUCAAUUUAACCUAAAAACACAUAAAUAGGCAAAUUACAAUUUUGCCCCUAACAUUUCACACUUUUUACAAUUUAGUCCUUUUUGCUCAAAACACAAAAUACACAAAAUUUGACUUCACUCCUUAAGGGCCGAAUAUUCCUAGUGUCCAUACAAGCCCACAUAUUUCAUUUAUUUCACAUUUUAGUCCCUCAAAAAUUUAUUUUUACAAUUAAACCCUAAUUACUCAAAUUCAUCAAAAACUCAAAGACACGACAUGUUAAUCUUUCACAUAUCUUUCAUAUUCCAUCAUCAACUAUCACAAAGCUCAAGCAUUCAUCAAUGGCAUUUCUCAAAAUCAUCAACAAUUCACAAAAUUAAGAUAUGGGUUUUGAAGUAUUCAAAGCAAUGAUCUCAAAAACGUAAAAAUUAUCAAAAACCAAACAAAAACCAACCUUGAAUUAAGCUUCAAAAUGGCCGAAUGUUUCAAGCUUUCAAACCUUGUUUUUCUUUUCUACAUUCGGUGAAGAAAGAUGAACAUAAAAUGGUGGCUUUUAAUGUUUUGUUUUAUUAUAACAUAUAUUAUUAUAUUAUUAUUUUAACUUUUAUUUUAUAUAUAUAUAAAUCACAUAUCAUCAUUAUGCCAUCCACUACCUAUUACUAUUGGCUAAAUUACAACAUAAGGCCUCAAACUUAUAAAGACAACAACAAUUAGGCACUUUCUUAAUUAACCAUCAAAUUUUCAUUUUACGCGAUUAAGCCAUUUUUUUUUAAAUUAAGCGCACAAACAUAAAAUUAAUUCACGAAACUUUCACAUAUAUAAAUUCACACAUAAUUAACACAGAAAAUAAUAUUAAAAUAUUUUUCAGACUCGAUUUUGUGGUCCCAAAACCACUGUUUCGAUUAGGGUCAAAAUUGGGCUGUUACAGAGAGAGAGAGGGAGAGAGAAACUUGAGAAGAAAUUUUGUUUGUUUUUUUUGGAGAAGGAGAGAAAAAUGAAUUUUUUAAAAAAAAUUUGAUUUAUAUAGGCUGGCAAAACGCACCGUUUUGCCCAGCCCUUUAAAAAUCCAAAAACGGCGUCGUUUGGCUCAACCCGCGGGCGACCCGACCCAUCCGGCCAGGAUCCGCGUGUUUUUCACUUGAGGGGUUAUUUACGCAAUUGGCCCCUCCACCUUUGCGGCGUUUUAAAUGCGGUCCUUAUUGCAUUUUCUAAUUUGGCCACAAAAUCUUAUUUCUGUUUCAUUUUAGUCCAUAGCAGUGCAGCGUUUUGGACGCUUGGUCUAUUUACCAUUUUGGUCCCCCUGUUUCUGCGCGUGUCGUAGUUCGGUCCUUUUCAACUUUUUAUUUGAAAUUCGCCCAGUAUUUUUGUUUCUAUUUUGAUUUAGUCCUUUUUUCUGUAAUUUUAUUAUUAUUAUUUUAUCAUUUUUAUUAUUUAUAUUAUUGUUACUUAUCAUAUUAUUAUUAUUAUAUAGUAGCUUAUAUAUACAUGUACAUACAUUUUUUUCUAACUUAUUUAAUACAUAUAUAAAUACCUUUUUUAUUAUAAACAUAUCUAUGCAUAUCUAUAUAUUUUUCUUUCACGAAUAUGGUAUAUACUUAUUCAUAUAUAUAUAUAUUAAAGUAUGUAUAUAUAUUAUAUAUUUUAUCUUAUUUUUUAUAUAUAAUCCACAUAUAUAUUUUCCUUAAAAUGUACAUACACAUGUUCAUAUUUUAUAAUUUUUAUCUAUUUUCCUUUAUUAUUUUUAUGUUCAUUUAUGUAUUUAUUUAUGUGUUCUUUUUUAUAUACUUUAGUUUAUUUAUUUAUUUAUUUAUUUGCUAUGAUUGAUUUAUUUUAUUAUUCGUUUUUGUAUUCAUUAUUUUUAUGCAUAUUAUUAUAUUUAUUAUUCCAUUAUGCAUAUUAAUACUAUACUUCAAAAAAAGGAAAUUUUUUCUAAAUGAGGCAAUAUUUAGCCUUUGGAAAUUCGAGAAAACAUGCCCUAAGGUUCUGGAUGUUGAUUUUUCUCGUUCAACCAAAUGGCUUAAUAUCCUUUUAAAAAUUUUAAAAUAAGGCAAUGUUUUGCGUUUAGAAAUUCGAGAAAACAUGCCCUAAGGUGCCGGGUGUUGAUUUUUUUCGUUCAAUCAAAUGGCUUAAUAUCCUUUUAAAAAAUUUAAAAUAAGGUAAUAUUUUGCGUUUGGAAAAUUCGAGAAAACAUGUCCUAAGGUGCCGGGUGUCGAUUUUUCUCGUUCAACCAAAUGGUUUAAUAUCCUUUUAAAAAUUUUAAAAUAAGGCAAUGUUUUGCGUUUGGAAAUUCGAGAAAACAUGCCCUAAGGUGCUGGGUGUCGAUUUUUCUCGUUCAAUCAAAUGGCUUAAUAUCCUUUUAAAAAUUUCAAAAUAAGGCAAUGUUUUGCGUUUGGAAAUUCGAGGAACAUGUCUUAAUGUGUUGAGUUUCGAUUUCUCGUUUAACCAAAUUGCCAAAUAUCCUCUUGAAUUUUAAUCCAUGCCAUUCAAGUUUUUUUAAGGAUCGUAUUUUAAAUUUCUUUAAAGUUUUUAGUUUUUCGACACUAAGACAUUAAGUAAUCAACUAGGUACCAAUUUUGGGCGUAUCGAGGGUGCUAAUCCUUCCUCGUGUGUAACCGACUCCCGAACCCGUUUUUCCCAAUUUCGUGGACCAAACCUGUUGUUUUAAUAAAAUCAAAUUGUUUAUUAAAAACAAUCAUUUUUCGAGGUGAUCCGAUCACACCUCAUCAAAAAGUAUCGGUGGCGACUCCCAUUUUCGUUUUCAUUUUCCAAAACCCAAGUCGACCCCGUUUUCAUCCAAAAAAAUGGUGUCAACACUUAUAUGGGUGCCGCAUUGGAAAGUGGAGGCACGAAAAAAAUGAUUCUUUUACAUCUAAUGAUUUUUGUAAUUAUGAGACAAUGAUUUUGUCACCUUUUGAGGUGGUGCGGCCUUAAGAAGUGGCGGGUAAAAAUAAGGUCAUUUUUAUAAAUAAUUUGAUACUAAAUCAUUUUCAUAAUUUUUAAUAUUAUUGGGUUAUUUAUCUAAAAAAAACCAUAUUUUAAAUAGGGAUAAAUUACUUUUCUAGAAUGUCUUUGUGAUACACGUUUAUGCUCUCUCUCUCUCUCUAUGUAUUGGGUAAUUAAGUAAUGUUUUUUUUAUUUUAUCUUUUAUUUUCCUUAGUAGUGAAAGCAAUUGUACGUUAAACGAAAAAAGGGAAAAAUGAAGUGAAUUAAAAAAUGGGUUGUGUUUAGAAAUAGAUUAAAGUAAAAUUUGUGUUGGAAAAAUAUGCUUCAUAUAUAUAUAUAUAUAAAUUAUUAGUUUCAUGAGAGCAAUACAUUAAGUCUUCUCCGAGGCCAUUAUUUAAAUAAAGUAUAAACAAAGCAUUCGUCUUAAAUCAUAUUAUAACAUUAUCUUAGAGUUUUUAAAUAAAUCAAUUCACAGUCCUCUGAGUUGAUCAUUAUAGAGGUAUUCUCUAGCAAUUCUCCCAUUGCCACCUUUAGGGAAGAACCCACCUGGCCUAUGCUCGUCACCGGUACUGUACACGAUUCUUAGAAUUUCUUGCGGUGUUCUCGGAUAAGAGAGCGAAUUCGGGUCAGCCGAUAGCACGUUGCUGGUGGUUCGAUUCUCGGCACCGAGCUCCUUGGGUACGAUUAGGCCUUCAUCCUUGAUACCACACUUGCCUAGCUCGUUCCUUAGCCUCGAGAUCAUGUUUGUGAAUUCAACCACCGUUAUGUCGUAGGGUUCCACUUUUUCAUCACCUUUCUUAUAUAACCAUUCUCUUGUAGCUGCAUCUUGUCCAGAUUCCACUCCCAACAGCCCUGCAACCAACUAUGUGACAUCGGAAAACAUUGAUUAAGCAUCUGAUCUAAAGUCAAAGAGAUUUGGCUUGAAUAUAAGAUAUCGUAAGUAUUUUAAAGAGUCCCAAUCAUAUGUAGAGAUAAGAGUAGCUGAUUACAUGAUAAACUUUAAAGGAGAAUAACAUAUAGGCAAAAUUCAACAAUUAUAAUUGAUAUUUUUGAAGUCCCAUUAUUUUAAUUAAUUAGAUUUUAUAAUAUAUAUUUUUAAAAGUCACUUCUUUGAAAAAAUUUAUAUAUAUAUAUAUAUUUUGAAAUUUGUAUCAACAAUAAAAGGUCAAUGUUGAAAAAUCUUAAUUAUUAAAAGUCAAAAUGUGACAAAGUUAGUGAAUAGGGCCCUGACCUCCUUAACUAAAUAAAAAUAUUGCUUUCUAGCCCCCCCAGAAAAUUGUGACAUUCAAUUUAAAUCUCUUUAGUCUAUGAUUAAAUAGAAAAAUUAUAUUUUUUGCUGCUCUAUAAAAUGUUUAGCUUUGACUCUCAAGGCCCUUAAACAAAUUCCUAACGCCACCCCUAGUGGCAAAGUUGGCACCAAAGCUAGUGGUCCAACCCUUGGUAAUCCAUCUUCUCCUCAAUUUUGUAAUAAUUCUUAAAAAAAAGAAAAAAAACAUUUUAAUAGGGUAUCAUGCCAUAAACUUACAUAAAUCAUCUAACAGAUACCAUAAAAUAUCUAAUAAAAAAAUAUAUCAAAACUAUAUAUUAAUUUCAUGAAAUUUUGUGUAAUUUUAAUCAUAUUGAUUCAAUUUUCACAAAUUACUAUCAAAAUUUUUGAAUUAGCACCAUUUUAUGUUGAUAUAUUGUAUACGCAUACAAUUAUAUAAAUUCAAUAUGAAAAUAAAUAUAUGUAUUCAUUUCUUUAAAUGUGUACAGUUGAAUCAAAAUCAGAGUUUCAUGUAUACAUAUGAAAUAAAUUACACAUUGAAACAAAAUUCAUGUAUAAAUUUGAUACUUAUCCCAAAAAAGAAUUACCAAUUUAAGGAAAAUUAAGGUACUUAGAACUGCAAUAUCACAAACAAUUCAAAGAUUUAACCAAUAUGAUUAAUAUAUCCUUUAUGUCCGCUUUAAGGAGAAUGAGAUUUUUAUUUACCUGUUUCGAAGCGAAUUUUUUGAGGCAAGGGGUUGUACCAACAUAGCCAUUGAGUCCCACAUAGGGGAUAGCAUAUACUGCUAACAUAUACUUGAUGGGAUCUUCAUAAGGAUCAAAUGGAGGAUCCAAAUUGUACCCUGCUGCUUUAUCAAAUAAUUUUGCAAAGUUUUCAGAGCUAAUAUCAAUCAAAGGCCUUGGAAUCCCACCGGUUCUUCUCACAAUUUCCCUACCAAGGUAACACAAAAUCAACACACUCAUCUAUAAAACCUUAAUCAUCAGAGCUAUAUAUUUUCGUUGAGAAAACUUACCUAUUAUGACCGAUUUCUUGAUAACCGAAUUCCUCGAUGAUCCGACGGGUAAGGUAGUCGAGAUUGGCCCGUUUGCCACCGAUCGGAGGUGGUCCGCCUUUAGCAAAUUCGGGUUCAAAGGCGUCGAGGCCUUUGCCAAGUGCACCAUACAAGAAGAACUCAGCUUCAAGGAACUCUAAGUUUUGAGCAAAAUGAAAUCGAUCAUUGUCAUCGGCAUCAUUAGGCUCGCAAUCACCGGGGCAAGAAGGGGUUGUUGUUGCCAUGAAUUGUAAUGGAAAUAGGAAGAGAAGUAUAGCACAGCAAAGUGUUGAUGGAGUAGCCAUUUUUCUAUAACCAAAUUUGUUACUUAAAAUUUUGUUUCCUUCCUGCAUGAAAAGAAAGGACCACUAGCUAUAUAUAAUGUUUUUUUGUUUAAAGGGUAACUAGACAUUUGCAUAGGUUAGUAGUUUGGAUAAUUUUUUCCUAUUUAAACUAUAUCAGAUAAAUUUUAGACGAGAUGAUAAAUUUAGUCAUUAACGUUUACAUAUUUUGUUAAUUUUGAUUCUUAUUAUUAUUUUAGCUAAAUUUUAUCCUCAACAUUUUAAAAACUCAAAUUGUUGUUCUUUUAAUGGAAACACCGACCAUUAAACUUAACAACAUGCAUGCAAUCUACGUGUAUUCCAUUUUUUUUAAAAUUAUUUAUUAACAUGACAUAUAAGACAAAUAGUGACAUAUUAAUAUAAAGUACACAUGAGUUACUACGCAAAUUUCCACACCAAUAUUUUAAAAAACUAUUGUUUUAUUCAAUAUUUCUAUUAAAAAAGUAAUUAAUUUUUAUCAAAACAACCCCUAAACAUAAAUAUAAAUAAAAAAUGAUUUCAAAUAAGGAAAAAGUAGUUUUCUAGAAUGUAUUGGUGAUAAUAUACAUAUUGGGUAAUUUAAGUAAUGUUUUUCAUUUCAAUUUAUUUAUUUUAUUAUUCUUAGUAGUGCAAGCAAUCGUACGUUAAACGAAAAAAAGAAGGAAGUGAGUGGUUAGAAAAUGGGUUGCGUUCAGAAAAAGAUUGUAAGUACAAUUUGGGUUGGGAAAAAUAUGCUUCAAAUGACCAAAUCCAAAACCUUAACUUUGAAACGCAAGUCAUUGCUUGAAAAAGGAGAUUUAAAAUUGAAAUUAGCUUAAAAUUAGACCAAAUUCCUUCAAAUCAUUAACUUUUCUUUCGUUAAGAGUUGGUACUACGUAGGCAUUGAAGUUUCAACUUUGGUCAAUUAUUUGAACAUCAUCAAUUUCUAUUUGUCUUAAUCCGUAACAACUCUAUCAACUCUCCUUUAGAAGGUAAAUGAGAUAAGGUCUUGAGUUUCUUGGAUUCUCCUCUCAUAUUUUAUGCACAUUUGAUUAUGCGUUUAGAGUUUUACUUGGAGAAUAAUUUAUCAUAAAUCAGUAAGUAUAGACUCUGCUUUAAAUUCGAUUCACUUGUCCAGUUGCAACUUCAUUCUUAUAUUUAUCCUCUUUUUUCCUUAAAGUUUAGUUAUCAAUUGAUGAAAUACACAACUUGUGGAGUUUUUAUAGACUCUAGAAGCUGGUUAAGGAUAUGACAAUUGUCUCAUUUUUUAAAUAUAUCUUAUGAGACAUAUGUCACAUCUUCAACUUGCGGACUUUAAAAUACUCUACAAGCUUGUAAAAAAUUUAGUGCAUUUAAAUUUUUUUUUCUGUUUUUGUUUUUAUUUUUUAUUAAGUCAAAUAAUUUAGUUUCAUAUUUUAUAGAAUUUGUGUAGCACCCCACCCACGGCCUGAACGUUAUGGCUGAGAAAUUACAUAAUUUCAUUUUAAACUCAGAUUUUGAAUUCAAAAACAUGAGUUUUGACAAUAUUAACUUUGGUAAAUUGCUAUCCAUUUUUUAGGAAAAAUCUCGUUAAAACUAUUUAUUUAUUUUUUACAGGAAAACACCUAAGUGAUUACUUUAUUGUGAAGCAGAAAUUUUAGAGUAUUAAAUAUUGAAAUCGCGACUUUAAUUUGUGAAAACAUAUAGCUUUGCAGUUACGAUAAAAAUAUUUUAUAGUCCGACAAAACCAACCAAAAUGAGAAUUAAAGUCCAAAAUAGUUUACAGUCCAAAAAGUUCGAAAAAUUCAGAAUAAUUUAAAAAAAACAUAAAUCGUCUUAUUUAUUUAACCAGAGAAACAAUUCGAGCUCCCGUGCGUCGCCCGAUUCUAAGUUUGUUGAUUACCUGAGAAGUCAGAAAAAUUGGGUGAGCUUACAAAGUUCAGUGUGUAACUUAGCCCACACACAAAUAGAACAUAUGUCAACUUCACCCAGAAGUAAAAAAUCGAAUAGAAUACACUGCAUGAUAUACCAUGCAAUGCAACAUAAUAAUAAGAUUAGAUACGAAUGACAUGGCAUAUCAUGCGAUGCAACACUUAUUACAUAAUAGAUACAUAUCCUACCCCCAUCCGCUACACACCAUCUCUGUCCAUCCUUACAUACCAAAUAGGGUAAUAAAUACCCAUCCAACCCCAUACACUAAUAAGUGAGCAUAUGUCACUAUAUAGAGUAGUGCAAUCAAAGUUGCUAGACAAUAAUGCGCUAAUCCGUCAUAAUUAGAUAAGUGUGGUCAAGCCACCAGAACAGAUAUGUAGUUAAAACCAAUAGAUAAGGCAGAUCAUUAAACUGCCAACACUUCUUCCAUCACAUCAUAAACCUACCCCAAUGUACAUGCAAUCACUAUCCAUAUAUCCAAAUACACACAAAUCAUACAUGCUUUACACAUCAGAACAUGCUAACAUGCUUUCAAAAGUUACAAAUAUAGAAGCAAAAUAUCAAAUUUCAUAUAUAUAAGCUAUACGUAUCACAUAACAGACUCAACAGGGUGACUAACCUCGAAUUGCACAUAAUAUAACCCUAACUAAAAUUUACAGAAAAUGGGCCCACAUGACCGUGUGGCCCAUAUUGCCUAUCUGGCUGAGCUUGUGUGGCUUACAUGAUCUGACACACGACUAUAUGGCUCACAUGUUCUGGCACACGGCUGUAUGGUGUUGACAGUAGAUUUUACGGCUUUACUUUGUAAACUAAUUUUUGGGAUUAUCGUUACACACCUGAUCAUUUUUCGAUGCCAAUGCAACAACAACGAUACCAACACCUAAAAAUGACUUUCAGAAUAAACUAUUUAGCAAAUGUCAUACUAAAUCCGACCAAUAAAUCAACCGUAACGCUAAACAUUCGGAUUGAUUAUUUUUUUAACACUAAGAUUCGGCCUUAACAAGGCAUUGAUCACUUACCCCAACGGAAGAGGAAUUUUGUAACGCUUCUAAUUUUUCGAAAGACUAGCCGCUUCUAAUUCUUUACCUAAAUCACAUAUUUCCAACCAUUCAAACUAAUAUUGCCCAAAAUAAGAAUUCAUAUCCAAACAUGUGAUAAACAACUCCUUUACAGAAUACAAGCCUUAAAUCAACACCCUUACCACCCACGGCCAGCAAUCAAGACUGAAAAGGAUGUUAGCGCAAAAUAACUCAAUAGUAGAAGAGACGAAAAGUAAAGGAACGAUAAGAGGGCAGAACAAUAUACGACAGUAACACAGUGGCAAAAAACAUCUUCAAAAAGAAAGAAAAAGAGAUUGGUUAUGGAAAAGAUAUGGAACAGAACAAAAAGAAAAGAAAACCAACAGAGAAAGAGUGACAGAAACUUAUUGAAACCCAAAAAAACAAAAUAGGAGAUGGAGAAGUGGACAGAGAGGACAGUAGAAAGUGGAGAGAUUUUAGAAAUAUUUUUUGGGGAAAUUUUCAAAAAAAAAAUUUAGAAAAACUACCUACAUCCUAACUAACUCUGAUUAGUUAUCAUUAUCAGAUUUUUCUAACAUAGGACCUCUAGGUAAGCUGAAGCUUUACCACUGAACUAGCAAGGUCAUUUUUGUCAAUAGUUGAGCAAAAAUAAUAUAUAAGCUAGAUGUUCAAGGAUAGGGGUCGAAACAAAAAUUAAUAAAGACUCAAGGGAAGGGAUGUGAACACAAUACCUUAGGCACAUAAACAUAACUCUUAACCACUAAACCAAAUCAGUUCACUUGACACUAUUCCUACAACAGUUGUUCUAAAACAAGGCGUGACCUUUUUUGGUUCAACAACCCAAUUUCUACUAACCCAGCUUUUGGAACAUGACAAUUUGUUUUAAGUAGUUGUACUUUUUUAGGGGCAGUGAGUUAGUAUUUUUAGCCUAUAAAUUUACUAUGCUUUGUUGUAUUUUUCGUUAAGUUCAAAAUCAAUUCAUCAGCCUUUCUCCAGUUUAUUUGUACUAUUAUUUUAUUCCAUUUUGCAGCAGUGUUUUUUUCUCUUUUUGUUUCAUGGUGUCAAGAGUUGUGUUGAAGUUUGAUUUACUUGCACUUUCUUUCUUCUUAUCUAUCAAGUGUUCUUUGUCUUCUUAGAGGAGAUCGAGAUUUGGGAAAAAGAGAUGGAGUUAACAAAUGUAGGAAGCAAUUCAAACACACAAUACGGUGUUAAGAAGCUUGUAGGUACAAACUACAAGUAUUGGAGAAUGUGUUGAGAAGCAUACCUUCAAGGUCAAGACCUAUGGGAUUUGGUUGCAGGAGCUAGUGAUGAAAUUUUUGCAAACACUAAAAUUCUAAACCACGUAGGAAAUGAAAGAUUAAGUGCGGCAAAGCUCUCUUUGCAUUAAGAACUUCAAUUAGCAAAGAGUUCAUCGACCGUGUUUAGGAUAUCAGCUCCCUAAGAGAAGUGUGGAAGACACUUGAGAUACUAUUUUCCAAAAAGAGUACAACAAUAUUGCAGUUGUUGGAAAAUGAGUUGGCAUCAUCAACUCAAUGGAGUAUGUCUAUUUUUGAAUAUUUCUUAAAAGUUAAAAUUAUUUGUGCGGAAAUUUUAGAAUUAGAUACGAAUCAGAAUAUUUGUGAUGCCAGGUUGCGGCGAUUUCUCAUUCAAGGAUUGAAGAAGGAAUACAUUUCUUUUGUUACUUCCAUUCAAGGGUGGGCAAUGCGACUUUUAGUUGAAGAGUUAGAAAGUUUACUUUCUAAUCAAAAGGCUUUAGCAAAGCAAAUGGCUAAGGAUUUAGACAUCGAUUCUACCCUCUUCUCCAAAGUGAAGCAUAAUAAGAAAAACAUAUCACCAGGGAAUAAAAAUAAUGAAAAAGGUGGUCAAGUGUAGGAAAAACUGUUGAUGGUGGCUCACAAAAUAACAACUCUAUUAAGUGUUACAAGUGCGACAAAAUUGAGCAUAUCAAGAGGAAUUGUAGAGUCAAGCUCUCCAAAGCAAAUGUUGUAAGUCAAAAUAAAUGACAAGAUCAAUUCAAAUGGGAGCAGUGAUUUAUCGUGGAAAUUGUUAAAAGUAAUAACACAAAAUCAACACUUGCUCAAGAUCUCUUCAGCCAUGAAAAUUGCAAAGAAGAGUGGAUCAUUGAUUCAGACUGCUUUCAUCGUGUAACUGAAAAUGAUGAGCUACUCUCAGAACUGCGUCAACACAUUGAAGAGCGGGUUAUUGUUACAAUAGACAAUUCAACUUAUCCAGUAAGAAAAUGAGUGGUGAAUUUUGGAAAAGAUGAAAUGAGCAUAGCCAAGCUAAAUGACGUUUUUCAUGUUCUAGUUUUGAAGAGAAAUUUAAUAUCGAUUUCUAAAAUUGCAUAUUCUGGAAAAUAUAUUUUGUUUGGGCCUAAAGAUUUAAAAGUGCCUGAUCACAUGAAAAAUAUAUCUAUUGAUGUUGUUACCUCUGGUGAGAGGAAAUAUUCUUUAUUUGUUAUGAUAACAGGAAAAGCCUAUGUAAAGAAGACAAACCAGAUGAAAGUGUAGCGAUUUGGCACACUUGGUUAGGUCAUUUAGGCUAUCAACUAUUACAGAAAACCUCCUCAAACAAGUUGGUGGAUGACAUGCCAUCCUUGAAAAAAGUUCAUGAAUGUGUAAUUUGUCAAGGGUGUCAAUUUGACAAAUCACAUCAUCUUUCGUUCACAAAGUCAUCAAAUCGCAAAUCUUCUCUGCUUGAUUUGGUCUAUAUAGACCUGAUGAGACUAAUAAAAACACCAAGUUUCAGUGGGUGUUGCUAUGUCAUGUUGUUAGUAAAUGCCUUCUCAAGGUAUAGUUGGGUAAAAUUCUUUAAAGAGAAAAAUGAGACUGUAACAAAGUUUGUCAAAUUCAGAGAUACUACAAAAAAAGAAUUUGGGAAGAAGAUUAAAUGUUUUCGGAGUGAUAAUGGUGGAGAAUACACGUCAGAUGAUUUUUUCCAAUACUACAUUGAUAAUGGAAUUUUACGGCAGAUGACGUGUCUGAUUACGCCUUAACAGAAUGGCAUUUCAGAAAGGAAGUUGACUUAUCUUAUCUCUAUGAAUCCCUCGUGGCUGCAUGACAAAAAUAUUCCUUAAGAGCUAUGGGUUGAAGUUAUGCAGUGUGCAUACCAUGUAAUAAAUCGCCUACCUCUAUGGCUAGGUAAAGAAAAGGCUUAUUUUAAAAUUUUACAUAAUGUCAAGCCAAAUGUAAAUUAUUUUCAGGUAUUUGGUUUAAUUUGUUAUGUUCAUAUUCCAAAAUCUAAUAAAACCAAGCUUGACUAAAAGCAAAGAAGUGUAUUUUUGUUGGCUAUGACCAUUGUAGGAAAGGAUGAAGAUGUAUGGAUCCAAAAAUAAAGAAGUAUGUCAUUUUCAUAGAUGUUUUCGAUAAAUUAUCACCCUAUUAUCAAAAGUUGUUCAUGAUGAUGAGAAAAGUAGUUUACAACUACUUCUUGAAAGAAACAUGGAAGCUCUAAAUGAUGAAGACCCUUUAACAUCUGAUACCUCAAAUGUGGAAGGUGGUGAGCAAGAACCCCAAAAGAAAUCCACAAGGGAGAAGAGGCAACCACAAUACUUGAAAGAUUAUGAGGUGCAAACCAACAAUUGCUCAAUUACUUUAUACUUCUUUAUUGGAGAAAUGGAUGAAGAAGUAUGUCAUUUUCAUAGAUGUUUUCAAUAAACUAUCAUCAUAUUAUCAAAAGUUAUUCAUAAUGAUGAGAAAAGUAGCUUACAACUACUUCCUGAAAGCAACAUAGAAGCUCUAAAUGAUGAAGAUCCUUCAACAUCUGAUACCUUAGAUGUGGAAGGUGGUGAGCAAGAACUCCAAAGGAAAUCCACAAGGGAGAAGAGGUAACCACAAUACCUGAAAGAUUAUGUGGUGCAAACCAACAAUUGUUCAAUUACUUCAUACUUCUUUAUUGGAGAAAUGGAUGAAGGAGUAUGUCAUUUUCAUAGAUGUUUUCGAUAAAGUAUCUGUUGAGAUUGUGUGUUUAAGAUUGUUACCAUUUACUUUUUUUUCUUGUUUCUAAGUUUGAAUAAUUCUCUUUUACUUUAGGAGCUUAGUUUUUUUAUUUGUUUGGUAUAUUGUUACCAGAUUUUUAGCAGAUUUUUAGAACCUCUUUUUUUAUUUUUAGUCUUGAACUUUUGUAUUUAAAUUGUUGAGGUGCAAAUCAAUUAUCAUUCUAGUCUUGAAUUAUUUUUCUAUUUUAAAACUUCAUUUCUCUUUUUUCUGCUUCAAAUCUCUCAAUCAAUCAUCAAAGUUCGAGUUCUAAUCACCAACAAAUUGGUAUCGAAGCUGUUUUCUUGAGGGAUCUGUGAGGUUAUUUGCGUGUUAAGAUAGAAGGAAGGUCCAGUUUUUCAAUUGUUGUACCACCAGUCUUCGAUGGAGACGAUUACUAGAUGUGGGCAGUUCGCAUGGAGACUUACCUAGAAGCUUUGGAUCUUUGGAAAGUUGUAGAAGAGGAUUACGAGGUCUGACCACUUCCAGCAAAUCCUAUUGUGGCACAGAUUAAAGCAUAAAAGGAAAAGAAGACAAGGAAAUCAAAGGCAAAAGCUUACUUAUUUCAGUUGUGUAUCAAAUUAUUUUCACACGAAUAAUGUCUCUAAAAUUAGCAAAAGAAAUAUGGGAUUAUCUCAAGGCUGAGUAUGCAGAAGAUGAGAGGAUUCGUGGAAUGAAAGUCCUGAAUCUAAUCAGAGAUUUCAAGUUGCAGAAGAUGAAGGAGUCUGAGUCGGUGAAAGAAUAUUCUGACAGACUUCUCAGCAUUUCCAACAAGGUGAGAUUACUUGGUUCUGAGUUGAACGACUCUAGAAUCGUAGAAAAGCUACUAGUCAUUAUUCCAGAGAAGUUUGAAGCCACUAUUACUACUCUGGAGAACACUAAGGACCUGUCAAAGAUCUCUCAUGCAGAGCUCUUGAAUGCUUUACAAGCACAAAAGCAAAAGAGAUCCAUGAGGCAAGAGGGAGUGAUAGAAGGUGCCUUACCUGUCAAACAUCAAGACAACAACAGGUAUAAAAAGAAGAAAAAUUUUAAGAACCAGUCGACGAGUGGAGAAAAUUCAUCAGGCAAUUAUUAGAAGAGCAAAAGAGGAGGUGUCAAGAAAUCUUACCCACUUUAUCACCAUUGUGAGAAGAAAGGUCAUUCACCAUUCAAAUGUUAGAAAAUACCUGACGCUAUAUGCUCCAAAUGCAAUCAAUUUGGACAUGAAGUAGUGACUUGCAAUGUUAAAGGCCAGGUGCAAGAAGUAGAUGCUCAGGUAGCUGAUCAAGAAGAAGAAGAUCAAUUGUUCGUGGUUACUUGUUUCUCAAGUAGAGAAUCAAGUGAGAGCUGGUUGAUUGAUAGUGGGUGCACAAAUCACAUGAUGUAUGACAAAGAGCUCUUCGAGGAAUCGAUAAACACUGAAGUCAAAAGAGUGAGGAUUGGAAAUGGUGAGUACUUGGAAGUCAAUGGAAAAUGCACAGUAGCUAUUACAAGCUAUAAAGGUAUAAAAUUCAUUUAAGAUGUUUUGUUUGUACCUAAAAUUGAUCAAAAUCUUUUAAGUGUUGGUCAGUUACUAGAUAAAGGCUAUAAAGUGCCAUUUGAGAAUAAGUAGUGCUUGAUCAGAGUUGCUAAUGGCAGAGACUUGUUCAAUUUCAAAAUCAAGGGAAAAAGUUUUGCUCUUAAUCCAAUGGAAAAUGAGUAAAUGGGUUUUAAAUCCAAAGUUAGUACUACUGAGACUUGGCACAAGAGACUUAGGCAUUUUUACCAUCGAGGAUUGCUUCAAAUGCAGUCGAAGAAGCUGGUGAAAGGACUUAUAAACAUGAUGAUGAUUUACCUCAUUGUCGAGCUUGCAAAUUUGGGAAACAACAUAGAUAACCCUUUCCUAAAUAAGCCUGGAGAGCCUCGAAGAAGUUACAGCUUGUUCAUACUGAUCUUUGUAGUUAUCAGAGAACGCCAUUGUUAAAUGGUAACCUCUAUUACAUAGCAUUUAUCGAUGAUCUAACAAGAAUGUGUUGGAUUUUCUUGUUGAAAUAAAAAUUAGAAGUUGCUGGUGUGUUUUGGAAAUUCAAAGCCAGAGUUGAGAAUAAAAGUGGAUGCAUGAUUCAGAUUUUAAGAUCUGAUAAUUGCAAGGAGUACACUUCAAAAACCUUUAAUAGGUUUGAAAAGAGGUUGAAAUUGAGCAUCAGUUGACAGCGCCAUACACUCCACAACAAAAUGGAGUCAGUGAAAAGAAGAACAUAUUCAUAAUGGAGAUGACUUGAUGUAUGCAUUAUGAGAAGAAUCUUCCAAAAAGCUUUUGGGGAGAAGCUGCAAACAUUGCUGUGUUCUUGCAAAAUCAGAUUUCAACAAAAGCUGUAAAUGAUCAGACGCCAUUUAAAGCUUGGUAUGGUUACAAACCUUCUUUAAAAUUCCUCAGAGUGUUUGGCUGCCUGUGUUUCACUUACAUUCCACAGGUCAAGCGUGAUAAGCUUAACAAAAAGGCAGAAGCUGGCAUUUUUGUUGGGUAUAGCACUGUAUCUAAAGCUUAUAGAGUCUUUCAAUGACACACUGGACAUGUUAUUAUGAGUAGAGAUGUUUAUUUUGUUGAAAAUGAACAAUGGAAUUGGGAAGACUCGACCAAGAUGAACCAAACUUCAAGUGUACCAAAUUAUUUUACCAUUGGCAGCACGUUAAAGGAGCUUAAAGAUGAAGGGUAAGAUGUUUUAGCUGAUGAUACACCUGUCAGAGGUACAAGACUACUCUUCAACAUUUAUCAUAGAUGUAACGUGGCUAUUUGUAAGCUUGCAGGGUAUCAUGAUACAAAAAACAGUCAACAUUGGAUGGCUGCAAUGAAGGAGGAGCUUUCGAUGAUCGAGAAAAAUAAAACUUGAGAGCUGGUUGAUUGACCUCUAGACAAAAAGAUAAUUGGAGUAAGAUGGGUGUUUAGAACGAAACUAAAUCUUGGUGGUUCAGUUAACAAAUUCAAAGCAAAACUUGUUAUGAAGGAAUAUGCAUAAGUCUUUGGAGUCGAUUAUUUAGAAACAUUUGCACCUGUUGCCAGACUUGACACUGUAAGGUUGCUGCUUGCUCUUGCUGCACAAAAGAACUGAAAAGUUUUUCAGGUAGAUCUGCAUUCCUAAAUGGAUUCUUACAAGAAUAAAUCUUUGUAGAGCAACCUGAAGGUUUUGUAAGCAGAGGCAAUAAAGACAAAGUUUACUUGCUGAAGAAGGCUCUGUAUGGCUUAAAACAGGCUCCACGAGCAUGGUAUAAUAGAAUUGAUGAUUAUUUGGUGGGCCUUGGCUUUCAGAAAAGUCAAUAUGAGCUUACACUAUAUGUCAAGCAUGAAGGUACAAACACUUUAGUCAUUUCUCUUUAUGUAAAUGACUUAUUGAUUACAGUGAGCAAUCUCGAUCAAGUUAAUCAGUUCAAAUUAGAAAUGAAAAAGGUCUUCGAAAUGACAGACCUUGGUCUGAUGUCUUAUUUCCUUGGCAUUAAGAUCAAACAAAGCCAAGAUAAAGUGUUCAUCUGUCAAAGAAAGUAUGUAAAGAAGAUACUUAAAAAAUUUCAUAUAGAAGAUUGCAAAGCAAUUAGUACUCCUAUGGAUCAAAAAGAGAAGCUAAUCAAAGAUGAUGGUUCUGCCAAAGUCAUUGAAGCUGAGUUUAGGAGUUUGGUAGGUUGUCUAAUGUACUUAACAACAACCAGACCCGACAUCUUGAAUGCUGCAAGUAUUUUCUCCAGAUUCAUGUAUUGUCCCAAUGAGACUCACAUGAGAGCUGCGAAAAGAGUUAGCAGAUACAUCAAGGGGACCUGGAGUUAUGAAGUGAAGUUUUUAAAGCAUAGGGAAUUGAAGUUAAUUGGUUUCUCUGACAGUGAUUGGGGUGGGUCAACUGAUGAUAUGAAGAGUACAUCUGGUUAUUGUUUUUGUCUUGGAUCAGGCAUGUUCUCUUAGAGCUCGAAGAAGUAAGAAACUGUAGCUCAAUCUACUGCUGAGGUAGAAUUUGUGGCUGCAACAGCAACAGUUAACCAAGCUAUCUGGUUAAGGAAGAUUUUUAUUCAUCUAAACAUGGAGCAGAAGUAAAGCACAGAGAUUCUAGUUGAUAACCAAGCUGCCAUUACAAUCUCUAACAAUCCAGUCUUUCAUGGAAAGACUAAGCAUUUCAACAUCAAGUUAUUUUUUGUUCGAAAAGUUCAAAAGAGCAGUGAUGUGUCUCUUUGUUACUGUAAAUCUGCAGAUCAAAUUGCAGAUAUCUUCACCAAACCAUUGCCACUUAGCAAGUUUGAAAGCUUCAGGAAGAAACUUGGAGUUUGCAGCAUUUAAAUAAGGAGGAGUGUUGAGAUCACGUGUUUAAGAUUACUGCCAUUUACUUUUUUUUGUUGCUAAGUUUGAAUAAUUCUCCUUUACUUUAGGAGCUUAGUUUUGCGAUUUGUUUGGUAUAUUGAUACCAGAUUCUUUGCAGAUUUUUAGAACCUCUUUUUCUAUUUUUAGUCUUGAACUUUUGUAUUUAAAUCGUUGAGGUGCAAAUCAAUUAUCAUUCUAGUCUUCAAUUAUUUUUCUAUAUUAAAACUUCAUUUCUCUUUUUCUGCUUCAAAUCUCUUGAUCAAUCAUCAAAGUUCGAGUUCUAAUCACCAAUAGUAUCAUCCUAUUAUCAAAAGUUGUUUAUGAUGAUGAGAAAAGUAGCUUACAACUACUUCCUGAAAGCAACAUGGAAGCUCUAAAUGAUGAAGAUCCUUUAACAUUUGAUACCUUAGAUGUAGAAGGUGGUGAGCAAGAACCCCAAAAGAAAUCCACGAUGGAUAAGAGGCAACCACAAUACCUGAAAGAUUAUGAGGUGCAAACCAACAAUUGUUCAAUUACUUCAUACUUCUUUAUUAGAGAAAUGGAUGAAGAAGAACUAAUAAGUUAUGAGGAAGCUAAAGAUAAACCAAAAUGGCAAGCAAUUAUGCUAGAAGAAAUUAAAUUUUUAAACAAAAAUCAAUCUUGGGAGUUAGUGCCAAAUCCAAAUAAUUACAAGUCUAUUACUUGUAAGUGGGUGUAUCGUUUAAAGAGGAAAUCAGAUGGAACUAUUGAUAAAUGCAAAGCUUAACUUGUUGCAUAAAUAUUUUCUCAAAGCUACAAGUUAGAUUAUGAGGAAACAUUCAAUUUGAUUGCAAAAAUGACAAUACUAAGAACACUUUUUCUCUUACAACCUUUAAGAGGUAGGAACUAUGACAGCUUGAUGUAAAGAACGUGUUUCUUUAUGACGACCUAAACCGUGAAGUAUUUAUGGAAUAAUCUAGAGGCUAUGUUUCUAUACAGCAUCCUCACAAUGUCUACAAGCUCAAAAAGGCGUUGUACGACCUUAAGCAAUCAUUACGUGCUUUGUAUGGUAAAAUGGCUCAAUACUUUAUAUUUUUUGGUUUUAAAGUUUCAAAUGCAAAUUCUAGUUUGUUUGUUAAACUAGAAUCAUAUUUACACUUGUUGGUCUUGUUGUACAUGGAUGAUAUGAUAAUUAUUGGAGAUAACGAAGCUGAAAUUUCUAAGCUGAAAAGUGAUUUAUUUGUUCGAUUUGAAAUAAAAAUCUUGGGAGAAGUUGACCGUUUUCUAGUCUAGAAAUUAAAAAAAAUAGAUGAUGGAUAUUUCAUCUCUCCAAAAGCUUAUGCAAAGAAACUCUUGCAGCGUUUUAGCAUGGGUUAGUCAAAAAAAAAAAAGCAACUCCAAUGGAGCUACAUCUCAAGCUGAUGAAAGAUGAAGGAAAGUUGUUGCAAGAUGUUACAAAAUUUCGGAAACUUGUUGGUAGUUUAAUUUAUUUAACUAUCACAAGACCAUAAAUUGUCUAUUCUAUUGGUGUAGUCUCACAAUUUAUGCAAUGUCCAAGGAAUACUUACUUAGAUGCAGGAAAGAGAAUUCUGUACUAUGUAAAAAGCUCUAUUGAUUAUGGUUUGAUGAAUGGAAGAAGUGAGAAUUUUGUGGUAAAAGGCUUUACUAAUGCAGAUUCGACAGGAGAUGCAAAUGAUAGACAUUCAACUUCAAGUAAUUGUUUCAAUACUGGUUCAGCUACGAUAUCUUGGUGUAGCAAGAAGUAGAAUAUGGUUUCUCUAUCUAGCACUAAAGUUGAAUAUGUGGCAACAACCAUGGCUGUUCAAGAAUACAUGUGGUUAAGGAUUUUGAUGGGCAAUAUGUUGUGCAAAGUUGAGUAUGGUGUGCAAAUCCAGUGUGAUAAUGAAAGUGUUGUUAAACUUGCUUCUAAUCCUAUCUUUCAUGCUCAAACAAAGCAUAUAGAAGUUCGUCAUCACUACAUUUGAGAAAAAGUGUUGAAUCAAGAAAUUGCUGCAAGGGAUCUUUACAAAUAACCAAGUGGCAGACAUUUUCACAAAAGCACUGGGAAAGCCUAAGUUUGAAGAGUUUAGAGUUGCACUUGGAGUUGUUGAUUGUAAGCAUGCACUAAGGGGGAGUUGUUGAUUUUUUUACAAAGUCAAAUAAUUUAGUUUCAUAUUUUAUGGAAUUUGUUUUGAGUAGUUUCAUUUUUUAGGUACAAUAUUUGAGUAGUUGGACUUUUUUAGGUGCAGUUAGUUAGUAUUUUUAACUUAUAAAUUUACUAUGUUUUGCUACAUUUUUUUAUUAAGUUCAGGAACAAUUCAUCAAUCUUUCUCUAGUUUAUUCACGUUCCUAUUUUAUUCCAUUUUGUAUCAGUGUUUUUUUUUUUCUCUUUUUAUUUCAAAGCUAUGAGAUAAUUUUCCUAAGUUUAAUAUGACUUGUUAAAAUACAAUCAAUGUUAAUAUCUAAUUGUCGAUUGUGCCUUCCUCAAUGGUUGGCUUCAUAAGAUAUGUUUUCAGUAAUAAAUUGUUAAAAAUUUUCAAAUAACAUAAUUAAAAUUUUAAACAAUUUCGAUCAAAAUAUAUUAACUAAAUAAAGCAAGUUAUAAUGACCUGCAAAAUGUUACUCAAUUUGUAACUAACGUUGCAUCUAGCAAUUGUAUUCCGCAAAAGCAAUAUAUAUAUAUAUGAACUAUGAUUUUUUUAAAACCAAACUAUCAACAAAUUGAAUAAUGUUAUUUGUUACCUCCAUAACCAAAAUCAAAUCAAUAAAAGCAAAAUUGAAUAUACAUUAUGAUUAGAGAUGAUCAUGAGCUAAGUCAGGCUGAGUUUGGGUCGAGCUUAAGUAUGAUAUUAAUAUACUUUAUGUUUGCCCAAGCCCGACUUGGCUCGAAAUAGGAUCUAAAAUUUUGCCCAAACCCACCCAUUUUUGCAAAAGACUAACCCAAGCCCAUUUUAGGCCCAUCUAUAUUAUUUUUUAAUUAUUAAAAAAAUAUUUAUAUUGUUUUAUUUUAAUAUUUAAUUAUUUUAUAUACUUCUUAUUUAUUGAAAUUUUUUAUAUAGUCAUCUUAACAUUAUUUUAAUGUUUACAUUAGAGUAUUAUUAUAAAUUUAGUAUAAGUUUAUUUUUUUUAAUGUGUUCUAAAUCACAUAAUAUAAAUCAUUUUAAACUUAAAAAUGGGUUGGGUCAGGUCAGGCUCGGGUUUUAAGCCUUGAAUGUUCAAGUUUGAGCCCAACCCAUAUUUUAAAUGGACUUAAUUUGUUUUUACUCAGUCCCAUUUUUCAGGCCUAAUGUUUUUGCCCAAACCCUCUUAAAUUUUGAGCAAACCUUCGGGUCUGAACAAGUCUAAUUAUGACUCAAAUAUAUUUUCCUAGCUUUAUUUCUUAAUCAUAAUAACUUAUCUAUAAAUUCAUAUAAAAAUACAGAUAUGGAAUAUUUUUUGAAUUUAUUUAUACGAAAAAUCUUUUCUUGGUUUGGAAGUUAAUGGGUGAACUAAAAAAAUGGAAAAUAAAAUAUUGGUUUGAUUUUUUGAUUUUGCAUUCCAUCCAAACUUUAAAAUUUAUAAUUUUUAAACUUAAUAUUAGUGUUUAUUGUUUAACCUUUCAAUCUCAGUCUUUCUUGUAGUUAAUUGAUAUUUUAUGAUUUUAAUUAUUGUAAAAUAAAUAAAAUCUUCAAUAUUUAUAAAUUAAUUCAAUUAAUAUGUAAUGCAAACCAUCCCUAGAACCUACUUCUAUUUCUGGAAUUCAACAAAACCAACUAACAGUCAAGAUCCAACUUCUUAUCAACCAAUAGUCAUCAUUCACUUUCUUUUAUACAUGUAUAUAUAAAUAUAUUUUAACAUUAAUAGUUUAAAAUAACUUUAUAUAUUUUAAUAUCUAACCAUUAAUUUCAUCAUGUUUAUAAAUUUUCGAUUUAAUUUAAUAUAUUUAUCAUAUUGAUCCAGAAUAUUUUUUUAUUAUAAUAUAUUUAUCUAAUAUCACUUUAAAUGUGAGGUUGUCAUAUAUCUUUAUAUUGUUGGUCGUCGGUUUUCCAAAUUAAAGUACCUGUUAGGUAAAAGAAAUUCAGAUAUCAAGUAAAUACAAAUUAUCAAAUUUAAGUAUCUCUGUAUAUAUUAACCUUUUUUGUUUUAAAUAUAAAAAAAUUCCAAAAUCCAAAAUUACAUCUCACUUAUAAUGUUCUAGUGUUCCAAGCUCUAUUCUUUGUAUUGUUUUGGUAGUUUAUCAUUGUAUAGUUACAAACUAUCUAUAGUAAUGCUUAAAAAAUAAGAAAAGUAAUGUAUUUCUUGUAUUGCCUAAUUACUUAUUAGCAUACUAAGUAACUUUGAAAGGUGUCAUUAUAUAGCCUAAGAAAGAGGCAGAUAAUAUUCUAAUAACGGGAAAAAAGUAGCUACCUAUUAGCCAAAUCUGAAUUAUCAUUAGAGGCGCUCAUAGGACAGGUCAGGCCUAAUCAAAAUUUUAAUUCCAUUUGUUAGGCCCGGGUCCAGCUUGAAAAAUGGGCCUAAGAUUUUUUUUCCAAAUUUGGCCCAAGUAAAAAUGUUAAAAUUUGGGCUCAAUCUGUAUUAAGUUUUUAUAUAAUUUUUUAUAUAAAAUUUUAAAAAUAUAUAAUACAUCAAAAAUACUAAAAACAUUAAAAUAUAUAUUUCUCAACAAAUUGAAACUAAAUUUUAAAGAUAAGUACAACUUAACAAGUAAAUGCCUCUAAAAUAGUAACAAAAUUAACAAUAAAAUAAGAGUUAUAAAAUAACAACAAAAUAGUAGCAACAUUAUAGCAAAAUGGUAGCAAAAUAGUAAAAAAAAAGCAAAAAAAAUCAAUUUUUUUUUGCAUAUUCGGAUCGAGUCAAGCUCGGGCCAAAAAAGCUUUGCCCAAGGCCCGACCCAUUUUCUAAACGGGUUAUUUUUUUGCCCAAGCCUAUUUUUCGGGCUUAUAUUUUUACCCAAACCCUCUUACUUUUCAAGCGGGCGGUCCGACCCAUCCCAUGAGCAGUUCUAAUUAUAAUUGGUGUAUGAUAGUUUUUUUUCCUAAUUAUAAUAGUUUCAAUAAAAUCAAUUAAGUAUUGAAUUAGAUAAUUAAUUAAUUCUGAUCAACUAAUUUAUUAAUUAAAAUAAAUCUUAAAAAAAAUUAUAUAUGUUUUUUAGAGUAGAAUUCAAAUAUAAAAUUUUGGGAAUUCUCAAAACUUCAAUCUUAUCCUUGAGCUAAAGGAAUGCAUGGUUAAUGGUUUCACACCUAAACCCUCUAAAUAGUUUGCCCCUUUAUUAUAAAUAUAUAUAAUAUAUGGGCUUGAUGAAGUUCAACAAAUAAUGAAUUACACAAUAUUUAAAAUGGGGUUUGGGCUUAAUUCCUUCUAUUCUUUGAUAACAAUAUUUAAAAAAGUAUUUAUAUUUAUAUAUUCUUAUAAUUAAAUUUUUGUUAUAAAUAAAUAUUUUGGGUACAAUAUGGGUCUCUACAAGGAGCUCCAUAUAUAUAUUUCAUAGUAUCAAGACAAAAUUAGAUUUUUAGGGUUUUACUUCUCGGUCAUCAAAGACAUCUCUUGACUUAUUUUUUCACCCUGAGAACCCUACAUAUUUUCUCCUCCACAUCUCCAUUUACGAUUCCAACUUAUAAAGAUGAGCCGUUCAAAUAAAUAUGAUUUUAUUAUCAAAAUAACAUUUUAAACUAAUUCAUAUCGAAAAUAAUUUUAUUCAAACCUUGUUCUAAAAAGAUUAAACAAAUAGUCCGACCCGCGAAUAAAUCUUAAGAUGUAAGAAUUAGGGCUUAGAGUGAGCACUUAAUUAUAAUGGGUAAUGGUUAAUGGCUUAACACCCAAGCCUUGGAUAGCUUGGGCCAUUGUUACAAUUUUAGGCUCUUAUGGACUUCAAUAAGAGACAUUUGAAGAGCCCCUUCCUCUUCAUGUUGGUUAUAAUCAGUUUCAUUUUUUUUUUUUAUUCUUUUUUCUUUUGGGUGUCAAUAUUUAGCCUUAAUUUUUUAAGUUGUAAUUACAAUCAUAAUUAUAAUCAGUCUAAAUUAAAAUAAAUAUAAAUAGGAUUCACGUAACAAGACUUAAAUUAAAAUAAAGAUAUAUAUUGAGAAUUCACACACGGUGAUAUUUGAAUUUGAGUGCUAAAAUUUCAACUUUAAUUAAGAAUUUAUGUGAAUAAAAAUGUUCUAGAAAGGAAAAGAAAAAGUUAGAUAUGAUUGUUCGUAGGUUUUAAGUAUAUAUAGAUCUUAAAAUUAUGCAUCAAUUUUAAUUUAACGUAAAAUAUGAUACUUUGAUUUGGUGCAAUUGUAUACCUAAUAUUUUUUAGUAAAUUUUUUACAAUCAAUAAAGUGAGAAAUAAUUAUAUCUAAUCCAAAGGUAAAUAAUUGUAUUAAUUUAAAUUUUAAAUGACUAAUAUUUAAUUAAAAUAAUUUUUUUAAAAGAAUUGAAUCUGAUCUCGAUUGGUACCAUUUUACUCGAAGGAAGGCACGUUAAAUUAAAUUUUUAUCACAUAUUAUUGAAUGAAAAUCAAAUUUUAAAUAUAUAAUUAAAUUAAAUCAAAAUUAUGUGUCUAAUUAAACAUUAGAUUGUUGACCUGAAUUACUAUCUUAAUAAUAAAAAUAAUUUUAAUUAUAAAAUAUAUAUUAUUAUUAAUAUUUUGUUAUUGAUGAAAUAAUCAAAUAAAAUAAAUCAAUUUUUUAAAAAAUUCAGAAAAAUUCUUAGCUACCGAGGGAUUCAAUCUAUUAGCAUUUAACAUUUGUACCAAAAACAAUCUCCUAAAAUUAUUAAAGGGUUAAUAUAACUUUCAGUCCUUAAACUUAUCAAUUAGAUUCAUUUUGAUUUUUGUAUUUUCUUUUGGUGCACUUUAAACCUGAAUUUGACAACUAGACCCCAUAUUGGUCAAAAAUAUAAAAGGCUGACGACAUCAAAAUUUGAUGAAAUCGGAACUAAAAUAGACCUAAUUGAAAAGUUUAAGGACUAAAAUGAAAAAUAACCCAUUACUAAAAUACGAGGGUCGAAAGCCAACGUAAAAUGGAACAUAGAUUAACAAUGUUCAUUUUCGGUCAAUCGAAACCCGCCUUUGGUCUCUCAACUCUCUUAAAUCAAACCCAACAAAACACAAGCUUUAAUCUCCUUUUUUCCCCCUUUUUUAACAGCAAAAUUAAAGAGAAAAUUUCCUUCCUUUUUUUUCCUUCAACAAUUCAGCUUUCUCGUAUUCAUGAAAACCAAGUUCUCUCUUGUACAAGGUAACUAAAAUCUUCUCUUAAUCUUCACCCAUUUCCAUGUCUUUUUCUAGUGGUUUUUAGCUUUGCUUUUUAUUUACGGUAACUGGAAAACAGUGAAGUGAGAAAAAAAAGUAAUGUUUUUUUUUGGUAAAUUAGGAAAAAAAAAAGGUUGACAAUCGAGGUUUAUAGAUGUUAACAAUAAAAACCCAUUUUUCCAGGUUGAUUUUGGGACGUGGGUUUUAACGUUCAAGUUCAUCCAUAAAGGUUUCAAGUUCAUCCAUAAAAGGUUAGCCAUAUGUUUUCUCUUUAACCAAAAUAAAAAUAAAAAACGCUAUAUUGCUUGCUUAUUUACUUUAAUGUGCUAUUUGCCUUUCUUUUUUUCUUUUUUUUUUUGGGGGGGGGGGGUUGAUUAUAUGUUUGGUCAAAUUGAGUUACAUGUUAAUUUUCACUGUACAAUGGUGGUUGAUUCCAUUUUACUGUAGAAAUUGUUUGACAUGUUUAUGUAUUGACAAACUAUGUUUCAUUGUCGUAGUUUAGAUUCUGGUUUUAUGUGUUUUUUUCACUGUUCAAUUGGCACGUAACAUGUGCCUUAUCAUCAUGUCGUUAACCACAAGGUUUUUUUUAGGUUCUUGUUGUUGGUAUUUAUCUGUCUUAAUUAUAGUAAAUGAAAAAAAUAUGCUGGAAUUUGAUUUUCUUAUGAUAGAUUUAACCAUUGUAUAGCUUUUGAUAUAUUUACAUUGGUGAUGACCUUAGUUUGCACAUGUGCGCGCGCUUGUGCGUGUUUGUUUCCUUUUGAUGAGUGCUUAUCUUUGUCGAUUGAAUUCAUGAAGUUUUUCGACCAGUUUCGUGUUAGGCUGGACAACAAAAUCAUCUUAGACCCUUUCGGGAAAUGCAUAUCGAGUCAAACAUAUUACCUUCUGUGUUUAGGCACUCUUUUUGCGAGACUGGCUAAAAAACCUGCCUGGUUGAAACUUUUUUUUUAUUACUUCUACGUUUAGUUGAAAAAUGGGACUAUAUCGAACUCCAUUUCUCAAUUUUUUAGUAUCCAGUAACCAACACGGGACCCUAAGGAUGCCAUGCUCAACAAUCACAAGCACAUUAGGCUAUAUAAUGGUUCUAGUGCCUGGUAUGCAGUUGAAUUCUUGGGGGUCACAGAUAGAUCUCGAGUUUAAGAAAAAUGGUAGAAUUUUCCGCACAUUGAAUGCUGGUAAUUACGAAGUUUCAUGUGCAAAAGGAUUCCUCCGUUUUCUUCUGUUCAUUCUUUAUCUUGAAUUGCAGUGGAUACUUUUGAGAAAUUGUGCUUAAGCCUUUAAGUUCGAGGAAAUUGUAUUUAGCAGUUGCAUGUAGGACUAGCAGUAGAAACUGAUGCUUUCUAUAAUUCUAUUUCGAAAUAUUGAACUGUUCUCAUACACAAUGAUAGUAUUUCUUUUUAUUCCAUUUAUAUAAGGGUGGUGUACCUAUGUUUUAUAUUUAGGACCAUCUUGAAGCAUAUUACGGCUAAGAAGCCGGUUUUAUGCAGUCUUAACUCCAUUUUAGUUUUUUUUCUUUCCAGUUUCAUUGUUUUUGCUUGCUUAUUGUGCAGAUGGAUACUACUGUUUCGGAUAACGACAUAGUGGGCAUUAAAGAUGAAUCUGCUGAACAAUUACAUGCUUCAUGUUCCUUUUUGGAUGAAAUAUUCGGAGAUCCACAGGUGAUUCCUCGUGUUGGAGAUCAAUACCAAGCAGAAAUUCCACCUCUAGUUGGAGAAUGUCACAGUUUACAGGUUGUAAAGGAACCAAUUGACACAAAAGUCGUUACGAGUGUGCCAAACCCUUUCCCAAUGGGGUUGCCUAUCCCUCUUAUCUGGACAAAGACUAAAGUUGAAAGCAUAAAUGGUGCGGUUGACUUUGAAAACAGUGGAGAGAGCCACAUUACAUUAAGCCAUUGGUGUGCAGAAUAUAAAGUCGAAAGUUUAGGUUCCGUGUCGGGUAAUGGGAACGACACGAGAGAGUAUUUAAAGCAUAAACCUACAACCAAAACUAAGAUGGUUGUUGAUUUACUCUCUCCAAUGGAGCCAAAAUCUAAGCCAAAUCAGGUGGAUGGUGAUCUCUAUCCGCUUCCAGGCUCUUCUAGUGAAGUGUGGAAGGAUAUCGAACUCAACAGUUUUCUUCUCGGGUUAUACAUCUUCGGGAAAAAUCUUAUCCUUGUGAAAAACUUUGUUGAGAGUAAAGGGAUGGGAGAGAUAUUGUCUUUCUAUUAUGGAAAAUUCUACAAGUCGGAUGGAUAUUGUAGAUGGUCAGACUGCCGAAAAUUAAGAGGCAGGCGGUGUGUUCAUGGACAAAAGCUGUUCACUGGAUGGAGGCAACAGGAAUUAUUGUCACGAUUGUCUUCUCACGUUUCAGAAGAAUGUCGAGAUAUGUUGCUUGAGGUGCAUUUCUGACUUUUUUUACACAAUCAUUUGAUCUUUCUAAAUAAUUAGACAUUUAUUUAUGUUGUUAUUCUUGUCUAACUUUCAAGAACCUCUAUCGGUUUUCGUUUGAGCUCCCGGUUUUUGUUAUCGAGUCUACUUAUAGUUGAAACUCUCAGUUCAUUGCGGAACUAUUGCACCUAAUUUUGCAGUUAUAUUUGGUCUAUAUUUGUGAGAGAAAUGUUUGCGCAUGAUGUUUUAUGAACUAUGAUUAUUGUAGGUUUCUAAGACAUUUGGCGAGGGAAAAGUAUCCUUCAAAGAAUACGUAUUCACUAUAAAGAACACAGUUGGUAUUACUAUGCUCGUAGAAGCUGUAGGUAUUGGUAAAGGAAAGCAAGAUCUCACUGGCAAUGCAAUGGAACCCAUAAAACCCAAUCACGUAGUUUCUUUUCGUCCUGAAAUACCAGUUGGCAAAGCAUGUUCUACUCUUACAUCUGUGGACAUUAUCAACUUUCUAACCGGAGAUUUUAGGUUGAGCAAAGCUAGAUGUAGCGAUCUUUUCUGGGAAGCUGUUUGGCCUCGCCUUUUAGCUCGAGGUUGGCAUUCUGAACAGCCUAAGGAUCAGGUUUUUUCUGGUUCAAAGAAUUCUCUGGUGUUUCUUAUGCCUGGUGUUAAGAAGUUUUCAAGGAGACUAGUGAAAGGCAACCACUAUUUUGAUUCCAUCAGUGAUGUUCUUAAUAAAGUUGCAUCAGAACCAGGGCUUCUUGAGCUUGAAAUUGAGCUGCCUAAAGACGGCAGAGAGGAAAGCGAAAAUAAGUGGGAGCCUGCAAUAAAACAAGAUCCUGGUUUUAUAUCGAACAAACAUGGUCGUUACCUCAAACCACGAAAUCCUGGUUGCAAUCGAGAUCUAAUGAAGUUUACGAUUGUAGAUACUAGUUUGGUCCGAGGGACUGAACGGUCCAAGGUUAGAGAGCUGAGAAGCUUACUUCCCGAAGUUGCUGCUAACUUAUCCACCCCCUCUAGUCUAUACAGUGAUUCUGAGGAGGAUACAUCUGAUGACUCGGAAGAUGUAUCCGAAGAAAAUAGCGUUUCUCAUGCUGCAGAGGCCACGGCUGAUGAGGGAGAAUGUGCGGAAAUAUCAGAUUGUGUAAAUAGUAAUUCGAAUAUUGCAAUUCCCCUUACCUCUGAUAUGAGCAUUGUAUCAGUGAAAAACCAUGAAAGCCACCAUGCAAGUCUGCUUGAUGACGACUGGAAAAUGGUUACGAAAGAGCAAGGUUUAACCGAUUACGCCAAUGGAGAAUCGAGUUGUAGUGUUGAAAAUGUUUCUGCUAACAGGAUGUUAAAUGAAGACAAUUUGCACUAUCGGUCUAACUCACUCGAUGAUUCCGAAAAUAUGGUUUUUCAAACGGGAUCAGUAAACUUGUCUCCUGCCGGUUCUUUGUCCAAAGGCAGUCCUGAUGAUCGAAAGGAAGGCAUUGUCGCUGAAAACUGCUUGCAUAGAGAAGAAUCUCCAACGAAAUCUCAGUUGCAUACAUUGAUAGACUUGAACGUUGGUCAAGUUUCAAUGGAUUUCGAAACGGAGAGCCCCUUCGUCACAGAGACCACUCAAAAUAGUGAGAAUUUGUGUGCACAUACAUCGUUCAAUCAGUCCGAAGUUACCAUGCAACCUGAUAAAGUUGCAGAGGUGAAUCAGCAGCCAGAAGUGCACAAUCGAAGGCAAAGCACCAGGAACCGACCAUUAACCACUAAAGCAUUAGAGGCUCUUGAAUGUGGGUUCUUCAGUCCCAAGAGGAAGCGAACGGCAGCGGAGACUCCAGAGAUUAACUCACAAAGAAUUCGCUGUAGGCCGGUUGGGAAUACCACUUUUAGGAAGCGAAAGGCGGUGGAGACUCCACAGAAUAGCUCGGAAAGUGUUCGCAGUAGGCCUGUUGUGAGUGCCAUUUUCAGAAAUGGUGCAGUGGGAAAAGAAUAGCCGGUUGGUCUUUCAAUUUGGUAACAACUCUUCUUUUCUGUUCAUGCUUUAUUGAUUAAUCCUUAGAAAAUUAGGAUUGUAGCUUUUGUUAUGAUAGAUUUUUUUUUUUAAAAUUUAUUGAAUGAUUUUGGGAUUAUUGAUUUUGUAUGAGAUUUCUAACAUCACAAGUAAUAAUUUUAAGAGGUUUAUUAAUACAAAUCCUUUAAAAAAUUAGGAUUGAUUAUAAAUUUAGCAUUUUUAUUUAAAAAUGGUUGUUGUUGCUGUGUGAUUAUUGUAAAUCUUGUGUUUGAAAAAUAGUUGUUGGCUUUAUUCAAGCGGAUUAGAUGUAUUUGUUCUAAAUGUUUAACAUCGGUUCAUAUGACUUUUUUUAAAUUUUUUUUAAAAAUUAACUCACAAUCCAAAAAUUCUUAUCUCCGCCCCGCGCCGGUCCAAUCUCGAAUCCGAGCACAAUACAUGGAGAGAAAUCAGCUGCCUUUUACAUAAACAGCAAUAGAGGAAGUAACAUGAAGACUGUUGAUAUUAUGAAGUUAUAUUUUUAUAAUUAAAUUUAAAUAUAAUAAUUAUUAUUAUUUUUUAAAAGGUAAACUAUCAAAAUAAUUUUUUUUGUUUAUCUCAAGUUAUAUUUUAAUUAUUUACACUUUUGCGUUGUAACAUUUUAGUCACUAAUUUGUUAAUUAUCGUUAAAUUAUCAUUUCAAACAAAAAUAUUUAUGUUAAUUUAUACAAUCAAUUCUUUUUUUCUUUUUUCUUUCGUUUUGAGCAAUUUAAUUUUUUUUUUAUAUUAUUUUAACUGUUUUUUCUUUAUUUUUAAUUUUCUUUUAUUUCUCCCUUUAUUUUCUUCCUUUCCCUAUUUUUUUAAUGUAGUUUUUCUAUGUUUUUCAUUUGUUAAAGCUAGUCUCUAUACUUUUAUUUUUUUAAAAUAAUUAAAUUUUUUUGAGUGAGACGAGCUUGUGUAUUAAUUUUAACAAAUGAAAAAUAUUAAAAAAAACCACGUUAAAAGAAAAGAAGACCAAUUAUAGAAUUUAGCCUAAAUUUUUUGUUUGAAAUGAUGAUUUAGCGUGCCAAGUCAGCUUAUUGUUACACCGUUAAUGACAAUUAACAGCUCAGUGACUAAAAUAUUACAAUGUGAUAACGUAAAUGAUUAAAAUGUAACGUGAAACAAACAAAAAUGACUACUUUGACGGUUUAUCCUUUUUUGAAACAAUAAAUUUUGAUAAAUCAAGUUUCUACUUAAUGGAAAUUUUAAAAUCCAGACCAACAUUUUAGGAUUUUUCAAGUACUUUUUAAUUUUAGAAUAAAUUAUAUUAAUAGUUUGUCAAUUAUGUUUUUUUUUCUAUAUUUGAUUAUAAAAAUUUAUAAAAUAAUUAUCAAAUUAUAUAUAUUGACAAUUUAACUAUAAAAAAUUACAAAAUAUUUACAUAAUAUUUUUCUGAUUUCCUAAUUAUUUUGAAUUUGAGUGUUUUCAUUUUUAUUUUAGUGAUAAAAAAUAAAAUUAAAAAUUGAUUAUGAUAUUUAUAAAUUUUUAUAAUUAGACGAGGGUAUUAGUAAUGAAAGAGAAUUCCUUGAAAGCCCAAAUCCGAUGAACAGGGGUAAAAUCGUGAUAAAGCUUGCCCCUUCUUAUCCGUCUCUCUCCAACAGGUAAAAACCCUAACCCUAAUUUAAAGAAUUGUCUAUUUAUACACGCCUCCGCUAAGUCCAACCCCGCAGCCGAAAGCCGACGCCAUGAAUUCGCUUUUUUCUUUAUUCGAAUCUUCCGAUUCGCCAAUUUCAUAGUUUUGAUAUAUUUUUUUCUUCUGAUCUUUGAUUUCUUCCUCUCUCGUUAUUGAAGGCGAUGAUGUUGAAAACUACCUAUUUUAUGAAUGGUUAUUUAGCCAUUUUUUUUGUGAUUAAAAAUCACCAAUGGAUCCUUCUGAGCCUUCUCUCAUAUUAUUGAUUAGUUAAAGUGGAGAUUGAGAUGAUGAUAUUUUGGUUCUGAAAAUAAACAUAAAUGUUGACUAAAAAGUCAGACUACAAUUAUCUGAUCAUUUUUGGCUCUCUUUUCUCUUUAUUUUCCCAUCAACUUUUCUUUAGUUCAUAAGAAAUCAUAUUUUUUUUAAGUAAUACUAGAGAUUGAGUUUUGGUUUAUCCCUAAAUUUCAGAAUCGGGGAUACCAAAUUUUUGGAAUUCUUUCUUUUUUAAUAACUGCAAUUAGAAUAAUUAUUUAAUUUAUUUUGAUCAAGUCAUUGCUUAAAAUCCAAUGCAUCUUUUAACAUAAUUUAUUCUAGUGUAAUCUAAUUUACAAAAAAGAAAAAAAAUCAUUUUUUUAUUAAUUUUUUUAAAAUAAAUAAUUUUGUUUCUAAAAUAAUUUUUAAAAAUAAAAAAUUUUAAUUAAUUGCAGUUGUGGCAUGGCAAUUCAUUAUAUUAAUUUUGAGUUGGAACGAGGGUUAAAAAUUCUAAAUUGAAAAUUUAAAUGAUUUUUUUUUUUUUUUUGUAAAGUUGAAGGUGAAUCCUAAAACAUCACAUAAUCUUAAAAAUAUUCCAUUUAUUUGAAUUGAAUAAAUCAAUUAAACUUAAAUUAAGUAGUUAAUUUAUACACAUUAUAAUUAAAAAUCUCAAAACCUCGUGUUUGCCAUUAAAGCAAAACCACAUUAGCAAUAUUUAACCUUUUUUUUUUUUGUUGAUUGUGAUUAGCAUGAAUGACAUUAUUUAUCUAUUUAUGAGUUGAGAAAAAAUUAUAAAAAUUCUAGGUAUUGUGACUAUAUAUAUAAUUAAAAUUUAUAAUCAAAUUAGUAAAAACAAAAAUUCUACUUUGGAAACACUAAUCAUCAUUAGCAUGUAAAUUUGAACUGUGAUGUUCGAUCCAUUUUGAAAAUAUAAAAGAUUUUGGAUACUCGAACUGAACAAAAAUCUAUUAUUUUUAUUUAAUUUUUUAUGAUGUAAAAAUAAAUAUUUUAUAUUUAAAUUAAUAAAAUAACUUAAAAUAUCAUAAAAAUUAGCUAUUUUCCAAAAAAAAAAAUUAUAUAAGAAUAAUUGAUUGCUUUUAUUUAUUUAAAAUUACUUUUUUAAAUAUAUUUAUGAAAAUUUUAGUUGGAAAAUUUCACAAAAAUGGAGAAAUUAUUCGUAAAAAAACUAAUAUGAAAUUUUUUGUUUAAAAAUUAAAAUUGAGUAGAAUAACAAAUCUAAUUUCUACCAAUUCUUUUAGCAUUUUACUGAUUACACCGCCGGACCAACCCGAUCCGGUCUGGAUUAUCACCCCUGGAUCCUUAAAGAAAUGAACAAUCCUUAAAAGGAGAUUAAAAAAAAAGAGGAAAACACAAUUGAACAAGGACAUGAUAUAUAACAAAUUCAGAUUUGGGUCCAAUUUUGUAGAAAGACUUGAUUAAAAUAAGUCAUUGCCUAGUAAUGAGAUUUUUAAAAAAACGUCAGUCCAAAAUUUGUCCUCUAAAUGUCACAUGGAGCCUAGCAACCGAUAUAUUUUUAGGUGAAAAAGUUGGAAAACAUGGACGCCAACACGAGUACGUUGGGUUUUAUUUGGAAGAUCAUAUCUCCAUGCUCAUUUGAAUUUGCAUCACAUAAAAGGUGUAGUGCCAGACAUGGAUACUCUAAUAAAAAUGAAAAAUCAGAGCACCAUAGCCAUCGAUCCAUAGGCAGCUUCCCGAUGAAUGCGACUGCCCAUAUUAUUCAACCUGAAAUGAAAUCAACGGAUACCGGUAAUUUAACAGAGACUAACAAAUAGAUCCAGAGCAUAAAGUUACAAACAUGAACAUUCCAACAGUAGUGACAUGCUUCAUACUCGGAUUACUAGCUUUUCCCACUUGAGAGUGUAAACCAGACGUGUGUAUGUAAACUAUUAGAACUCGGUCCGAAGAAUACCCAGAAUUAGGCUUGGUCAUUGAGGUUAUCAAAUUCUAUUACACACAUACCAGCACCUGACACCCGUACCCAAGUCCAAGCAACAUAGGACCAAACUAACCCAAUAAACUGAUUUUCAAUUCGAAACCAGCUAAACCAAACCGAAUUAUAAAUGGUUUCGGUCGGUUAAAUUAGUUUAAACUGAUUAAUGUUCACCCUAAGAAUUACUGAAACUAUAAGCCCUCCCAAGUCAAACGCCUACACACAUACCAGCACCUGACACCCGUACCCAAGUCCAAGCAACAUAGGACCAAACUAACCUAAUAAACUGAUUUUCAAUUCGAAACCAGCUCAAUCAAACCAAAUUAUAAUUGUUUCGGUCGGUUAAAUUAGUUACCCUAAGAACUAUUGAAACUACAAUGCCUCCCAAGUCCAACUACAUGUCUUGGACGCAAUUUGCCGAGACAUUUAGGGCUAGUUCCUCAUUGCUUUUGGAAAGUAUUUUUGAAAAGUGUUAUGAAAAAGUGCUCAUGAAAAAUGUGGUUUAAAAUUUAAGUGUUUAAUAUUACAGUCAAAAAAUGCUUUUGAGAAAUAAAAUAUCCAUUUUAGACAUGAUAUUGUGAAGUAAAAAUAUGCUUCAAAUAAUGUUCAAUUUUGUUAAUAUUAUGAUAUUUUAGUAAGAAUAUAAAAAAAUAAUUUAUUGUAACUCAUUAAUAUUUUAAUAUAUGGAAUAUAAAUUUUAAAUAUUUGUAAGCAAUGAAUAUUAAUUAUUUGUGAUGUUUAAUUUGAAUAUAUAAUCUAUAUGUUAAAAACGAUUAAAAUAUAACCAUUAUAAAUUUAAAUAUAUAAUGUUAUGUAUUUGAAAUAAAUUUCAAUAGGAAAAUAAUUAUAUACCCAAUAUAAAUAUUAAAUAAAAUAUAUUAGAUUAUAAAUAAGGGAUAAAAUGUCAUAUUGGCUCCAAAACUGCUUUUCCAAAAGCAAAAGCUAAAAAAAAUUGCACUUUUGACUUCAAAAGUUGUCUGUUGAGCAUUGCUUAUGGCUCCAAAAACACUUUCAAAAAGCAAUGAGAAACAAAGCCUUAGAAGAAAACAAUCCAUUCAAUAGAACAACAAUGGCCAGUGGAAGUGUUUUUACCUAUCAGCAUCAAGAUGGCCAACUUGAAGAUAAUAGAAUGAUGUCUCCCACAAACAACAGCACUUGCCACAUUCUGAAUUUUAGAACCAUUAGAAAAACAUGUUUACGGUACAUAAAUAUCUGACUGCAAUAAAAAAUAAGAAUGGUUAGAAGCAAACGUGGUAUACCAGAGCAGAAAAUGAAGGUAAUCAAAUAAACAACAAAGAGUGCGCCAACCUCUAGAGGGAAAAAAGAAAAAGAAAUUUUAUUCCGGUAAACUCAUUUGGACCUCUACCAUAGAAUUUGGCACCAAUCUUUUUCAUAUAUUGUUUCAACUCAUCUUGAUUAAUCAUAUGUGCAUACCAUGACAGGUACUAUGGUGGUUUACCUGCACCAAUAGAAAUAAAAGAUGUAAAACUGAAAGAUUACAAAAUCAGAAUGGAUUAGGGCAAGCUAUGUUCCUCCGACUCUUAAUCUUUCUUGAAGUACCCAUAUCCAAUGCCAUGUUUAACAAAUAUUCAGACAUUGGUAUGCAAAUAUGACACCAUUGUCUAAUGGGUAUGCAAAUAUAACAGAAGCAUACCCGUAUCCGACAUGUAACAGAGUUCGACUAACAUAAAGGGCAAGGGAAAGAAGGGGAAAGAAUAUUGCCUCAAUGUUGCAAUUUUGUUUUUAAAGCAGACACGAGAGGCAAACCUGAGAUUGUGAACUACAGUGUUCUGCUUUAUGAUGCUUGAACUGAUAAAAUAGAAGUCCUUGAGGCAAAAGGGUAAGCAAUUGCUGCUGCAUAUCCUAGUAUUUUUCUCUAAGUAAAAUUGUAUUAACAAAGUAAUUAGUAAGGUGACCCAAAACUCCCUCCGAGGAACAUUAAUGCCAAAACAAUGGCGAACUCUACUAUUAGAAUUCUACCGAUCUAUGCUUCAACCUAUAGUGGGAUUUCUCUAUAAAAAAAUUUAUUCAACCACAAUUCUUUUGGAGUGUGGUCACCUAUUUAUACAACUUGGAAGGAUAUCUAAUAUAAGCCCUACAAAUCACAUCUUCAAUACCAUCUUGAGAAGAAAAUUAAUAAAGCAUGUUCCAUGUCAAAAUGCAAUUGAAGCUUGUGAAAGAAUAUACAAAAAAAUCCCAGAUUUAUCUUGCAUCACGUACGUGUAAAAUGUGUGUUAGAAAGCAGGCACUGGUCAGCUUCUCAAUAUAAUUGUUAUGCAUUGCAGCAGAAACUGACCAUUCCAUUUCUUUUCUCCUCAAGGACUUCGUCACCAAGGAUAAACCAUAAAAAGGAAAAUUCCUUCCUAGUAUAAAUCAUGCUCAUUAACCACUUUCUCUUUCUUAGUGGAUAACGGCUUCCAUUGCAAGGCGUAUCAAACGUAGCAUCCCCUCUAUGUCUUGGAAGUUAAAAUCAAGAGCCUUUUUCACAGAAUAUAUAACCUCUCCCUUUUCAUCCCCUGACAAACUUGAUUUAGAAUGUGCAAAAGUAAUUCGUGAUUUCCUCGAAGCUUCCAUGGCAUGAUUUACAUCCUGUGCCUGCAACUCAUAUCACAUUUGAUUUUGGUCAUGAUGGAACCCUCAUAUAAGAUAUACAAGCCAAGAAAGAAUAAAAUGACAAUCUAUGAUCAUUAGAGAGAGACAAAAGACAAUUCAUUAAAGAAUCUUUUGUGCUCAAAGUUUUAAAACACAUGUCCAAUUUCAACAUACAUAAACCGGUAGUCUUUGGUUCAAGGUUAUAGGGGAAGAAAGGGUUCGUAAGAAUGUGACAAAAGCUUUUGGGCAUUAGACCAAAAGGAAGAACUAUUAUGGGGAAAAGGUUUGCAUUUGUUGGGGAGGGAAUGUUCAGUAAUGCUUUCAAGUGCAUACCAUUAUAAACGCAUGAGUUGCACUUUCAAAAUCACAUACAAGCAAAACUACACUUACAAAAUUGAGGAACCGCACAAAGAUAGGACGGUUUCGAGCAGAAAUAACAUGAUUUGCAGCAACCUGGGGAGGGCUAACACCUUUUGAAAAAGCAACCUUGUCUGCUGUUGUUGGGUGGUUUAAAUUAUCAACAUCGGAGGCAGAAGAAGAAGGAGACUCGCCUGAUAUCGAAACAUCCAUCAAUAUCAAGAAAAGAAGUUAAAUUAGCUCUCAAUUUGUCUCAUUCAGUGAAACUUUAACAUUUACAAAUGAAUUUAAUGUCCAUAAAUUAACAUAAAGAAGGGGAAAAAAAAGGUGAAAAGGGUCUAGGGAGAUAGAAGUACGAUGAGCAGAAUUGAAAAUAUCUUUUCAUAUGUAUAUAUUCCGGCAGGGCCAGCCUAAACUUAGUUCCAAAAGCAAAUUCGUAAUAACAUCUUAAAUGUCAAAUAGCAACUAGACAUUCUCUCUUCGGGAACUCCCCCCCCCCCCCCAAAAAAAAAAAACGAAAUUCAUGGGAAGUAAGCAAGUAAACUAAACAUUUAUGCAGAGCAAUCAAUUUCUGCCUUGCUACUAAAACAUAACCUUCUCAGGUUGAGGUAUUUUGAUAAAUUAAACAACAAGAUUCCAGAAUAAAUAUGCGAGGCUGCUGCUCCUUGAUCACUAAGUGCAGAAGAGCCAGAAACAACAAUUACAAGUUUAUGGGCUAGACAGAGAAGCAUCAAGGAAUGCAGCCAGUACAAUCACUGGGUUCUUUGAAUUACCAGGAGGAACCAUUUGUAAAGCUGUCUGCAACUCAUGUCGAUCUCUACUUGCAUUGGCAUGAGAAGUAUAGAUGACUCUCAUAUAUGCCACCUCUGUACACUUGUAGGCCAAAGAAGCAGCAGCCAUUUUGUUUAAUCUCUCAUAUUCAUGGGCACAAAACCUGAAAUAUCAAUUAGUAACCACACAAAAGUAAAAGAAGGUGCCACAAAAAAUAAAUCAUCCCAAAACCAAAUGCAAUAACAGAAGAUUCCACGUUGCAAGAAACUUUUUUAGCUAAAACAAGAUCAAGUUCCAACGAAGUGUUAAAAGAAAGAGAAAAUGGACUAUAACACCUAAAUUUUAACUUACUCGAAGAGUUUUGCAGUGCUACUAUAUAUUUGCAUAGACUGAAUCAUCUCUCCAUGCUUAGUACCCUCAUUAUUGCAAGAUUCGAGUAGAGAAGCACUAUAAAGAAACUUCAAUGCUGCCUGGAAGUAAAGUCCGAUGCUCUCCACAAUUGAUCCAGAGUUCUAAGAGAAUUUUCAAAAAUCAGAAAGGAUAAAAUCAAGCUUGAUAGAUGCUAGGCCAAAAUAAAAAUGCAACAAAUUAUUUACAAGGAAACAACAAGGUAAAACCUUGACACGGUCAGCCAUAUGCUUUAAAUCUGUAGCCUCCUUCAAAGCAUUGGUAGCUGCCUGGUUUGGGGAAUCCUUUCUCAUUGGACUAGGGGCAUUAAUGCCCCUGAUCCUAUGUCCAGUAUGCCUUGAACUACAGUGCUGAGCCCCAUUUUGACGAUCAGCCUCCUUUAUUUGUUUUUGUACCUUCAAAGCAUCAUCACUUUGAGAUCCAUCAGCUCUAUUUCCCUUUUGGGACCCAUUAGGGUGGGGGCAAUGAGUCAGUAUCUCAUUUUGAGUUCCUCCGGAGGGUGGUAAUGAUGGUGAGUUCCCUCUCCCAGAAGCAAUUUCGGCAUGAUCAGAUUUGUCAGAAUGGAAUCUUUUCAUAUAUUUUUUAACAUUGCCAUCCAGCAUGAUACUCUUCUUCACAGUGCACAUUACAUCUUGACCUCCAGUUUCAUCAGGUUUAGCAUCUGACUGACCAACAUUUCUUUGAUUUUCUCUUUUACUACUCUCACUGGAUAGUUUUCCCAUAGAUUCUUUGUUAUCAUCAACAGAUCUAUUCUCACUUCCAUUAGACUUAACUCCAAGCCUCUCCUGAAAAUUAUUUCUGCCAUUCUUAGGUUUUACCUUACAUAAAGGCGUACGACCUUGCAUUUCAUCCACAUAAUCAGAUUUAAAUUUCUGACUUCUAUCCUUUGACCAUGAGGACCCCUUGCCCGACUUUCUUGGCUGAGAGACAUUGUCAUCACCAUGUUUGUCAUUCUGAUUUUCUUCAUCAAGGAGUUCAUCAGCAGUUGUUAAUUCAAUGUCAUAUUUAACCUCUUGGCCUAAAUAAUCAACACUACCAUUCAUAAAUUGCACUUUUCUGAUAUUAGGAGAAGAUUCAAUCGAAGCCUUAGCUCUACUGCCACCUAACUGACCACCAUUCUUAUCUUCUGUACCACAUAAGCGACAUUGGGACAGAGUGCUAUCUAGUUCUUGCCCACUAUGGUGAUUCUUUGAAUGUAUUUUUUUUUUCUCCAGCUUACCAUUGUUUUUACUUGAAGAGGUAUCCUUCCCCCCAGUCGUAGAUAACCUGACCUUCUUUUCCUGCCUGUACUUAUUUUUGUUGAACUCUUCUUUGGCACACACCGUUCCAUCCUGGAGGUGGUUCCCCAUAAUUUGAUAGGAACCUGAAUAUAAUUGAUUAUUAAUACAUUCAUCAGCUUUUCUCUUCCUUGAAACUUCCCCACCAUCAAAAUUUACCAGAUCCACUGAUCCAUCAGCCGAGGAAACCUGAACUUUGUCCUUUGGUCUUUUACCAGAGACCUGUUGUCUGUCCUCCGUAUCCAACUUUGGAGCAUUAUAAGAAGAAAGUUGACUGGGUUUAGGUUGAUCCUUUCCUGUAGAUGCGGUUGGCAGAUCAUUACUCGUGCUAAGAUCCCCCUUACCAGCAUGCUCAUACAUUGAAUUUUCAUCAACAAGAUGCAAACUUUUAGACUUAAUUUUCUUGGACGCCCUCAAAGAAUCUUGAUCAGAGAUCCUUUUUCCUUUCAUCUUUGAAGUUUUGGCAUCACCUAAUCGCAUGCAUUUUAUAAAAACAUGUUAUAUAAUUUAGAAAAGUAGCUCUAACUUUACAAUAAAUAUCUAUUUAGAAAGAAUACCUCCACCAGAUCCAUGUUCUGACACUUUAUGCUUCUUUUUCUGCUUACUUUUGUGUUUCUUGACAGGCACGCCGCAUUUUCUAGGAUCACAUAAACUUGAUCCACUUACCACGAGAGAUUUAGUUAUAUCAGUUGAACUCCCGGAUAGAACUGAUGCCUGGAUGUUCUUCUUCAUAGGAGUUGGCCCAUCCUUGUCCAUUGCAUUUGAUAUUUCUUUUAAACCAUGUUUCUUCCUUCCAGAAGGGGGCAUGGCAUGUGAACCAGAACAUUGUUGGUUUUGUUCAGGCUGUAAGGUAUCAGCUGAUUUUAGUCUGGACAUAGUACUGCCAAGAUUAUUUUGCAAAUUAGUUUGACUCACUACAGCAGGAACUUGAUGCGAUGUCAAAACAGCUUUUGUAGUUUCCUCCUCAUCAACACUGCAGUGGUUCAUUGCAGGCCUAAACAAUUACAACACAAACAAUAUUAGAGAGAGAAUCCAUCACAAAGUUAACCACCAAAACCAUUUCAUGUUCACUCCAACACCAUAUUAACAAUACAUAUGUAUGAAAAAACUAGGAGUCUAAACUCUGAACCAUUAUAUUUAUAAAAAUUUAGAGGGGUGAUAAAGAACUUACAGCCAGUUAAGCAUGCUGCAUACCCACUUCUCAGGUAAAUCAGAAGGAUUUAAGCCUAUUGGAAGAAGGCGCCACUUCAGGCACUUGUCACAAGAAACCCAAUUUUCAUUUAUCAAUACAGGAGCUGCAGUUCCAGGGGAAGCUCCAACAGUGUUCACACAGCCAGAGUUAGAAGCACCAUCCAAUGUUGCUCCAGGGAAUGAUUUGCUUGCCCGUAAAUCCUCUCUUUUCUUACCACUUCGUCUGCCAUUAUGUGAACUAUUAAUGGCUAAUGUGUUUUUUCCAAUCAUAUCAUCUUCCUUCAGUCGAUCUUUAGAACGAAUUUCUAAAGAACUUGUUAGGUUCUCUUCAUGUUCUGAUUCUCCAACAUCUCCAAAAAAAUCUCUAUCCCUAUCUUCAGCCUUUUGAAAAGGUCUUUCUAAUUUUUGGUCUCCCAAGUCCUUUUUGUUUGUAUUAUUGUUCACAUGAGCAGUCUGCUUAUUUUUCAGCGUCAAAGAAGAACCAACCCUCAAGCUAUCUUUUGGUACCUCGGCAGCUAGACUGCCUUGACCAUGACUGCUUUUUGAUUUAUUUUUUCCACCAGAGAAGGUUUGCUCCUUGGCAGAAGGCAACUUCAGAUUGUUUUGUUCCUGCAAUGUAGCUUUCAGGUUGCUCUUCUUCCUAAGAGGAUCUACCGCUUCACUAUUUAGAGCUUUGCUACCUUUUGGAACAUUAGACUCAGCUUUAACAAAAUUAUAAGUGUUUUCUGCUUUAAUAUACUCAUAUUUUCUCGUGCAACCUGAAUUAUCAUCUAGAACACUUGUCUUUUGUUCCCCCAGAACCUUUUGAGCUGAAUUAACCCUUGGAUUCUCCCAGCCAAUAUCUUGGGUAAGUAUAGGCUCCAGUGACUCCUCCACAGCUACAUGAUGUACACCUUUAUUUCUUGCUAUGCUAUUAUCUUUUACCUUGCCAACAGCAGAAUAUGGAUUAGAUAAAAGAGGAAGCUCUAAUGUUUUUGAAACAAGCUCCUCACAAGCCAAUGCGUCAAUAUCUACUUCCUUCUUUGACAUGAUAACAUUGCCAUUCUUUAUUUCCCUUUUACUGCCACCGUUCCUUUCCACCAGAAAAUCCUUUUUCUCCACUGAGUCUGAAUUUGCUUUCUCAUCACCUAAUAAUAUUUCAUCACCCUUUCCAGAAUUCGAUAUAUUCUCUUUUAAGAUUUUUUCCUUCACAAUCAAGUUAAGUAGAUGAUCAGAGAGAGGAGACAAUAGUGCUUCCCCAGGUACCGGGAAGGAAGUCAUCAACUGCUCAAAUACAUUCAGAAUAAAAGAAAAUAUUUCAAUCACUUUAGGUAUAUCAAAUGUAAGAAAAUAUAAGAUCAAAGAUAAAGAAAAACAUUCCUUUAAUGAGAAGAAUAAUAAACAUUAAAUGGAGGAUUUACCUGAAGAAUACUGGUUGGAGAUUCAAAUAAGGGCUCUUGAGUGCCCCCAUACAUCCCUUCACUUUCAGAAGGGCUCUCAUCUAAGGAGGAAGAUGGUGAGACAUCAAGGCCAAGACCACUGUAGAUUGCAGCAUUUUUUUGUGUCAAAAAGUUGUCUGAACCCAUUUUGAUUCGUAGCUUCAAUGUUUUCUGGUCUGGCAGAUUGGAAACUUUCUUGUCCGCAUAUUCACACCUGGUGGCAAGCUCAUGAGCAUGAGUAGAUGUUAAGCUGACCUCUUGCUUAAUUGAAUCAUUCGCAUAUGAUGCCUUUAAAGCAUGGAAGGUUCCAAAAUUUGUAGGAUGACGACCAUCCUAUAUAACAAAACAAACAAAGUGCUCACUUUAACUUGGACUUCUCAAAUCAACCAACAUCCUGCAAAAGAUUCCUCCCUUAUACAAAUUGAACCAUACUUUCAAGUGAGGAAAAGAGAAAUAAAGAAACUUUUACCUCCAAUUGUAUCGUGUUAGGAAAUCUAGGUGCAUUGCAAUUCUGAACUUUCGGUGAACUCGUCGGAUGAGACCGGCCAGGAGAACGUUGAUAAGUAGGUAAGAAAGAUCCAUACCCACCAAAUUUUGCCCCUGUACAAAUGCCAAGAAUCAAAAUCCGGAAUUCAUCAAUUACAAACUAUGAAUUCCAACAUAUUGACUCUUGACAUAAAGAACAACGGUUCUCUUUUUCUUCCAGCUUACCCAGGUUUUCUGCAGAUACUCCACCUUCAAAAUCCUUUUGAAAAUGUCCAAGAAUAUGUUGAAUUUUCUCGUCCUUAAAAAACAUUACAGGAGCCACACAUCACUAAAAAGAUCAUAAACACAUGGAGAGAAACUAAGAACAAACAUCAGAAAAGUUAUAAGAGAGAGGCCUAUAUACAUAUAAUCCUACACCAUUACACUAGCUCUUAGAAGCUAAUCCUCUAAAAGCAUUUAUACUACAAUGAGAUCUACAAGCUAACUAAUGAGCUUGAAUCUUACUCUCCUAACUUCCAGUUAAGAAAUUCCCAUAAUUUACCAUAAUAAAACAUCACCAACCUUACAUUGAAGCGAACAUUCAAGAAAUGCCACUUGAAUUUUACUCUGCUAACCUAUGUUGCUCAGACUCGUCAAUUGCCUUAAAGCUUAAGACACUUGAUUCACCAUAAAAGGGUACGAGAGAAAGAUACAGGUGUGAGGAGUCGUUUUACAUUUACUUUAAUAUAAUAUAUACAUUUACACAAAUAUAAUUUGCAUGAAUUAUUUGUUUGAUUUUGAUAGUUAAUUUCAAUUUAGGUGAAUAUUAUAAUGGAUGAAGACCAUAUUGAUAUGUUGUCUAUUUUUUUAGGUAUGAUUGUUGUAAGGGAAAACUGGUUAGACUAAUAUUCUUGUUUGAGCCAUUUAUUUUUAAUUGAGCCUUAGCCUUAAUCUUAAUGAUUAAAGAAUUGGACACAUAUCCCGCACCCUUGUCCAUGUUGUAGGUGCGGAUGGUCAUAGGAGCCAGGGGGGCCAAAUUUUUUUGAAAAUUUUAAUUAGGCCCCAAAAAUAUUUAAAAGUUCUAAUUAAGCCUUCCAAAAGUUCUAAAAAUUUUAACUAAACCCCUUCAGUUUUUUUUUUUGUAAAUUCUCAUUAAGCCUCUAAAAUUUUGAAAGUUUUAAUUAUGCUCGUCAAAAUUUUUGAAAAUUCUCAAUUAAUCCCCCAAAACUUAGUGGCAAGAUCUGCCAGUGCCAUGUGGUGUCAUGCCAACACAUGUGUGACUCCCAUUUUGGUGAGUCUGAGUUAUAGAGCUGCUAACUUCCAAUUACGAAUGUUAAUUUCAAAAUUACCAUAAUUAAGCAUCACCAACCUUACAUGGAAAAAAGUUACAAUCAAUUCCUUCCCCAUUAAACAUGUGUCCAACUCACAUCCAACAAUUCAAAAACCCUAAAACCAUUCAUGCACCACUACCAAAAACAAAAAUAAUUAUUUAUGAUCAUGCUAGACACAUUGCACAAAAAAAUUAUCUUCCCUUAAUUAGAUGCUUUAUUAUGAUUAUCAUCUAAAAGAAUUAAUAAGACAAGGAGACUAUAUAAGGUAACUAAUGCACAUGAAUCUUACUCUCUAACUUCCAAUUACAAAAUCCCCAAGGUUAUAUUCAACAUUACCACAAUAAAACAUCACCAACCUUACAUCAAAACAAAAGUGAAAAGAAUGUCACUUGAAUCUCACUUAGCUAACUUCCAAUUAUGAAUGUUACAUUCAAGAUUACCAUAAUUAUACAAGGAAGCAAAGUUAUGAGCAUUGAACCCAGUGUUUGCUCCUGCAAAAGGUGUGUGAGUUGUAACAAAAAAUAUAUAUAUGUGCAUUGCCUUCUCCGGUAAACAUGUGUCUAACUCGCAUCUAACAACUCGAAAACCAUAAAAUUAUGAAUACACCACUACAUACACACUAAACAAAACCCUUCAUUUAUGACCACGUUACACAUGUAGUAGAAAACAAUUCUAUUCACCUAAUUAAACCUCUUAAAAGCUAAAUUCUUUAGAUACGUACAUCAUAAACCACACAAAACUAGCAAUAUUGGAAUAAAAAAUUAAAAGCCAAUCAUAAGUUAUAAAGAAAGUAACACAAACGGUAAAAACAUUUAAACUGAAAUUAUAAUACAAAUGAAGAAAUAAAAACGAGUCAAAACAAUAUAAAUGAACAUAGAAUUUUUUUUUUUUUUUAAAUGAAAGCCAGCUUUUUGCAGAUCAGAGGAAAUAAGAAGCACCAAGUUUGCUUACAAUGUAAGAGAGAGAAGAUAGAUCAUUCUUGGGGCCGAAUGUGUCAUCAUAAGCAUCGUCAUUGUCAUUAUUUGAACAGGCCUCUCCUUCUUCAAGCUCAGUCUCUUCCAUUUCUCUUGCACCAAAACCUAAUCCUAGCCCCUUCCUCGUAUCGUUACACCCUAACGAAAUCAUUCAAAAAAAAGAGAGAACAUUUUUUUUAAGAAAAAAGGAGAGUAAAUCUGACCUGAAUUAUCAAAUUCUCAAACGUAGUUUUCUAUUAUUCGAAUCCCACGAGUCUUUUUCCCUACCAUUUUGAACAACUCCCUAAAACCCACCAUGAGGAAAGGGGCUCUUCUACCCUAAUUUCCAUAAAAAAUAAAAACAAAAAACUCGAUCACAAAUUCAAACACCUAAUCAAAAUUUUAGAAUGGUUCAAUUUCCGAAAAGAAUAAUAAAGCGAUUUAAACUCAAGGAUCUCCUCGAAUUUUAUUGUUUCGUAGGGAAAUUUUUUGGUUCUUUUUUUUCGAUGCGAUCUCUUUUAGCUGGAAUCAAUUAGCACGUAAGAAAAUGAGAGAGAGAAAGAGAAACUCUCUCUGGUUUUGGUGUCAAAGCAGCCGCCUUUUAUUUGCUUGUUUAUUUAUUUUUAUUUCUCUUCUCUCCUUCUUCGUCGUUUUUUGUUUUGAUCAUUUCUAAGUAUUUUUACUUUUCAAGUUGUAUAUUUUAGGUUUUUUAUUUGAAUAUUAAAAAAAAUAUUGUGGUGGUUGAUCUUGAAAUCCGAUUAAAUUGGUUAAUUGGAUUAAAAACGGAUCAAUAUAAUUAUUUAAACAAAAAAUUUUGAACCAACUAUUUAAAAGUUGUAAAAAGAAAAUCUAAAUCAUUGCUUCAAUUUUUAAAACAUUAAAUAUAUUUGUAAGUUAUUAAUUAUUUGCAAUUAACAUAUGUUAGCCUUUCUUUGGAUUAGGUUUUCUCUGUUAAUCUAAAUUUAGACGAUUUGGAAGACGACCCUAUUUCAGGAUAAGAGGAGAUUGACGAAGGAGACGAUGACUUCAGGCUCUGCUUAGUAGGCAAGGUGCUAACUAGAGGUGCUCAUGGGCCGGGCCGGGUUCGGGUCGAGCCCAUAAAAUAUUCGGCCCGGGUCCUAGUCCUGGGCCUGGCCCGGCUUGAAAUAUGGGCCUAAAAUUUUAUCCAGACCCGGCCCGGGAAAAAAUCAUAAGCUCGGGCCCGGCCCGACCCGGCCUUUUUUUUAAAUAAAUACUACAAAUUUAUUUUAAAAAUUUUAAAAAGUAUUUUUAAAAUAUUUUAAAAUUAAAAAAAAUAAAUAAAUAAAUAUAUUUAUUAUAUCGGGCCGGGCCCGGGCCAAAAAAGUGGUGCCCGAGGCCCGGCCCGUUUUCUAAACGGACCUCAUUUUUUUGCCCAAGCCCAUAUUUCGGGCCUAUAUUUUUAUUCAAACCCUCUCAUAUUUCGAGCGGGCCGUCGGGCCGGGCCGGGCCGCCUGGCCCAUGAGCACCUCUAGUGCUAACAGAUAGUUCAAUCCACUUCCCAUCCUUAAGGAAUGUUCUGUCUGAAUUGUGGCAUCCUAUUGAAAAGGUUACCAUAUCAGAGAUUGAGGAAAAACAGAUUCUAUUUCGAUUCUACAAUAAAGUUUAUUUAAAAAGGUUGAUCAAUGGUAUUCAUUUGUUCUUUAAUCGACACCUAAUAAUAUUUCAUAAAUUAAUGAGAGGGGAGGAUCCGUUACUUAUUCCCCUUACAUUACACAACUUUUUGGGUGCAAAUACAUGAUUUACCAUUGGGUUCAAUGUCGGAAGGCAUGGCAAGACAAUUGGGCAACUUUAUUGAGGAACUUUUGGAUUAUGAUACAAAUAUUCUAAUAAAGGGUUUACGAAAGAUCAUGCACAUCAAAGUAUGUUUGGAUGUCCGAAGCCCCUUAAAAAGAAAGAAACGAAUAGUGUAUGGCAAAGAUAAGUCAACUUACGCUACUUUUCAAUAUGAAAAGACUUUCUCUAUUUUGUUUUCUGUGUGGCCAUCUAGGGCACGACGAAAGUUGCUGUCCUCUCCGUAUUUCGUUGAGAUCUCAAUAAGUUGAAUUUGGUUGGGAUAUUUCUUUAAAAGCGGCACCAAGGAGGGAAUCGAAAACUGCAAGUAAGUGGCAUCGAAAGGAACCAAAAGAGGUGAUCAAGAGCGACAUGGAUGAUGGGUGUCGAAUCCACCAACAUAAACCUACGCCUUAGUUUGCAAAUUAUGCAGUAUAGGGAGUAGGGCCGAUCCCUCAGAGACUGGUUUAUUGUAAACUGUUGCUCGCUUGACCAGAUUUAUGUCGGGGCAGCUGUCGUGCCCAAGACGUUUGGGGGAGGAUAAAAUCGAAAACCUGGAACCUGAAAUAAAUAAAUAAAAUGCGUAAAAAGUAAAAGUUGAAAACAAAAUAAUAAAAAUAAUUAAAUAAAAUAUGUAAGAGAAUUAAUUUAAAUAAGCUCAGCCUUAGGCACGAUUUUCCCUCGUCUUUGAACCGAUCCUCGAAAUUAAAUGAACUCCUCUUCUCCAAUAAGCUAGUUAUAGCUACCAAGGAUGCCUCGGACACCAACUCUUCCUUGUGUAAAUUAGUUAUGGAACGUCUAAUAACUAACUCUUACCGAUCGAACAACCAUGAAACAUUCGUGAUUUAGAACUCCGACAGCUUUGCGUUCUAGAAGAGCCUAGCUCGAACCAAUGCCCUCAACCGCGUGGGACAUUUAAAUCCGGUUACUACUUCCCUUGACGGAACCAAACAGAAAUCUCCACUUGGCACGCCAAUGUGUUCACAGAAAACCGAUUAGAAACGUUCUUUUCGGAAUUCCAACUGUACGUCUAAUCACACUAAAUCAAACAAUGUCUUUUUUGACUUAGUGUUGAUCUGACUUUAUGAGCUGACAAAAUCAUACUCUUAAUCCGGAGAAGUAAUAAGUACUGGAAUUUUAGGAGUUAAAUGGCUCGGAUUCGUAACUCACAGGUUUUGACGAGGCUAAUUUCGGCCUAAAGCUGAAAAUGGGUUUAGUUGGCUAAGGUUUGGGACAUGUUGAUAUGUGAUAAAUUAAUUAAGGUAAAUGGGUGAAAAUGUGGGUGAUGUGAUUGAGUAUGGGGGUUGGAAUAUAUUAAAGUGGGGUGGUUGACUAUUUGGAAAAAAAUUGAAAAAGGAAUUGCAAAUGGCUUGAUUUGGUGAUUAGCUACUGGAAAUUAAAAAUUGAAGGAAAGGAAACUAAAGAAACAACAAUGCUACGUGAGAAAAGAGAGAAUGUAUUGAAAGACAAUAACUUAAUAUUUUUGAUUGAUUGAUGAAUAAAUGAACAAUACAUACUCUAUUUAUACUAGAGGAUUUACUAAAUUAGGAGCCAACUAGUCAUAGGAAAUUAAGAAAAAAUAUCCCAUAAUAAAAUAAAUCCCAAAAUAAUCUCUCCCACUAAGUCAACAAAAUUUUCAGCUAAUUAAUAUUGGAAAAAUUCUACUUUGGCCCUCCUUCUUUGCUUCUUUCUUUAAUUUGGCCCAAUUGUUUCCUUUUUCUUCUAUUUAGCCCCAAAUUGCAUUCCUACACAAAAUUCAAUAAAUAUGGCAAAAUUAGUGGUGCAUUCUCAUAAAUUAACCAAUUUAGUUACAUAAAAUAUGUAACUUUAGCAUUUAAUCAAUGGACAUGGAAGAAAUUCGUAAAAUGAAUUAGAUGUGAUCUCAAGGAGAGGAGGAAUUUAAUAAUGUGAGAGGAAAAGGCAUGGAAAAUGAAUUAAGCAGAAGAUUUUAUAGGACUUAUCAAGUUAAUGAAUCUGCAAAUCGAAGGUGUGAAAACGAGGCAAAGCAUAAUAUGAUAAUAGAAGCAAAUGAGGUACUUAAAGAAACGCCAAUCGGACCUAUUAAUGGAAAGAAAAUAUAGAGGAUUCAACAAAUAGAAGGGGUUCAUCAAAAUAACCGAUCAAGUUCUACGAUCAAUAAUGAAAUAUCUACGACCGCUAAUAAGCAGGCCGACCGGUCGCAAUGAAAAUAUUAAGUUAGAAUGUUCGUGGCCUAGGGCAACCGCGAACAGUUAAACGUCUCAAAAAUAGAUUGAGACAACAUUAGCCUCAAAUUUUGUUUCUAAUUGAGACAAAAGUCAAUUCAAUAAGAAUGGAAGCAAUAAGGAAAAUGUGUGGCUAUGCAAACGGAAUUGAUGUUUGUGCGAACGGAUCGAAAGGGGGACUUUCUCUUGGCUGGAAUGAAUGAAUAAUUGUUAAAUUGAUAAGCUAUUCUAGAUCUCAUAUUGACAUUGAAGUUAUGGAAAAUAGUGGAGAAGAGUAUUGGCGCUUUACAGGUUUUUAUGGUUCGCCAAUUAAGCACAAAAGGAAGGAUUCAUGGAGCCGCCUUAGAUAGUUAAAAAGAAGCAACCAGAUGCCAUGGCUUGUUAUGGGAGAUUUUAAUGAAAUACUCUUCUCGUUUGAAAAAAGAUAGGGUAGGUUAAGGGAGAAAAGACAAAUGUUGGCAUUUAGGGAGGCUUUGGGAGAUUAUGAGCUGAAUGAUUUAGGCUUUUCAGGUCAAUGGUUUACGUAGGAACGAGGUAGACUUCCAAACAAUAACAUUCGUGAAAGACUUGAUAGAGGGGUGACAAAUCCAUUAUGGUGGGAAAAGUUUCCGAAUUUCUCAGUCCAACAUAAGUGUCAUAGUAUUUAUGAUAAUUGUCCUAUAAUUAUUAAUAUAAUGACGCAUGGAAGAGGGAGAUUUGCGAAUAGUAAAAGCCCAAUGCAAUUCAAUGCUAACUGGGUACUGAAAAACGAUUUUGAAAAGUUAAUCAGUCAAUAGUGGGAUUUGGGGGAAAAGGGUCUGCCAGAGAAAUUAGAAGAUCUGAAAUUGAAAUUGAAAUCUUGGGAUAGAUCUAGUAGCAGAUCCAGAUGAAAGACCAGGGAAGAAUUAAAAUUGUGACUUAACAAUUUAAAUAAAGAAGAUCCAGAUGAAGACAUCUUGGCUGAAUUAACAGAAGUUAAACUAGCACUAAAUAUGAAAGCUGACAAGGAAGAAUUAUUUUGGGAACAACGGGCAAGAGCUAAUUGGUUACGAAUAGGGGAUCGAAACACCACUUUCUUCCAUAAUUUUGUAACCCAAUGCAAAAGAAAACAUGCAAUAAAGAUUCUGGAGGAUGGAAGGGAUGGAUGGGUGGAGGGUGACAACGCCAUUAUUGAACUUGCGACUGAUUUCUUUCAAAAACUAUUCUCUUCCAAACCAUUACAAAGUGGUGAAAGGCUUAGAAGCAAAAUAAAACUGUGCAUUACAGAAUAUUUAAAUGAGGAACUCGUUAAAGAAUUUAAAGAAGAAGAGGUGAUGGAAGCUUUAAAAAGUAUAGCACCUCUCAAAGCAUCUGGAAAAGAUGGAUACCCAACGUUUUUUCUACCAAAAAUUCAGGCAUAUUAUAGGAAAUGACGUUGUUAAUUAUUGCCUCUAAGUGUUGAAUAAUGGGAAGAAUUUUGAGGAAAUUAACAAAAACCAAUAUUGUGCUUAUCCCUAAGGUACAAGCCCUUACGAAUUUGGGACAGUUCAGACCCGUAAGUCUUUGUAAUGUCAUCUACAAAUUAAUCUCAAAAGUAGUGGUUAAUAGAUUCCGAAGGGUGCUACACUUAUGUAUCGAAGAAACGCAAAGUGCAUUUGUCCCAGGAAGAUAAAUAACUGAUAACAUUCUAAUAGCUUAUGAAAUUUUACAUUCCUUCAAAAAAAAAAGAUGAGGCACAGGAUAUUUUUCCUUAAAAUUGGACAUGAGUAAAGCCUAUGACAAAGUGGAAUGAAAUUAUAUUGAAAAUAUAAUGAAAAUGUUAGGCUUUUGCAACAGUUGGAUAGAUCUUAUAAUGAGGUGCGUAAGAACAGUGUCAUACUUGGUAAUACUUAAUCGGAUUCAAGGGACAGAAUUCAAAUCAACAAGAGGAAUAAGACAAAGAGACCCACUAAGCCUAGACUUGAUCAUUAGUCGAGCCACCUGGCUUGGCCCGAAGGCCCGCCCAAAAUGUGGGAGGGUUUGGGAAAAAAUAUAGGCCCAAAAAAUGGGAUUGGAUAAAAAAAUAAGGCCCAUUUAAAAAUGGGCCAGGCCUCGGGUAAGGCAUUUUUUGCCCAGGCCUGACCCAACCUGAAUUCACUAAAGGACAAAAAAUAUGCUUUUUUUGUUUUCAUUUUUAAAUAUUAUUUUAUUGUUGUUUUCUCCCUAUUUUGCUACCAUUUUACUUAUUAUGUUGCUACUAUUUUGUUGUUAUUGUUUGGAUAUUGUAUAAAACUUAUUUUAUUGUUAAUUUUGUUAUUAUUUUAGAGGCAUUUGCUUGUUAAGUUGAAUUUAUCUUAGUGUUAUUUAAAUCUACAUAUUUUUUAAAAUUUAUUUUCAAUUUGUUGGGAAAUAUUUAUUUUGAUGUUUUUAGUAUUUUUAUGUAUUAUAUAUAUUUAAAAAUUAUAUAAAAAUAAUAUAAAAAAUUAAUACAUGAGGGUCGGGUUAGGCCCGGGUUUUAGUAUUUUUAUCCAAGUCGAGCUUGAGCAAAAAUUUAGGCCCAUUUUUUGGGUCGGGCCAAUCUCGUGCCUAGUAAAUGGGCCUAAAUUUUUAGUUGAACUCGGUCCAACCCGGCUCAUGAGCACCUCUAACUAAGCCCAUACUUAUUUAUCAUAUGUGCAGAAGGCUUCUCUAAGCUCCUAAAUAAGGCUAAUAGGGAAGGAAAAUUUGAAGGGGCUAGAGUGGGCAGAGGUGAGCUAGCUAUCACCCAUCUUUUCUUUGUUGAUGACAGCAUAUUAUUUGGGAAAGUAACAAUGAAAGGCGCAACUUCAAUGAAAUCAGUAGUUAAUGAAUACGAGAGUAUUUCCGGACAACUGGUGAAUUUCGAGAAAUCAUUGAUUUACUUCAGGAAAAAUGUACAAGACAACCUUAAAGAGCAAAUAGGGGGAGUUUUGGGGGUCCGAAUUUCAAAUAAUCCAGAAAAAUAUCUGAGUUUACCAACAAUGGUAAGGAGGAGAAAGAAGGGUGCAUUCCUAGAACUAAAAGAAAGAGUUAUUCAAAAAUCGAAGAAUUAGAGUAUCUAUAAUUUUUCCUUUGGUGGUAAAUAAGUUUUUAUUAAAUAAAUUUUACAAGCACUUCCAAUCUACGUCAUGCAAUGUUUUAAAUUACUAGUAUUGUUUUGUAAAGAAUUAGAAAAUCUGAUCAGUAAAUUUUGGUGGCACAAUUUAAAGACUAAUAAAGGCAUUCACUGGUGUAAUUGGUUUGCGAUGUGUAGUCCAAAAGCGUUUGGGGGUAUGGGGUUUAGGGAUUUAGCAAUGUUCAAUACGGCCCUGUUGGCUAAAUUGGGAUGGAGACUAAUCACCCAACCUGCUUGUUUGUUUGCGUACCUUAUGAAGUUAAAAUAUUAUCCGCGUGAUAAGUUUUUGAAUGCAAGGUUAGGAGCUUACCCCUCUUUUACCUGGUGCAGCAUUUGCAAUGCACGAAGCUUAUUAGAGGAAAAAACAGGCUAGAGGAUAGGAAACGGUGAAUCAACAAACAUCUAGAAUGAUUUUUAGCUACCCACCCCGGAUGAUAGAAGAGUAAAGAAUCAACACAUAAAUAUCAACAAUUCUAAAGUAGCAUAUCUAAUUAAUAAAGAUUUGUUUUCAUGGAACUACGAGGCAAUCUGGAACUUACUGGAAAGGGAUCAAAUUGAGGCAGUCCUAUCUAUUCCAUUGGCAAGCAGGACUCAACCGGAUGUUUUAGUAUGGCGAGGGGACAAAUCAGGCGAGUACACAGUUUAGAGUGGCUUUAAAUGGCUAAUGACUAAUACUCUACAACUACAGGAUUAUGUUACAGACCAAAUCGACAAAAAAGAUUAUUUUAUAAAGCUUUGGAAUCUCCCGCUCCCAAGUAAAAUAAAAAUACAUAUGUGGAGAGUUUCUAACAAUUUUCUUCCGACGCUCAGUAACCUUAAGCUUCGAAGACUCAGGAACGAUGCUGCAUGUCCAAUCUGCUCAGUUGGAGAAGAAACUGUGGAACAUCUUUUUCAAGAUUGCGCAUUCACAAAAUAGGUCCUGUAGGAAGUUGGUUUGGACAUCUCACACAUAAAUAUAAAUCACACAUGGAAACAAUCGUCAACCUCUUUCUUCUACAUGAAUAACAUUAAAGUAUGUGCAACCAUGGCAAUUUCUAUUUGGGUAACCUAGUAUAACAGAAAUAUGUUGCGGAAGCGACGAUAAUAUUAAUAACAAUAUUAUCAGAAAUAUUUAGAUAAUUAUUAUGCCAACAAUUAUACUAAGAAAAUUCCCAGUUAAAUUGGAGGGGUCACAAAUGGUCCCGCUUAAAACCCAACAACUAGACAGAACUCACUUAGAUAUUUAUAGCAAUAAUAACUAAAUAAAUAUAACCAACAUAAAGCUAUUAAAUAUAAGCAAACAAAUAAGAAAUAAAAUACCAGAGAUUUAACGAGGUUCGGCCAAUUUAGCUUACGUCCUCGGACACUACCAAAUUAAUAUUUCUUCUAGAAAUAUUACAAAGGAGAAGAUUUUCGGAUGAUACAACCAAAGGGGGAGGGGUUCUAUAUAUAACAAACCAAACCCCCUCCCUUUCUAUCUUUUCCUAAUGUGGGAUAUUGCCAAUAUUCAACAAAUCUCCACCUUGGCGAUAUUCCACAUCUUCGAACAUCUUCUCAUAACACAAACUUCAAUAGUGUCUUCAAAUUUGCAACCAAUCGCCUUCUUCCCUUUUGGUAGUUGUGCCAGCUUCCACGUCUUGUUUUUCUCUAGAGAUUGCAUUUCCUCUUCCAUUGCACCUAACCAUCUAUUAUUCUCUAAACUCUGAAUGGCUUCGGUGUAAGUGGAUGGAAUAUUAUCAACAACUGGAAGUGCAUAAGCUACCAUGUCAGUGAAACGAGCUGGUUUCUGAAUUUCUCGUCUCUGCCUUCUGACUGCAAUUGGCUCUGAUUGCUGUUGAGGUUCUUGGGUAGAAACAUCUUCCUCAUCUGACUCUGCAUCUGCCAAUGAAGAAUCACUAGUGGUACCUUCUGCUGGAAUUACCACACUCUGCUCAAACUCCACCUGCUGCGGAGUACACUCCACCUGCUGCGAAGUACUACUCACUCAUUCUGGAUUUACCUUAUUCAACAUGGCAGAUUCAUGAAAGGUAACAUCCCUACUGAUUAUCGUCUUCUUUGCCUCUAGACACCACAAACGAUAUCCCUUAACACCAGCAUUGAAGCCCAUGAAUAGAGCCUUCUUUGCUCUUGGAUCUAACUUUGAUUCUUUCACAUGAUAAUAUGCAAUAGAACCAAAAAUGCGCAAGGUGUCAUAAUCAGUAGCAGGUUUUCCAUACCAUUUCUCCAAAGGAGUCUUGCCAUUUAUAGCAGAUGAUGGCAAAUGAUUGAUGAGAUGUUGAGCGUACGUCACAGCCUCAGUCCAAAACUUUCUAUCUAAUCCAGCAUUAGAUAACAUACAUCGAACUUUCUCCACAAGCGUUCGAUUCAUACGCUCUGCCACCCCAUUCUGUUGCGGUGUUCCACCUACGGUGAAGUGCCUUACUAUGCCACAAUCUUGGCAUAUCUUCAGAAAAGGAUCGCUUUUAUAUUCUCCACCGUUGUCUGAUCGGAGAACCUUAAUCUUCCUUCCUGUCUGAUUUUCAACUUUAGUUUUCCACUUAAGGAAAACUUCAAGCACCUCAUCUUUGUUCUUCAUAGGAAACACCCAAACUCGUCUGGAAAAAUCAUCAAUAAAGGUGACAAAAUAACGUCUUCCUCCAAGUGAUGGAGUCUUGGACGGUCCCCAUACAUCAGAAUGCACAUAAUCCAGAAUACCUUUAGUAUUGUGAAUCCCAGUGCCAAAUUUCACCCUUCGUUGUUUUCCCAGAACACAAUGCUCGCAAAAUUCAAGUUUGCAAGUCUUUGUACCUUUCAAUAAUCCUUGCUUGGCUAGAGUUUGCAAGGAUUUUUCACCAGCAUGGCCCAAACGCAUAUGCCACAGCUGUGUUGCCUCAGCGUCCUUCUUGGUACUCGAAAUUGCUGCUGCUGUUGUCCCAACCACUGUACUACCUUGGUAGUAAUACAGAUUGUUCUUUCUUAUGCCUUUCAACAUCACCAAUGCUCCUGAAGUUGCUUUAAGAACUCCAUCUCGUAUUGUCACAACUAGGCCUUCAGAUUCUAACGACCCCAAAGAGAUGAGAUUCUUCUUCAACUUUGGGACAUAUCGUACAUCCCGCAAAAUUCUAGUAGAUCCAUCAUGACUCCUCAGUUUAAUUGAACCUAUCCCGGCUAUUUUACAUGUGUUAUCAUUACCCAUGUAAACAACCCCUUCAUCUAGUUUUUGAAAUUCAAAGAACCAUUCCCGAAUGGGACACAUAUGAUAGGAACAACCAGAAUCCAUGAUCCACUCAUCUGCAUAUAAUGUUGAAGAUGUCAUACUAAGAGAAAAGUCCGACUCUGCUUCACUAUUGCAUUCUGCAACAUUUGCAUCUUGCGGAGUCUUCCCUUUUUUCUUCAAUUUUGGACAAUCUUUCUUCCAAUGUCCUUUUUCUUUGCAAAAGGAACAUUCAUCUUUGGCAACAGCUCGACCUUUGGACUUUCUUCUCUUCCCAUUAGACUGACUUUGCUGACGACCUCUUGUUACCAAUGCUUCCACUGCUGCUUCACCUGAACCUUUCAACUUAUCCUUUCGGCGUAGUUCAUAGCUAUACAAUGCAGCAGUUACUUCAUUGAAAGUUACUUCCGAUUUUCCAUGAAGUAGAGUAGUUUCAAGGUACUCAAACUCCUCAGGAAGCGAUCCCAACAACAUUAACGCCAAGUCUUCGUCUUCAAAAGUCACAUCCAAAUUCAACAAAUCAGCCACCAGCUGAUUAAAAUUGGUAAUGUGCUCGUUCAUCGUGGUACCAGGAACAUAAUUGAAACGAAACAGUCUUUUCUUCAUAUGCAACUUAUUUUGACUGUUCUUCUUCAAGAAUUUCUCCUCCAAUGCUUUCCACAAUUUACUUACAGAAGUCUCUUUACUGAAUGUAUACUUCUGCUCUCUGGAAAGACAUGAUCGAAUUGUACCACAUGCCAAUCGGUUGAUGGUCUUCCAUUCUUUAUCAUCAAUCCCUUCUGGUUUUUCUUCCUCAAUGGCAAUAUCUAGACCCUGUUGAAAGAGGGCAUCUAGAAGCUCACUUUGCCACAUGCCAAAAUGACCUGUUCCAUCAAAAAUUUCCACUACAAAUCUCGUAUUUGCAGUUCCAAUCCUCGGCAAAAUGUACGAAGUGGAAGUUGUUGAUAUGGAUGGUUUUUCUUCUGUCAUUUUUGCCAUAGCUUCUACUUAAUAGCCACCAAAUGCAGAAUACCCACAAGCUUUAGGAAAAUGUUUCUGAUGUGUAAGAUCAGACUAAGCUGCAAACACAGAGCAUACUACAAAAACUUGGCUCGGAUACCAAUUGUUGCGGAAGCGACGAUAAUAUUAAUAACAAUAUUAUCAGAAAUAUUUAGAUAAUUAUUAUGCCAACAAUUAUACUAAGAAAAUUCCCAGUUAAAUUGGAGGGGUCACAAAUGGUCCCGCUUAAAACCCAACAACUAGACAGAACUCACUUAGAUAUUUAUAGCAAUAAUAACUAAAUAAAUAUAACCAACAUAAAGCUAUUAAAUAUAAGCAAACAAAUAAGAAAUAAAAUACCAGAGAUUUAACGAGGUUCGGCCAAUUUAGCUUACGUCCUCGGACACUACCAAAUUAAUAUUUCUUCUAGAAAUAUUACAAAGGAGAAGAUUUUGGGAUGAUACAACCAAAGGGGGAGGGGUUCUAUAUAUAACAAACCAAACCCCCUCCCUUUCUAUCUUUUCCUAAUGUGGGAUAUUGCCAAUAUUCAACAAAAUAGACUUUACCAUGAAGGAAAAAAGGGAAGGGUACAAGAGGUUAUGGGUUUUAUUAGAGCUUAUUUACGGGAAUUAGAACAAGUUAACUCUUUAACAGAAACCAGAAUUAAACCAAGAAAGGAUUUCUGGAGACCCCCCAAAGCAGAACAAGUUAAAGCCAAUUUUGACGCAGCAUUUUCACAAUAAGACAUGACAGCAACAGCGGGAAUCUUUAUAAGAAAUCAUGAAAGUCUUGUAAUGGGAGCAUGUACUUACCCUCUAGGGAGAACAGGGGUUCCGAUCACUGCAGAAGCGAAGGCGUGUCUUCAAGCCGUCAUAUUUAGGGAAUAAAUGGGCUUUCGAGAUUUGGUUGCUCUUACCGUCAUUAAAAAACUUAAAUCAGACUCAGCGAAUAGAUCAGCGAUUGGCAACAUUAUUAAUGAAAUCCAAAGAAAAAGAUUCAGUUUCGUUAACUUAUCUUUUGAGUUUACCCUUCAAAAGACAAAUGAAGCAGCGCACGCCAUUGUAACUUGAGGGUACAAUUUGACUAGCCCAUCCUAUUGGAUUGACGAGGUACCGAUGGAGGUUGAACCCAUCACAGUCAAUGACCAAAUAAGAUUUUUGAACCGGCAGAAAAUGGUCAUUUCUGUUUGAGCCCGGGGAUGCAAUGCAAAAAUGACUGUCCUUACUACCCCCUGAUGAACUCAGAUUUAGGAGAAAUCUGGCAUGGCGCUUCAAUGGGAUCAUCUACAGUGAUGGAAAGGAAUAGCCAGUAUACUCCAUUAAAACGUCUAAAGAUGCAAAGAAGAGGAAAUGUGAUUUUUGAUAGACGGUAGGUUUUAUGUUUCUUCAGUUUUUCUUUUAGGUUUUACUUGCUUAGGAUCUUAUCUGUGGCCUUUCAAUUUCUUUUCUCUUUUUAUUUUUUAGGAAAACCUAAGGCACCACACCGAUUACCAGUAAUUUCAUGACAGUUGUUAGGACAACUAUUGAGUAUUUAUUUUUGAUAAGUGUACCACAUAUCCUCUUUAAAUGCAUUUUGAUUUUAUCUCAAAAAAUAUAUAUAUAUUUAUAAGUUAACUUUUAAAAUAGGUUUUGUCACAAGUCAAUACAUUAAGAGUAUUCAAAUUUUGGUUAAAACUAAAUUAACUAAUCGAAUCGACUUAAUUCGGUUAAUCGAUCUAAUUUGGUCGGAGGUCGAUUAAUGAUUGUUUGAAAGUUGUUCGAAAUCGGGUAAUUAACCAAAUUAACCGAACUUAAUAAUUAAUAAUACAAAUUAUAUGUAGUAUUAAUUCGGUUAAUACGAAUUCUCCCACUUAGCAAAAAAAUCUUAAACUUAUUUAAAUUUCUUUUCUCAUAAAAUGAUUGUUUUAAGGUUUCACCCGUGGAUAUGUUAACUUAUUCAAAAAAAAAUUUAUUAUUAUGGAUUUUUUUUAAGAUUUAUGAAAUUAAAUAUUAUUUUUUAUAGUCUUAACAACAAAGAGAUUGUGUUGUUUAUCCCGAAUAAUUUAAACUUCAUAAAGUUAGAUGGAUAUAUCCCGAAUAAUUUAAGGCAUCUACGAUAAUAAAGUUUAAAAUGAUACCGAAAUUACUUGUCAUUUUGUGUGAAAGAUGGAAGCCAAGAACACAUACAUUUUUUUCAUGUGAGGAAUUAAUUAUAACAUCAGAAGAUGUCAUUUUAAUAGCUAGUCUUCCAAUCAACGGGCAGGUGAUAAUUAGAGAUAGUAAUAUGGAUGCAAAGUCAAGUGUUAUUGAUUUGUUGGACGUUGCAUCAUCUUAGAAUGAGAAAAAUUAGACGAGAAUUGGGUGAAAUGUACAUUCUUAGACAGACUUGUCAAAUUGGUCCUGCACUAUAUGCAAAUAUAGAGUAGAUUGAUCGAUAUGUUAGAGUUUGAAUGCUUUAGACCAAGACAAUCAAUUCCAUUAUAGUAGUAAAUCAGAGCAAUUAACUCUAGGUUCCACUCCCGUGCAAACUCCCAUCGGUACUGACCAUAUCACUACAUACAUGUCGAAAUAUGGUGUACCGAUUGGUACAAAAAAAAUAAAAUAUAAUUUUAAAAUUAAAAGUUUUUAUUAUUUAUUUUGAAUUAAAUGAAUUGUGGAUUUUGCAAUAUGCAUGGUAUAGGAUGAUCUUAUUGUUUAAUUUAUGCAAUAAUUUUUUUAGAUUAUUUAUUUUAGUUUGUUUAAUGGUGGAUUGUAUUUGUGAAGCUUAUUAAAGAAUAUUUUCAUGUAAUUCAUGAGUAUUUUAUAUUUAAUAUUUAUUUAAUCUCAUUAUUUAUUUGUACAUAUGUUUUAUACAUAUAUAUAUUAUUUUUUAAAAAUAGUGAUAAAUCUGAAACAAUACAUUUAAAUAUAUUGACACUUGUACAUAUUAAUACCAGUAGAAAAAUGGUACGUCCACUGGUACAGUACUAGCAACCUUGCUUUAGAUGAUAAGAGGAAUGCUAUUUCUAGAUAAGUCUAGCAACAAGGUCCGUGCCAUGCAUUCCUCUACUAGAAUCUUUCAAUAUAACCAAUACAUUCAACUAUGGGUCAAUAACUCUAUCAUAUUUAUAUAGGGCGCUUUGUAGGGUGACUCAACAUAAGAUAGAUAAAAGUAAGCAAUUGUUGUAUAGUUCUACAAACUAGGGCUGGAUACGAACAUCGUGGUUAGCUUUCAUCCUUUCUUAGUCAUGGGAAUUCCUUAUUAUUCAAAGGUAAAAAUAUAAUCGUAUUGAAUAUCUUAAAAUGUAUCAAAUUAUCAAUAUUUAUAAUUUCUUAUUGCAUUUAACAUUUAAACAUAUUUAGGGGUCACUUAAAUCAUACCAAUUAUAGAAAGGACCUUACUUGAAUGUGAUAGGAAAUUGAUCAACUACUUUAUCAAAAUGUAUGUGAUGUUAUAUUCAUAUUCAAUAUAAGAGAUUAUUUCUAUGAAUUGAUAUAAUUAUAUUUAUCGGAAAUGUUUGCAAUUUCUUUAGAGAUUGUACCUAGACAAUGCACUUAUUACCAUUCUACAAAGGACAACAUAUGCUUACUCUACAUUGUGAAAGUUGCGAGUGCCCAUUACUUGUUCCAACAAUAAGGAGUGGUAGCACCUUGACCUGGUAAAAUGAAAGUUUGAGUUAGUGCAAGAAAUUUGAAUGAUCAAGAAAACCUCGAUUAGAUUCAUAAGAUAGAUUUGAGGGGUAGGAAGCAUCGAUGCACAGAGCAUUCAUAGUAUGUUGUGCUUUAGGGCCAGUGAACUCGGUAUUUCAUCUAUAGGAACAUUAUCCAGGAUAUUAAUUUCCAUCCCAAUAAGGUAUGUGCAAUGGUUUGUGAAAAUGGGUCUAUUGCGGUUAUAUGAGGUUUUGGUCAACUAGCGUAACUUUUCUAGCCAAAGCUAGAGCCACCAUACAACAAUUUGAGCUUGAGCCAUAUGUCAAAUCUACAUUUCAGGGCAUUGCGACCCGUCAGCCCUUUUGAUAUUUUAUCUAAUUGGGUAUUCAUUUUAUUUUGAUGAGGGAUCCAAUCAUACUAACACUCUUCCUUCAUCAUUUAUGACACUAGUGAUGGAAAAUAUACUUGUAAGUUUAGAAUUUACGCAACUUUUCGAUCCAACGAGUCCCUACACACUUCAACUCCUUCGUAUAUUGCAUCAUUAUUCUCUAAUAAGCUAAUCAGGUGUGCAAUUUAAUAUCUUCUUAUCGAUGCAAUAAAUGAAUCAUGGUGAUGACAAUGAUACUCCGAUCUAGGCACCAAUACAGUGGAAUCCAUCCUGGAACCAAAAACUACUGGUAUAUAGAACUAUUUCACCACAACAACGUCACUAUGUUAUUUUGAAUCCAUUGAUGUAAUGUUAAUUUUGUUGCAUUUAUUUUUGGGUUUACUUAUUUAGUUAUCAAAUUAGUGAGCUAUAAUUUUCGACCACUAAUUACAAUGCUAUAUUUAUCCAUUAUUAUUUUCAAAAAAAAAGGUUCAAGAGAUAAGAAUUCACGUGGUUUCUUAGUGUCACGUUUAUAUUUCUUACAACACAUUUUAUAUACAACAAUUUAAGCAAUUUUACUGUGAUAAUCUUUUUAAUUCAUGUAACAUAUGUAGCUUAUAGCAUGCAUAAUCUCUUGCGACAUGUUCUAUAAGUGUUGGGUGUAGAAAGGUGUAAUGGUAUGCAACAUUCUUUUAAAAACCUUCUCUUGGACUUUAAUGCAUUAAGCUCGUUACUAAUUUAAAAUCAACCAUGCAACAAUGAAUUUAUCAAAUGUUUUAUGCCGAUUUAGUAACACUUGAUGGAAGUGGAACCUUAAACCAAUUUCCCUAAACCUCAGAUAAUUUGCAAUUUGUGCCUUUAUUACAAUCCGUAGAUGAAGCUCAUUCGCUUUGACAUUAAGAACACUCAUACCAUCAAUUUCAUGUCAAAAUUGAAGAGGUACAUGACAAUUGGGCACCCUUCCAUCUAACGAAUCUCCAAUUUAAAUAUAUUACUAACUUUGAAGUUACCAAAACUCUAAAAUGGACUUUGAGUUAAACCAAAACAAAUGGUGGACAUGGCAAACAUCAUCCAUUGCUAAAUGUUUUCUAGGUGUUGGCAACAUCUGUGUCUUUCAGCUAAUUAAGAUACUAAAUUGACAUCACCAAAUGAAGGGAUUUAUCAAGCUAAUAGAUGUCAAGUUAAUAACACUAGAUGAGAACUGUGUUAUAGGAAAUAUCCUAUUUUUCCUAAAUCAUAAAAAAAUGAACCCAUCUUUCUAAACUUCAAAUUUUAAGUGGAAGAAUGGUGUGUAUUUUUUAUUUGGGUAUUUUCAUGGGAGAAAUAUGUAAAUUUAACCUUAAAUCUUAUAUAUUAAUGCUUAAAUUUAUAUUUAAGGAUUAAGAAAAUUUGUUAAGAUUUUGAGUUUAGAUUUUUUUGUUGCGUAAGAGAGGAAGAAGUGGCAAGUCACAUGUUCAUAGUAUUCUUGAUUAAACGAAUCCUAACAAAAUAUUCAAGUAACUCGACACCUAUGAGUGUUGAGGUCUAUUUUUUAAAUCAUCACUUAUUCUUAUCAUCCAUUAGUGCACUUAUUAGGAAUAUCUUAGAACGUCAAAUAUCUCGACACCUGUGGGUGUCAAGUUUAGAACGAAAACCUUAAACCUUAGAAAGAGAAACCUAAUUUAAAAUCCUAACCCUAAUGUAAAGCCCUAAACUCGAUACUCAGGGAUACCAAAGUUUAAUCUUUUUUUUAGAGAUUCCUACCUGAGGUAAAUAUGGCACGCCAUGUGUAAUUGUUUGGUUGUUCUGUCGGCCACACAGGUUUUAACAGUAGAAACUGAUGAAACUUUAACAGAAAUGACCAAUUUGCUCUUUGAUCUAAUGUACAAUGACUAAUUUGUCAAUUUUUUUAAUAAAUGGGGAGAAAAGCAAUCUAACUCCUAAAAGAACCGAACAUCCAUCAAACUGGAGAGGAUGACAAGAAAACCCUCCCUAAAAUUACUUGCACAAGGAAGAUUACAUGCAUAAACAAGAUUUAAAAACUUGUAAAAAGACAAGACAAAAAAUUUCAAAAAUGAAGACUUAUUAAACAAUGGAAAACAAACAAAAUAAUAUAUAAAACUUAAGAUAAUACAGGUCCAAACCGACUCAUUAAAUCAUUUAUUAUUCUAAAAUACUCUAAAAAUAUAAACAUAUUAAGAAGCCGAUGAAGAGACUAUUUUAAUAAUAAAUAAGAAAUACUGGAACAAGAAAAAUAGAAAAUAAUGUUAGUAAAAUAUAUUAGGAUGCAUUUUUCUCAAAAACCGUGUGACGCAUAAUGAUUGAUCAUAACUGUUUUCUCGCAAAUACUUUAAAAGCUAAAUAAUGCAUCCAUCACCUUUGAAUUAGUUAAACUUAAACCAUAGACUCUUGGGUUUGAAAAGACCUUCUUAGAGGAAGAAACAUUUACAUGCAAGGAUCAAUAUGAACUCAAAGAGGAACCCCAACCUCCCUCUUGUUGACACUAUUAAACCACCUGCCUCAGCCAUUAAUGUUCAUUCUUGCACACUCCCACACAUCAACAUUUGGGACCAAAAGAAAUCUCUAAACUUUCUUAAUCAUGAUCGGGCCUAUGACCUUCUCAAUAGGACCCUUUCAAUCUAGGGGGAGAAAGACAAAAUUGUAUGGAAAUAUGAUAUUAAUGGUUGCUUCUCCAUGAAGAGUGCCUAUGCCCAUCAGAUGCAACCGCACUUGCAGUUGCACCAUUGCACAAAGCAUGGACUAAUCUAUGGAAGCUUAAACUCUUGUACAAGUUGCCUCCCAACCAAGGAGCUUCUCUCAAGGCGCCUUUCCAACGAUGAUAACCACUGUUCUUUUUGCAAAGAAAGCAAUGAGUCCAUUGAACACCUUUUCAUUGAAUGUAGUUUCGCUCGGGUUGUCUAGUUUGGUUCUUUUAUUUUCCUCCGCUCUGACUCUCUUCGUAUUUCUUCCUUGUCAUCAUGAUUUCAUUAGUGGCUCAACUCAAACAACAUUCACUCUCUUGAUUCAAGGAUAUUUUAAACUUGUAUGGCUUUCACCCUCUGGAUAAUUUGGAAUUCAAUAAAUGAACUCACCUUCAAAAUGGCCGAUCCUUCUACAAUAAGACUAAUCAUAAGGAAACAAAAUUUCCAUAAUUCUAUAAUGAAUGCCUUCCCCUUUGAAAAUUUGCAAAGGCAUCAGUCAAGAAUUCGAAGAUCGAAUCCUUUUGAAAAUCCCCUUUCCAAAUGAACUCUCUCUCUCUUUGCAUUGUCCAUUGCAGAGGAGUGUAAAAAAAAAACACGAAAAAGCCAAAAUGAACCAAACCCAGAAAACCAAAAAAUUUAGUUUAUUCAGCUUUUCGGUUUAAUCUGUUUUCAUGUUCGGUUUAAUUAGUUUGUUCAGUCAAUUUUCGGCUUUGACAUUUUAAACUGAAUAAAUCAAUUAAGGCCAUAAGCCCAUAACCCAUUACAUGCCCAAACCUAAUUUUAAACCUUAAGCCCAAAUAUCCAUUAAAACUUAAUACUCUUAAAAUCCAAUUUCAUUAAUAUUUAAAACCAGAUUGAUAACUUAAAUUUUUUUUAUGAUAUUCAUUUUAAUUUUUAUCAUUUAAUAUAUAUAUAAAAAAACCAAAAUUUAUAUAUACAAGUUAAGAAUAGUAGAAGACAUGAAAUUGCAUGUUGGUCGUGUGAGAAAAUAAACAAUGUUUGAGUUCAUUAAAAUUUAUUUGAUUUAAUUUUUAAUAUUUUUAUAAUGAAUUUGAAAUAAAAAUAAAAUUAAAAGUAAUACGACAUACUAAAUUGAAGAAAAAAGAUAAUUAUGUGAAAAAAUUAAAGGAAAUAAAAUUGUAACUACUUCAAUUAGAAUUUGAUCCAUCUAAAAACUAAAAAAUCGAAUUGAAUCGAACUGAAUUUUUGGCUCGAUUCAUUUGAUUUUACUUCUUAAGUCGGUUUGGUUUAUUCGGGUUACAUGGAUAAUUUAAUUUAUUCGAUUUUUGAGAUAAAAAAAUGAACUGGCCGAAUACACACUCCUAAUCUAUUGCAGGUGAAAUAGCUUGACUGACAGAGUUGCCAUUAGAUCACCAUAAAUUCUCUUAGUUUCUAUCCACUCAAAGCUACAAAAUUGCUUGCAAAAACCAGGUCGGACUUCUCACUCCCCAUUCUAUCAUAAUAUUUCUGUCUAUAGGUUUCUCGGAGGUGACAAAAAAUGGUCGAAUAUCAUACGUGGGCAUACAAAAGUAGAAAGGAAGCUCCAAGCAGCGUUUGGUGACAUCAAGCAUCUCCUCCAAUUCGUCCACAUACAAUAUGAGCCAAUGGACAAUAACCAUUUAUCCUGAAGAACCAAACGAUGGGCUACAUGUGCUUCAAAGGCGUUUGUUGGUUUUUAUGACCUUAAUCCUCAUUGGUUUGUACAGAAAAAAAAAGAGGUGACUUUUAAAAUUUUAAUUUUAAAUUAUUUUAAUUAAAAAUAAUUAAUUUUGAAGAUAAAAAAGAUAAAAUGGUGAAGAUUAAAAAAAAAAAAGAAAAACCCUUUUAGGCUAUUUAACCUCAGGUCCUUGGAGCAUUAAUUAAAAUAAAAAUUAUUGACAAAAAUGACACGUAUGAUAGGGUUAUGUGUCUUGACAAGUCAAUAAUUAACAAAUGACAGUAAAGUUCGGUACCAAAAUUAAUUUUUUGAAAGUUUAGGUACUGCAUUAGAAGAUUUGACAAAGCCCGAAUACCAAAUAUGAUAUUAUCCCAUAAAAACUAAUAGUAAAAGUAUCAUAGAGGUCAUUGUAUUAGGAGUUAGAUUGCAUUUUGACCCAUUUAUUCAAAAAAUGGUAAAUUAAUCUUUAUACGUUAAGUUAAAAGAAUAAACUGGUUCUUUUUAUUAAAAAUUUCAUUCAUUUCUGCUCUUAAAAUUUGAUGUAGUUGACGGAAUAACCAGAAAGUUACAUUUAACGUGCCACGUGUACGUCAUGUUGAUGCACAUGAAUCGAUUUUUAAUAGUUGAAAUUGAUAAAAUUUUUAAUAGAAUGACCAACUUGCACUUUGAUCUAAUGUAUAAGGGUUAAUUUGCCCAAUUUUUCGUAAAAAGAGUAAAAUAUAAUCUGAUUCCUAAUAUAAAAACCUUUGUGAUAAAUUACCAAAAACUAACAUAUAAUGGAAAUUGCACCACGAAAUUUGAACUUUAUUAUUUUAACCAAAUUCUCAUUAUUUUACAAUUUUUUUAAGAACAUUAUUUGUUUUUCACUCACGCGCCAUAAUCUAUUUAUUUAUAUUAUUAAUAAAAAUAUUGACUGAGUUAAUGUCACAAGUUAAUUAGGUACCAAUUCGUUUAAAAAAUAACUAAUAUACUCAUUUAUUAAAUGACUACUAUUACUAUUUUGAUGACCUAUUUAUUAUUUCAUACAUUUAUAUAAGUUUUAAAUAAAAAACUAAAAUUAAUAUGUUUAAGAGUUGAAUAUGCAUUUAAUGGAUUUAUAAAUAAAUUAUUUAUCACUACACUAAUAAUAAUUCUAAAGUAACUUUUAAAAAAAUAUUAAAUUUUAACAUAAAAAUGUUUUCUCUCAUGUGGACAUACGUGUGUAUAAAUAAUGUCACUAAUUGCGUUGGUAUAAUAAGUCGACCUGAUAUUUAAUUUUUAAAAAAUAAAAUUUUAAUAUUGAAUUUUCUUUCACUAACUUGAUAACUUUUUAACUUGUUAUAGAAAAAUAUCAAUACUAUGAUAAAUAAUUGGAGUGCAUUACCUAUUUAAAAUAUAUUUUAUUCAUAAGUUCAUUUUUAUUUUAAUUCUGUACAUAUUGCAUAUAUGUUGUUAGUCAACUCAACACUAACUCAUAAUUGAUUAUAACAACAUGCACAAUUGUAGUGCAUUUAGUAUUAUUUAUUUGAUGUGUUUAUAUGAUUAAUUUUUUUAUACAAUAUUAGAGGUAGGGGAUAGGAGUAACACGGUUCAAUUCCGUGCCAAAUGAGUGUCUAACAAGAGUUUUAAUCGCUGCUCUAUUUAAGUCAACAUGUGUUAUUAUGAUCAAUUGUUAUUUUGAUAUAAAUAUCCACAUUUUAAAUCCGUAAGUGCAAGAUUAAAUAAAUUAAAUAAUAAUUAUCAUUAAAAAAAAGGAUGAUGUAACAAGUUAAUGAAAUGUAACGAAGCAGGACUGACGUCAUCACUAUCCAGCCAGAAGUUGAACAAGACUCGAACAAAAUCUAAGGGUUACAAGGUAAUUUCAGUUACUACAAGUGUCGGUUACCUGCUUUUGCUUGGCCAAAUUUCAUGCGAAGUCCCUGUACUAUGCGCAUCUGAGUCUCAUUAUUAUAAUUUGAUCCUUUUUAAUUCAUUUAUUUUUUUGAAAUAUGUAUUUUCAAUAUUGAGGUUAAUUUUUUUCCUUAAUUAUGUUAGAUGAAUUGAUAUGUUUUUUUUAAACAUGUGAUGACGUAAUACAUAUACUUAGCAAUUUUAUAUAGUUGAACAAAUUUUUUGCACAUUUAAAAAAUAUAAUAAUUGUCAAAUUAUACGAAAAAAAAGUUGGUCUAUAUGUUGCAUCAUGAUAUAUUUAAGAAAAAAUUGAUCCAAUGUCAAAUUACUUGAAAGAAUUCACACAAAAAACUACAUUUUGAACAACAAAACAUUUAGAAAUGAUAAAAUUAUAGUAGAAAGAUUAAUAUAAAUCAGGGACCAUUCAUGGGAAUUUACCUUUUUGUUUUUAAAUGUCCGAGCCACUGUUCCGAAAAUGUUUACCAAUUUUUGCAGGUGCGCUUUAUUUGGCGGGUACGAAAUAAAUAAUAAAUAAUAUAUAAAUAAAAUAAUCAAACAAGGCUAAAAUUAAAAAAAAAAAACCCUCCGAAAAUCAAACCGUACGGUAUUUUUAGAGAGCGAAAGAAGCAAAGCUCACACAUAGUGAAAAGGAAUCUCUUUUCUCUCUUCUUCUUCUUCUUAGCAAAUUUCAGCUCUCGAUUGAGCUCUUUUCGAUCUUUCUAGAACAUUCCAUUUAUCUCCGUUGAACCUUCCAUUUUCUUUUUUUGUUUGAUUUUUUUUCCGGCGAAGUCGGUAAGGUUAUUAUUGUUCUACGGACCACCCUCGCCCCCACCCACACAAUCAAAUCCCGUUUCGAUGGAGUUGUAUGGUCGUAACCCGACUCGUAAUGGGUCUCAAUCCGGUUAUCAACCCGAAUGGAGCCCCGCUGGGCCCGAAACUGGACUGGAAGGUAUUUUUUUUUCCGUUCAUUUCAAUGUGUAUGGAUUUUUUCUUUUCCUCUUUCUACUCGCAUUGUGAUGAUGUUUCUCUGGUAAAGCUUGUUUUAGGGGUUUUUUUUUCGAUUAAUAAUGCGGAGAGUGAAUUAGGGUUUUAUUCAUGUUUCUUUGUUGUGGUACAGAAUCGAGGUGGCAAUUGUCGGUGAGGGGCGUCGAAUCGUACCCGGAACGGCUCGGGGUGACUGAUUGUGUUUACUACAUGCGAACGGGGUUUUGUGGUUACGGUAAUAGUUGCCGUUACAAUCAUCCCCGCAACCGUGCCGCGGUAAAAUUUUCAAUCAUUAGUUUAUUUAGUUUUGUAUGCUAUUUUUGGUUCAGCAUUGAAAUGUUAUUGAAUAAUUUGUCUGAGAAUUUUACUUUCACUGGUGACAAUGGGGUGUAACUAAAUGAACUUAGUAUUAAGAACAAUGGAAGUGAACAAUGCGGUUUAAUCAUGGUACAUUUUGAUAAUAAUAGUGCAUAACUGAAGCAACAUCGAAAGAAAACUCUUAUAUGGUAGUUAUUAUUGUCAUGACCAAAUUGGUUGUAAUCUUUUGGUGAGGAAACCUGCAAAACUAAAAUGGUCGGGGUGUGCUGGAGUUGGUGCUCUGGCACGUACUAUGGAGCUCAAAUCGGUCAUUACUCCAUAAUUUGAGGGAGCAUGUACAUAAAACAAGAGGAAAAUGUAGAGAGUCACCCUUGCUUGCCUUUAUGGAGGCUAUCACCUUAUACAGAAGGCAUAUAAGUAGCAGGUAGUUACUAAAAUAUCCUUAGAGUCCUUAUGGGUAUAACAAUCAUUACUGAUUAUGUUUUCCUGAUAAUUUCAUUUAUAUAAUAUAUAUUUUUUGCUUAUCAUGUGAAGGGGCUUUUAUGCAAAUGCCUUUUUUAAUGCAUUGUUUCCCUUUAAAUAGAAACAGGAAACUACAAUUUAGAAGUUAUGCUUGACAUCCUCUGGUCCGAGUUUAAAUGAUGAGUGACUUGCAACUUAAGUCUGUGUUUCUUUACCGACUUCCCUAACACUGGUCAUUCUGUUGGCUCAUGUCUUACACUCUAUUUCAUACCAAACUAUCAGAUGCCAAGCAAGUUGGUAGAUGUUAUUUCAGUAUAUUUUGAGCAAAAGAUUUCUUUUUUUAUUAUGUGGUAAGAGAAGCAAGUAAAGUCUACCUUGGAAUUGUUUUUCUUGGACCUACCUCAAAUUAAAAGUUGAAACUCACGGGUUCUUUAUUUAUUGCAAAGGAAAUAGAAUAACAUGAUUCAAAUAAGUUAUUUGCUACCUUCAUAUAUUGUUAAAAAUGAAUUGAGGAUAGUUCUUGAUAGAAUUGGACUAUGUAAGAGAAUUUACUUUGGUCAUCUAGCCUGUUGUUUUAAACUGAGGCAGGAAUUACCUCGUUUUCAGCUUUAAGUUUUUUUCAAGAGUUGAAUUCCUUAUUUUUAUUUGGUUCUGAUGCCAUUUAGGUUGAGGCUGCAGUAAGAGCAACAGGGGAGUACCCUGAACGACCAGGGGAACCUGUAUGUCAGGUAGAAGAGUAAAUUAGUUUAUUGAAAAAUGCAAAAUUGUUUUCCUGUGAGUCAACUCUGCUAAUUAAAGCUGCAAACACCUCUCUUUUUAACUUGUUUCUUUUCCUUUUUCUCUUUUUGCAUGUGCAGUUUUAUUUAAAAACCGGAACCUGUAAAUUUGGUGCAUCCUGUAAGUUCCAUCAUCCAAAAGAUGGAGGUGGAUCCUUUAGCCAUGUUUCAUUGAACAUGCAUGGAUACCCAUUACGGCCGGUUUGUAUAUUCUUUUCUUGCUUUUUCGUCAGCUCUUAUUCAUAUGUUUUUAGGAUUCUUAAAACAACUAGGCAUCAAUUUGAUGCACAUCCAUUAUCAGGGUGAGAAAGAAUGCUCCUACUAUUUGAAAACGGGGCAGUGCAAAUUUGGUAUUACUUGUAAAUUCCAUCAUCCUCAACCAUCUGGAACAUCAAUGUCAGCAUCUGCACCUCAAUUUUAUCAGCCGGUGCAGUCUCCUUCAGUCCCUGUACCUGAACAGUAUGGGGGGGCAUCUACCAAUGUGAGAGUGGCAAGGCCUCCACCUUUACCUGGUUCAUACGUUCAAGGGGGGGCUUAUGGUCCUGUACUGUUUUCCCCAGGAGUGGUUCCUAUUCCGGGUUGGAGUCACUACUUGGUAGGGUGAUCAGCACAGUUGCAUUAAAAGAUAUAUCAAGACUAUAUGCGAUUCCUGAAUCUUUUUUGGCUUACCUGGUGCAGGCACCUGUAAGCCCAGUGCUCUCUCCUGGUGCACAACCUGCUGUUGGAGCAACUUCUCUCUAUGGACUAACGCACCUAUCUUCUUCAACACCUUCACUUGCAGGUCCUUAUUCCUCAUUGCCCUCUUCUACUGGCCUUUCAAGCAGUAACCAGAAGGAACAUACAUUUCCAGAGAGACCUGGUGAACCUGAAUGCCAAUACUAUUUGAGGACUGGGGACUGUAAAUUUGGAUCAUCUUGUAGGUAUCAUCAUCCUAGAGACAGGGUUGUGCCACAAACAAAUUGCGUCCUCAGCCCAAUGGGACUUCCUUUACGUCCAGUAUGAACAUUCUCAUUACUUCUUAUUAUAUUGUUUUCUUCUGUAAUGAUAAUUACUCAUUUAGAGUGGGCUUUUAUGAGAUCAUGACUUAAAGAUCUUGCGUCAUAAAUUGGGUUUGGUUAGGCUAAUAUGUUUUAAGUACCUGUGUUAUCUUUGAUUGUCCUGUUAGUCCAAACUUCCCUAUUAUCUGCUAUGCAGUUAGAAGUUUUUGUUCCUUGGGGAGGAAAUAAAGAGACGGCCCUUCAGCCCUAGCCCCUCUUAAUUAAUUUUACAAUUUUCUUUAAGAGGAACUUCUACCCCACUAAAAUAUAGACUAGGUGUGCUUCAUUUAGUGUAGGAUUGAGAGGCUUCAGUAAAGGUCAUCUUUAAUGGAUUUGAGAUUUCUUCAUGCACUAUCGACUGCUAUAUUUCUUACAUCCUGUCAAUAAUCUAUUGUUGAAGGUUUAUGCUGGCCUCAAAACUUAGGAAUCAAAUUAUUUCUUUCUAGAUGGUUUAGGUUGGUCAAAGCUUCAUAAUGAAUAUCGUGUUCAGAGAAGUGUAGUAGGAGAAAUGACUAUUAUUUACAAUUGUUGGUAAGUUUGAUGAUUGAUGAUAUUAGAUUUGGUCUCUAGAGAAGGUCUAUGAUGGAGCAUUUUUGUUAGGGAUUCUCAAGGCUAUGUUAAUUUGACUAUUCAUUUUCCUUGAAGUGUUGUGUCCAACACUCAUUUCCUACACAUAGCUGGAUAUUGUAAAGGGAUAAAAUCCUCCAAAUAUAUUGGAAAAAUAUUGAGCAUAUCCAUGCUAGACGCAUAGCCAUAUCUGACACUCAUCCCAGAGUCUGAGUAAUAUAGUCUCAGGGUUUCUAAUAUUCUUGUUGUCAGAAGAGAUGAUUAGGAAGAUUCCACCAAUUUAUGGUGGAGAAUAGCAUUCUUUUUUUUUUUUUUUCAAUUGGAGAAGCUAGGCAACUUAACACCAUCAAGGUUCCCUAUGCUUUAAACUACACAUAGUUAAGGUUUUAUUACUCUUAUUUUUAAUUCCACUCAUGUUUUUGGCUAGAUAGACUUGCGGUUGAGUUAAUAGCUGCCUUUAGCUUUACAUACUAAGGUUCUUAAUCCAAUGCUUCCUAAUCUAGUGCUGCCUUUGAUUGGGCACCCUCACAACCACUCUCUUCAACUUGUCAUGAUGAGACACAUUAUGCUAUGUGAGGGUGUGGUUAAAUGGUUUUUACCCACUUUUUCAUUUACAAUGCUCGUAAUGUGAGUCUUGGUUAGCUAGGGCUGAUCAAGUAUGGACUAUGGAGUGAUAGUAAUUCAUCAACUUGUAAUUUAUAGUUUUAGUAACAUAUGCUUCGGUCAUUCACUUUUGCAGGUGAUGUUUGUUAUCUAGUCCCGAAAGACGUUUUAUGUUUAUAGCUCUUCUUGAGUUAUGCUAUUUUCCUGAAAACAAUUCUAGCAUGAUUAUAUACUUAUUGAGUCAAAUUGUAGCGUUUUAAUGGAUGUAAAGCAAUAACAAUGCUAUUCUGCAUUAACAUUUGCUAGUUCUGGUUAUAGCUACUGCAUCCCUUGAAUUUCAGAUCGAUCAAGACUUUAGUGAUCAUAUAUCUUGUUAUUCUACUAUAAUAGCAAUUAUGUACCAUCUUGUGCUUUAGUAACUCUACUCUAUAAUACUGGGAAUGAUGUUUUUGACACAUUACAUUUUGCUUCUUAAAUUGCAUCCAGGUUUUUGUCCCUUGCAACUUUUCUCAUUUUUUUAGAAAAUAUUUUAAUUUGAUUUUUUUUUUAUUUCCUGUAAACAGGGGGUGCAGCCUUGUGCUUUCUACUUGCAGAACGGGCACUGCAAGUUUGGGUCCACAUGCAAAUUUGAUCAUCCGGUGGGAACAAUGAGAUUUAGUCCAUAGCGGCGUUUCUCAUUGAUACACCAGUUGCUCCGUGUUCUAUUGGGUCUUUACUGGCUACAUUGGCCUAUCCUGUUCCCCUUUCAGAUUUUCAGCUUUCAAGCACGAGACAGGAUUGUGAGGUUUGUCACUCAAAUCGAUGCAAAAUGCUAGAGCCAUUUUUCAUUUUCUUGCCGAUGUGAUUUCACCAUCCUUGAUAUAUUUUCUGUUGAUAGAUCUCAGUAUAUUAUAGUCAAUUGUGCAAAGUUAUAUUUCUCAGAAGCAAGGGUUGUCAACAAAUCUGCCUUACCACACAAUCGGACCACUAUUUUAUGCCUCUCUUGUCUUUAUUUACUGUCAAAUAUAAUCUGGAAUAAGCUUUUGUAGCAAACAGUGUAUGAACUCCUAUCUACCGCUUUCUUCCAAAUAAAUCGAAGCAGAGAGCCGUUAUAUCAGGUUAGCCUCUGACUGUACUUUCAACUUGAUGUUUUAUAUACUUUGUUCAUUUGCAAUGAGGAAUUGAAGAAUGAUUUCCACUUCCCUGUAAGUCUUAAAUCUUCUCCAUGCCUUCUUAUCACUUGAUAUUACAGAUUUCCCUGCUGCUUAUUUCUGUUUAGGCAGAAUUAGCAAUUUAUGCAUUUGUGCUGUGUGUCGUCCUUGUGUCACUUUCCUGUGUUACAAUCGAGUUUUUGGUAUUAUAUGUUUUAUAUAAAAUUUGAUACGUUAAUAAAGCAUUUUUUCUAUGUUUUUUCGACUCUUAGUUUCUGUCUUUUUGCAUUGCUCAUGUCCAGCAUUCAUAUCAGAUGCUCAUGUCUAACGAUGGUAUCUGAUGUAUAUCCGGACAUAAUUAUGGGGCAUGAUUCUUAAAGGACCUUUCAAAAUAAUGGGAAAAUUUGAAAAGAAAUGAGCACACCUUUGUUGGAUACAUGUAUAUAUAUCCUUGCAUGCUAAGGAGAUGAUACUAAACAGCAAAGAUUCUUUUUGUCAUUGUACUUUUUUAAUUGGUGACCCAAAUUUUUGGGCCCUUUUAUUAUGGUCACCCAAAUAAAAAUAUUUGCAAUUUGAUCAUUGUCGUUAGAAAAGCAUUUAUUUUAGUCACUUAAUUGUUAAAUCUAUAAUUGCAUCGCGUCACAUCAUUUUUGACCAUUUUUUUAUCCCAUAUUACUGUUUAUCUUCUUUCCCUCCACACCACACUACCCCUACUUUCACCCUUCUUAUUUUUCCUUUGCUUUAAAGUUUCCAACUUGUUCAAUAAAGAGAAAAAAAAAAUCCAAUUUCUAAGGAUUGUAGUAAGAUAUGGAAAUUAAAUAAAAAACCCAGUAUCAAAAACAAGGCAACCCAAAUCAGCAAAAAUAUUCAACAACAAUACUAAUGAACGUUCUUUAUCCAAAAAACCAAGACUUCACUUUAAUUGCUAAAAAAGAGCUCAGCUGUUGUUUAUCCAUUAAUAAGAAAACCAACAAUUGAUCCAAAAUCAAACUAUAUGUUAAAAAAAGAAAAAUAAAAAGACCUAGAAAAAUUUAGAUCACAAACACCAAAAACCAAUGACUUCUUUUUCCCAUUGGAUAUAUGGAAAAAAAAGUAUGAUAUUACAACUGAACUUCAAAAGAGAGGAUCAAGGUCAACAAUGACAACACAGGGCAGUCUCUGAAUUUCGACACAACAUAACAUGAACCAUAAAAGAUAGAUUUAAAAAAAAAAAAAAGAUGGUGCGGUGGCUGGAAGCAAAGAGCAAAGAAAGAAGAAGAAUGGCAGCAGCAAGGGUGGUGUGGAGGGGAAGAAGAUGAUGAAGAGUGGAAGUGGGGUUAAAAAAAUGGUAAAAAAUGAUGUGGUGUGUAUAGUCGGCCACCUUUAGGGAUUUAACGUUUGAGUGACAAAUGGAAAAAAAUUCUCUAAUGACAAUGAUCAACUUGCAAGUAUUUUUAUUUGAAUAACCAAAAUGAAAGCGCUCAAAAAGUUGGUGAUCAAUUAAGUAGUUUACCCUACUUUUUAUUUGUUAUAAAUAUUCUUAAAUGACAGUAUAAGUUUUGUAACACCCCAAACUCAACCUAAGCAUUCAGACCAAAUCCGAAGAGUUAUAUUGACAUUACUAGAGAAACCCAUUUUUAUAACACAAAUCAAAGAAACCAUUCGACAAAUUAUAAUGGCUGUAAAGGUCAGCCAAUAAUCCAAUAGCCUUAAAGUCAUAUUACUAGAGAAUGCUAUAAUUACUGAUAAUAAUAAUAAAGGGUGAUAAAGCGAGUUGAUUGAGCUCCCACCAUUCUGACCCGAUCAAGACUGCGAGUUACCUGAAAUUCAGUCAAUAACAAAAUGAGUUGAAAACUUAGCAUAUAAUCGUAAUAGGUUUAUCUAAAAGCACAAUCACAAUAGUAAAUUAUUGAAUCUCAUAUGUCAAUUAGAAUCAGAGGAUAAUUAGUGCAAAUUCAAUGUAUCAGUUAUGCAUCAGAACAAUUCCGGUUCAUAUACGAUACAAAUUAGGAACAGAUGCAGUUAUUCCUACCCCACAGCUACACACCAUUUUUGAUCGUCCAAACACACCAUUAAAGGCAUUUAAUACCCAUCAAACUCUACAUAUCGGAAGUGUCAAUCUGACACGUUUAAUGAGGUGCAGACUAGCUGUCAGAUCAAAAUGCGAUAAAAUACCAAAUUCACGUAUAAUUGUGGCUUUAGCCAUCGAAUCAGAACAGAUCACUUCCUCCUUUACAAAAUUCCCAUCCCAUGCAAUGCAAGUUACAGAUAUCAAUAACAUAUGCUCAGUUAUUUAGACUCAAUUCAUAAUUAAGUGAUACAAAUCAAUAUCAUUGACAAUCUUCACAAUACGUAUACAUAUAUAAUCAACACCUCAGUCUCAAAACAUCAAAUAACACUCAUACAAUCUAAUUCAGAUCAUAAAUACAUUGUGGAAGGCCAAUGUUCGUGUUAGACAACGCUUACGGCCUCAGAGACAAGAUUUAGAGUUUUCUCCACAGACCACACGGCCUGACACUUGCUCGUGUGCCCACUCGUGCGUCUUACACGAAUCGACACACGCCAGUGUGCCCACUCGUGUGUUUCACACGGCUCGGUACAUGCCUGUGUCAUCUGCUCGUGUGUCCUAAGUCGUAAAUAAUGAGUCACACUGCUUGAACACGCCCGUGUCUCUAGUUCAUAUGGUAUCCAAAAAUGAUAGUAGGUUAUACGACCUGGGCACACGCCCGUGUCCCUAACUCGUGUGUUCAUUAUGUUGUACUCAGUGAGUAACAUGGCCUAGACACACGCCCAUGUCUUUGGCUCGUGUGAACUCUGCACUAACAUGAUUACACAUGGCUUGGACACACACCCGUGUCCCUUGCCCGUGUGGCUCGUAUUUGGUGAACAGUGUGUUACAUGACCUAACACACGGCCUGUCACACGCCGUGUGGCAUCGACAGUCAUAUUUUUUGACAUUCGAAAUUCACAAAAACUUAGGUUUUUGGUACGCACUUGAAGUGAUUUCGUAGUAGGAACAACGUAAAGGAUCUCCGAAGCCUAAAACGAUCAUCCAAUAACUCAAUCAACCAAAUUUAUUGACAAUAAUGCACAAUUAGAUGUAGAACACUUAUGUCGAAAGUUUUGACACAACCUUCAACGAAUUCAACACUUACCGAAAGAUCAACAACAAUUACUCGAAUUGACUUGCCGAGAUUCGCUACUUCCAACACCUACUUCUAAAAUAAGGAAACCAAAAUAAUUUAACUAAGAGAAUUGAUCUAUUAGCGCAAAACUAUCUCAACGACACGAAUUCGUCGUUUCUUAGAACUUCUAACAGAAUUACACAGUUAACUUUCAGUUGAUAUCACAGAAACGUACUUACUCGACCCGAACAUCAGAUCAGAAGAAGAAGUCCAUCAAUUGAUAACAGAAACGCCCAAGAGAUAUAAAAAAAAUGAAGAAGAUAAAGAAAAAGAAAAAGAAAGAACUUACGUUUUAAAAUUUGUUUUAACCUCCAAUAAGUUUUCCGACCGUUAGCAAAAAUAUUUCUUAAUGUAUACGCUAAAACCCGAACACAGAACUAAACAGAAUACAGAAGCUUAACCAUUGAACAAACAUGGUCAUUCUUGUCAUAGAGUUACACAGAGUUAAAUUUAAGUUAACGAUUUAAGAGCAAUGAUUGAUAGUUAACUAGCAAAACUUCUAAAAUACGACUUGAAUUCCUGACCACGAACACAUAAGCAAAACAUUUAACCAUAGAUACAGAAACUUAAUUAUUGUAAAAUCUUACAAAUAAACAUUCAAAAUUUGGGGUGUUACAAAUUUAUAUAUAUAUUUGGAGGAUGAAUAUGAAAGAGUAUGAUUAUUUGAAUAUAAAUUUUUUUAUAACAUAUAAAUAUCACAUAAAUAUAUGUUUUUGAUAUUUAAGUAUAAAAAAAUAUUUAAUAAUGAUAUUUUUUAAAAUAAGAUUUUUAAAUAAUAAUGUAAUUUAAUAAUUUUUAAAUAAUAUUUUGUUUGAUAAAAAAAGUUUUAAAUGUCUAUAAUAUGUAUAAAAGUAGUUUUGAGAAUUUUUUGUACAUAUCAAUAUAACUUUUAUUCCUCGGUAUAUUAGUAAAUACCUUUUCUCAUAUUAGAUUCUGAUCAUAUCUGUUUUUUUUAUAUAAUACCUAGAAUUAUUCAUAGUCUCUUGUCAACUCUUAAAUAGGAGGAUAAUGUGGUUCUACGUAGUUGAACCCACGUCCUCCUACAUUAGUAACAAUAUUGAUGCCAAUCUAGCUAAAACUCAAUUGACUAGUAAAUAUCAUUUUUAAAUAUACAUUUUUUUUAUUUUUCUAAGAUUUAUCACAUUUAUAAAUAAUAAUUUUAUUUUUACUAAAAUAAUUGGUUAAAAAGAUUACUUGAUAAAAAGAUUUAUGUACUUAUAAAUAAAAAUUAUGAUUAAUUUUAUUAAAUGAAUUUAUAUAAUAAAUAAUAAAUUUGAUAUUAAAUUACUUUGUAUUUAAAUUAUCAUGUUUCAAUUGACUGAAAAAUUUAAAGGAAAAAAAUGAUAUUACUUUAGUUUUAAAUUGCAAGUUUUAGUUAGUUAUUUAUUUAUUAAUUUUAUAUUUCAUAUAUAAAUUUUUAUGGUUAAAGUGUAAAUUUACCAUCAUAGGUGAUGAAUAUUGAAAUUUGUCGCUAUACUUUACUUUCGUGGAUAUUUACCAUUAUAUUUUAAAAACAUGAGUAAAUUUUUUAUUCAAACUCUAACGUGAUUUAAUUUUAUUACUAAGCUUUAAAUUUUAUUAAAUUUUGAAACAAUUUUAUUUUUUAAAUUAAAUUUUAUCACUUUAAAACAUAUUAAUUUUGAUGAUUUGUAAAAACAAUUAAUAAAAAAAUUAUUUCAAAUAUUUUAUUAGAAUAGUUAACAAUAAUUUAACUUAUAAAUAUUAAAAAUUAAUAAAUUAAAUUACAAUUUCUAGUUAAUGAAAUAAUCUUGAAAAAUAAAAAUACAUAUAUCAUAAAAGAAAAAAUAAGUUUACUUUUAUAAAAUAAUCAUUUUCUUUAUUUUUAAUAUUAUAUUAAUUAGUGAAUAUUAAAGUAAAAUAUAAAAAGAAUUAUUAUUAAAUUUUUCUUCAAAUUAUUUGAUAAUCUAAUCUAUUUUGUUUUUGAAUUUAUUAAUUACUUUACCCCAAAUUAAUUUAUUUUGCUUUUAUUAAUGUUUGUUAAGGUGGUUUCGAUAUUACUGCAUAGGCAUUACCUUUGUUUUAUACUUUUUUUCCCCUAAAAUACGUGGAUUUAAUUUUAGAAAAUUAAUUUGUUAUAUAUGUUUAAAAUUAAAUAUAAUCCUUCCCCGACCUUUAAAUAGGAGAAUAAACUCGCUUCAAUGCGCUUGAACUCACAUUUUUUAACACUGACAACAGUACCGAUGUCAAUUGAACUAAAACGGUUUAAACCUAUGACUUCUAAGAUGGAUACACUAUUACUUAACCAUUCAACCUAUGUCUUAUUUCUUAUUUAUUUUAGUCACUUAAUUAUAUAUAUUUAUUUCGGGCUCAACUUACAUAUUCUUUAUUAGCUUAUACAUUUACUCAUUUUUUAUUAACUUAUUUAAUUUUAUAGUUUUUAACACAUUUCACUUUAGUUUAUAUAUAAUAAUUAAUACUCAUAAUCAGGUCUCAUUAUUAAUAUUUUAAUUUAUUUUACCCAUUUUCCAAUUAGGUCCUAACUCAACUAAAACACACUAUUUUCAAAUUAAAUCUCGUAAUCAAGUUUCGUUUUAGAUUAAUUAAUAAAACAAAACUUGAUUAUAUUAUUUUAAUACUUUAAUUAAUUAUUUAAAGCAAAGUUUAAGGGCUAAAUCAUAAUUUUAGUAAAAUAUUUUAGUAAAACCUUUUUGGUAAAAUCAAGAGUAAAAUUAUGGAAUUAUCCAAAUAAGACUUAAUCAUGCAAAUUUUCAAGUCAUUUCAUAGCAUUUAAGGGCUUCAAUUGCAUAGCAUAAAAAUUAGGACUCAAUUGCAAAGAUAAUAAAACAUGCCCAACCUACAUAUGACAUAUUGACACCUAUACAUACUAUUUCGUGUUUUCAUGCCAAUUUUCCUAUUCUAACAUGUCGUACAUCAUACAUAGAUCAUUCAAAUCAUGCUUAGUUAUAUUAAAACAUAUAUUAACACAUUUUAACAAUCACGCGUAUUCAGGGUUAAAUUCAAUCCAUCAAUCACAAACCCAAUUCUUCUAACCCAAUUUUUAGGAUGUGACAGAAAUUGUUAAAUUGUAUUUGUUUACCCCAUUACGAAAAAUUCUAAAUUUCUUUCUUUUUUUCAAUACUAAAAUUUUAAAUUUCAAAAUAUCAAAAUAAAUUAUUGAAAAUUGUUUGAUUUGUUACUAUAAUAUUAAAAUUAAUUAAAAUAAUCUCUUUCUAAAAUUUUAAAUUUUAUUUUAUGUUUCCAAAUUAAAAUAAACUCAAAUAACUCAUCCUUAAUAAUUGUUGAUGAAACACAAAUUUCUUUUGAUUAUAUGAACUUAAAUCUUCUAUGCUAAGCUAAAAAUAAAGAAAAAUCUUUAUAAUUAAUUAAUUUAAUUAAUUAUUUGAGUUAAUUUCGUUAAGGAUAAUUUAAAAACAAAAAAUAAAAAUUUAAACUUCAAGAGAUUAAUUUAAUUAAUUUCAAUAUUAUAGCAACAAAUCAGUUGACAUUACCAAUGGAUAAACAAUUUUCAAUAACUUAUUUAAAUUUUUUUAUUUUUUGGAUUUUAAAAUUGAAAUAUUUAAAAAAAAUUAAAAUUUUUGACAAUGGGAUAAGCAAAUACAAUUUGAAAAAUUUUGUGUAUUAUUUUAACUUUUACUGCUUUUUCACUUUGAUCCUUUAUCUUUUUUUACCCCAAUCAUUGUUUAAAAAAAUAUUUUUUGGGUGACUAAAAUAAAAAUAUAAACAUGAUGUGACGUGCAUGGUUAACAGUCAUUAGAGAUUUAACGCUUAAGUGACUCAAAAUAAAAACAAUCUAAAAAUUGUAAGGAAAUUACAAAAUUUUCAUUUUGAAGAAAGGGGCUUAAAAAUUAUAAAGCAAAGAUUAGGAAUCAAAAUCUAAUACUCCAUCCCUGAGUAGAAACAGUGGCCUCAAAGAUUUUAUCACUCUUAAAUAAUCCAUGUCCAUUAUUUAAAGUCAAGAUUAUAUAGUCUUUCAUUACUAAAACUUACACAAUAAUUUGUAAUAAAUAUAGAGUGGUACGAUUACAAUACAAAAACAAAUAUCAUCGAACUAACUCAAGCAAGUGACAAGGGAAGAUGAAGGACCUUGAUUACUUCUCAGCCAGCUCAUCGCGCCGCGCGUGCAGCUCGCUGCGGUGGUGGUGGCCGCACCGUGCGUGAUAAGACAAUGGCCAGGAGGGUGAAAGUAAUAACCAGCAACAUGAGGAACCGGAGGAAGUCCAAAAUGUCCCAUUCAUUUACUUUCCCAUCUUCGAUUAGAUCAGCGUCGGUCGGCUUCUGGUUGGUUCUUGUAUCAAAAGGAGGGGUCGGAGUUAGGGUAGGUUCUACCUAGGGUAGGCUCUUAAGGCUCAUUAUAUGCGGUUCGGUUCUAAAGUAAGGGUACCUGAACCAGCAGAUUCCUCGAUCUUCACCCAAUAUAGGCUCAUAUGGACCGAGUUCAGGUCAGGGGAAUACAUUUCCCUAUGGCCAUGCGGAGAUGAAAAUCUCACGAAGACAUAGGUACGGAUGUAUCUCGGAAGCGAUUCACUAUCCCAUGCGGAGGUGAAAACCUCACGAAGGCGUAGUUUCUCACUCCCACUUAAAAGGGUGUGACCCGUGGUCAUGCAAUGCAAUGUGCAAUACUAUCAAAAGGCUUAAACAAAAAAGUAAACAUAUUGAAAACCAAAAAAAUGAUAGACAAAAUGCAACGAAAGGAUCGUACUUUUAAACUAAAUUUUUAAUUUUUGAAAAAAGACAAAAAUUAAUCAACUCGUGGCUUGACUCUCGUGUUUGUUCCCCAGUGGAGUUGCCAAGUUGUUGACACCAUUUUUUUGGAUUAAAAACGGGAGUCGCCACCAAUCCUUUUUUAUCUAGGUGUGAUUGGAUCACCUCAUCAUUUUAAUAAAAUUUAAAUUUACUAAAACGAUAAUUUUUGGUCUACAAAAUCCAGAAAAUGAGUUCGGGAGUCGGUUACGCACGAGGAAGGAUUAGCACCCUCGAUACGCCCGAAAAUUGGUACCUAGUAGAUUAAUUAAUGUCUUGAUGUCGAGAAUUGAAAACUUUGAAAAAUUUUAAAAAUACGAUCCCUUGUAUUAAACAUUAAAAAUUUGGGAAAAGAAGCAUAUUUUAUGUUAAUCGAGAAAGAGAAUUGUAUCCAGUAAGUUAGGACACAAUAUCUCGAAUUCUCAAUAUACAAAAAAAUGCUUAUUUAAAAAGUAUUUUUAGCUAUCUCGGAUUUGAAAGUGAGAUCACAACCAGUAAGUUAGGAUGCAAUUCUUUUUAAAUCCUGAGAUCAUUUAAAACUUGAGUUUUAAAAAAAUUCGUGUAUUUAGAUUUAUUGUGAAAAUCGAGACCCAGUAAGUUAGGGUACGACAUUCUCAAAUCUAAACACGAGAUUUUGCUUACUCAAAAAUUGUAAUUUAUGCAUUGAAAUGAAUGAAUAAAACACGAUGUUAAUAAUCAUAACAAGAUGAUAUUGAAUACAAUAGUGCAAAAUAAUACGAACAAUUGCAACAAACAUAAGAUAAAUACAAAGUAUGAAUCAAUAACAUACGAAAUAGCAAUGUAUACAAGCAAAUAAAGUUAAAGCAUUCAUUCAAAUCCAUAACGAAAAUGAAAUAAAUAACUAAAUGAAUACGAAUAUAAAAAGUAAAAAGAUAUAUGUGUGUGCAUAAAAUUAUGAGGAUGUAAAAAAUCUAUGUACGUAAAAUAUGUGUAAAUAUGUAUGUGUACAUUUAUGUGUAUGUACAAAGUUAUGAAAUAUAUAAAAUAUAAAGGUAGGUAUAUGUAUAUAUUUUUUAUAAAAAAUAAAAACGUGUAUAUAUAUUAUGUGCAUGUAUGCAUUAUAAAGUAUAUAAAAGUAUAUAUAUACAAGGAUAUAUAAAUAAAUAAGAUAUAAAGUAUAUAAGUAUGUAUUUAUGAAAAUUAAAAAAUAUAUAUAUAGACAUGCGGCUAUAUACAUAAAAUAAUAAAAGAUAAAUAUGUAUAGGUAUUCAUAAAAAUAAAAUAUGUGUAUUCGUAUAUUAAAGUAUAAAGUAUAAAUAAUAUAUAUCUAAGUAGAUAUACAUAUGUAAGUAAACUUGGAAAGUUAUGCGUACACAUACUAUGACAAUAUGAAUGUAUAUGUAUAAAUUAUAGAAUGUAUUAAAGUGUAAGUAUGUAUAUAGGUAUGUACACAUAUAUCAUAAUCUAAAAACAGUAUAAAUGGGUAAACAAUAAAGGCAAAUAAUAAAAAUAAAAGCAAUAAUGAUAAUAAUAAUAAUGGUAAUAAAACUAAUUACUUUUAAAAAAAUAAAAAAAUAAAAAAACGGGACUAAAUAAAAAACAAAGCAAAAUCCCAGGGGAGAAAAGAAAAAAAGAAAAAAACUAAAACAGGGACCAGAUUGGAGGGAAGCCCAGAAGCAGAAGGACUGAAAGGGUAAAUAGACCCUCAGUCCAAAACACGCAGAUCCUUGGGAACCAUCGGGUCGACGAGCGGGUCGCGCUCAAUACGGCACCGUUUUGGAGCCAUUGAUCAGACUCCAAACGGCGUCGUUUCAGACAUCACAUAAGGCCUAAGAAAUACCCUAAUCUGAUAGCCUCCAUUCAUUUUUUAAACAAACAAAGAAAAAGAAAAUAAAAAACAAAAAAAAAGGAAAACUGAGAGCCCGAAGCUCUCUCAAUUCGUGAGAGUCAAAACAAGGGGGUUUUCGGCCCCUUUGGACCUGAUUCAGGUGACGGAGGAGGGACCCUCCGACGGCGCAACCAUGGCCACUUCCGGUGAGUUCCAUUUUAUUUAUUUUAUUACUAAUAUUCUAAAAAAAGUAGAUAAAAUAAAAGAAAAAAGAUCUUAUAAACAGAAUGAUAGAGAAAAAGGAAAAAGGAAAACCUUUGAUCUGUUUUCUGCUUUUAUUUCUUUCUUUUAAUGUUUUUUCUUUUCAAAAAUCGGGACUCCCCAUUACAGUGAUCAAGCCCCCUAUUUCAUUUUACAAUAUUCGGCUUUAUAGCCAAAGAAAGCUAAAUUUUUUUUGUCUAGUCUUGUCAGCUUCUGCUUGUCUUCUUGCGUGUUUGCAGGUGACCGUACGGCGGUGGCAGGAGGCGUCAGACACACAUGGUAGCAGGUGGCGCGGCGCUGGAGAGGCAGGGAAACCCUAGGGUUUUAUUUUUUGAUGAAAUUUGUUUAUGUUUUGGGCCGUUUGGGCCAUUGGUCUCUUUUUUUAAAAUUUUGGGCUAGGUUAAUAUUUUUGGGUUUGUUUGGGUUAGUUGGGCCUAGUGUAUCUGUUUUGUUGGUAUGGGCCCGGGCAAAAUGGGCUUGUACACUCUUUUUUACACAAAGCCUAGAACUACUCAUAUCCCUCCUCAACCCAUAAAUAGGAGGAUAAUGCGCUUCAGUACACUCGAACUCAUGUUCUCCUGUAUUAACAAUAAUGCUCAUAUCAAUAAAACUAAAAUUCAAUUGGCAUGAAUCUAAAUAAAUUAACAUUAAGAUUAAGACGAUUCGGCCCUGUAGGUCGUUUGGAGGUGCGGCCACUCAGGGCUUAAGGGGUUCAAAAUAUUGUUUUCUAAUUUUUUUAAGGGGUCUAAACUUUUUUUUUGGAACUUUUAAAGGUAAAAGAAAAAAAGUUUUUACCAACUUUUAAGGGGCCCAAAAAAAAUUUUUUUUUAGCUUUUAAGGAGUCAAAAAUUUUCUUUUACCAACUUUUAUGGGACCUAAAAAAAAUUUCUCCAAUAUUUAAAGAACCUAAAACCCUAUUUUAUUAUUUUAUUUGGGCCCAAAAAACCAAUAACGGGACAGAGAUUAAGUCUAACUCUAAUUUUACAACUUGAAUAUAUCCCCUAAUGUUAAAUUUGGGUUAGUAUUCUUCACCACCAUUGAGUUAGCAUCUUUGGAAUUAUUAAAAGAUAAGUUUGGUACAAACAUAUGGCUAAAGUAACUUUCUCCACCCUCCUUUAUAUUAAAUUAAGGUAAUUUUAUAUUAUUUGUUUUAUCAGUGUAAAAAUAUGGUAAUUUUUGUAUUAUUUCAUGUUUUUUAUACUGUUAAAAUUUUAGUAAUUUAACCGUUAUUUUUUUUAUAUCUUAUUGCAUAAAUUAUGUAUGACAAAUUUAACAUAAAUUAAAAUUUUCUAAUUAUUUAUUUUUUAUAUUAUCGUAUCCAUCACUUAUUGGAAUUAAGAGAGUAUUUUUCUUUGUCCUCUAAUAAGUAAUAACGACAUUUCAUUAAAUUUUAUCUACUGUAUCUAUUAUACUUCAUAUUAGGCAUAGUGGCGGCUUGGAUUUUUCCUCCAACCCUUUUAAGUUGUAUAGUGUGAAUCUAGUUUAUAUUUGAAUGUGACGUACGGGUUAAUUGUGUAUAUUCAAAAUUUUAAUAUAAUUAUAAAAUAUUUUUAAAGAUAUUUAAUUUGAUUUAGAAUAAUUAUAUUAAUGUUAAUUAAUUUUAAAAAUAUUUAAUAUUAAAAUAAUAUAAAAAUUCAUCGAAUAUUAAUAUAUUAUCAUUUAAAUAAUAUUAUCAAUAAUUUCUCAUAGGUUAUUUCUUAUAUAUUUGUUAAAUUAAAAUUGUAAAUAUUUAUUUUUUAAUUUUAUUUUUAUCCAUAAAUCGUUGUUUAUUCGGUUGAUUAUAAUUAUUUCUGCAUUCAAUAAAUUAAAACAUUAUAUUGAAAAUAAUGAAAAAAAUAUUAGAUUAAAAAAUGAAAAAACAUUAUUUCAUUUCACUUAUUGCACAUAUUUUUUAAAUAAAAUAAAAUAAAAUAUCUUAAUAAUUAUCCCAACAAAAAAUAAUUUUUAAAAUAAAUAUAAUUCUUUUAUCUUUUAAAACUACUUUUUGUAAUAUAAAAUAAACAAAACUGAAAUAAUUUUAAAAUAAGAAUGAUCUCCUCACAUCAAUUAUCUAAUAUUUUAAUAUAUUAAAAUUAUUUUAUAUGCACAUUAUUAAUAUUUAAUAAUGUUUAGAGGAUUUAUUAAUGAAACCCAUGCGAUAAUUAUACAUUAUUUAAAAUUAAAUAUAAAACCAUUAUCAACCUCACAUUAAAAUAUUUCUUAUGUUUUAAAAGGUUUAUAAUAGCACAUAUUUAAUUGUUAUGUAUAAAUAUUAUCUGUUAAUAUAAAUAAAUGCCUCAUUAAAUGGUCAUUAGGGGCUAGUAUUUUCUGUGUAUAUGUAGGUUUUAUUGAGUUAAAUGGUCAUUUUUGUUUACACCCAUUACAAAUACAUCCCUCUUUUUCAUUCUUCCUAAAAUUCAUGUAAAAGAAAUUAUAUUUUUAUAAAAUUGCAUACACCUUAAUGCUAAAAGUUCUUUUAUUAAGUUCAGGAUUCAUGACAUAUUAUUUGUAACCUCUCUAACCCGACCUAGACGUUACAGUCAGAUUCUGAAGGUUACAUAAGCCACCGAAAUGGCCUAGUAAAACUAUUGGAGUUUAUAGAACAAUCUUUUUAAAGCAUUUGCUUACCUUAGUAAAAAAACUUAAGUGUGUUUCCAAAAUGUAUAAUUUCUUUCAAAAACCGGUUAAUUUUAAUGAUUACUUUGUAAAAGUUGAUUUCUAAUUUUAUAUGUUUUUCAAAUCUCAUUUACAUAAUAAUGCAACGGAAAAGUGAAAUUCAACAUAGUUUUAAUUAAAAAUCUGGUUUGCAUUCAAAAUUAACUCAAAUUCCAUGUUUCGACAUCCUAAAAUCAAUUUAAACGACAUGCAUACCAAAUAAACCCCAAAUUAAAAAUCUCAUGUCACUAUUUAAAUAAAACAUUACAGUUCCUAAAUAAUAAGCCUAAAAUACUUUUAUAAAAAAAACAAACCGAGACGAGCCCUUUGAAUGUCGAAUUUGUGUCCUAACAUUGUGGGUUAUCUGAAAAGAUGAAAAUUCUUAAGAAGCUCAAUUUGAGUCCAAUUACAAGAAAACCAGUGCAAAAUAGUAGACCAAGCAUACAAAAUAACAAUUCUCAGAUCAAUCACAAUUGUGUAACAAAACAUAAUUUAACAGUUUAUUUGAGUAUGCUUAUGUAUGUCAAUGUAAUUCAUAUUUAAUAGAACAAGUUUCUACUCAUACUUUGCUACACUCCACAACAAGAGUUCCACAGUACUCAUCCAUUCCUAUAGUCUAUAUUAUGGACAAACCACUAGUAAUUGCAAAUGAACUGCUAGUAAAAAUUGUGGGUAACCACCAGUAUUUUCAAAUAAAAAGUUUGCAAAUAAACUGGUAGUUAGUUUUGGAUGAACCACUAGUGUUUGUAGAUUAUUAAUGUAACAGAUCGUUUUCAGUGAAAUCAGAACAGUGAUUUCGGGACCACGAAGAGAAUUUAUUAAUAUUAUUUUGUGGUCUAUGGUAUAAUAGGAAUUUUGCAUGAAAAUUUCGUUAAGAAAUUUUACCGAUUACAUGUCUAAUUGGUUAAAAAGGACUAAAUUAAAAAAAGUACAAAACUUGCUAAUUAUGAUUAUUACGUAAUUACUUUAGGGACCAAAUCAUGAAUUAAGCCCUUUGUCUUGGUACUUGACUAAAUUAUUAGAUUUUGAACUAACAACCAAUAGAAUAAUGACACGUGUUCUAAAAUAAUAAAAACAUGUUUAAAUUUUAAAAUAUAUAUAUAAGAAUUUAUUUUAGGAAUCCAAAUUUUAAUCCAAGCUCAUUUUGAAUGUGUACUUUUAAUAAUUUCUAUUUUUUUUAUAGAUUAAAGAAAUAAUAAUAUAAAUGUUAUUUUUUAUCGAUUGAGUUUUAGUUCAAUUGAUAUCGGUACUGUUGUCAGUGUUAAAAAAUGUAAGUUCAAGUGCAUUGAAACGUGUUUAUCCUCCCAUUUAAAGAUUGGGGAAGAAUUACAUUUAAUUUUAAAGAUGGUGGGAUGGAUUUGUGCCGUCUUCUCACUUUGUGUCUAUGCUGCUCCACUUAGUAUAAUUGUUUAUUUUUAAUCAUCUAAUAAUUUCCAUUUUAUGUUUGAAUUUCAGAUGUUGGCUAUAAGAAGAAAGAGUGUGGAUUACAUUGUCAACACCAUGUGCCGUAACUUGGUUCCUAUAGAGAUUAAUAUGUAGCGGUAAGAUCAAAUGAAAGUUCUGUUAUGACUUUUUAUUUCUAUUGAAGAUUAUUAUGAAGUGGUAAAAUUAAAUAGAAUUUUACUAGUAAAUGCAUUACAUUCUUAAUAACAGAAUUCGAGUUUAAAUCAUAGAAGUAUAUUAUUGAAAAUGGCAGCUAUAAAUUUUUAUAUACAGUAAAACGGAUAUAAAAAAUAUCUUAAUUAAAAAAAAAGAAGAAGAAGAAGCAAGUAAGGGCAACACCUCAUCAAGUGGAUAAAUACAGUAGAGUCCAAUAGGAAUUGCUAAUGUCAUGGGUUGCGCAUGGGAGCCCGCAACCAUGACACAUUCGUGUGAUCCAUCAAGUGGAAAGGAGGUCAUUUGGCCCGAUCGGACUGACCCAUUGCUUGAAGAGAUUGAAGGCCCAUCUACAAGCUCGUCACAUAUGGAAACAUAAUCUUCGAAGAUAUACAAUCGUAGAUUUGAUAUGUAAUCUUAGGAGAUAUGAUUUUGUAAAUCUUAGAGAUUUGAUUUGUAGAUACCAUUCGAUCUUAGCCAUUCAUGUACUUGAUCUGUACCGUUGGAUUUGGGGAGGCUCUACUAUAAAUAGAGGCCUCUCCCCUCAAUGUAAAUCAUUUGAGUUUUGAGGAAUAAUAAGAGUUCUUGAGAGUAUUCACUCAAACAUUAUUCUCUCUUGUGUUCUUGAUAUUUCGUGGCUUGUUCUUAUUUCGUUCUUCAUUCGCCUUUGUUUGAUCUUUGAGUUGCUUUCGUUUGUGUUGGUUUUCCAAGGGGAAUUCUAUUGAAUCCUCAAAUCGUGGGAGUUAGGCUGACUUAGGCAUUUUUGAAGCAAGAAACUGCCUAAGGCCGCACGGAUUGUGAGGCAAAAAUCCUAAGUCCGUGACAGUUGGUAUCCGAGCCAGUCUUUCGAAAGCACUAUUGAAGGAUGUCGAGAGAAGUUGGUGAGAAUGAGCCAAUGGAGACCCGUGGGAGGGCCAGGAAGGCUAGUCGAUUGAGGGACAUGUUGUCGAGCUUGGAAAAUCGAGUGGUCAAUCUCGAGGAGUCUGUUGGUGACAUGAGGGAGACACUCGAAGUGGUCCUAACCCGUAUGGAGGAACUGAGGGAAGACAGUAAGGUAUUCGUGCUGGACACUCUUAGAUCCACUUCGGACAAGCUGACGGUAAGGGACGAAGCUCUUGAGGCCCUGGUGACUGCCAUGAAAGAGGAGAUUGCUGAGCUUAAGGGGGAGCUCACAAUUUGUAAGGUCGCUCUGGGAAAUGGGAUGUUGACUUCAGGACCGAAGCAACGUCAUGUAGAUGUUCCAAAACCCGAGAAGUUCAAGGGGGCUAGGUUUGCGAGAGAAGUGGACAACUUUCUGUGGGAAUUGGAGCAAUAUUUUCGAGCAAUGGGCAUUGAGGAUGAUGCCACUAAGAUAAACACUGCUUCGAUUUACUUUACUGAUGUUGCUCUCUUAUGGUGGCGACGUAGGUCCACGGAUGAGAGACGUGGAGGAACGGCCAUUGGGACUUGGGAGGAGUUCCAAGGAGAGUUAAAGAAGCAGUUUUAUCCGCAGCAUGCUGAAAAGGAGGCUCGUGCUAAGUUGCAUCGGCUUACGCAACAAGGCACUGUUCGAGAUUAUGUGCGGGAGUUUAGUGAGCUGAUGCUUCAGAUCUCAGACUUGAAUGAGAAGGAAGCAUUUUAUAUGUUUGAGGAUGGGCUAAGAAUGUGGGCUAAGCAAGAGUUGCGUCGCCUAGGCAUCACCGAUUUGACUGUAGCUAUGGCGGAGGCAGAGAACUUCUACGAAGCUGGUAGGAGAAAGUUUGACAAUAAUGAUGCUUCCAAACCCAAGCUAAGACCCAAAGGCAAUGGUGGGGGAGACAAAGAGCAAACAGAAAGGAGUGGCGAAGCCCCAAGGACUUAUAAUGGUAGACCAGGAGAUAAGAAAGAGCCAAUGAGAUGCUUUCUUUGCCAAUGUCCACAUAGGUUGAGUGUUUGUCCAAAGAGGGCUGCUUUCAAUGCUAUGGAAGCACGCGAAGAGGCCAAUCCUGACACCAAAAGUCUUGGUACGAUAUUGGGCGGUGUUGAAGACAAGACGAGUAAUGGGCUGAUGUUUGUGGACAUCAUCGUGGUAGACAGAAAAUUGAAUGCCCUUGUUGAUACUAGUGCAUCUGAUUUGUUCAUGUCUAAAGAGAUGGCGAAGGAACUCGGUCUCAAAGUGGAGGAAGAUUCGGGUCGAAUAAAAAUGGUGAACUCAGAAAGUAUUCCCAUAACGGGUGUGGCUAAAGGGGUGGAACUCAAACUUGGCGAGUGGACAGGCAAGGCAACCAUUAAGGUAAUCCCACUUGAUGAUUAUGAUUUUGUGGUAGGAUUGAGUUUGUUUGAUCGACUUAAUGCGUAUAUUCAUCCUUCCGAGAACUACAUGAUGAUCUCUGAUUCGAACCAUCGUUAUAUGGUGCGAAUGAAAAGAAAGGGAAACAUGAAAGGCAAAACAUUGUCGGCAAUCCAAUUUGCCAAAGGAGUACGUAGAAACGAAGUCUCCUAUUUAGCCACCUUAAGGAACAAUGUGGAGGAGAAAUUCGAGGGGGAAAUCCCAAAGGAAGUGAAGCAGCUGUUGCAGUCUUUUCAAGAUGUAAUGCCCACAGAGUUUCCCAAGACAUUGCCACCAAAGAGGGAGGUGGAUCACAAGAUUGAGUUGUUGCCUAAUACUGAGCCACCAGCAAGGGUACCAUAUCGAAUGUCUCCACCUGAGUUGGAGGAAUUGAGGAAGCAGUUAAGGGAACUUCUAGAUGCCGGGUUCAUUAAACCUUCCAAAGCCCCAUUUGGAGCGCCGGUGUUAUUCCAAAGGAAGCAUGAUGGGUCCUUAAGAUUGUGCAUUGACUAUAGGGCCUUAAACAAGAUCACUGUGAAGAACAGGUAUCCCAUUCCUCUCAUUGCAGAUUUGUUCGAUCAACUUGGUAGCGCGAGAUGGUUUACUAAGUUGGAUUUGCGAUCGGGGUACUACCAAGUGAGAGUAGCCGAAGGGGAUGAGCCCAAAACAGCCUGUGUGACUCGGUAUGGGUCUUUUGAAUUCUUGGUGAUGCCGUUCGGGUUGACAAAUGCUCCGGCAACAUUUUGCACCCUAAUGAAUAAGGUAUUACAACCUUUCUUAGAUCGCUUUGUGGUUGUUUAUCUUGACGACAUUGUGGUGUAUAGUAAGACGCUUGAGGAGCACGUUGGACAUCUGAGGGAGGUGUUCCAAGUCCUACUGGAAAAUGAGCUGUAUGUCAAAGAGGAAAAAUGCUCAUUUGCCCAACGAGAGGUGCCUUUUCUUGGCCAUAUUGUAGGAGGUGGCAUGAUCCGAAUGGAUGUAAGCAAAGUCCGAGCAAUUUUCGAUUGGGAGCCACCAACCAAGGUAACGGAAUUGCGGUCCUUUCUUGGUUUAGCAAACUACUAUCGACGUUUCAUUGAAGGCUACUCCAAGAUCACUACACCCUUGACGGACUUGUUGAAAAAGGGCAAAGUAUGGGAUUGAGACUCUCGGUGUGAGAAAGCUUUUGACCAAGUAAAGCAAGCAAUGGUGAGUGAACCUGUACUUGCUUUACCGGAUUUUACAAAGGCGUAUGAGGUACGCACGGAUGCUUCAGACUAUGCAAUUGGGGGAGUAUUGAUGCAAGAAGGGCAUCCAAUUGCUUUCGAGAGUCGAAAGCUGAAUGAGACAGAACGGAGAUACACGGUCCAAGAAAAAGAGAUGACUGCUGUGGUGCAUUGUUUGCGCACAUGGAGGCACUAUUUGCUGGGUUCCAGGUUCGUGGUAUUCACUGAUAAUGUUGCAAAUAGUUAUUUCCUAACCCAGAAAAAGUUGUCCCCCAAACAGGCUCGUUGGCAGAUUUUCCUAGCAGAGUUUGAUUUUAGCAUGGAGUACAAGCCGGGGAGUGCCAACAUUGUAGCUGAUGCUCUUAGCCGAAAGAUGGAAUUUGCAACGAUAAGCCAACCCAAUAGUCCCUUAUUGGAGCGCAUUCAAGAAGGGUUGUCCCACGAUUCCACGGCCAAAAAUUUGAUUGAGCUUGCUAAAGAGGGAAAAACGAGGCGAUUUUGGCUCGAGGGAGAAUUACUAUACACUCAAGGACAACGUCUAUAUGUGCCCCAACAUGGGAACUUACGAAAGGAAGUCAUGAAGGAAUGUCAUGAUUCAAGAUGGGCUGGACAUCCAGGCAUGCACCGCACUUUGGCUCUCUUGGAGGAUCGAUUUUAUUGGCCUCACAUGAGUGACGAUGUGGAGACUUAUGUGAAAACUUGUUUGGUGUGCCAACAAGAUAAAAUCGAGUUGAAGGCUCCUGCUGGGUUGCUACAGCCUUUACCUAUUCCGGAGCGCCCAUGGGAGAGUUUAUCCAUAGACUUUAUUGUAGGUUUGCCUAAAUCUGAUAGAUUUGCAAGCAUUUUUGUUGUGGUGGACAGGUUUUCGAAGUAUGCAACUUUUAUCCCCACAACCAAGGAGUGUCCUGCUGAGGAGGCUGCUCGCUUGUUUCUUAGACAUGUGGUGAAGUAUUAGGGAGUGCCACAAUCUAUCAUCAGCGAUCGAGAUGGGCGAUUCACGGGACGAUUUUGGACGGAGUUGUUCAAGUUAAUGGGCUUGAACUUGAACUUUUCAACCAGCAUGCAUCCAUAAACUGAUGGGCAAACUGAACGAGUGAACGCGUUGUUGGAGAUAUAUCUACGGCACUAUGUGAGUGCCACACAAAGGGACUGGCCAAAGUUGCUGGAUGUGGCUCAGUUUUCUUACAAUUUGCAAAGAAGUGGGGCGACAAACCAGAGUCCGUUCGAGAUAGUGACAGGACAACAGCCACUUACACCCAAUGCUGUUGCGACUCGUUAUGGGGGACCGAAUCCAGCAGCCUAUCGAUUUGCGAGAGAUUGGCAAGAGCAAAACGACUUGGCUAGAGCUUGUCUUCACAAGGCAAGUAAGCGCAAUAAGAAAUGGGCGGAUCAGAAUCGAAGAGAUGUGCAAUAUUAGGUUGGUGACUCCGUCCUUGCUAAACUGCACCAGAUUUUGCGACACAAUGGGUUGCAUAAAGGGCUUGUUCGACGUUAUGAGGGGCCGUUCCGAGUUUUGAAGAAGGUAGGCAAGGUGGCCUACAAGCUUGAGUUGCCUGAAAAACUCAAACUCCAUCCAGUGUUUCAUGUGGGUAUGCUUAAGCCAUUCCAUGAAGAUGAAGAAGACCCAAACAGAAACAAGUCCAAACGAGCACCGAUAGGGGCAAAAACCGCCUAUGAUAGAGAAGUGGAGAACAUAGAGGGGGAUCGUGUGAUCAGACGAAAGUACUAUCGACCGCGGCAUGAAUACCUAGUCCGAUGGAAGGGAUUCCCUGAUAGUGAGACAAGUUGGGAACCCGCUGAAGCCUUGUGGCAAUUUCAAGACAAGAUAGAUCGUUACCAUGCGAAGGAUGCAACGAGGACGUCGCUAGAUUCGGUGGGGGAGAAUGUCAUGGGUUGCGCAUGGGAGCCCGCAACCAUGACACAUUCGUGUGAUCCAUCAAGUGGGAAGGAGGUCAUUUGGCCCGAUCGGACUGACCCAUUGCUUGAAGAGAUUGAAGGCCCAUCUACAAGCUCGUCACAUAUGGAAACAUAAUCUUCGAAGACAUACAAUCGUAGAUUUGAUAUGUAAUCUUAGGAGAUAUGAUUUUGUAAAUCUUAGAGAUUUGAUUUGUAGAUACCAUUCGAUCUUAGCCAUUCAUGUACUUGAUCUGUACCGUUGGAUUUGGGGAGGCUCUACUAUAAAUAGAGGCCUCUCCCCUCAAUGUAAAUCACUUGAGUUUUGAGGAAUAAUAAGAUUUCUUGAGAGUAUUCACUCAAACAUUAUUCUCUCUUGUGUUCUUGAUAUUUCGUGGCUUGUUCUUAUUUCGUUCUUCGUUCGCCUUUGUUUGAUCUUUGAGUUGCUUUCGUUUGUGUUGGUUUUCCAAGGGGAAUUCUAUUGAAUCCUCAAAUCGUGGGAGUUAGGCUGACUUAGGCGUUUUUUAAGCAAGAAACUGCCUAAGGCCGCACGGAUUGUGAGGCAAAAAUCCUAAGUCCGUGACACUAACACAUGCUUAGCAAGAGCAUCGCGAUUUUAUUAGAGUCUUGAUAAACAUGAAUUACUCGAACAUUUCAAUCAUUUUAGUUUAUAUAGCCGCCUUUUUAGAAGGUAAGAAUUGCCAAAUUCAUUAUUAGCGCUUCAUUGUUGAUAUUUUUUAUUUUACUCCUUGCCUUACUCCGUAAUGGAUGUUAAAAUUUGAAUACCAUCACUACUUUUAAGAUGUUGGAUCCAUUCAUAAUCAUCCCGUUUUACCACACUCCAUUUUAUGUUUAUGAAUUAUUUUUAAUAAGUUUAAUGUACUCUUUAGCCAUAAAGUAUAUUGCUUUUCUCACUUUGAUCUUUAAAGUUUUUUUCUGGCUCACUUCAGUCCCUAACAUUAUUCAACAUUCACAAUUCAAUCCCAAAAUGUUAUCAGACAUUCCUCAUUCAAUCUUUUGGAUGUUAAAAGAACCGGUAGGGAUAUCUAGCUAAUCAUAAAUUUCCAUGUGGCAUACGUUGAUGUCAUAAUGACACCAUCAUUCGAAAAAAAACUAAUAGAUCUUUUAAAAUAUAAAAAAAAGUUACAAAAGGAAUAUGAAUAAAAUUAUAUAUAUAUAAUUGUUUAAAAAAGUGUAAAAAUAUAUUUAAAAACUAUGAAAAAGUUAUAAAAAUUAUAAGAAAUUGCAAAUUAUUGUAAAAAAAUAUAUAAAAAAUUAUUAAAAAUGGUAAAUUAUUAAUUUUUUUUUUUAAAAAAAGUAAAAAUUGUUGUAUCUUGAAAUAAAGUAUAACUUCUAUAAUCAGAUUUAAAAUAUUAAAAAUUUGAUACAGAAAUUACAUAUAGUAAUACAAUUAAUUGUAUUAGGUUGUGGUUACUAUUACUUUUUGAGACUUAAGAUCAACUGUGAUGUUUAGGCUAUUGAUAUUUAACAGCGAUUAUAAUUCUAAAGAAAGACUAUAUGAAUUCUAGUUAAGAAAGAAUUGGAAGCAAAGAGUGACAAUUUGCAAAUACCCCUAUUUUUGGCCGAAUUUAAAAGGAUAUAUAAGGGAGAUGCGUGGCUUGAACUCGAGUAUGGUUUUUAUCCUAAAUGUUGUUGAAAAUAAAAGGAAGAAAAAUGGAAAGGUUGAGAUUUAAACCUAUGACUUCUAAGAUAGAUAACUAUUACUUAACCAUGCAACCUAUGUCUUAUUUAUUGUUUAUUUUAGUCACUUAAUUAUAUAUAUUUAUUUCGGGCUCAACUUACAUAUUCUUUAUUAGCUUACACAUUUACUCAUUUUUUUAUUAACUUAUUUAAUUUUAUAGUUUUUAACACAUUCCACUUUAGUUUAUAUAUAAUAAUUAAUACUCAUAAUCAAGUCUCAUUAUUAAUAUUUUAAUUUAUUUUACCUAUUUUCCAAUUAGGUCCUAUCUCAACUAAAACACACUAUUUUCAAAUUAAAUCUCGUAAUCAAGUUUCGUUUUAGAUUAAUUAAUAAAACAAAACUUGAUUAUAUUAUUUUAAUACUUUAAUUAAUUAUUUAAAGAAAAUUUUAAGGACUAAACCUGUAACACCCCUUAACCCUAAUCUAUCGUCGAAAUAGGGUUACGAGGCAUUACCGGACAUAUCAUACAAUCUACAAAUAAUUUCUUAAAUAAAUAACAAACAUAUUAUAAUAUAAUCGUAAAUUCAUAAAAAUAUUAUUUUACUAAUUGACUUCAUUAUUAUUAUUAUUAUUUUAUUAUAUGUGAUUUUUUUAUAAAAAAAAACUCAAUAUAACCCUUUUUAUAAUUAGUUAACCUUCCCUACAAUUUCAAACCGCAACCAAUUCACAAUUCAUACAAUUUCAUAUUCAAAUAACCUAAACAUAUCUUAAACAUUAACUUAGUAAUUUACUAAAUAAAUAUUCGCAUAUAUUGUUUAAAUAAAUAAACUUCAUUCAUUUUAUUUCAGUUUUAGUACCAAACAUACCAUUUUAUAACUUAACGUUUCAUUUAUCAUUCAUAUAUUAUAGGCCAAUUCUUUACAACCAAAACUUACAAGUCUCUUUAAUAAAACUGAAGUACAUGCCACAUUUACCAAAGGAAAAAUACAUCACCAAAGUUAUGCUGAAGUCAGGAUUGAUCUGGAUGCUGAACCGAGACCUUUGACUUCUAUCGACCUGGGCAUAGAAACAACCGUACGCUGAGUAUUUCAUACUCAGUGGUAUUACCAUAAUUCAAAUUAUAGCAGUAAUAAACAUGUAAAGCAUAAAUCAUACAUACAAAUUUAAAUUUAAAUUUCAUAUUUCAUAUUUCAACAAUAACAAUUCAUCAAUUAAUAUCAUAUAUCCACAAUUUAAACUUGGACACAUCAUGAACGUUAGGUUCAUUCCCCAAUUUCGUAUCAUAUUUCAAUUCACAAUUUAACUUUUUCAUCUCAUUUCAGUAGCUCGAUUGAUCAACUCAUUCGGUUUAUCAUUUCAUUAUUUGCCCUAUUAACAAAACUCAGACUUUGGCAGAGACACGGAUCCAACCAAACACUCCAGUAUCGCAUCCAGUGCCUCAUCGAAUAGUUCGAAGCAAUAGUUGACACCCAGUGUCUCAUCGGCAAAGCCGAAGAAAGUUGGUACCCAGUACCUCAUCGAAUCUAUUCGAAAAAAUAUAGUGACACCCAGUGUAUCAUCGACUCGAGGUCGAAGUAUCCUUGAACUCUUCCAAUCCUAUGGCAUGCCAACUAUAUCCGACUCAGCCCGACUAGUUAAUAGGGUCUCUAAAUUCACAUUUCAAUUCAAUUCCACUUUUUCACUUUCAAUCACAAUUCAAUUCAAAAUUUACUUUUCCAUUUUUUAAGUCAAUAUAUUCAAUUCAAUUCCACACAUAUAUUCAUCAUUCGAUUGAAUUUCUUUCAACUUAAUAAUAAUAUUUACCUUAUAUUUCACUUACCAUACAUAUAAAUUUAAAUAUAACAUUUAAUAAUAAGUUAUUUGAAUUAUAGUAAUACAAACCGUAAAUCUCCAGUUUUAGUCCUCGAUAGUUUUCUCCUUUCCUUUCGAUGCCGAUGCCUCGGGUUCUUUGUUAGUUACGAAAAUAAUAAUAAUUUACACUAUUAAUUACAACAUUAAUUAUAAUAACUAAUUGAAUUUCUAAUCGAUUCCUACCUUAUUCUCAAUUUAAUCCUAACUAAGUUUACUUACUUUUCUAAUUCAAUUCACACUCUAUUUCUAUUCAAAUUUCAUCCAAAUUCAAAUUUAACUAAUAAAUUUUCAGCAUAUUUUCCUAAUUUCAAAUUUUCUUCAAUUUUAGUCCCUAAAACAUAAAACUUAUAGCUUAGUUCACAAUUUAAUCCUUUUAUCAAUUCUAAAUUGAAAUUCAUUCAAUUAAAUCCCUAAUUCAUCUUUUGUUCAACAUAAACUAUAUUCAAAACCCUAAAAAUAUCCAAAACCUCAACUUAAUUUCAAUAAAACUUUGUUCUAAAGCUUUUAAAACGUCAAAAUUAAAAGAAAAGGACUUGAUUGACUUACCAAAUUAAAGCUUAAAUCCUUAAACCCUAGUUUUUCCUUUUUCUUUUCUUUCUUUCCUUUUCCUUCCCCUGUUUCGAAUGGUCUCUGUUUCUUUUCUUCUUUGUUUCUUUUAUUCUUUUACUUUAUUUCUUUAUUGUAUUAGUUAAUAAUAAUAAUAAUAAUAAUAUUAUUAUUAUAUAAUAUUCUUUUUCAAUAUUAAAAUUUUAAAUUUCAAAGCAUCAAAAUAAAUUAUUGAAAAAUUGUAUCCCUUGAUAGUGUCAGUUGAUUUGUUACUAUAAUAUUAAAAUUAAUUAAAAUAAUCUCUUUCUAAAAUUUUAAAUUUUACUUUAUGUUUCCAAAUUAAAAUAAACUCAAAUAACUCAUCCUUAAUAAUUGUCUAUUAAACACAAAUUUCUUUUGAUUAUAUGAACUUAAAUCUUCUAUGCUAAGCUAAAAACAAAAAAAAAUAUUUACAAUUAAUUUAAUAAUUAAUUAUUUGAGUUAAUUCCAUUAAGGAUAAUUUGAAAACAUAAAAUAAAAUUUUAAACUUCAGGAGAUUAAUUUAAUUAAUUUCAAUAUUAUAGUAAUAAAUUGGUUGACACUAUGAAUGGAUAAAUAAAUUUCAAUAACUUAUUUAAUUUAUUUUUAUUUUUUGAAUUUUAAAAUUGGACUAUUAAAAAAAAUUAAAAUUUUUGACAAUGGGACAAACAAAUGCAAUUUGAUAAUUUUUGUGUAUUAUUUUAACUUCUACCGCUUUUUCACUUUGAUCCUUUAUCCUUUUUUACACCAAUCAUUGCUUAAAAAAAUAUUUUUUGGGUGACCAAAAUAAAAAUAUAAACAUGAUGUGACGUGUAUAGUUAACAGUUAUUAGAGAUUUAAAGCUUAGGUAACUCAAAAUAAAAACGCUCUAAAAAUUAUAACGAAAUUACAAAAAUUUCAUUUCGAAAAAAGAGGCUUAAAAAUUAUUAAGCAAAGAUUAGGAAUCAAAAUCCAAUACUCCAUCCUAGAGUAGAAACAGUGGCCUCAAAGAUUUUAUCACUCUUUGUUAAGCACAUUCAGCUCGAGCUCAAUUUAAAUAAUCCAUGUACAUUAUUAAAAGUUAAGAUUAUAUAGUCUUUCAUUACUAAAACUUACACUAUAAUUUUUAACACAAUACGAUUAAGCAAAAUGGAUAUAAUAUGAAAUUUUAUUAAAAAUUACCAAAAUCAUGAAUAUGUCAAAAUUGAUAUAUAAUAUAAAGUAUAGCAUGUCAAAAUUUAUAAUAAAUAUAGAGUACGUUAAACAAACGAUUACAAUACAAAAACAAACAUCAUCGAACUAACUCAAGCAAGUGACAAGGGAAGAUGAAGGACCUUGAUCAUUUCUCAGCCAAAACGCCGUGCCACGAGCACAGCUCGCUGCGGUGGUGGUGGGAAGCAGAUGGCCAUGAGGGUGAGAGCAAUAACCAGCACCAUGAGGAGCCCGGUGAAGCCCAAACUGUUCCCUUCUUCUAAUUCCGAGCAGAUGAAUUUCCCCAUCUUCGAUUAGAUCAGCGUCGGUCGGCUUCUGGUUGGUUCCUGUCCCAAAAGGAGGGCUCGGAGUUAGGGGGAAACAUUGAAAUGCAAAUUGUAUUAUAGAUGGUAAUGGGUCUAUAUUUCAAGUCAACUCCGAAAAUCAAAAUGUGUAGACUCUUGGAAGACUUCAAAUUAAGGUUUAGGUGAGUUGUGAAAUGUGGACUAACCCCUCACCAUACGAUUAAGGCUUAAUGAUAACUUCACUUUUAUAUUAUACGGGCUUCAUUCCAGAAGAAUAAAUAGAAACAAGUCUUUUUUUUUUUAAUUAGUAUAAAAUUUUUCUUUUAAAUUUGAUAUCGAGGCAUACCAAUUAUGGUACAAUAAAAGUUAAAAAAAUGUACAGAUCUUAAAAAUAAUAUAUUAUAGGUUCUGAUUAUAUAUGCUCUUUUUGACAUAAAGUCUAGAAUUACUCAUACCCUUCCCCAACCCAUAAAUAAGAAGAUAAUGCGAUUCAGUAUACUCAAACUCAUGUCUUCCUAUAUUAACAAUAAUGCACAUAUCAAUAAAAUUAAAACUCAAUCAACAUGAAUCUAAAUAAAUUAACAUUAAGAUUAAGAAGACUUGGCCCUAUGGGUCGUCUGGAGGUGCGGCCACCCAGGGUUUAAGGGGUUCAAAAUAUUAUUUUCUAGUUUUUAAAGAGCCUAAAAUGAUUAUUUUUUAACUUUUAAAGGUAAUAGAAAAAAGUUUUUACCAACUUUUAAGGGCCCAAAAUUUUUUUUUUUUAGCUUUUAAGGAUUCAAAAAUUUUCUUUUACCGACUUUUAAGGGACUUAAAAUUUUUUUCUUUAAUAUUUAAAGAACCUAAAACUCUAUUUUAUUAUUUUAUUUGGGCCCAAAAAAAACCAAUAACGGGCAGAUAUUAAGUCUAACUCUAAUUUACAACUUGAAUAUAUUCCCUAAUGUUAAAUUUGGGUUAGUAUUCUUAACCACCAUUGAAUUAGCAUCUUUGGAAUUAUUAAAAGAUAAGUUUGGUACAACCAUCUAAACAUCAACGAACAUAUGGCUAAAAAAACUUAACCAACAUAUGGCUAAAAUAACUUUCUCCACCGUCCUUUAUAUUAUUUCAUCUUUUUUAUACGAUUAAUAUUUUAGUGAUUUAACUGUUAUUUUUUUAUAUUUUACUCAUAUAAAUUAUGUAUGGUAAAUUUAAUAUAAAUUAAAAUUUUCUAACUAUUUAUUUUUCAUAUUAUCGUAUCCAUCACCUAUUGGAAUUAAAAGAAUUUUUUUUUGUCAUCUAAUAAUCACAUUUCAUUAAAUUUUAUCUACUUUAUCUGUUAUAUUUCAUAUUAGACCUACCUAUAGGUUAGGCAUAGUGGCGGCUUGGAUUUUUCCUCCAACCCUUUUAUGUUGUAUAGUGUAAAACUAGUUUAUAUUUAAAUGUGACGUAUGGGUUAAUUGUGUAUAUUAAAAAUUUUAAUAUAAUUAUAAAAUAUUUUUAAAAAUAGAAUCAAUGUUAAUUAAUUUUAAAAAUAUUUAAUAUUAAAAUAAUAUAAAAAUUCAUCAUAGUUUGAAUAUUAAUAUAUUAUCAUUUAAAUAAUAUUAUCAGUAAUUUCUCAUAGGUUAUUUCUUAUAUAUUUGAUUUUUUUAAAUUUUAUUUUUAUCCAUAAAUCGUUGUUUAUUCGAUUGAUUAUAAUUAUUUCUUCAUUUAAUAAAUUAAAACAUUAUAUUGAAAAUAAUGAAAAAAAUAUUAGAUUAAAAAAUUAAAAAAAAAUUUCUAUAAGAUAAUUAAAAUAAUUUUUAAAAUUUCUUUUUCAAUGGGCUUACUACAUAUUAUUAAUAAGUAAAAUGAAAAAGCAUUAUUUCAUUUCACUUAUUACACAUAUUUUUUAAAUAAAAUAUAAUAAAUUAUCUUAAUAAUUAUCCCAGCAAAAAAUAAUUUUUAAAAUAAAUAUAAUUCUUUUAUCUUUUAAAAUUACUUUUUGUAAUAAAAAUAAACAAAAUUGAAAUAAUUUUAAAAUAAGAAUGUUUAGAGGAUUUAUUAAUGAAACCCAUGCGAUAAUUAUACAUUAUUUAAAAUUAAAUUUAAAAACAUUACCAACCUCACAUUAAAAUAUUUCUUAUGUUUUAAAAGGUUUAUAAUGACACAUAUUUAAUUGUUAUGUAUAAAUAUUAUCUGUUAAUAUAAAAAAAUGCCUCAUUAAAUGGUCAUUAGGGGCUAGUAUUUUCUGUGUAUAUAUAGGUUUUAUUCAGUUAAAUGGUCAUUUUUGUUUACACCCAUUAUAAAUACAUCCCUCUUUAUCAUUCUUCCUAAAAUUCAUGUAAAUAAAAUUGCAUACACCUUAAUGCUAAAAGUUCUUUUAUUAAGUUCAGGAUUCAUGACAUAUUAUUUGUAACUUCUCUAACCUGGCCUAGACAUUACGAUCAGAUUCUAAAGGUUACAUAAGCCACAGAAAUGGCCUAGUAAAACUAUUGGAGUUUAUAAAACAAUCUUUUUAAAGCAUUUGCUUACCUUAGUAGAAAAAACUUAGUGUGUUUCCAAAAGGUAUAAUUUCUUUCAAAAAUCGGUUAAUUUUAAUGAUUACUUUGUAAAAAUUGAUUUCCAAUUUUAUAUGUUUUUCAAAUCUCAUUUACAUAAUAAUGCAACGGAAAAGUGAAAUUCAACAUAGUAUUAAUUAAAAAUCUAGUUUGCAUUCAAAAUUAACUCAAAUUCCAUGUUUCGACAUCCUAAAAUCAAUUAAAACGACAUGCAUACCAAAUAAACCCCAAAUUAAAACUAAACCGAGACGAGCCCUCCAAAUGCCGAAUUUGUGUCUUAACAUUGUGGGUUAUCUGAAAAGAUGAAAAUUAAGGGGGAUGAGCUUAAGAAGCUCAGUGUGAGUCCAAUUACAAAAACACCAAUGCAAAACAGUAGACCAAGCAUACAAAAUAACAAUUCUCAGAUUAAUCACAAUCGUGUAACAAACAUAAUUUAACAGUUUAUUUGAGCAUGCUUAUGUAUGUCAAUGUAAUUCAUAUUAACAGAAUAAGUUUCUACCCAUACUUCGCUACACUCCACAGUAAGAGUUCCCCAUAACUCAUCCAUUCCUACACUCUAUAUUAUGGAUAAACCACCAGUAUUUGCAAAUGAACUGCUAGUAAAAAUUGUGGGUAACCACCAGUAUUUUCAAAUAAAAAGUUUGCAAAUAAACUGCCAGUUAGUUUUAGAUGAACCACUAGUGUUUGCAAAUUAUUAAUGUAAUAGUCCGUUUUUAGUGAAAUUGGAACAGUGGUUUCGGGACCACAAAUUUGAGGUCGGAAGAAAAUUUAUUUUAAUAUUAUUUUGUGGUCUAUUGUAUAAUAGGAAUGUCAUAUGAAAAUUUCGUUAAGAAAUUUUACCGAUUACAUGUCUAAUUGGUUAAAAAAGACUAAAUUAAAAAAUGUGCAAAACUUGCUAAUUAUGAUAGUUAAGUGAUUAAAUAGCUUGACUAGUAAAUAGGGGAGGACUUACGGCAUAAAUAUGCCUAAAAUAGGUGGAUGAGGCGGCAUAAACUGGGAAAUUAAUAAAAUAAAAAUCAAUUACACUUUUGCCAAAUUAAAACUAAAACAAAUGGAAAAUUAAAGAUUUCUAGAUAUUCAAUUAUCAUUUUCGGUUCUAAGAAUAGACAUUAAAGAGGGUUUAGGCUGGUUCUUUAAUUUUUUCUUCAUGUGAGUUUAAUUCUUACCUGUUUCUUGAAAUUUUUAUGUUUUUGAGAUUGUUAUAAUUAGAUCCAAUUAACCUUUACUUUAGUUUUAGAUUUAUUUGAAAAUUUUGGAAGUUACCAUUGAAAAGUUCAUAUGAUUUUAGUUAUUAGAUGAUGAAUUUGAGAUGUUGAUGGGUAUUUAAAAGUAUUUUAUUUAAGAAUUUUGAUGAAAUUUUAAUUUAGGGAUAAAAUUGAAAAGAUGUUGAAAUCAUGGAAAAUUUUGAAUUUUAUGAAAUUCAUGGGUUGCUAUUGUUAUAUAUGAAAAUUUCUAGGCUUGGAAUGAAGAUUAAAUUUCAUGAAUUUCAUUUUCAGAGCCUAAGGACGAAAUCGUAAUUGAUUAAAAGUAUAGGGGCAAAAUAGUAAUUUUUCCAAAGAUGUGUAUUAGAUAGUGUUUGACACCAUUUUUUUGAUAAAACGGGGUCGACUUGGGUUUUGGAAAAUGAAAACAAAAAUGGGAGUCGCCACCAAUCCUUUUUGAUGAGGUGUGAUCGGGUCACCUCGAAAAGUUUUUUAAUAAACGAUUUGAUUUUAUUAAAACACGAUUUUUGUCCAUGAAAUCUAGGAAAACAGGUUCGGGAGGCAGUUACGUACGAGGAAGGACUAUCACCCUCAUAACGCCCAAAAUUGGCACCUAGUUGAUUAAUUAGUGUCCUAGUAUCGAAGAUUGAAAACUUUGAAAAGUUUUUAAAAAAUACGAUCCUAAAAAAAACUAAUAUAAAUCAAAUUAUCCGUUAAGACCCUCUCAUUUCGGAGAGAGAAAAUAUCACACCCAAUAAGUUAGGGCAUGAUAUUUCACCUCUUCAAAAAUGAGCUUGUCCAAAAAACUAGUGCAAUAAAAUUUAAAAGGAUAUUCAAUGUUUAAGUCAGAUGAAGAAAUCGCAGCCCAAUACGUUAGGGCACAAUUUCUCAAAAUUCUAAACAUUGAAUAUUGCCUUUAUUAUUAUUUUUAAGAAAAAAUCCUCAUCUCGAGAAAACAUGUUAUAUCCAAUGCGUUAGGACACAAUGUAUUGAAUUCCCGCUAAUGAGCUUUUUAUUUAUGUUUUUGAUUAAAGAGCAUUCUCGAUUAUUUAGAUUCAACGAAGAAAAUUAGAACCCAAUAUGUUAGGGCUCAAUCCCCUCGAAGAUCCCAAAUACUGAGUAUUGCCUUUAUUUUCAAAAUUUUCCAUUUUACGAAUCUAGGUAAAAAUUGAUGUAAUGGAAAAACAAUUAUGAUAAUGUAAGUAAAAAUAAUACGAGCAAAAACAAAAAGGUAAAUAAAUAAGAAGACAAAUAUAUAUAUAAAAAUCAAUCAUGUAUACACAAUAACAAAUAAUAAGCAAAUAAAAGUGAAACAUUCUUUUAAAAUAAUAAUGAAAGCGUAAAUAGAUAAAUAAAAAAAUGAAUAAAAUUAUAAGAACGUAAAAAGAUAUAUGUAUGUACAUAUAUAUAUAAAUUAUAAGAUAUAAUAAGAAAUAUAUAUAAGCAUGUAUAUAUAUAUUUAUGAAAAUUAAAAAAUAUGUAUAUAUAUAUAUAGAUAUGCAUAAAAAUUAUAAAAUAUAAAAAAAAUAUAAGAAGGUAUAUAUAUAUGAAUUAUAAAUAAGUUAUAAAAUAUGUAUGGCUAUAGGUAUAUAUAUAUAUAUAUAUAUUAUAAAAAUGUAUGUAUGUAUAUUUAUAUAUAAUUAAAUCCAAAAUUAAAAAGGUAUAAAUGAGUAAAUAAUAAUAAUAAUAAUAAGAUUAAAAGAUAUUAAACUUAGAUAAGUAAAUAAAAUAAUAACAAUAAUAAUACAAAAAUAAUAGCAUAAUAUAAUAAUAUAAUAGUGAGGAUUUUAAAAUAAUAAUGAAAGCGUAAAUAGAUAAAUAAAAAAAUGAAUAAAAUUAUAAGAACGUAAAAAGAUAUAUGUAUGUACAUAUAUAUAUAUAAAUUAUAAGAUAUAAUAAGAAAUAUAUAUAAGCAUGUAUAUAUAUAUUUAUGAAAAUUAAAAAAUAUGUAUAUAUAUAUAGAUAUGCAUAAAAAUUAUAAAAUAUAAAAAAAUAUAAGAAGGUAUAUAUAUAUGAAUUAUAAAUAAGUUAUAAAAUAUGUAUGGGUAUAGGUAUAUAUAUAUAUAUUAUAAAAAUGUAUGUAUGUAUAUUUAUAUAUAAUUAAAUCCAAAAUUAAAAAGGUAUAAAUGAGUAAAUAAUAAUAAUAAUAAUAAGAUUAAAAGAUAUUAAACUUAGAUAAGUAAAUAAAAUAAUAACAAUAAUAAUACAAAAAUAAUAGCAUAAUAUAAUAAUAUAAUAGUGAGGAAUAAAUAAAUAUAAAAAAAUUGAGUUAAUUAAUAAUAUAACACAAUAACUAAAAAAAGAGAGACUAAUUUGCAUUCUAAGACAAAGAUUUGGGGCAAAAUCAAAAAUAAAAUAAAAAAGGGGACUAUUUUGAACACGCGCAUAAUGUAAGGGGACUAAAAGGGGAAUUUUCCCUUUUUCUCCAAAACGACGCCGUUCAAAGAGGGACUUAAUUGAAAACGCAAUAAAUGGUGGGGUAAAUUAAAAACAAUAAAAAUACUUGAUUAUAAAACCAUUAAAAAGCGGAAGGGAUAAAUGUGCAAUUAGCCCUUCUGAAUAAAAACACGCGGAUCUUGGCCUGGAGCGGGUCGGUUCUCGGGUCGGCCUCGAAAUGACGCAAAACGACGUCGUUUAGGCACUAAAAGAAUUAGGUCAAAACGGCGUCGUUUCUAGUCCCUAUAUAAGUAAAAAUUUCACAAAAAGGUCAUUCUUUCUUCUUUCAACAAAAAAAAAUUCAAAAAACCUCUCCUCUCUGCCCUGCUCUCCUAAUAUUCGGCCAAGGGCUCGGUCGAGCUUCGGUCACCGGCCACUGUGUCGGCCCCUGGCCGUCGGCAACGGUGCCGCCGUAUGCGGUGGCCGGUAAAGGCUAAAACCUCUGAUCCUACCCUUUCAAUACCCCUAAACCCAAAUCCGAGCUCAAAAUCCCCAAAAUAUUAACCAAAUAGCCCCAAAAGCUCAGGAAACCUUUCGAUUUCCCGUCGCCUAUCCUCGGAGGUGACUUCCUCAACCACCCACGGCAUCGGAGGCCCGAAUAUAGGUCAGUUAUGACUCCCGUUUCCUUUUGUUUUAUUUUUUGUAUAUGUAAAUAUAAUGAAAACCAAAAUAAUAAUAAAAAAUCAAAAAAGAUGAAGCGGAGAUUUAAAAAAGGGUGACAAGUAUCAACCUUUCGGGCUUUCUAUUGAAUUUUUUUGUUUCAAUAUUCAAUCCUUUAUUUUUUUUUUGUAUUUUUGAAUCCCUCUUUCAUACAAUAUCCCCUAUUCUUUUUUACAACACUCGGCUUUAUAGUCGAAAGAAAAUAAAAACUCAAUUUUUGCUAUUGUCUAGUCUUGUCUGCUUCUGCUUCUCUUGUUGCGUGUUUCCAUGUGACCGUGCAGAGUUGCAGCGGCAACAAAGGGUGUCAGAUGCACAUGGCAGAGCAGGUCGCGACGCUCAUAGGGUUGGGGAUUAAGGUUUUUUGCUGAAAUGUUUUAAGUUUUUGGGCUUGUUGGGCUAGGUUUUAAUUUGGGUCUGUUUGGGUUUGAUUUUGGGCCAUGUGGUUUGGGCUGGCAUUGUAAUGGACUGUUAUCUUUUAAUAUUUAGGCCCGGGCAGAAAUUGGGUCUUACAGAUAGGAUUGAGUAUGAAUUGUAUUAAAUUAAUGUUAAAUUCAUUCAUAUAGAUCCGGAUAGACCAAAUACAGAGUUAGAUCGAGGAAAAGAAAAAGUGUCGGAUUAGUAGAUUUUGCAUACACGAAUAUUGUCGAGGUAAGUUCGUGUAACUAAAUUGUAUAUUUAUAUUUUUUUUAUUAAAUGUUGUGUAUAUGAAUUAAAUUGUGUAAUUGACAUGUAUGAAAAUUGAACACGUAUCCAAAUAUAUCCGACAAGUAUUAAGUCCUAUUUGAAUAAAUGAAUUCAAUGGAUAUAGGGUUCCCGAAUUGGUUGUGGUCCUGCAUGUGUUGCAGACACGCCACAGCUCGAAAGAGCGUUCCGUUAUAUGGUUCUUGCGAUCUUUCCGUUAAUAGCUCUUCAGAGCAUUCCAAUUGGUUGUGAUCCUACAUGUGUUGUGGACACACCGCAACUCUUAUGAGCGUCCCGAUAUAUGACUCUUUGGAGCUUCUUGAUUAAAGGCUCUUCCAUGAGCUUCCCGUUAAUGGCUCUCCGGAGCUUCCCGAUAUUGGCUCGCUUGAACCUUCUCAAUAUUGGCUCUAUGAGCUUCCCGUUAUAUGGCUCGAAAGAGUUUCCCAUUUAUGUGCUCGUAUGAGCAUUUUCGAAUAUGAAUUGACGGAUCUAAGAUUUAUACACUUCGUGUGUACUACCUAGGUAUCCAUCGAUAUUUUAAAUGACUCAACAAGCAAAAUCUUGAUAUGAGACAAUAUAUGAAUUCAAAGUGAAACGUUAACUAUAUAUAUACACGAAAUACAUGGAAACUUGAUGUUGAUAAGCUCAUACAUAACUCUUGAUAUUCAUUGAAAUAAAUGACUAACAUGUUUGAUGAAGUUGUGUGUUUAAGCUAUUAGCCAAAUUGCUUGGAUGCAUUUUGUAUGUUUAUUUUAAUGAAAAUAAAUGGUAAGUUAAUUUUUCGUUAUAUGAACUUACUAAGCAUUAAAUGCUUACUCUGUUUUAUUUCCUGUCUUAUAGUACUCAGAGGCUCGUAAAGGUUGGAAGCUGGUCAAAGUUACAUCACACUAUCCCUCGGACUCUUCAGUAUAUAUAGCAAACUAAUUUUGGUUAUAAUGACAUGUAUAGGCUAAAAAUGACCAAUAAUGGCAAUGUAAAUGUUUGGUUGUAAUUAGCCAUUGGGAUGGCUUGUGAAUGACAUAUAUUGAUGUGUUUAUAUAUGGUCUUAAUGUAUUUGAUAAGUCUUUGAAUUGGUUAAAUGAGGGAGAUUAUAUAGGCUCAUAAUUAAUUGAUUUGAGUUAGUAUAAUUGGUAAGAUAUGCAUGUAUGAGAAUUGGGUCAAUUAGGGAAAAUUGAAUACUUAGACAUAUGGGAUAUACUAUAACAUGUACUAAACUUGGUUUGAGCUUGAUUUGAAUUAUUGGUAUUGCCUUGUGAAUGUGUUAAAGUGUUGAUGUAAGUGGAAGAUAAUUUGGGUGAGAAAAGUGGCCUUGGAAAUAGCCUAUUUUUGUCCACACAGGCAGAGACACGGACGUGUGUCUCAGCUGUGUGUGACACACGACCUAGCACAUAGGCGUGUGAUUUGGCUAUGUGUCCCAUGUAUCUUAAAAAUUGAGAAACAGAAUACUCAAAAUUAUCCACACAGCCUAGCACACAGGCGUGUGGCUUGGCUGUGUGACCUUUACACCUAAUUAAUGCAAGUUAAAUUGCUCACACGGCCUAGCACACGGGUGUGUAGCUUGGCCGUGUGACCCAAGUCAGUGAGUUACACGGGUACGGGCACGGGCUGGGACACAUCCGUGUGCCCCUAUUUCAAAUGCCUACACGGCCUGGCCACAAGGGCGUGUGUCCUCUGCACCUAGGAAAAAUUUUGACAUUUUGCGAAAAAUUCUCUGAGUACCCGGUGUAGUCCCGACGUGUUUCAAAUGCAUAUUUUGGGCCUCGAGGGCUCAUGUAAGGGACAAAAUGAUUGAACAUGAUUGAUUUCUGAUAUGGAUGUUAAAUGAUAUAAAAUAAUUGUAUUUGAUCUGUAACUCCGGUAAUGCUCCAUAACCCUCUUCCGGCGACAGAUAUAAGUUAAGGGUGUUAUAAUUAAACUACCAAUACUUCCUCCAUUCAUAUCGUCCCACCCCAUGCAAUUCAAUAUGACAUGCUUGUAACAAUAUAAUGCAGAAAUAGUAGAAAUCUUUAACAUGUAUUCAAUUCAACAGUAACAAUAGACAUGCUUAACAUACACUUAGUAGGGCAAAGUAGUAAUACAAUAACAAUUUAUCAAAAUUACAGUAACAAUAAACAUGUAACAUUCACAUAUUAUAUAUUAUAUAUUAUAUAUUAUAAAAGUAGCAAUUCAGUCAUUAAAUCAUAAAUUCCAGUAUAUACAUAAUAUUAGGGACUCAAUUGAGUGAAUAAAAAUUCUAAAAAUAAUUCAGGGAAUAUACAAGGACUAAAUUGAACAAUUCACAAAUUUUUAAGGAAAAUUGUACAACAAUGGUCACACGACUGUGUGGAAAAUGAUAAAUUACCCUAUAGGAAGGACACAACUGUGUGGCAGGCUGUGUAACAGGCUGAGGCUAUGUGGUUCACGAAGUAUUGUACGAUUUACAGGUGUACACGAUCCUUUGGUCCACACACCUGUGUGGGAUACUGUGUGGCCCUAAACCUACAUACGGUUUGACCAGAUUCACUUGGUAAAAUACACACACACAUACCCCCCUUUCACCACGAGUUCAGUUGAUUCUCCUCGCGAUCGAUUUUGAUCUGAUUUACCUAAAUCCAGUCUUUCAAUGACAAAUAUACACAAUUAACGAUUGAUAUCAAAAUUUUGGCAAAAUUAUCAAAGAUUUGGCAAGAUUCGUAAAAGAUUGAUUAAUCGAAUCAAAAUAUCAAUGUUGGAUUUUUGUACAACGGAUAUACAAAAUCUAACAAUUGAAACGAAUGCACUUACCGAUCUCUGGCAAAGAUAAUGGAUGCUAUUUGAUGACAAUCUAACCUUUGAUAGAAAACGAUUGAACGAAGGACGAUUCGAUACAGGAACGAAAAAGAAUCAACAGCCCAAAGAUUGAAAAAUAUGGUGCAAGAAUGAGGGAAAAGAAGGGGCACUGACACUUAAUCAUUAAGCCUUAAGCCUUAAGCUCAUUUCUUACUUAAUUUAGACACUGAACUGUACAUCUAUUUCGAAGUGUGACAACUGAAUUAUCAAAAAUAAUAAAAAUAUGAAGGAGGGGGCUCAAACCUAAGAUCUCUUGGAAGGGGGACUAACACUUAACCAUUAAGCCAAUAAUUUUCUUAUUUAACAAACGCACAAUGAUAACCUUAUAAAUCGGGGCGUGACCACUCUCGAUUUCAUAAACUCGAUUCUACUAAUCCAAUUUUUAGGAUGUAACAUUUUUUUUUCAAUUUAAUAAAUUAUUAGUAUAAUUUAUAUUCUAAAUUUAUAUCAUGCCAUAUAUAUCAAAAAUUGUGUUUCUUACUGUAAUGAAAUAAAAAUUUAAUAUUGUAGGAGAAAUUAUUUUAUGGACCCUUCCCACCACAUAAUUCAUUGUCUCUUUCCAAUUAUGUAAAGACAUUUCAACAAUUUUUUUCAUGUCAUUGAUACAUAAUUUUGAUAAUUUUUUUACCUUGAACCCCGAACCCUAAACCCUAAACCCUAAACCAUGAAUCAAAACACUAAACUUUGAAUACUAAACACUAAACCUUAAAUCUUAAACCUUUCAUAGUUUAGGGUUUAAGGUUCAAGUUUAAGGUUUAAGGUUUAGGAUUUGGGUUUGGGUUUGGGGUUUGAGAUAAAAAAAUUACAAAAAUUAUAUAUCAAUGACAUGAAAAAAAUUGUUGAAAUGUCAUUAAAUAAUUAGAAAAGAACUAUGAAUAAUGUGGUGGGAAGGGUCUAUAAAAUAAUUUCUGAUAUUGUAGACAUCCAUUAAUAAUUUUGGAAACAAAUUUAUUAGUAACUUUUUAUUUUUAUGAAUUUAAAAAAAAUUAAUUUCUUAACCUAUUAAAAUUUCUAUUUUUAACUUGUUAGAAUAAAUUAUAUUAAUUUCUGCAUAAUUAACUCUAUUAAAACCAUUUAAAUCACGUCCAACCCACUGUUUACAUCCCAAGAUUCACGUGGUUUUCUAAUAAAUGGAAUAAGUUAAAGUUUCAUCCUAUGUAGUUUGCAAUUUACCGGCUUUAGUCAUUAAUUUGGUAUUCGAUUUAGUCCAUUAUCAAAUUUACUUUAUUUUAUUUAAAUAUAACUUAUGUGUUAUAUGAGAUUUAAUUAGUAAUAUCCUAUUUUAUAAUUAUUUAAUUGGAUUAAUUUUGAUUAUGUUUGUGAUAAAAAUUUUAUGUUUGGAUGCCGAUAUUAACUUAUCUGUAUUCAUACUUAUUUUUCAUAGUUUUAGUCAAGUAUGUUUAUAUGUAAGUAUUUCAGUUCUGAUUAGUGAUCUCUUGGUCAUUAAUAUUUAAAAAGUGUUUGAAUUUAAGGUUAGUAGAUUGAGUCUUAAUUCGAUUGGUAUGAUCAUUGUUGUCAAUGCAUGAGGAUGUAGCUUCGUGUGCGUUGAAACGCAUUAUCCUCCUAUUUAUGGGUUGGGGAGGGACUAUGGGUAGUUUUAGGUAUUGUGUUAAAAAAAGCAAAUAUGAUCAUGCAAGCGAGUUGCAACCUGCAAUCUGAACUGAGGACAGGUUUUUGGAGUAAGCUCACCUUCGCGGGAUUGCGACCCUUUGUCCCGUCCAUUGUAGCACGUGUGUCGCCCAUGGCAUAAGGGGCAUGAUGACUUUACGUCAUCCUCACAUUCCUCUGGCUUAUCACCGGUAGUCUACUCAAGGUUCCAAACUCAACGAUGGCAACUAAACAUGAGGGUUGCCCUCGUUGCGGGACUAAAACUAUAACAAAAUUAUUCAAAAAAAAAAGAUUUAUUAUCUUUAUUAAUACCUACAAUCAUUUUGUGCAUCGCACGGAUAAGAAAACUAAUAUAUUAUAUAUAUUACAAGGUUUUAAGACUAAAGCUAACAUGGACAACCUAUUUUAAUGACAUAUGGUAUAUUUAUUCUGUUGAAACCUGACAACUUCAUUCUUUAUAUAUAACAUUUAUUUUUGUUUUAAAAUUAAUGAAAGAUAAUAUAAAAUUAUAAUUCACCAUUUUUUAUUUUUAAAUUAAUAGAAAGUAAUCUUAAAAUUAUAAUAAAUAUAUUAAUCUACUUUUGUUUGCCAAACACUUGAUUUUUCUAUAACUAUUCAACCGUAAUAGUUUAUUAAAAAUUUUAAAAAUUCAAUAUAUAUUUAUACAUUAAACUAAAUAUAUUUCUAAAUAUAAAAGUUAAUUUAUUACUAAAUAAAGUUUAAAUAAUAAAACAUAAAAUUAUAAAAUUGAAUUUUUAAAAAUCAAAUGACAAAUUCAUAGAAAAUAAAACUUAAGUUAUUUUUUUUACACAGUAUUUAAAAGAGUUCAAACUGAGGAAUUAUUACCUUUUUUUUACCUUUCUUUUUUCCUCAAAAUAAAAAUAAAAAUUACGAGCUAAUUAAAAAUAUCAAAUUUAUACGUAAACUUUAGUUUUGUAUGAAAUUUGAUACAUGAAAAUUAAAUUGUGGUUCAUAUGUAUACAAGAAGCUUUGAUUUUGAUUCACAUUUAAAGAAAUGAAUGCAUACAUUUAUUUUCAUAUUGGAUUAAUAUAAUUGUUUGUGUAUGUAAUAUAUCAAUAUAAAAUGAUACUAAUUCGAUAAUGUUGAUGGAUGGAUAAAGAGAAAUGGAAGCAUGAGUUGGGUUGGUGGGUUACUGCGAAUCGAGAAAGGCGAUGUUCUUGUUGUGUUCUCCCAAUCUGUUGGAUUUGCCAUUCCAUGUAUGGCUGAACUCAUGGUUGUUAAGGAGAUGUUUAACUAUUUCUUUGCAUCCAAGUGUUGCAACUCACACAAGUUGGUGAUUGAAUCUGAUAGCCAAAAGACUGUGAAUUGGUUUUUAGAUCCUUUUGAAACUCCUAACUCCUUGAGGAUUGUGGUCUUAGUUGCUUCAAGAUUAGGACCCAAUGAUAGAUGGUUAAUUCGAUACAUCUUUCUUGUAACAUUGAUGCCGAUGGUUUUGCAAAUGUUAAGAUUUGUCUCCGACUGUAGAAAAAUUCCUACUUAUCUAUUUAUAAUUUUUUAAAUUGUUGAUUUACUAUUAUUUUUGCAUGUAAAGUAAAAUGAAUAAGUAAAUGUUUAUUUAUUGGUUACAUUAAUAUUAAAAAGAUCAUUUAUAUAAAUUUUUUUAUUUUUCAAUUGAGGAAAUUUUAACCUUUAAUCUUUAAAUAUUUAAAGUAUUCAUUUAAAUGAAUCGAUUAAACGAAAGUCUUAUCAGUUUAACUUCAUUUAUAAUUUUUAAUAAUAUUCUUUUGGUAAUGUAGAAUUAGAGAGUUCAUACUCUCACACAUAUGGUAAGGGUACAUACUCAUACCAUACUUGCACAUAUUAUGUUCAAAGGAAACCGCUCAAAUAAAUGUCUACCACUUACUCCAUAGAAGUUCAAUUCCGAAUAGGUUUUAUAAGUGAAUAGCCCUUACCCACUAGACUAAUACAGGAAUUCUUCAUGAUGAUAUUUGAAUACGCUUUAAACAACAAUAUCAAAUAUAAACACUUUAAGAAUAAAAAAGGAGUUUAUACAAUCCAUCGAGAUACUUAAUUCACAAAAAAAUAAAGGAGUUUAUACAUGGAUUCAAUUUGCAAUGACCUUAUGAAACUUAAGUUACUCGAGUAACUUGGGGAGUAAAGACGCAAAACGAAGGGUUUACCAACCUAAACGAUGAGUGACAACCAUUGGUCGGCGGGGCCGGGGAGGUUGGUUGACGCAGGAAAGCAAGAGAGCGAUGGCGAUAACUAGCGCAAGCACAAGUCCCAUCAUAUCCACGUUGAGCUCUAUGCACAACUGCCCCAUCUCUCUCCUUCUUCUUCUUCUUCUUCUUCUUCUUCUUCUUCUUCUUCUUCUUCUUCUUCUUCUUCUUCCCUCCCCUACUCCAGAAACAAUGGCAAUUAUUAAAGUUUCAGCAUAGGCGGCUAUUCUACUUUUUGGAGUCAAACACUAGAUAUAUAAACGAUAUUGUGAAUCAUUUCCUAUAUUAAAUUCCAAUUUUAAUUCAUACACAUGUUUUUAAAAUAGAAUUUUAAUAUUAAUAAUAAUAAUUUAUUUAAAUUUAUAAAAAAUUGUGUAAAUAUUAAAAGUUUUAAAGUUUUAUAAUAGUGGAUAGUGAUUCAAGUGCUGCGGGAUUUCUGAAUAAAUUUAUUUUCAAAUUGUGGCCAUCGUUAAUCAUUUCAGAAAAAUAAAUAAUUAUAUAAAAUCAAAAUUGGUGAUGAGUGUGAAUGACGUUGUAAGCUGUAAAAUCUUGACUUUUUCUUCACAAAACGACAGGUCAAUGACUAAGACGAAAGUAAGCAAAUGAACCAACUCAAAGCGACUUUAUUCUAUACAAAUAAAUGUCAACAUCCAAGUCAAGUCUCUAGAUGUAUUCAUCUAUUAUUUAUGUAUACUGCUAGAGAUGUCCAUGGGUCUGGUUCAAAAAAAAAUUUCAGCCCACCUCUUAAGCCCGAGCCUAGCCCGGCUCGAAAUAUGGACCUAAAAUUUUGUCCAGCCCGGCCUGAGAAAAAAUCUUAAGUCUGGCUUGGCCCUUUUUUUAAUAAAUACCAAAAAAUUAUUUUAAAAAUAAAAAAUAAAAAUAUUUUAAAAUUUAAAAAUAAAUAAAAGUAUUUUAAAAAUAUUUUAAAAUUAAAAAAUAAAAAUAAAAAAAAAUAUAUAUUUAUUAUAUUCAGGCCGGGCCCAAGCCAAAAAAGUGGUGCCCGAGGCCCGACCCAUUUUCUAGAUAGGCCUCUUUUUUUGCCCAAACCCAUAUUUCGGGACUAUAUUUUUACCCAAACCCUCCCAUAUUUCGCGCGGGCCGUUGGGCCGGGCCAGGCUGGGCCGCCCGGCCCAUGGACACCUCUAAUACUGGCAUGGCAUGCAUACAUUUUUAUACGUCACAUUUUGUUUAAUUAUGUGAAAGUUGUAGAUUUAGUUUCUAUAUUUUAAAUUUAUCAAUUUUAGUCUCAAAUAGUAAUAAUUAAAUUCAUUUGGUUAAAUUCUGCUAUUAGAACUAUACUAUGCAUAAAGUUAGUAGAUUUAGUUCAUGUUUUUUGGUUAAAUCGAUCUUUGUCUUUAUAUUAUUUGAAUUUCAAAGUUUCAAUCUUAUAGCAAACUAUAACCAUUCAAUUCAUUUAUUGGAUUUUCUUAGUAAUAUGUAGAAACAACAAACUAACAUAACAUUACACAUGCGAUAAUAUGUUUGCCGCAUAAUAUUUUAGAAAUAACAAAACUUAGCCUAAUGAAUUUAAUAACUACCAUUUGACCAAAAAUAAACUUUCAAAAUUCAAAGAGUAUAAAAACUAAAAAAAUCAAAGUAUAAGGACUAGAUUCAUAAUUUAUGCAUAGUACAAAGACUAACAGCAUAAUUUAACUUUUUAUAUGUCAUCGUAUAAAUCAAGCCAAAUUAAUUAAUUUUAUGAAAAAAAGAAGAAGAAGGCAAUCAGUCAAUUACUAUAUCAUGUUUAAUAGUUUUAUUUUUAUUAUUAGUAACAUAAUUUUUUUCUAUAAAAUUAGUGAUGACAUCAAUCUUUAUCACGUUUAUAUAAUUUAUUUGCUAAAUUAUAUAUAUUUUAAGAUAGGAUAAUACAACAAAUACUAUUACAAGUUUUAUUAUCGUUUCAUAUGCUUUUUUCCGUAAUCUUAUUAUAGGGAGUAGAAUAUAUUUUUACACGUGUUUGUUGUUAGAGUUUACUUUUUAUCAUUUAAUUAUUUAAUUUUAUUGUUUUUAUCACCAAUCAUUAAAUUAAAUUAUUGAUAACUUUUAAAAUUAACAUAAUAACCAUUUUAACCCUCAACAUCUAUACAUUAUAUCAAUUUUAUUUUGAUUCUAAAAUAAUUUAACCCGAUGUUGUAUUUUCUUUUUACCAUUUCACCUAAAAGCUAAAAAAUAUUAACUAAAUUUAGUCAAAAAUAUAUCAAAUGAGAACACCCAAAAGUCCAAAAUAAAAAAAAAAAUUAGAUUAAGCCUCAACGUAAAAAAAAAAAAAUCAAAUUACACCAUGUGUAAAUGCCAAAUACAUGUAUAUCCUCAAGGCAUGGGAAUAUCUAAGGUGAAAGCCUCGAAUCUUUUAAUGUCCUAAGUCUUUGAGGAUUCGGAGUCCAACCAUGCACAAUUGCGAUGCACGGAUCUUUGAUUUCUAACAUGUAUGUCAUAAAUGAGUUUUAUCCAAUUAUUUUCCGUUACUCAUCUAUUAUGUUUUAUACUGAUUCAAUUCUACGUUGGAAUUGCUUGAGCAUAUAUUUUUACUAGAGUGCGUACUCUCAAUCCUCGUAUAUCCUCCAUAUUAUGUUCCCACUCCAACCAGAUUUGCAACUAUAUUCAUCUACAUAAGAUUGAUCUGGCAACACUGAGAAACAUAUGGAACAUGUACCUGGUACAUCUGUUCUUGAGAUCGAAUGAACCGCCAUAGUUUGACCACUUCAGAUGAGAUCUAUGGAGAAAGCCUCAAAGCCAAAUCUUCAUCCUUCGUCCAAACAAAAGGAGGCAUGUCAAACCUUGGCCCAGCCACAGAUCGGUAGAUAUAGAGCUUAUCGACUGUGCAGUUUUCGGGUCUUGAAUCAGGAGGUCCCCUCUCAUCUAUAACUUCAACAUUCAGCCUGGGCAUCUUCUGACUUAGCAGCUUACAAGCUUCGAAACUCACGGAGCAGGAAGACAUCCAAAGGGAUUGCAUUGUCUCCAGCUUUGCAGCAUUGGUCAAAAGAGCCUUGUCUCCGAAGGGGCAGUCCCUAAUUUCUAGUUUCCGUAGGCUUUCACACCCUGAAAGCACGUGAUGGAGUCCCAAAUCACUAUCUCCUGCAAAAGCCACGGAUAGCAUUUCCAGCUUUUUUGCAUAUUUUCCAAUAUAUUCAAACACGCAAUCUGUGAGGAGACCAGAGAGGGAAAGCCGUAUGAGAUCCUUGCAAUGCUCAACAAUGGCUCCGAAGCCAACAUCAAAUGGCUCUCCGGUCAGGUAAUCAGCUGUAUUUGGCUCAAUUAUACAAAGACGAAACCGGUUCAAGUUUGGACGGUUCUGAGCAAUUGUGACUAGAGCUGCAUUAGACAUUCUGCGGCAGAAGUACAAAACUGAUUGUAACUUAGGACAACCCAAAGAAACAGCAACAAGGCCCUGUUCUGUCAAGGAUGCAUUUGGUUCUGCAUCAAACGGGUCUGAUGGAAAAACCCGUAAUUCCUGCAGGUCCUUGCAAUUAGAUGCAAGUGCUUCAAGGCCACUGUCUUCAAUAUAAUCAAGUACCUGAAACCAUAAUUGACAAUUUAAAAGAGAAGGGAGAUUCAGUUCAGUUAUUAGAACAUUUUAUGCAACGAUUGGCAUAGUUUAAAGGUGAUCAGUAAACCACUUAAUGUUCAAAAUAUGCGCUCAAUUGUUUUAAAACAGUUAUGAACUGAAGAUACCAUAACAAGCUUACCAAUAGGCGCUGCAAACUCGGACAGUGGCUUACAAGCUUGAUGAGAUCAGGGCUUAGUAUAGUUGCGUAACUCAAGUUCAGUGACGUUAAUCUAGAGCAGACAGAGUAAAUAGCUGGAAGGUAAUCCGGAACCACAUCCCAAAACCCAGACAAACUCCUUAGUUCCUUGCAAUUAGAAAAAGCUCCAGCCAAGUUUGAGAAGACAUCUGAACGUAGCUCAGCCGAAUAGGUGCAAGCGCUGAAUUCAACCAGCUGCGGUGCAAGUCGUAAUAUGUUGGCAGUCUUAUCAAGGGGAACAGCGCGGUUGAGUUUAAGGGACCUGAGGUUCGGACAUCUACUGACCAGGCGCUCCAAAGCCGAGAAACUAACUUCACCAGAUCCUAAACAGGAAAUGUUAAGAGACACCAUGGAUGUGUAUGUCUCAGGAAAAUGGCUGAGCCAAUGCACACUCGAAUCAUCCACUUCACUUUCUCGCAAGUCCAGCUCUCUCAGGUUCCUACAUUACCAAGCAGAAAAUCAACAUAUUGUAUACUUUUACUAGAUUAAAUCCAAGAGUUAAAACAUAAGAAAUCAAGAAAAUCAAUGGUGGCUAAUGAACAAAAUUAGAAGAUGACCAUUGUCAUUGAAAUUGAAAAUGAUUAAUCAGAUCUGAUAAAAGCAAACAGUGAACCUUAAAAAUAUACAAGUAAACAGUUCUUUCAAUCAACUUCAUUACUAGGUAACGUUAUAAUUACUCCAUUAAGAAAAGUGCAGCUAAAAACAAGACAAAUUGAAGUAAAAUUCCAACUGAAAGUUGAAACGAAAAGGUGUUUAUGAAGCUUACUUGCAACUAGCAGCAAUGGCAGCAAGUCCAUCAGUUGAAAACCCUUCACAAGAAGCAAGCACCAAUACUUUGAAAUCCUUAAAUGACUUAGCAAUAAGCUCCAAGCUUUCAUCCGUGACGACCAUCCGUUUAAGCCGAAUCUCGUCGAGCCAAGGGUAAGCGCCAGCCAUCUCCGUAAUCCACGGCAAAACGUAACCGCCCCAGCCGUCCGGUACCAAAUUGAAGUCAGCGAAGUGCGGUUUCCCUUUCAACUCAAUGGAUCUAACUUGCGGGAACCGUCUGAUCACCAUCUCAGGGCUCACAGCAUAACAGUUCCCGACGAAUAUCUUCCUCCGACACCACCGCUCGAUCUCGUACCACGAUUUACACACUGCCGAUACCACGUUCCGAUCCUUUUCCGAUUGUAUGAACGAGAAUACAUGCUCCAGCACCUCAUCUGAGAGCGAAGACGCUAAUCUCUUCGGCAUUAAUUACCCCCAAAAAAAAAUGAAAACUUCUGACAGAAAAGAUGAAAAUUUUCUCUCAAAUUUCCUCCUUUUGACGGAUACUACAGUUUCGUUAAGAUUUUAAGUUCGUUUUCAGAAAUGAGACGCCAUUAAAGGAGAUUAAGCUUAAGCUGACGAGACAACAGUGAAGAAGAAGAAGAGAGGAUAAGGAUUUUUAUUUUCGUGUUGGGAAGAAGGGUUAGAUUUUAACCAUGGUUAAUUAAGUAAUUCUCUUGUUUUUGUGGGGAUAUUGAUAGGCGUUUAGGGUAGUGACACGUGGUUGGGAAGAGAUGUGGGCGCGUACGAUGGACGGUGAGAGGGGUAGAUCUUAUCCGUUGACGGUGAAACGGAGCCGCACGGAUUUUUGUAUUUUGUCUAAGGGCUAGUUUGAAUGGGCGGUGUGUUUAACUCCGGUGAGAUUAAAAAUAGCGGUGGCGGUGAGAUUAGUUACUGUAGCGGUGAGAUUGGAUACUGUAGCGGUGAGAUUAGAAACAAUGGUGAAGUGUGUGUUUGGAUUCAAACGUAGCUGUAGUGGUGAGGUGAGAAUAAAAAAUGACUAUUAAGGACAUUGGAUUAGAAUUGAUAUAUAAUAUAAGUUAUUUAAAUUAUUUUACUUUUUUAAAUUAUUAAAAUAUGUGAAUUUAUAAAUUCAUUUAAUAAAAUAUUAAAAUGUAUCUUCUAAUAUUUUAAUGAAUUAUAUAAUUAAUUUAAAUUAUUUAUUAGAUAAAAUGAUAGUUAUUUUUAUUUAAUUUUUUCCAAAAUAAAAAUAUGAUUAAACUCGUCCAUUUCAACUCAUUCUUCUUCAUGUUUUUUUCUUCUCUGAAUACCCAUUCCUGCCUUCAUAUUUUUUCCAGUUUGUGAAACUAAUGCCUAAUAAUUUAAGCCAAAAUUGGGGAAAAAAUAUAGACCAAGUAAUAACUUCACUGCUAGAUUAAAUUCAUUCUCUUCUUCAAUGUAAUUUCUGAAACUAGAAUCUGUAUAUUCUUUUAACUUCCUUGAGAAUCCCCAUAUCUUCUUUUCAGCUUUUUCAUCUCACUUUCUUUAAACACAACCAUUUAAAGUCACCUAACACCUUUUCAAUUUGCUCUUAUUUUUAUUUUAGAUUCAAAAUAACAGCCGACCACCAUGGAUGUAAGUUGUGUUUCUCUUCUUGUUUGAAUCUCUUCUUUAAAGCUAAAUCUAAGGUGGGAUUUUUCUUGUUUUGCCUGUUUAACUAGGAUUAUAAUUGCAAGAGAAGUGGGCAGAUUCCAACAUUUGGAGACUGGGAUCAUGCAAAUGAAUUGCCCAUAACUCAGUACUUUGAAUCUGCUCGUGAAGCUGGUUUGAUUCGUUUCAGCUCUUCAUCAGCAAAACCCAAACCUUAUCUUACUGUUGAUUUGAAAACCAAACAUCCUCGUAAUCAUGUUCCUGUUAGAAAGGUUAGCUAGCUCUUCUUCUUCUUCUAAGAAUCUUGCUGAAUUUGAGAUAAGAGAAUGAAUGGGGGUUGGUAUAAUAUUUAGGGUAUUAUUGUCUUCUAAAAAUGUCUACUACUCUACUGGAGCUUUUACCACUAGUCAACUUAUGGCUGUCCAGUGCAGUUGAAACUCCUCACUGUGCUGGAAGCCAACACAUCCAAAGGCUGUCCACAGUCCAGUCCAAUGCAGUGAGAUUGAUAAUAAAGGGGAAAAAAUUCAACGCACUGGUGUGCGUUGGUAUCCAAAGGAGCCCUAAAUAGUGUACUUUUUCUUUUUUAUAUGUCACAUAUAUAUUUUAUUUCUUUUUUAAAAUAGUUCAAAUAUUAAGUAUUGGCCUAAUGGUCAAGAGUGUUUAUAAUUUAAGAAAAAAAGAACAAUAAUAAUCUCUCACUAAUUUUUAAAUAAGAGAAUAAUACAUUUCAGUAUACUCGAUCAAUAUAUAUUUAAUAAACAAAUUACUAAAUUUUAAAACCCUAAACAUUUUUUCCACUUAAAUAGUAUAGUUUAAUUUAUACAUAAGAUUGAUUUUAUUUUAAAUAAUGGUUUAUUCAAGUAAAAAUUAAGGUUUAGGGUUUAUUUAAGUUUAAGAUAAAUUUAAUCAAUUUCUUUUCUUUAAAUAAGUUUUUAAUCUAAAUAAUCACCCAUAAUUUAUUGUUUAUAUAAUUAAAAAACAAUGAGAGAGUUGAGUUGUCGAACACGUAAAGGUUAUUAUUUAAAUUUCAAUGCAGAAAAAAGAUGGUGAUUAAGAUUAAACAUUGAUGAUUAGUUUAAUAAUAGUAACAAAUGAUAAUUAAGCCCCACGGAUGGUUUCCCCGGGAAUCUCUCGUCCCCCUCGAGUGGGACGGCUUAGACUUUGCUACACAUUCUGAAUUUUUUUUAGAUUUUGAUUAUUAAAAGACGAGAAUAAAUUAUUAUCUUCAUAUUAUUAAAAUUUAAGAUCGGUAGAGUAUUUUAUACGUUUUCGGUCCUAUCAUUAACCUUCUAAUAAAUUUAGAUAGUAUAAAUAUAUAUUUGUUAUUUGUGACAUUUUUCGCCCACUUCGAGUCCAAAUUUUAGGAUGUUAUAUUUAUUGUCAGAGUAAUUAUCGUCAAUUAUAUAGUAAUUAAACUAUUUAAUCAUGCAUUCAUUUCAUAAACACAUUCAUGAUAUACAAACUUUUUCGAGUCUCAAUCGAGUCUAUAAAAUUAUUUUUAAAUGACGUAUUUAAUGAGUGAAUCUAUAUAAAUAUUGAUGGAAUGGGUGGAUCUACAUGUUAACUUAUAUAUUAUUCUAUAAUUCAUAGUUAAAUAAUAAAUUUAUAUUUUGCUUUUUUUCUUACAAUACCGAAAAUUAUUAUAAUCCCUCCUCGACCUAUAAAUAGGAGGAUAAUGUAUUUUAAUGUAUUUGAAUUUACGUCCUCCUACAUUAAUAAUAAUGCUCAUACCAAUUGAGUUAAGACUCAAUCGACUAUAUUAUUAUUAUUUUUAAAUAAUAACUUUAAAGGAGUUGGUGUAUGCUAAGAUGAUUUAAAAUCCAUGUCUAGUCAAAUAAAAAAUAUAUUUUAUUUUUUAUAAUUAAAAAUAAGAUUUAAAUAUAUAUUUUAAGAUUAAUAUUAAUUUGUAAGUAAUGAAAUAUAAAAAAUAAUUAUAGCAAAUUUUAUUUUUAUCUUAUUUAAUAAAAACUAAAUUAUUUAUUGUUAAUUAAUUAAAAAAAUUAAAAAAAAAGAGAAGAAAAUAAUUCUAGUUUACAUAAUAAUGAUACUUUUCCAUACAAUUUGUCUACGAAAUUGAGAGGAAGGUGGCAUUGGUUCUUACAUUAAAGAUUUCACCACUGAUUUAGCUUUGACUUCUCUGCAUUUCCACAACUAAAUGAUUCUAAAAUUACUACCAAAUCUUCAAUUCUGACUUUAAUUAUUUGGUGCUAUCUUUCAAUUCUAACCAUUCCAAUAGUUUGAAGGCUUUUAAUUUAGCCUCUUUUUUCCUCCCUUUAGAAGAUAAUUAAUGAAUAAAAGAUAUUCAAGAUUUUUAAAUUAUCAUAUCUCAUAACCAAAUCCACAUUAGUAAUAUGUUAAAGUCUAAAGGUUUUUUUUUUUUCAAUAAUUGAGGGAGGAGAAUUGGGUUGCUCGGGAUCGAACCUAAACUUUUAUGCCUACAAUACAAUACUAUUGCUACUAGGCCAAGAAAUUAUUGGCUAAGGCGUAAAGGGUUUAAAACUACAUUUGUGUUAUACCUACGUACAUAUAAUUUUAAAAAUUACCCAUAUAAUAUUGUUAUCCAAAUACAUGGAGGACGCCAUCAAUAAGUAAUGGGAAAAAGUAGAAGUGGACUUCUUUCCCAUGUAUUUGGAUUAAAUUCAAAAAGAGGGUUUUACCUGAAUGCCAUCCUGGUCUAAUCAGGAUUGUUGAAACCGUCUUUUUUAAAACAAAAAUUUUGUUGUCGACUUUUAAAAAUAAAACUGGAGUCACCACCGAUCCUUUAUUAAGGUGUGACCGGCCCACCUUAAAAAUUAUUUUGGUCUGCGAAUUUUGAAAAUAGGUUCGGGAGUCAGUUACGCACGAGGAAGGGUUAGCACCCUCGUAACGCCCAAAAUCGGUACCAAAUUGAUCAUUUAAUGUCUUAGUGUCGAAGAUUAAAAAGAUUUUAAAAUCAACUUGAAUGAUGAAAUUUGCAAAAGGAUAACAAGUUGUUCAAGUCAUGUAAAGAAAUCGAGUCCCAAUACGUUAGGGUACAAUUCCUCAUAAUCCCCGAACUUUGAAUAUCACUUUUUAUUUUAUACGAAAAAUCUUCAUUUCGAGAAAGUAACAUGCCACACCCAAUACGUUAGGGCACGACAAGUUAAGUUCCCAAAAAUGAUUUUUACACUCAUGCAUUUUGAAUAAAGAAUAUCCUCGGUUAUUUAAGAUUAGCAAAGAAAAUCCAAACCCAGUACGUUAGGGCUCAAUUUCCCUCGAAAACCUCAAACCUCGAAUAUCGCUUUUAUUCAAAAAAAACCUUGAAGCAAGAAAAUAACUUUGAUGUAUGGUUAAAACCAAAACAUAUUUUCAAAAAGAGUAUGCUUAAAACGUAAUGUACAAUAUGAUACAAAUACUUUAACUUAAAGCAUAUAUAAAUAUAUAUUUACAAAAUAAAAAAAUGUAUAAGUAUAUGUAUUGGUAAAUCAUGCAAAUGCGUAUAUAUAUAUUAAAAUGUAAAAAUGUAUAUGUUUACAAAAGUUAGGAAAUAAAAACAAAAACAUAUAUACAAGUAUUUAUAAAAGUUUAGAAAUAUACAUAUACUAUAGAAAUGCGCAUAAAUAAAUAUGUGGAAAAUAUAUUUACAAUAAUUUUAAAUAGUGCAUGUAUAUAUAUAUGUAUAUAUAUAUAUUAAAAAUGUGUAAGUAUAGCAUAUAAGGAAAUUAUGAAAAAUGCGGAUGCAUAUGUAUCAAAUACGUAUAUAAAUAAGUACAUAUAUAUGUCCAUAAGAACAUGAGAAAUGCAAAAGAAAAGAAAAUGCAUUUAUGAUAAUUUAAAAGAGAAAAAAAAUGCGUAUAUGUGUGAAUUUAAAAAAAUGUAUAUAUAUUACAAGAAUGCACGUGUAUAUAUAUGUAUAAUAAUAAUAUAUAAUGUUAUAAUAAUAAUAGCAAUAUUAAUAAAAUGAACUAAAUAAAUAAAUAAAUUGUGAAACAAAUGAGAUUAAAAAACAAAAAAAAGGAUCAGAAUGCAAAAAUGCGGAUUUCAUGGGGGUCAAGUAAGGAAUACUCCUUCCCCUCAAAACACAACACUUUGCACAGACCAAAUUGAAUCAAAAAUCAAAUAUGCGGUUAAAUGUGAAAGAAAAUAAAACGACAGAAAAAAAGACCAAAUUGAAAAGCGUAUGGAAGGAGGAGGGGCUGCAUGCGAAAUAAACCAAAAUACCCAAAACGCGCGGAUCCUCCCCCCGGGUCGGGUCACCGCGCGGGCCAAGGGCCAGGUGGAUCAAAACAACGCCGUUUUAAGGCCGAAGAGACCCCCCCUAAACGUCGUCGUUUUAUUUGCUUUAAAAAACCAAAAUUUUCCCUAAAAAUUCAUUCUUUCUCCCCCUUUCUGACACUAAAUAGCAGAGAAUCUCUCUGCUAGGGUUUCAUGUUCACAUGCCGCCGCCGUUCAAGCCAUCCUCAUGGCCUCCGUCGAUGCCCCGAUCCCCAAUCGUGUCGGAGAGGGCACCAACUCGGCGACUCCGACGAAAAGGUAAGUUUUCUCCUCCUUUUCUUCUUUUUAUUUAGGCAAAAAUAAAUGAAAAAGAAAAAAAGAGAAAAUAUAAAAAAUAAAAUAACAUAUAUAUAUAUAUAUAAAUGACAAAUAAAAGAACAAAAAUUAACAAGGUAAAACAGUGAGGAAAAAAACACCUUUCUAUUUCAAAAAGAAAUUUUUGUGUUUGUAUUUAGUUUUUCUUUCUCGGUCACUUUUACACCUUCCCCCCCACUGUUACAGAUUCGAUAACAGCUUUAAAUAGCCGAAAAUGGGAAAAAAAUGAACAAAAUCAAAAUAAAAUCCAUUCUAUUUUUUGUUGCAUAUUGUUGCCCGAUUUUUGCUCUUCUAUUUUGUGUUUGUUGCUGCAGGUACUGCUGGAGGCGUGUGCGAGAUUCGCGGCGUGCGCGAGCGACGGGCACGAUGUGCGGGGGGAGUUGGCUCCGAAGCGUGCGCCGAUUGGAGUUGUCGGAGGCGGAGCACGUUGUGGGGGCUUGCGGCGCUGAACUAAACAUGGGGCUAGGGUUUGUUUGGGUGUUUAGGGUUAUUGGGCCUAGGUUUAGCUUAUGUUUUGUAAGGGCCGGGGUAAAUUUGUUUGCUUGGGCCUGGGCAUUAUUGGGCUUGUACAACUGCCCCUCAUUGCUCAUUGUCGUGUAACAGGAAUAGAGCAAAGACUAAAAGCCCAAUUGUGCCCGAUCCUACUGAGCCUCACUUUCUUUAGUGCUUUUCAAGUUGCAUCAUUCCAACCUACUGCAUCUUCAGAGGUAUAGGAACUGGUGCUUCAAUCCACUCCACUGCAAUGUCUGGGAGAUAGGCUUCGCACGUUGCAACUUCUCAGAAAGAACAAAAUUUACUAUCUUUAGUCUGCUCCGCUGCAACUUCAGGGAGAUAAGACCUAUAGCUUCAACUUAUUCUGUUACAACUUAAGGGUAAAUCUGAUGUGAUCUGCUCCACUGCCACUUCAGAGAGAUGAGAUCAGCGGUUUUAAUCCACUCCAUUGCAACUUUAAGGAGAUAGGAUUGCUUACUUCUGUCUGCUCCAUUGCAACUUCAGGGAGAUAAAACUUGUAUCUUCGAUCUAUUCCACUAUUGCCCAGGGAGAUAGAAUUACUGGCUUCAGUGUACUCCACUGUAACCUCAAGGAGGUAAAAUUCGCCAUCUUUGAUAUGCCCCAUUACUGCUUAGGGGGAUAAGGUCUGAAAUCUUCAAUCUAUUCAAUUGCAAUGUCGGGGAAACCAGAUCCGCCGUCGUAGCUUCAAUCUGUUCCACCGCACCGUCAGGGAAGUAAGAUCCGCCGUUGUGGCUUCAAUCUUUUUAAUUGCAAUAUCAGGGAAACCAGAUCUGCCGUCGUAGCUUCAAUCUGUUCCACUGCACUGCUAAGGAAGUAAGAUCCGCCAUUGUGGCUUCAAUCUUUUUAAUUGCAACAUCAAGGAAACCCAGAUCCGCCGUCGUAGCUUCAAUCUGUUCCACUGCACUGCUAACGAAAUAAGAUCCGCCGUUGUUGCUUCAAUCUUUUUAAUUGCAAUAUCAGGGAAACCAGAUCUGCCGUCGUAGCUUCAAUAUGUUCCACUGCACUGCUAAGGAAGUAAAAUUACUGGCUUCAAUGUACUUCAUUCAACUUCAGGGAGGUAAAAUCCGCCAUCUUUGAUCUGCUCCACUACUGCUUAGGGAGGCAAUAUCUGAAAUCUUCAAUCUAUUCCACUGCUGCCCAGGGAAGUAGAAUUACUGGCUUCAAUGUACUCCACUGCAACUUCAGGGAGGUAAAAUCCGCCAUCUUCGAUCUGCUCCACUACUGCUUAGGGAGGCAAGAUCUGAAAUCUUCAACCUGCUCCACUGCCUCCGAGGGAGGCGAGGUUGGUGUCUUCGAUCUGCUUCACUGUCGAUGCAGGAAUGCAAGAUCUGUUAUCAUCACUGAUCUGUUCUCUGGGGAACAUGACCUGUAUAAUGAACUUUAUGAACCUAAUUAUGCCUAGUGAUUAGGAUGUCAUGAUCAGAAUGAAUCAAAUGUUCCUAACUAGACAUGUAUGAAUGACAUUUGAAUGAAUGCAGAAUGUCAUGAAAAUGAUAUUUCAACGCUUGGGUUAUUAUUACUCCAAGUUUAUUAAGGUUUCAUCAUUAAUGUGUUAUAACACCUUCUUGCUCAGCUGGCGUCUCCAAAAAACACUUAGUCAGAUUGCCCCACUGUAACCUUUAAAGUUUAAUCCACUGGGAUGCAAAAAUUUGUACCAUCUUUCUCCCGUUGUAACCCAAGAGUAAAAGAUUUGGCAUUUUCUCAAUCCUCUGCUAUCACAAUUCAAUGAUACAGAAAGUGAAACUCUUUGGUCCCUUACACCAUUCCCAGUGUGUUGUACCAAAUGCUCAAGCACAAAUGAAGAAAUCUUCUCCAAGAGCAACUUCUUCUUGUUAUUCGGUAGUCAUUUGCUAGCUUGUUCAUUGAAGCUUUGUCACAAACAUGACAUCUUGCCAUUUUGAUCAAUCGAUGUUUUAGACAGCAAAAACUCAAAGGGAUAGUCUGAAUUUAGACCUUUCCUUAUCAGAUUUCCAACUUGGUGCGUUUUAAACAAUAGUCUUAUUUCAGGUUCCUGUAUUAUUUAGAAACUUCUAGAGUAAUAUGCGAAACUUCCCUUGUGAAAGUUUUAUUAGUCUAUUAACCAUUAUUCUAAUGCAACAUGCUUGUAAAAAGAUCAUGGAUAAGAAUAGAGUUGGUUCUGAGCACAGCUCGAAAUGAAUAAAUUACCAAGGAUAAUAAAGAUGGAUAACAAAGAAAUUGAUUUAGGAAUGCGUAUCAUGGAAAUGAAUGAAAUGUUCCAAGAAUAACAAAAAAUAGUAUAAGGAUUAGGUGCCCCACGUAACGCAGCUUGAACUUUGCUGUACAGACUUUCUGAAGAUCAUUCUGAGUUUGACAUGUGUUUAGGAGUACUUUGUCGAUGCCCCAAGAUGUCGCCUACCCUUUCUUAUUGAUUCCAGUAUAGCAAGACCACUGUAUAUCCCAUUUUGAUCAGUAUUUGAGCUGCUCUGAUUACUUCAUGCCCCAUUCUGAUCAACAUUUGAGCCGCCCUUUUUCGAGUUUUCAACUCAAAUCCCCUUUGGUCUAAGGCGCCCUUUGCGAGUUUUCACCUUAGCCUCUUCUUUUUUUUUUUUACUCAAGGCUCCCUUUGUAGGGUUUCACCCUGGUCUUUUUUUUUUGACUCAAAGCACCCUUUGUAGGCUUUCACCUUGGUCCCACCUUUUUUAAGCAGAGUAUUUCCUGACUGAAUAUGAGUUUACAGGACUUUGUAAAUUUUUACCAUCCAUCUCACUCAAGAUCAAAGCUUCUCUAGAAAAGGCUUUCUUUAUAACAUAUGGACCCUUCUAAUUUGGCCUCUAUCUUCCUCUAAAAUCCUUUUGUAUAGGAAGGAUCUUUUUCAACACUAGUUCCCUCUUGUGAAAUUCUUUGGGACGAACCUCCGGGUCUUCCUCUUAGGAUAAAAUGUAGAGAAAUGACAAUUCGACUUCAAUGAGUAAAGCUAUGAUAAGCCAAAGAGGAGGAUAUUGCCCCAGCAAAGAAAGUUUACUGCAUCGUUCAUAGCAUCGAUGUUGAACCUACUGCCCAUUUCUGACAUCAUGCUGUUAUUCAGAUUACAAGCUAGUGCUUAACCCGAGCAUAUCUGGGUAUGACCAUGUGAAGACAUCAUUGAAUUCUUGGGGUAGCUCUAUAAGGUCUCGCCUCGUCUUCGUGAUCAUGUCAAUUCCAAUCUUCACCAAGCUCACAAUUUCUGAUAAUUCAUUGUGAUGUAGGAUCUGUCUAUCCUCUUAUCACCCUCCUCAAGUCUGGAGAUAAGCUACAAUCUAUGUCAUCUUCAAAGUCAUGAGAUCCCUCUAAACACAUGUCUCACUCAAAAGGAAAUUUUGAGUCUGUAGCAGUGUCAUUCAUGACAUUGAUAUCUGGGGACCCAUAGUAGGUAUCUGAGAAUAUACAAAAGAAUGUAUGAAUAAUAUGAAUGAAUGGUUUGGCAGAAAAAAUCUAAAAAAAAAUGAAAAAAACGUAAAGAAUGAAAGAACAUUUGCUCAAAGAUGAUUGCAAUAAUGUAUUUCAUUAAAAUAAUAAUGUUCAGACAUGAGUCAAUUUCACAAAGGUGCUCCUAUUGCUUUUAAGCUAAAAGCAACAAUCGUGUUCUGAAUAUUACUCUAAGUAAGCCCUAGAUGCUACAGAGAUUCCUUUUACAAUCCGAUUAUUUAGACGCUCUCAAGUUUGUAAGGGUGGAUACCUAACAAGGUCCCUUUUCAAGUGUGUCUUCAUAUACGGCAUUGAUAUGAACGCUUUCCAAUUCUUCUUCAUAUGUCGUAUUCAUCCCAUUAUCAAUGUGAUUGGGUAGUGAAUUUUUUGCACUCGAUGAGUCACCAAACUUGACAACACCCAUGUUGAUGAGUCUCUCAACCAGCUUCUUGAAGGCAGUGCAAUUCUCUAUUAAAUGACCUGUAAUUCCCACAUGAUAGUCACAUUGUGCAUUCGCAUCAUACCAUUCGGGAUACGGAGGUUGUAGAGGCUUCACAUGAAAAGGAGAAACAACGUGUUCAUCAAAUAAGCCUUGAUAUAACUCUCUAUACGACAUCGGUAUGGGUGUGAACUGAAGCCUUCCUGUAUUUGUUCUCAUGCAAGGUUCUUGCUUUAAAGGGGCCUGAUGGUUGGUGGUCUUUGUCUUUGGCUGCCCCACAAUAGUUGGUUUUGAGUAGCCCCUAUUAUAUCUGCCUGCAUUAUCCACCUUAUUCCCCUUAUUCCUUGGGGCUUUUACAGUAUCUGGGCGCUCUACUCUUGCCUGCUUUGUUUCUGCUGGGUCAUUAAGGGCAACAGGACUGGUUAGAUUGCCUCUUAGAUUACAACCUGGGCCUAUCGAGUGAUUCAUCAGUGUCGAUGUACCAGUCUGAUAUUGUUGAGGCUUGAUAGUAAAGAGUGCCCCUCGUGGGUGUGCAUCUGGCUGGAUUUGAACACUUAUUGGGAUAAAUUUUGGGGAAUAGGCGAGGUUCUCAUUAUUAUCCCCAAAGUGAACCGCUGGACUUUUCCCUUUUUUCUAACCAUUUACCCAAUAACUGGGUUAAUUGGCUCAUCAUAUCUCUUUGGAAUUCUAAUAGCUGAUCUCUCAUAUCUUGCUGAAAUUUGGUCAAUUGUUCUUGUAUCUGCACUUGCAUUUGCUCUAAUUUCUCCAACCUUUGGUCCAUUUCUCUAGCCUUUUCUUGGGUGCCGUGAGGGUGUUGGUUUUCCAAUUUAACUGAAAUAAUUUUACUCAAUUAGGCUCUUUCAGUGGAUUUUAAUGCAUAUGAUGCUAUGAAAUGCAAAUGCAUGAGAUGAAUGCAAGAAGAGACGUUGAUUCUGAUUCAAUUCUAUUUAGAAAACUUUUCUAGAAGACAAAUUUCUUUACAUAAAGCGGAUAUAUAUAUACGGCUUUGCCCUCAUACUCUAAGCGAGGACAUCUUCUCCUUCUUCAUCUGGAUGCUAAGAUAAAUCUUGCGAAUUCUUCAAAAGGGGUAUCUCCUCUACCUCUUUUUUACUUGAUCCUGGUUAUAAUCCAACGUCUGCCCAUCCCCGUGAUGCUCGUUGGCCUCUUUUUAAGAAGGUUCAGCAGCUCUCAAAUAAUCUUUGUCAUCUUGAAUCCUUGGCCAACGGAGCCAUAGUCGUGUAGUCCUCCAUUAAAUUAUCAUCCUUCUCUUAUCACGAGUUCUUGGACCAUAUUCGAACAACCAAACUGUCAUCCACUUUAUCAAGAAACCCAUUUUCUUAUGACAAGCUCUCUAUUUAGCAACUGAACGUGAAUCAACACCUCUUUUUUUAAGAUGAAAAUGUAAUGUCAUGACAUGCAAUCAAAACAAAACACAAAAAGGUCAGUAUCAUAUAAACAUAAAAUAUAACCAAGAAAUAAAAAAAACUCCUAUUCGGAUAUCUUCUAAGGUUUAGUGUAGCUCUACCUAUGGCGGGUUCCUAAGGCUCACUAUAUGAGGCUCAGUUUCUAGAGUAAGGGUACCCGAACCAGCAGAUUCCUCGAUCCUCACCCAUUAUAGGCUCAUGUGGAUCGAGUUCAGUUCAGGGGGAUACAUUUCCCUAUGGCUGCACGGAGAUGAAAAUCUCACGAAGACAUAGGUACGGAUAUAUCCCGGAAGCGAUCCACUACCCUGCACGGAGGUGAAAACCUCACGAAGGACUAGUUUCUCGCUCCCACUUAAAAGGGUAAAAUGCAAAAUGCAAACGCAAAGUUGCCAACAUACCAAGAUGAAAAAAAAAUCAAUGAAUGCGAAGGGAACUCAUGAAUUUUUUUUAAAAAACUUUUGAUUUUCGACACGAAGACAAAUAUAAUCGGUUUAUGGCUCGACUCUCAAACGUCCCCAGUGGAGUCACCAAGCUGUCGAAACCGUCUUUUUGAAAACAAAAAUUUUGUUGUCGACUUUUAAAAAUAAAACUGGAGUCGCCACCGAUCCUUUAUUAAGGUGUGACCGGCCCACCUUAAAAAUUAUUUUGGUCUGUGAAUUUUGAAAAUAGGUUCGGGAGUCAGUUACGCACGAGGAAGGGUUAGCACCCUCGUAACGCUCAAAAUCGGUACCAAAUUGAUCAUUUAAUGUCUUAGUGUCGAAGAUUAAAAAGAUUUUAAAAUCAACUUGAAUGAUGAAAUUUGCAAAAGGAUAACAAGUUGUUCAAGUCAUGUAAAGAAAUCGAGUCCCAAUACGUUACGGUACAAUUCCUCAUAAUCCCCGAACUUUGAAUAUCACUUUUUAUUUUAUACGAAAAAUCUUCAUUUCGAGAAAGUAACAUGCCACACCCAAUACGUUAGGGCACGACAAGUUAAGUUCCCAAAAAUGAUUUUUACACUCAUGCAUUUUGAAUAAAGAAUAUCCUCGGUUAUUUAAGAUUAGCAAAGAAAAUCCAAACCCAAUACGUUAGGGCUCAAUUUCCCUCGAAAACCUCAAACCUCGAAUAUCGUUUUUAUUCAAAAAAAACCUUGAAGCAAGAAAAUAACUUUGAUGUAUGGUUAAAACCAAAAUAUAUUUUCAAAAAGAGUAUGCUUAAAAGGUAAUGUACAAUAUGAUACAAAUACUUUAACUUAAAGCAUAUAUAAAUAUAUAUUUACAAAAUAAAAAAAUGUAUAAGUAUAUGUAUUGGUAAAUCAUGUAAAUGCGUAUAUAUAUAUAUUAAAAUGUAAAAAUGUAUAUGUUUACAAAAGUCAGGAAAUAAAAACAAAAACAUAUAUACAAGUAUUUAUAAAAGUUUAGAAAUAUACAUAUACUAUAGAAAUGCGCAUAAAUAAAUAUGUGGAAAAUAUAUUUACAAUAAUUUUAAAUAGUGCAUGUAUAUAUAUAUGUAUAUAUAUAUUAAAAAUGUGUAAGUAUAGCAUAUAAGGAAAUUAUGAAAAAUGCGGAUGCAUAUGUAUCAAAUACGUAUAUAAAUAAGUACAUAUAUAUGUCCAUAAGAACAUGAGAAAUGCAAAAGAAAAGAAAAUGCAUUUAUGAUAAUUUAAAAGAGAAAAAAAAAUGCGUAUAUGUGUGAAUUUUAAAAAAUGUAUAUAUAUUACAAGAAUGCACGUGUAUAUAUAUGUAUAAUAAUAUAUAAUGUUAUAAUAAUAAUAGCAAUAUUAAUAAAAUGAACUAAAAAAAUAAAUAAAUUGUGAAACAAAUGAGAUUAAAAAACAAAAAAAAAGGAUCAGAAUGCAAAAAUGCGGAUUUCAUGGGGGUCAAGUAAGGAAUACUCCUUCCCCUCAAAGCGCAACACUUUGCACAGACCAAAUUGAAUCAAAAAUCAAAUAUGCGGUUAAAUGUGAAAGAAAAUAAAACGACAGAAAAAAAGACCAAAUUGAAAAGCGUAUGGAAGGAGGAGGGGCUGCAUGCGAAAUAAACCAAAAUACCCAAAACGCGCGGAUCCUCCCCCCGGGUCGGGUCACCGCACGGGCCAAAGGCCAGGUGGAUCAAAACGACGCUGUUUUAAGGCCGAGGAGACCCCCUAAACGUCGCCGUUUUAUUUGCUUUAAAAAACCAAAAUUUUCCCUAAAAAUUCAUUCUUUCUCCCCCUUUCUGACACUAAAUAGCAGAUAAUCCCUCUGCUAGGGUUUCAUGUUCACAUGCCGCCGCCGUUCAAGCCAUCUUCAUGGCUUCCGUCGAUGCCCCGAUCCCCAAUCGUGUCGGAGAGGGCACCAACUCGGUGACUCCGGCAAAAAGGUAAGUUUUCUCCUCCUUUUCUUCUUUUUAUUUAGGCAAAAAUAAAUGAAAAAGAAAAAAAGAGAAAAUAUAAAAAAUAAAAUAACAUAUAUAUAUAAAUGACAAAUAAAAGAACAAAAAUUAACAAGGUAAAACAGUGAGGAAAAAAACACCUUUCUAUAUCAAAAAGAAAUUUUUGUGUUUGUAUUUAGUUUUUCUUUCUCGGUCACUUUUACACCUUCCCCCCCAUUGUUACAGAUUCGAUAACAGCUUUAAAUAGCCGAAAAUGGGAAAAAAAAUGAACAAAAUCAAAAUAAAAUCCAUUCUAUUUUUUGUUGCAUAUUGUUGCCCGAUUUUUGCUCUUCUAUUUUGUGUUUGUUGCUGCAGGUACUGCUGGAGGCGUGUGCGAGAUUCGCGGCGUGCGCGAGCGACGGGCACGAUGAGCGGGGGGAGUUGGCUCCGAAGCGUGCGCCGAUUGGAGUUGUCGGAGGCGGAGCACGUUGUGGGGGCUUGCGGCGCUGAACUGAACAUGGGGCUAGGGUUUGUUUGGGUGUUUAGGGUUAUUGGGCCUAGGUUUAGCUUAUGUUUUGUAAGGGCCGGGGUAAAUUUGUUUGCUUGGGCCCGGGCAUUAUUGGGCUUGUACAAGGAUUAAAUUGUAAAAUAGAUAAAAACAACUAUAGUUAUACAAAAAAAAAAAUACAAGGGGAUGUUAGGAUAGGCAAAUGCCUUGGCCUUAGAAAUGAUAAAAUUAUGAAUGUAAUCUCUUUAAAAAUUGCAAGUUAUUAUCAAUAUAAAAUUAAAUUUGGUCUACUUAAAAGAAUAUUUUUUGCAUGAAUUAUCCAAAUAUAUAUAUAGUUAAGGGAUGGCAAUUCCCAACAAUCGAAGGUAUUUGAUGCGGAAACCCGGAUCUAGACACAAGAGAAACACAAAUUAGAAAUAAAAACGAGAAUAAAUAAAAUUAGUUCAAUAAUAUUAAUAAUAAAAAAAGAAUAGAUUUGCCCUAUGGAACCCUUGGUUAACUUGCAACCAAAAACGCCAAUGAUUGAGCGGCUCCCUACGAAACCCCUAGAAGAAGAACCUCUAAAAACACCGAUGAACGGGAAGGAAAUUUGAAUAUUUGUAACUCCGAAAAACCCUCGAAGUAACAAACUUCAAACUAAAUAGCAAGAGAAGAAUCACUCUACUCUAAAAAAAUUGCCUCACACAAAUUUGGAAGAAAACCAAUACUCUUUUUUCUUAUGUGCCCCAAUGUAUAGAAAGCAAGCCUAUUUAUAGGCAAAAUACAAGAGUAAUUGAACCCUAAUAGAACUCUUUAAAAUUAACUAAGAAAAUAAAUAAAUAAUAACCUAACAAAUAAAAUUACUUAACUCAUAAGUGAUGUGUCCCAACUAAUGAGAAUUAAGUAAAUAAUAAUAAUAAUAAGAUACAUAAAAGAUUAAUCCACCAAUUUAUGGGCUUUCACUAUUCCAAGAUUGGUCCAGUGAAUUGCAUUCCCAUAUUUGUCAACGUCACGAACAUGAUGAAUUAAAUUUGUAGCAACAAAGUCUUGGACAAAAGCAUUCAUCUUUGAUUUUAAUUGUUGUGCCUUGCUUCGAGUGAUUGGACCACUAGGAAAAACAACCCCUUGAGUGUCACCUCAUUGGCUCGUAUCAUUCUCCCCCUCUUCAAGAAGAUUCGUCCUCGAAUCUAAACCUACAUCAAAUUCAAAAGGAAAAAGAUCAGAAACAUUGAAAGUAACACUAACACUAUACUCACCAGGAAGAUCAAUGCGAUAAGCAUUGUCAUUUAUUUUCUCGAGUACUUGGAAUGGUCUAUCUCCUCGUGCAUCAAGUUCAUUCUUUCUCUUAGAAGGAAAUCGUUCCUUCCUCAUAUGCACCCAAACCCAAUCUCUAGGUUCAAACAAGACUUGCUUUCGCCCUUUAUUUGCUCGAUGUGCAUUGGACUCAUUCUUUUUCUCAAUGGCUUUACGAGCCUUAUCUUGGAUCUCUUUCACUAAAUCAGCUUUCCUUUCACCAUCUAAAUUAGCAAUCUCAUUCAAAGGUAAAGGAAGCAAAUCUAAAACAGUAAGUGGAUUAAAGCCAUAUACAAUCUCAAAAGGAGUAAAACCUGUGGAAGAAUGAACAGAACGAUUAUAAGCAAACUCAACAUAGGGUAUCCAUUCUUCCCAAGAUUUAACAUUCUUACCUAUUAUGGCUCUAAACAAAGAUCCCAAAACUCGAUUUACCACAUCGGUUUGACCAUCAGUUUGAGGGUGGCAUGUAGUAGAGUAAAGUAGCUUAGUACCUAACUUACCCCAUAACACCUUCCAAAAGUGACUAAGAAAUUUUGCAUCUCUAUCGGAAACGAUAGUCCUUGGGAUUCCAUGUAAUCUCACAACUUCACGAAAAAUUAGAUCAGAAACAUGGGUUGCAUCAUCAGUCUUAUGGCAUGGAAUAAAAUGAGCCAUUUUAGAAAAUCGAUCCACAACUACAAAGAUGACAUCUCGUCCACGCUUUGUCCUUGGUAAACCUAUUACAAAAUCCAUUGAAAUGUCAGUCCAAGGUGAACUAGGAACAGGAAAAGGAGUAUAUAGACCAUGAGGCAUCACAGUGGAUUUAGCUUGUUUACAAGUAAUGCAAGUAGAGCAAAUUUUCUCAACAAGUUUUCGCAUGUUAGGCCAAUAAAAAUGCUCAUGUAAAACAUCAUAAGUCUUAGUGACUCCAAAAUGACCCAUAAGACCACCAUUAUGAGCCUCUCGAACCAACAAUUCUCGCAUUGAACUCUUUGGUAAGCAUAGUCUAUUAUUUCGAAAAAGAUAGCCAUCAUGCUUAUAAAAUUUGUGAAAUGCACCAUGUUCACAUGCGUCAUAAAUGCUUGUAAAAUCAGAAUCAGUGGCAUAUAAAUCUUUGAGAUACUCAAAACCUAAUAACUUAGUAUGCAAAGUACUAAGUAAAGUGUACCUCCUUGAUAGAGUAUCAGCCACAAUAUUAUCUUUACCUUUCUUAUACCUUAUAACAUAAGGAAAAGAUUCAAUGAAUUCAACUCACCUCGCAUGUCGCUUGUUCAACUUACCUUGUCCCUUUAAGUGCUUAAGUGAUUCAUGGUCAGUGUGAAUCACAAACUCCUUUGGUAAAAGGUAAUGUUGCCAAACUUCUAAUGCCCUUACCAAGGCAUACAACUUUUUAUCAUAGGUCAAAUAGUUCAAAUGUGCUCCACCAAGUUUCUCACUAAAGUAGGCUAGUGGUUUACUAUCUUGCAUGAGGACGACACCUAUACCUACACCAGAAGCAUCACAUUCAAUCUCAAAGGUCUUUUCAAAAUUAUGUAAAGCAAGAAUAGGAGCAUUACACAAUUUAUCUUUAAGUCCAUUAAAUGCUAAUUCUUGCUUAUCUGUCCAAUGAAAAGAUACAUCCUUUUUAAUAAGUGCAGUCAAAUGCGAAGCAAUUGUGGAAAAGUUACGAACAAACCUGCGGUAGAAAUCGGCUAACCCAAGGAAAGACCUUACCUCAGAAACAGUUUUAGGGAUAGGCCAUUCUUUAAUUGCCUUUACCUUCUCCUCAUCCACAUGGAUUCCUGUAGAACUUAUCACAAAACCCAAAAAAACAAGCUUAUCUGUACAAAAUGUGCAUUUUUCAAGAUUAGCAAAGAGUCGUUCAUGCCUUAACACAUCCAAUACUAAUUUAACAUGCCCAACAUGAUCAUUCAAAGUUUUACUAUAAAUCAGUAUGUCAUCAAAAUACACAACGAUAAAUUUUCCUAAAAAAGGUCUAAGUAUGUGGUUCAUUAAUCUCAUGAAUGUGCUAGGAGCAUUAGUUAAGCCAAAUGGCAUGACUAACCACUCAUACAUGCCAUAUUUAGUCUUAAAAGCAGUUUUCCAUUCAUCACCUUGUUUCAUUCUUAUUUGAUGGUAACCACUUUUUAAGUCAAUUUUAGAGAAAAUACAUGCACCAUUAAGCUCAUCCAACAUAUCAUCUAAUCGAGGAAUUGGAUGUCGAUACUUUACCGUAAUCUUGUUGACAGCACGACAAUCAACACACAUUCUCCAAGAACCAUCUUUUUUUGGGACGAGAAGUACAGAGACCGCACAAGGGCUUAGACUCUCACGAAUCAACCCUUUCUCUAAGAGAUCUUCAACUUGCCUUUUCAAAUCCUUAGUUUCUUCAGGAUUGCUUCGAUAGACUGGUCUAUUCAGAAUACUCGACCCAGGCACAAAGUCAAUUUGAUGUUCAAUCCCUCGUAAAGGAGGUAAUCCCUUAGGCAUUUCAGAAGGAAAUACAUCCUCAAAAUCCUGCAAAAGAUCAACAAAACAACUAGGCAAAUGUCUAUUAGGGUUAGUCAAAACAAAGUUUUCCCUAAACCUAAUAAUUACAAAUGUUUGUUUUAUACAAAAAUCAAAUUUGAUAUCUCGAAACCUAGCGAAUAAACUCACUCUCUCAUCUCGUGACUUGUGUGUGCAAUCACUCACCAAUGUUGGGCCUUUAAGUUGGCUUUUAACACUAAUGGCCUCUUUACUCUCAGCCUUUUUCAAUGAUUUUACCUCACUUCCCUUACCCAUCUCACUAGCAAAUUUGAGUUGAUCAUUGUAGACUUCUUGAGGAGGAAGUGGAGCCAAAGUAAACUUCUUUCCAAGGAACACAAAGGUAUAUUGGUUAAGGAAACCAUCAUGAUUUACUCGUCGAUCAAACUGUCAUGGCUGUCCAAGUAAUAUGUGCCCAGCUUGCAUUGGAACAACAUCACACAAAACUUUAUCAGAGUAUCUACUAAUGGAAAAUGAAACUAAGCAUUGUUUAGAUACUUUUACCUCCCUACUAUCAUUCAGUCAUUGUAAGCGGUAUGGCCUUAGAUGCUUCACACAAGGUAGGCCAAGUUUCUUAACAAGGGAAGAACUCACCACAUAGGUGCAACUUCCACUAUCGAUGAUCAAUGAACUAGGUUGUCCACCAAUCAAACAUCUCGUGUGGAAAAUGUUAUCUUUUUGUUCGCGCCCUUCCUCUUUAAACUGGACAUUUAAAGCCCUUCGAGCAACAAGUGCUUUCUCACCAUACUCCAAGCAUUCUUCAUACUCAUCAUGAGCAUGCAUAUCAUCAGCAUCUUCCAAAGGAGGCAUCUCAUUUUCGUUAUCAGACUCAAAAUCAACCUCGCCAUCUUCUCGAAUCACCAAUGACUUUUUAUUAGGGCAUUCUUGAGCAUAGUGACCCCUUCUUGGCAUUUGAAGCAAGUAAUAUCUUUUGGCUGCUUAAUGGCACUAGGAGAAGUAGAAGAAGAAGAUGGAGCUCGAUUAGUAAAAGUAGAACCUUUAAAUGAAUUAGGCAUACCUCUAUCUUUGGAGUAAGUUCUAGGCUCAUUUGGCUUGAACCGUACAUCUCUCCUAUUCCACAAUCUAUCAUCUUGUUUUUGCCAAUUUCCUCUCCAAGCAGGAUUAGAAACAGAACUAGUACCCCUCGGUGUCCCUUGCUUUCGUAAUUGCUUUUCAAUGGUGAGUGCGGUUUGAAGCAUCUCUUCAACAUCCAUGUAGUGUUGUAACUCAACUCGAUUUGCAAUAUCAGGCUUUAAGCCGGCAAGGAAUCUAGCCAUAGUCACCUCAGCCUCUUCAACAAGAUUGACUCUAAUCUGAAUAGUCUCCAUCUCAUUGUAGCAGUCAUCAACAGAUCUAUCUCAUUGAACAAGAUGUUGGAGUCUUUGAUGGAGUUCUCGAUAAUAGUAUGGUGGAACAAAUCGUUUUCGCAAGAUGCACUUCAUUUCAACCCAAGUAGUAACAGGUUGCUCUCUAUAAAGAAUCCUGCUUUUACAUAAUUGAUUCCACCAUGUUAGUGCAUAAUUAAUAAACUCAGCGACAGCGUAUGUUACCUUUUUCUCAUCAAAGUAAUUGUAACAAGCAAAGACUGCUUCCAUCUUUUCCUCCAAAUCAAGGUAAGCAUCAGGAUCAUUCUUCCCUGAGAAAGAAGGAAAUUUUGGUUUGGGGGUGUCAUUGCUUCGUUCCAACCUUUCUCUAGGUACAUACUCGGACUCAAAGUCAUCAUAAAAAACAUGGUCCUCCAUUCGUUUAAAAGUUUGAUCUCGCUAAUUUGAUCGACUUAUAAAGGCUUCGUUCAACUUCUUGUAAUUAUCGGCAAUGUAUCUCUCUUAAGUUAUAAGUUUUGUAUCAAGAUACUCCCUUUGCUCUCGUAACAUUUAGGUCAUGCGAUGUUCGAAUUGAGUUUGCAACUUUUUCAUCUCUUUUUGUAACAACCCGACCAAAGGAUCGUUCUCUCUUUUUUGCCCAUCCUUUUCAUUUUUACUAGUUUGGGAUCUAGUGAGCGGCAUGGUAUCUGUGAAAGAUCACACAAACAGGAACAAGAAAGAAAGAAAAAUAAUAAUAACCUCACUCGUUAGCUCUCAAAAGAAUAACUCUCUAAAUGAUUCAAAACUUGGAAAUAUGUUUGGAGUGGGUUACAAAUCAAGAUCAAAUAACGGAGGUGCAAACUUCAAAGAAACAAUGAAGGCUCUAAUUGCUCUAAGAGGCCAAUAAACUUGAUUAGGCAAUUUGUAAUUGAGGCUACAUGGAUGAAGGAAUUGUGCGUGCCUUUAAUAUCUGCAAACACAAGAAGAAACAAAGUGUUAGAAAAUGUAAGAGAAACAAAAAAAACAUAGACCUGCAACGAUCCCUAACUCUAGAGUCAAAGAAAAGCUUUAAUAAGAAGAAAACUUAAGAAAAAUCUACCCAAUUUAAAAAGAAACAAAAAAUCGGAAACAUUUGGUGUCUUAAGAUUUUCAAAAAGUGAAGCUUUAAUUAUACUUGAGUCAAGAAAAGAAGAAGGAAAAGAAAUUCAAUUUUGGGAAAAAUAAAAAUAAAAAUAAUAACAAUAAUAGGAAAAGAAGAAACCUACGUAUGAAAGGUAGGCAAAUUUUUUUUUGCGGUUUUUUUUUGCGCUUUUUGCUGUUUUUUUUACUCGUUUCGGAUAUGACUUUAGCUUCAAAAAUAACACCGAAUGGCCUGAAAUUGAUACCAACUGAUGCGGAAACCCGAAUCUAGACACAAGAGAAACACAAAUUAGAUAUAAAAACGAGAAUAAAUAAAAUUAGUUCAAUAAUAUUAAUAAUAAAAAAAUGAUAGAUUUGCCCUAUGGAACCCUUGGUUAACUUGCAACCAAAAACGCCAAUGAUUGAGCGGCUCCCUACGAAACCCCUAGAAGAAGAACCUUUAUAAACACCGAUGAAUGGAAAGGAAAUUUGAAUAUUUAUAACUCCGAAAAACCCUCGAAGUAACAAACUUCAAACUAAAUAGCAAGAGAAGAAUCACUCUACUCUAAAAAAAAAAUUGCCUCACACAAAUUUGGAAGAAAACAAAUACUCUUUUUUCUUAUGUGCCACAAUGUAUAGAAAGCAAGCCUAUUUAUAGGCAAAAUACAAAAGUAAUUGAACCCUAAUAGAACUCUUUAAAAUUAACUAAGAAAAUAAAUAAUAACCUAACAAAUAAAAUUACUUAACUCAUAAGUGAUGUGUCCCAACCAAUGAGAAUUAAGUAAAUAAUAAUAAUAAGAUACAUAAAAGAUUAAUCCACCAAUUUAUGGGCUUUCACUAUUCCAAGAUUGGUCCAGUGAAUUGCAUUCCCGUAUUUGUCAACGUCACGAACAUGAUGAAUUAAAUUUGUAGCAACAAAGUCUUGGACAAAAGCAUUCAUCUUUGAUUUUAAUUGUCGUGUAUUGCUUCGAGUGAUUGGACCACUAGGAAAAACAACCCCUUGAGUGUCACCUCCUUGGCUCGUAUCAGUAUUGCCCUCUAACGGGGGGUUUUACCUCCCCCUCACCCAUAGUACUUUGUUGAGAGCUAGUAUAUCGUGAACGUCUACCUAUUGGACUACACAUUGAAGAAUUCUCUCUCAAAGUCGAAACCCCUCCUCAACAAGCCUAAUCAAGUGAACUAGAACCUUUUUCUCGUAUGGAACUCGAAUUUUAGAAGUAAAAUCCAAUUCAACUUGAGUUCAAAUUUUUUAUUAGGGUUAAUGAAUUUUUUGCCUUGAAUUUGAAAUUAGGUCCACUUUAAUAUCCGUCCAUUUUUUAGUCCAUUUUGAUACAAGAACUUGACAAGCAAGUCAAUUUUGAUCCCAGAACUCGAAAAAUAUAAAAGUUCUGAUGGUGUGAUUGUAUUAUGUCAUCAUAUCUAGACGAAAUCCAAAUUUAAAAACCAAAAUCAACUUAAUUAUCAAAUUCAAAUAUUAAUAUGGACAAAAAAAACAAACAUAUAUUAAAGUGGACCUAUUUAUCAAGUUGAUGGGCCAAAAUUUAUAUCAACCCCUUUUAUAACUUAGUCGUGGUCAACGUUAUUAUUUAAACUAGAAAAAACUGACCGAAUAAAAAAUCUAUGGAUAUAUCAAUUUAAACAUCAAAUUUAGAUGAAAUAAACCAAGUAAAUAAAAAGCUGAUAAUUUGACUAACACAAUUAGGUAUGCGAUUAUUAAAACAUGGCUACUCAGCUGGAUUGAGUGUGCUAAUUAAUGAAGUCAACACGCCAUGUUCUUGUGACAAAUUUUACAAAUGUUGUUCACAAGUUUUAUGUACCAGAUCACAAAUUUAGCUUCAACAUCGAGGUUGAGGCAAAGAUUAAAAAAACAUAUUAAAAAAAUAAAUUGACGCCGAUUAAGUUUUAACUUGAUUCACGUGAAUAUUAUUCUUCUAUACAUCAAAAUUUAAAAACUUAUGAUUGGCCUCCAAAUCAUGGAAUUUUAUUGAUUCCUUAAUUUCCAUUGAUAAAUUCUACUCUCUUUUUUUUCUAAAUAAAGCAUUAAAAAUAUGUUAUAUUUAAAAUUAAAUAAAAUAUCAUAUUAUUAUUAAAUUAACUCAGAUUUAAUUAAUCUAAUUAAAAGAUGAUUAAUAUAAAGACUUGAACAGAAUUUAAAAUUCAGGUGAAGUCAAAUUUAGAUACUAAACUUAAAUCCAAUCGUACAUACGAACACCUUUAGCUACCAUUCAUUUACAAACAAAGCGACGUAAACAAAAUUUGAGAUACAUAUAUUAUUAUAUGAAUUUUAAAUUCUGUUCAAAUAUUGUUAAUGGGGAGCAUCGUUUGUUAAAUUGCCCACUAUGGUAGACUCCAUGGGACCAUCAGUUGGUGAACCCUCACACCAAAUGUUAGCUUUUGCAUUUUUUUCGAAUUACUUGAAUUAUGUUAUUUGCAUUUCUAUCAUACAUUUGUAUUUUUAAAAUUUGAAAUUUUCGUACUACUUAAAUGGUAAUUGUUAAAUUUGUUAAAUUGAAUUCUAUUAUUUCUAAGAUAUUAUAUAGUAAACAUAUUAUUACAUAUGUAAUGCCGUAUUAACUUAGUAUUUUCACGUAAUACUUACCAAAACACAUACAAGCUAUUUUAGUUAAUGAAUUCAACAAUUAUCGUUUUAAGUCAAGAUGAAAUUUUAAAAUUCAAAAAGUAUAAAGAUAAAAAAUAAUCUACUUGGAGAAUCGGGAUAAACCCAUAAUUUGUUGGACUAAUAACAUAAUUUGACGAAACAAUUUAACUACUACCAAUUGAUUCAGAGUUGAAAUUUUAAAUUUUGAAAAAUAUGAAGAUUAAAAUUAAUCUAUUCAAAAAAUAAAAAAAAUUAAAAUAGACCAAAUUAGAAUAUAAAAUUAAACCUAUAACUUAUGCAUAAUACAAACAUCCUUAAAUUAUCAAUUCCAUUUCAAGGAUAUCAUCUCUUCUCAUCAUCAUCAUCAUUGAGAAUGGAUUGUAUAAAACUGUGAUUCCACGUCAUCUUUAUCCUUUUCCAAUAGGAAAAUGACAAAUCAGUUUUUUUCUCUUAAUUUUUAGCAUUUUUAGUUAGAUUUGAAUUUUUGUAGGAAGAAAAAUCUGAUUUGUUAUUCUCCUAUUUGAAAGAUAUAAAGAUGACGUGGAAUUACAAUUUCAUACAAUCCUUUCACCGUAAUGAUAAUUUGAUAUAAGCUAACUCAUGAACAGUCUCGCAAUAAGAAAGAAUCCAAUGGUUAUUUUCGAUUGAUUGAGCCAUUUAUGACCAUAAAACUAAGCUCAUAACUUGAACCACUAAUCCAUAGACAACAAAUAUAUGUGUCCCCAACUCAUAAUAUUUAGCCAUUGGGUCGCCAUUUUGCCCCCUUUGGUUUGAUGGAUUUAAUAACAAUUUGAUAUUGAUGUCCCAGCCAGAUUUUGCUGCUUUGUGUUUUCUAUUUAUUUAUAAAAUCAUAAUUGCUUCAUAAAUUUAAUAAUUUUUCACAUUAAUUUUUAAUUUUUAAUAAUCUCAUUAUAGAUUUCGAUAAUAUAUGUUCUUUUUGACACAAUAUCUAGAACUACUCAUAACUCCUCAUCAACCCAUAAAUAGGAGAAUAAUGCGCUUUAGCGCACUUGAACACAUGUCUUCAUGUAUUGACAAUAAUGCUCACGUUUUCAGCGCACUUGACCACUUUUUAAAGGAUAAAUUGCACCCAAGGUAUUAAACUAUUAGUAAAUUUAAUUUUGGUCAUUCAAUUUCAAAAAGUUACAAAAUUAGCACUAAACUAUUUGAAGGUUUUUAUUCAAGUCACUUGACAGUUGUGUUUUUCCUUUUUAAAAAGUUUGGUUAGUGAACUUCAAACGAUGAUUCAACGAUCGGUGUGGUAAAUCAAUAUCAAUCGACGAGUAAAAAAACAUACCUUAAACCCAAAUUGAUCUGAUAGUUAAUAUCAAAGAUCAAAAAAGAAAAACUAAUUGAGAAAAAAAACUAAACUGUAAAAGUGUUAAAUAUAUCUCUAUUCAUAAAUUUUAAUUAUUUAUAUAGUGUUAAACAUCAAAAGCAUUAAAACUUGUACAAACUGGUAUAAGUUUUCAUGCCUCAAGGUAAACAAAACACUUUUUUCUUUAGAUUAAAUACUAGCUAAACCUGAUCUUGAUGCGAUAUGUAAAUUCGGUUUUAUUUAAAAUUUUAAUUUUCAAUUAAGAUUUUGAAAAUAAAAUGUGUCAACUAGCUUACUUGAUUAUAUUAAUUUUUAUUUUAUAAGGUUUUAUAAAAGUUAAAAGAGUCGAAACUAAUACAUGUUUAUAAAAUUAGAAGAUAGGUACUUCAGUAAAUAUUUCUGGUGGAUUUGUCCAGAGCUGCCCUAAAUCCAACCCAAUGGUUGUGACAAAAACCGAACCCGACAGACCUCAGAACUCUAUUUUCAAGAAGAAUAAACAAGGUGAUUAAUAAAUUUACAUUUUCAUCAUUUAAUUUUAAAAAGUUAUAAAAAAUCAUUAAAUUAUUCAAAAAUUUUCAUUUAAAUCACCAAAUUAUUUGAAGUUUAAGUUCUUUUUUUAAAAAAAAGGUUUGACCAACAAGUCCCAUGCAACUAUUCGGCAAUCAAUAUGGUGGAGCAUUACUCAUUGACAAGUAAAACAUACCUUAAAUUCAAGUUGAAUUAAUGGCUAACCUAAAAAAUUGAAAAAAAUUAUUUGAAUUUUAGUUCAUAGAUUCGUGACUUCAAAGUUGUUUCAUGAUAAUAAAAAAACCCUAAAUCGUAAAGUGAAAAAGAAAAAAGCUUUCGGUUGACACAAAUUAAGCGAACAGUAAAGGCCAUACAACAACAAUUUUAAUAGUCCAGCGACUUAAAUGAAAACUUUUGAAUAAUUCAAUGAACACCUGUAACUUUUUUUAUUUUGAGUGAGCAAAACCUACAUUUAUUAAUAAUUUAAUGACUUUUGAUGUAAUUUAUCCUUCAAGCAACAAUCCUUACAGGAUCUGAUAUGAUUGUAUAUACUAUAAAUUCUAACAUUUGCAAUUCCUUCCCUAUAAUCAUCAGGAAAGAAAAAAACCCCUCACAUUUAUUAUUAAAAAAAUCAGUAACGUCACCCAUUCCCCCCCGCCCCCUCCUCAAAAACUGAUAAAUCAAGUAUAUGAACGCACAUACACAUAUCCCAAACCAAUGCCAAACUGUGAUAAUCAUAAACCAACCAUUGCAUAAUCCCAGCUUAAGUUUGAAUUUCUACAUUGACUUUAAAACUGCCAAAAGAAAAACAACAAUGUCAAAGUUUGUCUUUUAUCAAGUUAUCACAUUCUCCAUAUGCUUCAAGUCUAAUACAUAAAUAACCCUUCUAAAACUAUUAGCAUACAGCGGUAAUCAUCGGAAAACUUCAUGUUCAACAGCAUACACGUGCUUAAUCUCUUUAGGUACAGAAGGAAGGCACGUGGGUUUUACCAGAUUACUGAUUAGCUUCAGAAGGUUGUGCGUUGGCAUUGAAAUUGUCAAACCCGCCACUUGUUGGGGCAGUAGGAUUGGGUGCUCCAUUAGAAGAAGUGGGUGUCGUUACAGUUCCAGAAACUGUUGUUGGGGGAGCCAAUGUAGGAGGUCGUGGAAGGCCAUUUACUUGUCCAGGCAAAGGAGCACCAGGUGGUGCCAUCAUUGGUGGCAUGCCUGGAACGGGAAUAUAACCUGGCAACGAAACCAAAAUGAAAAUUUAAUAUUUUCAAAUUCAAUUCCAUUUUAUGUUUGUAAUUGAGAUCUAUAUAAUGGAAAAGCCGACGCCAGAGCCAAUCAAACGAGAUGAAGUGCUUAACAUAUAAAGCAUCUCUAUUGGUAAGCAAACAAGUAAGAAAUUCCCCAAGUUCACAAGCACCACAUAAAUUCAUGAUGAUACAAAUAACCAAAUAGCCAAACCCCGUAUCAGCAAGAACACAAAUAAUACUAGUACGUAUGAAAUCUUACAUGGAGCACCUAGAAAUGGUCUUGGCAGACUAUGGGGCCUCAUCCUAGGACCAUUGGUUGAUUUACAGAAUAGUGCAGCCCAAGAAUGAGACGGUGUAUGCAAAAAAGCAGUUCAAUGGAAACAAAAAAAAGCAUCCAAAAGUUUCUUCAAGUUCACUAUCACAAGUCGCAACAUCAAUUCGGGAUGGGAUAUGUUUAUUAACCAAAGACUGAAACCCCAUACUAGCAAGAACACGAAAUAUGCUAAUAUGAAUCUCACCUGGGGCACCUGGAAUUGGUCUUGGCAGAACAGGGGGCCUCAUCCCUGGGACCAUUGGUUGGUUUACAGGUAAUGGAGCCCCGGGAAUCGCCAUAACAGGAAGUCGAGGCCUCUGAGCCAUUAAAUGUUGAUUGAAAGCAGCUCCAACCUGCUGGAAAGCCGCAGCUUGACCAAGAUGUUCCUUGAUCCUUUGGUCUAUUAAGCUCUGGGUCUGUUGCUCCUCAAAUUGCUGAUAGUAAGUUCUAACAUUCGCCUAAAAUUACAUACAAAAAAAAUCAGCAAAAGAAAAAAAUGUAUAACUCACAACACUAAUCAAUACAAAGACAAAAAUCUCUACAAAUUACCUUGUGCUUGUAACCUGCAUUGUGUUGCUUUCUAACUGAUGGCUGAAAUUUAAACCCGGAAAGAAAAAAGAACGGUAAUCAAUUAUUGUAAAAGCGAUAACUCAAACUAAUGAAGUUAAUUAAUUUUCGAAAAAUUCAACCAAAAAUUUGAAGACCCAAAAGAAAAGAAAUAGGAAACUUACAGAGUCAUGGGUCAAAUAAGUAUCGCAAUAAUCACAGUAAUACCUGCAAAAUUUGAAUCCAAAUAAACAUAUCCAUAAAUUGUUAAUGAAAAUUAGUUCGUAGCGAGAACUUUAAUUAAGAUUGGACGCAUUUGUAAAGAUCCGUACCGAGGCAUUGCGAAACGACUCAGAAUCGAAGCUAAUUGGUUGAAGAUCGUAAAACCCUAGAGAGAGGGUACCGUAGCAAAAGCCCUAGCUCAAGUACAGAGAAAAACUUAGAAUGAAAAACAGAACGGGGAUUUUGGGUUUGUCUGUAGAAAUUUUAAUGGUAGUUUAUAUUCAGUUUUAGGAUCCUCAUUAAAUAUCUUAUGUUAUAAUUAGGGGUAUUCAGUCCCUCGAUUCAACCCAAUUAUUAUUGAAAUAUUUUUGUUAAUUCAGUUGGUUCAAAUUAAUCAAAAUUUAUAUAUUUCUGAACUAAAUAAGGUUGAUAUGUUACCUUUUUACGCCAUUUUAAAUUUUAUUUAGGGAAAUAUGUUGUUUUCAAGGAGUGUGUGGGAAAACGCAUCUCGUUAGACGUGUUUUUCCUUUUAAUUUUUAAUUUUUUUUAUUUUUUUAAUACAAUUAAUUUUUUUAGUUGGGUGGUUAAAUGUUGGUGGUUUUAUUUUUAAGUCCUAAGUUUAAUUUCUCUCCCACUCAUAUUUAUAAUUUUUAUUUCAUGUUGUUUUAAUUUUUUUUAAUGAAUGUUUUUAACGUAUUAGCUUCCUUAGUUAAAUAGUUAAAUAAUAAUGAUUUCAUUAUCAUUAAGACCCAGAAUCAUUUCCUCUUUUCUAAACAUAUUUAUAAUUUUUAUUUCAUACUAUUUCAAUUUUUUUAAUUAAUAAAUAUAUUGUUUUCAAUUUUUUUAUUUUAAUUCAUCUUUUUAAUUAAUAAAUAUUUUAUUCAUAAAAUCAAAUAAUUAUUACAAAUAUGGUUAUUUUUAGUAAAUAUAAUUUUUAUAUGUGUAGUUAUUUUAUAAUAUUUAUGAUCCUCUAAUUUUUAUAUGAAAAAAAAUGAUAUUUGAAAUAUUUUAUAUAUAAAAACAAUAAUUAUAUUAAAAAUAAUUAUUUUAUUUUAUAAUAUUAAAAAUCACCAUACCUACAAUAUAUGCGGAGAAAAUAAAUAUUUGACAUAUAAAUAUUAUAUAUAAAAAAAUAAUCAAAAAAAAAUAGUUGAUGUUUAUAUUAUAUAUAAAGGAGUUAUUAAUUUCAAAUAUUUUUAACAUAACGAUAUAUGUAUAAUAUAUAUUUUUAUUAUAUAAUUACAAAUUUAUUAUUUGAUUUUAUGAAUAAAAGAGUUAUUAAUUAAAAAGAUGAAUUAAAAUAAAAAAAUUGAAAAUAAUAUAUUUAUUAAUUAAAAAUAAAAAACUUGAAACAAUAUGAAAUAAAAAUUACAAAUGUGUUUAGAAAAGGGGAAAUGGACUUAGGUCUCAAAGAUGAAAUCAUUAAUAUUUAACCACUUAACUAAGGAAGUUAAUAUGUUAAAAACAAUCAUUAAAAAAGAAGAAGCAGAAGCUUAAAAAAAGCUGAAAUAAAAAUUAUAAAUAUAACUGGGAGAGAAAUUGAACCUAGGACUUGAAAGACAAAACCAUUAGUAUUUAACCAUCCAACAAAAAAAAAAUUAAUUAUAUUAAAAAAAUCAAAAUUUACAACUUAAAAGGGAAAACGUGUCCAGGAAAGCUCGCCUAGCUGGACGAGCUUUCCCUCAAAAUCAGCCUAUAUCCAUAAAUAAUUUUAACAACGGUCCAAAAGGCUAAAUAAAUUUCAAAAUUGGCAUAUAGGUCUUAUUUAGCAUUUUGUCUUUUGGUUAAAAUAAAUAUAAAACAUAUAAAAGAAAUAAAUUGUUAAUUUUUUUAAUAGUUCAAAAAAUUAUAUUAUUUAUUUUGGUUAAUAUAAAAAAUAAUUAUUCAAAAAAUACAUUGUUAAUAUAAAAAUAUAUUAUAUACAAUAUAUUAUUUAUUUUGGUUAAUUUAGUUAAUAUGAUUAAUUACUCGAUUUCGAAUUGAAUUAAUUGAUAAUCAAAAUUUCAAAAAAUCAUUAAUUGACCUCCAACCAAAGUAAAUACGAUCACCAACUGAAUAAUCAAAUUAAAUGAAUUCAAUUUUAAUCAAACUAUAAACAUCUUUAAAUAUAAUUGGUAUUUUUCUCCAAAGCUAAUUGUUGUUCACAUUACAGAAGUAAGCCGUCUGAGCUUAAAAGUACCCUUUGAAAAAAGUUGGCCUGUGGAAGACUUGGGCUUUUAAGGUUGAAGGCUCAAAUUCAAUUCGGCCUGAUAGAUAAUUUUUUAAUGUUUUAUUUUAUAUAUGUAAUUUACAAAUUUAAUAUUAUAAUGUUAAUAGUAGAUAAUAUGUUAAAUUUUUUAAUUUUAAAAUUUAAUCAAAUAAAUUAUUAAAUUUUAAAUUAAAAUAUCAUAUUUAAAAAAUAUUAAAAUAUUAAAAUAUAAUGUGGGAGGCCUAAAAUGAAUUUAAUUAACUAUUUAUAAAUAUGACAGACUUGAUAAAGUUUAAAGCUAUGUCAAGUUUUAACAAUAGUGAAUAAUAGUAAUAUCACACAUAGGUUUGUCUCAAAUUUAACUUGUCUCGGUAUAAGAAUACCUCUACUUGAAUAUACUGAAAAUUUAAUUAAAUACCAAAAUAAGUAUGUUAAAAAGUAAAAUUUCAGAAUAUAUAAUAGUCCUUUUUUUCCCGAGCCUAAGAUUACUAAAGUGUAUUUAGUAUAGAUUUCAAGACUUUGACAUCGAUGGCUAUCGAGUUGUUUUUAAAACUAAUCAAUGUAUAUACAUUUAUUACUGGUUGCUAGGUAAUUAAUAUAAGAGUACCUCGACACUUAUUAAUUAAAAUUUUAACUAUUUGUUGAAUUUUUCUUUGAAUUGUGUUAUUUGUGAUAAAUUUAUAUGAAAGGACCUCGAUCUUAUAAAUCUAAAUUUAAUUUUUGAUAAGUUUUCUUUUGAAUUGUGUUAUUUAAGUCCUUAAUUAUUUUACUAUUAAUCAUAAUUUAUUUUUCAUGGGUUGGGUAAAUAAUUGGAGAAAAGUGAGUUAAAGUUAACUUUUAGCAAGUUUUUACAUAUUUUGGACAUAAUUUGAACCACAGAACUCCGAUUUGGGCCUAGAAUAUACUAUUUUAAAGGAAAUGGAAAGACCUAAUCGAAGUUAUCAUGACUCAAGCCUAGAAAACUUCGUGAAGGUGCCCAAAAUUGGCUUAAAAGUUUGACGCAAAAAUCUGCCCAAAAAUUUAAACUUUUUUGUUUUAUUUAUAAUCUACAUAAAAGCACAGAUUUAAAAAAAAACUUUUGAAUUGAUAAGAAUAUCAUUUAUUAUUAAAUAUACUACUAAAUUCAUAAUAAUAAAAGUAGGUUAAUUAAAUCAAUUAACAUGAUAGUAUAUUCAUGUGAAAUUAAUUAAUUUAAUGAUAUCUUUUAAAAGUUUUACUUAAAAAUUAAUAUAUUAUUAAUUAAUUAAAUUAUAAAUCUAUAAAAUUAUUGAAUAUAAUUGAAUAAAUUAAAAAUAUUAAAAAAUUAAGUUUUUAUAAUUAAAUCAAUAAUAUAUAUGACAAUAAUUAAUAAUGUUAAUGUAAUACCUAAUUGGUGCCCAAGGCCCAAAUUAACCAAUCUGGCCCAAUUACAUUUGGCCCAAUAAGGCCCAAGUCACUAAACCAAACCCAAACACCAGUCUAACCCUAAACAGUGGUUACAGCAGCUACCCUAGCGCCGUGCAUGCUCCACGUCGCAACAAUCUCCAGAACUGUAACACCCCCUAACCCCAAAUCGUCGCCGGAAUAGGGUUACGAGACAUUACCGGACAUAUCAGAUAAUUUACAAUAAUUCUUAAAUAAAUAACAAACAUAUUAAAAUAAAAUCAUAAAAUCAUAUAAUAUUUUACUAAUUGACUUCAUUCAUUUUUUUUUAUAAAAAUUUCGGCAGCACUUCCGCUUAUUUUUACAUAGAACCCCCUACAAUUAAAACCAUAUAUUUUCCAAACAUAACCAAAUCAACCAAUUCAUUUCACAUUCACAUUUUCUAUUCUAAAUACUUCUAAUCAACUCAAUCAACAUAAUAUCAGUUUAAAUUUAACAAGGUACUAAAUAAAUCAAAAUAGAUAAACUUCUUUUAUUAUAAAUCUUAAACUUAUAAUACUAACAUUUUUAACCAUUUAUAUUAAAACAUAAUAACCUUUAUACACAUCCUAUGUACAUGCCACAUUACCAAAGAAAAUAUACAUCACCAAAGCUAUGCUGAAGCCGGGAUUAAUCUGGAUGCUGAACCGGGACCUUUGACUUCUAUCGACCUGCGCACGGAAACAAUCGUACGCUGAGUAUUGCGUACUCAGUGGUAUUACCAUAAUUCAAAUUAUAACAAUAAUAAACAUAUAAUGCAUAAAUCGUAUAUACAAUUUAAAAUUCCAUAUUUCAACAAUAGCAAUUCAUCAAUUGAUAUCAUACAUCCAUAAUUUGAAUUUGGACAUAUCAUGAAUCUUAAGUUCAUUUCUCAAUCUCAUAUCACAUUUCAAUUCACAAUUCAACUUUUUCAUUUCAUUUGAAUAGCUUGUUUGAUCAACUCAUUCAGUUUAUCAUUUCAUUUUUUACCCUAUUAACAAAACUCGGACUUUGGCGGAUACACAGAUCCAACCAAACACACCAAUAUGGCACCCAGUGCCUCAUCGGAUAGUUCGAAGCAAUAGUUGACACCCAGUGUCUCAUCAGCCAAGCUGAAGUAAGUUGGUACCCAGUACCUCAUCGAAUCUAUCCGAAGAAAUAUAGUGACACCCAGUGUCUCAUCGACUCGAGGUCGAAGUAUCCCUGAACUCUUCCAAUCCUAUGGCAUGCCAACUAUAUCCGACUCAGCCCGACUAGUUAAUAGGGUAUUUAAGUCACAUAUAAUCCCAAUUCAAUCACAAUUUCUCAUAUUUUUAAUUCAAUCAUUUUUCCACCUUUCAAUCAAUAAUUAAUCCACAAAUUCACAUAUUUUCACAACUCAAUACAUUUCCAUUCAAUUUAAUAUCAGUCACAAUUCGAUUCAAGUUCACUUCCCGCUUUCAAUCAACAAACAAUUCAAAUAUUAAUUCAUAUCAACUAUUCAAUUUAAUUCCCACUCAUUUUAAUAAUAAUGAUAAUAAUAAUAAUAAUAAUAAUAAUAAUAAUAAUAAUAAUAAUACUUACCUUACAUUUCAUUUACCAACACAUAAAUUAAAAUUAACAUUUAAUAAUAAAUAACUUGAAUUAUAGUAAUACAAACCGUAAAUCUCCCGUUUUAGUCCUCGAUAGCUUUCUCCUUUCCCUUUGAUGCUGAUGCCUCGGGUUCUUUGUUAGCUACGAAAAUAAUAAUAAUUUAUACUAUUAAUUACAACACUAAUUAUAAUAAAUAAUUGAAUUUUCUAUUCAAUUUCUUCCUUAUUCUCAAUUUAAUCCUAACUAAAUUUACUUACUUUCCUAAUUCAAUUCACACUCUAUUUCUAUUCAAAUUUCAUCCAAACUCAAAUUUAACUAUCAAAAUUUCAGCAUAUUUUCCUAAUUUCGAAUUUCUCUAAAUUUAGUCCCUAAAACAUAAAAUUUAUAGUUUCUUUUACAAUUUAAUCCCUUUAUCAAUUCUAACUUAGAAUUCAUUCAAUUUAAUCCCUAAUUCAACAAUUUAUUCAACAUAAACUAUACUUGAAAACCUAUGAACUUACAAAACAUCAACUUAAUCCCAUCAAAACUUUGUUUUAAAGCUUUUAAAACAUUAGAAUUAAGAGAAAAGGGCUAAUUUGACUUACCAAUCAAAGCUUUAAACCUUAAACCUUUAGUUUUUCCUUUUUCUUUUCUUUCUUUCUUUCUUUCUCCCUUGUUUCUUCUCUGUUUCAUCACUUCUAUUCUGUUUCUUUCUUUUCUUUUGCUUUGUUUUUAUUUCCUUUUAUUUCAUUUACAUUAUAUUAUAUUAAUAUAAUUUAUUAAUAACCAUUUAAUUAAUGAAUAUCUCUUAAUUAUAAUACACGUGUAUAUACAUAUUUUAUUACAUUUGUACAACUUUAUUACCAUACAUUUGGCACCAUUUGAUUUAUUUCUUUUAUAUUUAAUUAAUUAAUAUUUAUAAAAUAUCUAUUUUAAUAACAAAUAUAAUUAAUACAUUUGUACCAUAUCAUGACCUUACAUUUGUCUUAAUCUAACUACUUCAUAAAAAAUAUAUUUUAAUAUAAUAAUUUAAUUAAUAAAUAUCUUUUACUUCAAUUAUAAGAAAAUAUACAGCUAUAUUACAAAUGUAUAAAUACUUAUAUUACACAUGUAUUUUAUCAUAUCCAUACAAUUGGUAUAUUUUGGUUUAUUUAAUAAUAAUAAUAAUAGUAAUAAUAUAAAACCAUAAUAAUGUUUAAUAAUUAUACUAAUUAUAUAUAUAAUAUUUAUAUAUAACUUAAAUUUUUAUGCUUAUGCCGCCUCAAAUUUGGCAAUUAGCAUAAUUGUCUAUUUAGUCCCUAUUAUUUUCUUUUAAUCUAUAAUUAAACUUUUAAUUCUAUUGCAAUUUAAUCCUUUUUGCUAAUUACUCAUAAUUAAGCUAAAUUCACCUAUCUAAAACCUAAUUAAACAUACAACUAGUCUAGUAAAUAUUUCUAAUAAUUAUUUUCAAACUCAAUUUACUAAGACGGAGGCCCGAUAUUAUACUUUUUCGAUACCUGUAAAUUUUGGGUCAUUACACGAACUGUGCACGCCCCACGUCGUAGCAACUCCCACGCCAGUGUAUAUAUGCAACGAAACACAAAACCGCAAAAGGAGGCACUACUAGAGGCAAUAACAGAAAAGGGGCGAGCGGGGAAUGGGGGAUGGUUUUUGUAUUUUAUUUUGGGCGGUAGAUCCAUAGUAUUGGGGGCUAUAAAAAGCAGAUUCAUGUCUGUAAACAGGGGAAAAUUGAUUUUAAAACAGAAAAUGAUUUUUUUUUUGUUUUUUAGGGAAAAUUGUUGGUUUUAUAAUUGAAAUGAAACGGCGCCGUUUGGUGGGUGAGAGGAUCCGCGCGUCGACCCGACCCAGUUCCAAGAUCUGCGCAUUUUCCUAAAUGGGAAAUUUUCGUGAUUAGUCCUCUUGUUUUUGUAGCAUGUCUAAAUUAAAUUUUUAUUUCUUUUAAACUUGGCCACAUAUUUUAAUACUGUUUCAAAUUGGUCCAAUGCUGCGCAGCGUUUUGGGAGGUUUGGUUAAAUUGCUCUUUCGGUCCUCCUCCUGUUGUGCGUGUUUUAAUUUGCUCCCUUUCUCGUUUUCUAUUUUUAAAUUUAGCUUUUAAAUUCCGUUUAUUUUCAACUUAAUCUUUAAUUUGUUAUUCUAGGUUUUUUUUAUUAACACUGUUAUAUUGUAUUAUUAUUACCGUAUUAUUAUUAGUAUUUUUUAUUAUUGCUAUUAAUAUUAUUUCAAUAUAUAUAUGUAUAAAUAUCAUAUAAUAUAUAUAUGUAAAUAUUCUUAAAUGUUUUUGUUAAAUUCAUAUACAUAUCUUAUAUAUUUUAUUAUUAUUUUAUUUUUCUUAGUUUUAUAUACAUAUGUAUGCGUAUAUAUUUAUAUUUUAUAAUAUUUAUAUAUUUUCCAUAUUUUAUAAUCCAAAUAUAUAUUUUUAUAAUGUAUAUGUAUAUACACUAUUCACAGCUUUUAUAAAUAUAUUUUUCACAUCUUUUUAUACAUACAUAUAUAUCCAUAUUUUCAUAAUUACUACUAUAUUAUGCUUACAUUUUUUUAUGUAAACUUUAUAUGUUAUUUUUAUAAUUUUUGUAUACAUGUGUAUAUAUAUGCAUUAACAUCUUAUCAUACUUCUAAAGAAAGAUAUAUUUUGGUUUCGUCAAAACAUUAAAAUCAUCACAUUUUAUAAGUUUUCAAAAUAUUUGGCAUUCAUGAUUCUCGAGAAAAAUUGUGUCAUAACUUACUGGAUUGCGAUUAUUUUUCGAUGAAUUUAAAAAGCCAAGUAUUUAUUUUGUAAUAAAUUCACAAAAUUUUCGAAUAAAACUUAUUCUCAGGAAUCCAAAAAUGUCGGGUCCUAACUUACUGGUCAUGACAUUUUGUUAUUUCGAAAUAAGAAUUUCUCAAUAUUUGGUAUUUGGAAUUUUGAGAAAUUGUACCCUAACUUACUGGGUUUCGAGUUUCUUCAUUUGACCUAAAUAACCGAAUAUCCUUCUUAGAUUUAAUUGUGUGAGUUUUAAAAUCAAAAGACAAACUUAAUUUUGAAGAUUUAAAAAUAUUGUGCCCUAACUCAAUGAGUGUGAUGUUUUAUUUCUUUGAAAUAAGAAUGUUUUAUCAUUUUAAUUCAUUCACGAGUUAUAUUUUUUAUUUAAACUCUUUUCAAAAUUUUGACAUCAAGACAUUAAAUAAUCAAAUUCGGUACCGAUUUUUGGGCGUUACGAGGGUGCUAACCCUUCCUCGUGCGUAACUAACUCCCGAACCUAUUUUCUCAAAAUUUUGUAGACCAAAAUUAUUUUUAAGGUGAGCCGGUCACACCUCAAUCAAAUAUCGGUGGCAACUCCAUUUUUUGUUUUUAAAGUCGAUAACUAAUUUUUGUUUAUCAAAAAAUGGUUUCGACAGUUAAAAUUAUCUUUUUAUAAUUAAUAAAAAUUAAAUGUGAGAGAUUAGCAUUAUAUAUAAAAAGAUACUACCAAUAUAAUGUAUAAAUUUAUUUAUUUAUUCUUAAUUUUUAUGUCAAAACUCAAAAAAAAUUAAAUAUUAAUUUUUAUUUUUACUCAUUUCAUUUAAUCGAAUCGAUAUGAUUCAAGACAAAUCAAUCAAUUAAGAAUUAAUAUUUUGUAUAAUCUAUGUUCCUCAUAUUUUUUAAAUCUAUAAAAUUAAUGAUAUAAUAUAAUAUAAUUAUUUCAUUAAAUUCAAUAUUGAAUAUAAAAUUACGUUCAUAAAAAAUUAUUAAUAUAAAUUAUUUUAUUAAUAAUGUUUUAGUUAUUAUCACUUAAUUAAACUUUCUAUUCAUAUUAAAUUAUAUUUAUUAUUUUAGAUUAAUUAUCACUUAAUGUUACAGUUCUAUAUUAAUUAAAACUAAUAUUUAGCAUUAUAAAUAGGGUAAACUACACCCAUGGUCACUUUUGUUUACUUUAAAUUACGUUUUAGUCACUUAUGUUUGAAAUGUUACAUUUUAGUCAUUUAUGUUAUCAUGUUGUAACAUUUUAGUCAUUGAGCCAUUAAUAGUCGUUAAUGGUGUAACGGUAAGCUGACGUGGCACGUUAAAUCAUCAUUUCAAACAAAAUUUUAGGUUAAAUUAUACAAUUGAUCCCCAUCUUUUUUCCUUUUAAGUAAUUUAAUUUUUUUUCUUUUAUGUUCUUUAAACUUUCCUUUUUUUUCCAUUCUCUUUUGUUUCUCUCUCUGUUUUCAUACCUUUCCCAUUUCUUUUAACAUAUUAGGAAGUCGAAUUGGCAGUGAAAAAAGAAGUAGGAAGUCGACUGUCAUCAUUUGCCUAUAACCAAAACCUAUAAACCCAUACCAUGCUUCUUUCUUCACUACCAAUUCAACUUCCUGGUAUGUUAAAAGAAAUAAAGAAUGUAGGAAAACAGAGGGAGAAGCAGAAGAGAAUGAAAAAUAAAGAAAAAAAGAGGAAAGUUAAAAGAACAUAAAAGAAUUAAAUUGCUCAAAACGAAAAAUUAUGGGGACCAAUUGUAUAAUUUAACCUAAAGUUUUUGUUUGAAAUGAUAAUUUAACAUGCCACGUCAGCUUACCAUUACACCAUUAACGAUAAUUAACAGUUUAGUGACUAAAAUGUUACAACAUGAUAACGUAAGUGACUAAAACGUAACAUUUCAAACAUAAGUGACUGAAAUGUAACCUAAGGUAAACAAAAGUGACCAUAGGUGUAGUUUACCCUUAUAAAUAUACAUAUUUAUAAAGCAUUUUCAUUUAAAAUAAUAUCUAAAGAAUUACUAGAAAAAUCAUAAUUUAGCUGCAAUUGCUCUAAUUCACUGCGGACAAUUGCCUUAAGAUGCUCAUUCUUCACAUUAAAGUUGGUGCCUUAAAUUGUUAUUUCUCUAAUGGAGUUGAUGCUAUAGUUAGUCUUAUUUUCAAAGAUUAUUAAAUUUCAUUUGAUUAGAAUUAGGUGGAAUAUAUGGGGUUAACUUCUAAUUAAAAUUAUUUAGUUUAAGAUUCAUUGUUUUUUUUUACUGUGGUUUCUUUGAUUUAUUGCUGUAAUUUUUUUUAUUUGUUGCCAAAGGGUAAAUAUUAGAGUUGCUAUUUGAUACUUUUAUAAUGAACUUGAUUGAAAUUUCAUUGUGAAUUGUAUGUAUUUGUUAUAAAAUUUUUAUUUGUAUGUACAUAUUUGGAAGAAUAGGAACUUCCUCAUUUUUUAAUGAAAUCAGUGGAGCAUUGAUGAGAUGAUUAAAAAUUCCUACAGUUAGACUUUACAAUGUAAGUCUACCCAAAAACACCGUGGCUUGUGACAUCGUUUACAGGGAUUUCUACAACCAAGGAUGGUAAUUGGGUGAGCUUGAAUAUCGACGGCACUAUGAAGUUAGAGUUUGGGUUAACUUCUGUUGGAGGGAUUUUGAGAGAUCGGCACGGGGGUUGGAUAUUUGGGUACCACAAGAACUUAGGUUGGUGUUCUGUAUAAAUGUAAAAUCAUGAGGUAUCCUUGAUGGCUUGAAGCUAUUAAAAAAUAGAAAGUAUGAUGGGAUGUCAAUCAAACCUGAAGGUUAGGAAGCUAUUCGGGCUAUUCGGGCUAUUCAGGAAUCUUUCUCAAAGAUAUCUUCCUUAGCACUUGUUCGAUGUAUUCAACAAAAUUCGAUGGACAUUAGACAUUGAAAGCUUGAAUAUAUUUCUCGUGAAAGGAAUCUAGAAGUUGACUAUAUUGCUAAGCCGGCUUUGGACAGCAAUGAAGGUCUUCAUUUAAUUGAUGUAAUUCCUUUAGACUUGAUUAGACUUUUGUUAUAUAAAAAAAAUAGUUAAGAUUGAUAUAAUUUAAAUUCAUGUAGGAUUAAUAUGGUUGAAUCGCAUUAUGAAUUUGUGACUUAGGAUCGAUUACAUGUUAUUUUAAUUAUAUUUUUAUUGUAUGCUUUAAAUAGUUAAAUGGUGUAUUAAUUUUAAUUGGGAAAAGGUUAGUUUAUUAAUUAACAUUCUUCAAUGGAGUUGAUAUUGUCAUCAGAUUCAAUUAUGUGUGAUUUAUGUUUAUACAAGAUAAAUUUUCUAGAUUAACUUAUUAGAUUGACUAUCAUUGCAUCUUGGGAUUAUUAAAUCGACUUAAAAUAUAAUUAAAAUCCAAUGAUAUGGAGCUGAUAACUUAGAAUUAUUUUUGAUGAAUUCAUACGUUUUUCUAUUGAAACGAAAGAGUAGACAAUUCAUCGAGAGUGGAGCUCGUUGUGAAUUAAUUGUUUCUAAGCUAUGAAGGCUUAGAAAUUCGGUUUGUGGCCUUUACGUUUUAAAGUAUAUUAUGUUGUAGUUAAAUUAUUAGCUUAGUGAUUGUGAUUUAUUGAUUCCUUACAUUUGAAAUUUUACUUCUUGUAGUUUAUUAAAUUGUUUGUAAUGAUGAUUACUAAAUUGAUAUUCUUUAUUAAUUGAUUAUUUUCUGAAAAUCAUCGAUAAAAGUAUGACUUUAAUAAUCGAUUAAAUGCUCAAUAAAGCUAGCUGAAAAUUCUUCAGAUACAGUUGGUAUGUUGUAGAGUGUGGGGUUCCCAUCAUUACUUAUUGUUCAUUGCGCGAACUGCCUUGAACUUCUGAGAGUAUUGUCAUUGUUGAGUAUUUGGUGUGAUGUUUGGUUAUUGGUUAAAUCACGUUUAUUAUGCAAGGGAGUAUUUUCAUUGUUGGCGUUUGUGCCAUUUUCAUUGAUCAUUUGAUUUUUGGUUGGACACUCGUGUUUCUAAAUGUCUUUCCUUCUUGUGUUACUUGAGCAAAAUGAUUGAAUGAACUUAAACAUUAAAUCAAAACACUAUCACUAUUUAUUGAAUGUAUUGAUAAUGCUUCAUUGUUAUUUUAAAUUGUUACUUGGUGACUAAUUUGCGAUUGUAUUCUAUCUUUGAAAACUACUUGGAUGUGACUUUCACUUUUGAAAAUAUUGGCUAGUUAUAUAUUUUUGUAUCUUAUUAGAAUGCUUUUAUUUUAAUUAUAUGCAUUGGUAGUUUAAAAUAUAUUGGGUGACCACUGAGUUGUAAAAAUCUUAGUGCUCGAGUUUUUAAUUUCAUGCGCAAGUAAUAUUUAGAUUGAAUAGUUCAUGACCGAACAACAUCACCAAAGAGUCUUCACAAUCAUUGUUUCGUAAAGAGCCUUCAAUUGGUAAAGUUUGGCAUGUACUUAGGUUUUGUUAAAUUGGUUGACUUGUUUACUUGGGUUUUAUUUUAGAGCUUAUUGAUUGAUUGAGCAUUGUUAAAUUAUUUGGCUUUACUAACAACAGGAGUUAGGUGAGAUGGAAAGGGUCUCUCCUACCUUAACCAAUGGUCGAGGGUUCGAUCAUCGUCUUGGGUAUGGAGUAGUUUUAAAACUUGUGGCUAACAUUUACCCUUACAGAUGAUUAGUUAUUGGGCUCGCUCCGAUAGAUACAUUGAGAAACCAAAAAAAACAUAUUUGGCUUUACUCAAAUGUUUAAAAUAUACUAUUUUAUGUGCAAUUGAUUGCAUUAUUAAUUGUUUGGGGUUGUUUACGUGACCAUUAUGGUGCUUUGGAUCCAAUUGAACUUUUGGACCAGGUUUGAGGUGUUAUAUACAUAAUUUAUAUAUUAAAAAAAACAUUAAUUACUAUAAAAAAUAUUAGUAUGAUAAAAAAUAAUUUCUAAACAUGUAACAAAAAUUAAAGUCAAAUAUUCAUAUAUAAUAUAUUGGUAUACAAAAAUAGUUGAUAAUAUAAUAACUAAUAAAAACUGAAAGAAAAAUAAACAUUGUAUGUAAUUUUAUUAAUUGUUCUGGUGCAUAUUUGUUGAGUUAUUCUCUCUUUAAUAUUUAACAUAUGCUCCUUAUUAUCAUUUGUUGGUGUUUGAUCAAGUUUAUUAUCAUCAAAAUUUGAAUUUGCAUAAUUAAGAUUAUCAAGAUCUUCUUCUUUCAUGUACUUUUUAAAAUAUGGAUCAUCUCAAUUCUACUUAUAAUUCAAGUUAUAAACUAUGCAAUAUACUAGCACAAUCCAAUCUUCCCAUGAUAUGUUUUACUUAAUCAUAUUCUUACAUAUACAUACCAAUACCUCAUUUAAUGUUCCAUCAGUAAUAAAUUUGCUAUCUAAUGGUGAGAAGCCACGUAAUUUGACCAAUUUAAAAAAGUUUAAUUUAGAUUUCAACUCCUUCAAAAAUAACUUAUUGACACAAUUUAGUGGGUUUUCCAAUCUAAAGUUAUUAAAUAUAUAUAUAUAAACUAGCUCAGGGGAUCAAUUAAAAAAUAAAUGUAUAUGUAUCAUAAAAGUCUUACCAUUAGAUAUCUAGUGGACUGAUGCCAACCACACUAAUUUGACUCUCACAAAGUGAAAGUUUGACAAAGCUAAAGGUUGUUAAAUUAGACGAAAAUGAACAAAAAGCACAGUCAAUAAUUCCAUUAAAAAAUUUAAUAGAGCGAUGAAAAUGGAACUCAACGAUAAUAUUAGUGAUGAAAUUAAAUUUUUUAGUAGUUUCAAUGAUCAAAAUAAAAAUACGUUAAUAAUUGGGUCAUUAAUUGUGCAGUUUAGCCUUAAUUUAUUUUUAAAAGUAAUUGUAUUUAUAAGAUAAUAAAAAAAAUCUAUUUAUUUUUUCAAAAAGUUAUAAUUAUAAUCAUUUAAAUAUAUAAAAAAGAGCAUCCAACAAAUAUAUCAAAUUAUUGCAAUAAAAAGGUUGAAGAAGUCAUACACGAAUUAGAAAAAAAAUUUAUUUCAAAUAUAAAUGAAAUUUAAUUCUAUUAAAGGCAAGGACUAAAAUUAAACAAAUUAAAACCAAUUAUAGAUUAAGAUAUGAAUAUAUAUAUGAAGUGAAAAAUGGAAUCAUAAACUUUGAAAAUAAAUAAUAUUCUAGAAAGCAAUUAAUUCUAAAAAUAAAAAUCAUCCACCCUCUUUUAUUUAUUAUAUUUUUUACUCUUACUUUCAACUUGUUGAAAAGGUUAUACAAAGUUAUCAUAUAAUUUCUACUCUUACUUUCUACUUGUUGAAAAGGUUACAAAGUCAUCAUACAUUUCCUAAAAUCAUAUGCCACUUUUUCAAAGAUCCAAUGCAGCCUAACCCAAGAGUUGAUGAUUUUUUAUUAACAUUUAAUUUUAACCGAUAGAUAUCCUUUAAACGAAAUAAACUAUUAUUAUAUUUAUUUUGUGUGAUUUAAUUUUAAAUUUUAUUUGUUGAUCUUUACAGAACCAUUAGAUGUUUCGAGCAAUUUAAAAGAAUUAGGCAUGAGUCGGAAUGAAGUGAAGCAAUUUGUGCCCAUAAAGAAUAAAGAUAUAUGUGUCAACUAAAUAAUAUAAAAUUAUUUUAAAAUAAAAAAUUCCUACUACCUUUAAUUAUUGAAAGAAUCUAUUGAUUAUCAACUGAUAAUAUUUUAAAAACUUCCCUUAAAAAGUUUGACCCGUAAAAAUUUGAAGCAGUCAAGAAACUUCUAAGAAGGGUAUAGUCAGAGGGUUGGAGGCUUAAGUUGACGCCAAUAGUCAAGAAAUAUCUCCAUAAUGGUCACUUGUGUUGGGUGGUCUGAAUUUCCACAUUGAGACAUUAUUGCUAUGAAUGCCAUUGAGUUCUCCACAAAUAUAUAUUAAAUAAAUUUUAUAUAUAUCCCAUAUAUGUUAUAUUAUAAAAAUAUAUAAAUUAUUUUCCAAUUCAAUUAUUAUUAUUUAUUUGUGCAGUGUUUAUUUUAUGUUGCCAAUUUACUAUAUAAAUUUUAAUACGUCAGUAAUUUAUUUUAUGUAAAUAUUAAUACGUUUCUACAUUCAUGUCAUGUUAAUUUUUUUUAUAUUUAUGUCGUGUAAUUAUAUUUAAUUAAUCAUAACUUUUGAUAUUGCCUCACCCGUCAUCAUGUCUAUGUUAUUUCUGUGUUAUCCUUGUUUUCAAGGUAAUAUAUAUUUAUAUAAAAUUUUUAAAAUUUUGUUUUAGGUAGAUUUUAACAUGUUUGUUUAUUCAUGUCAUAUUUAUUCUAUUUUUUAAAAAGAAAAAUCAUAUUUUUUCAGUAGAAAUUGAUCAAUGUAGACUUAAUAUUAUCAUCGAAUAACACACAUUGUACAAAGUCCGGAGGUGCAUCAAACAACUGUAAAUUCGCAGGUCUUGUGUGACUUACAUAGCUGAGACACACGUCCAUGUCUCGGGCCAUGAAAAUUUUAAAAUAAGGACACACGGUCAUGUCCCAACUCAUGUCCGUGCCCGUGUAAUUCUCUAGGUUGGGUCAUAUGGCCAAGCUACAUGCCCGUGUACUAGGCCAUGUGCUAGGCCAUGUAACAACCUGACUUGCAUGCCUUAAAACCUACAGGGGGCACACGACCGUGUCACAUGGCCGUGUGUCACAUACGGCUGAGUCACACGCUCGUGUCUUAGGCUAUAUGGACAUGAAUUGGCCAAAAUCAAGCCAUUUCCAUCAUCAAAUCAAGCAUGUACCUAAAAGCAUUUUUUGUACACAUGAUCAAGGCCUCAUAACAUGACCAAAAUCAACAUGAAAUGACCAAUUCAUUAGUCUAAAACCAUUCAACCAAUAUGCCAUAUAAGGCACCUCAAAAAAAAAACAUACAAACUUACCUAAACAUAUGCAUUACUACAUUUAAAACAUGCACAUCUAGUUCAAUAUCAUCUUAAAGCAUACCAUAAUUGAGACCAUAAGUAACUCAACAUAAACAUACCAUUUUAAUUUCCUAAAAUCAACCAACCAAUGUGCCCUUUAUAAAUACUGCAAUUAUAUCCAAACAUCAACAACUGAAACAUGUCAACAUUGAUCCAUUCCUAGCAUAGCAACUUAAUUCAAUCAUAAACUAAAAGAAACCACAAGUGUUCACUUUCAUACCAUUCUAAUUUAUACAAAAAAUAUACCUAUUUACAAUCUUGAUAAAAUAGCUAAUAACUUAAUUUAGUAUUUUUUUCAUAUUGUACCAAAACAACCUAUAUAGCUACAUAUACAUGCCGCUACCCUAAGAGAUAUAAGAAUUACUGACAUCGAUGGAUAGUGUGAGCCAAAAGUUCGAUUCGUCCAAAGUUAACAACAACAAUCUACAAAACAAUCCAUAAGAAUGAAUAAGCUUAUAGAGCUUAGUAAGAACAUAACAUAUCAUUUAACCUAACAAAAAUUUAAUAAAACUCAUACAUUACUCGAUUCAAAGUUAUCAGAGUGUAAAUAGAGGCACGUAUGUGCAAUUUAGGGGUACCGAAGCACAAACAGGGGCACAUAUGUGCAAUUCAGGGAAUAAUCAACUAUAAGCAUUUAAUUACAUAGCUAUAAUGUGAAAAUACAUGUAGAAAAUUCAAUUAAAUAUUGAAGUACUAUGAACUUACCUUGACGACUAGAGCGUAGAAAUAUGAUCGAGCUAAUCUGUAAUUUUCGCCUUUCCUUGAUUUAGAUUUGGUUGAGAUUUAUCUUGAUCUAAAUAAAUAAUUACAUUCAAUUAAGUGUUUCAAUCAAUCACAAACAUUCAAUUCAAUCCAUAAUUCACAUUUAUAAAUAUUUACCCUUUGACCCUAAAUAUUUUAACUUUUUACAAUUUAGUCCUUACGCUCAUACAUUGAUAUUUAAGCAUUUUAAUCGUCAUCUCAUGCUAGCCGAAUCAUCUAAAGACCUAUAUCAAUUCAUACAAACCAUCAUUUCGCAAUUUCACCAUGAACUUUUAUCAUUUUCACAAAUAAGUCCAUAUAAAUGUUAUUUUUCAAUAAAACUUGUUUAUUUAUUAACAAGGACUCAUAAUUUACCAUCAAACAUCAAGAAUCAUGCAAGAAAAUUCAUGGAAAAACCCUAAAAAUUUAACAAUUUUACAAAUUGAUCCCUGGGCUAGUAGGUUAAGCUAAAUUUAUCCCAAAAACAUGAAAAUCAUCAUAAACGAAGCUGAAUUUCAUACCAUGCAAAUAAAAUAACCUAGUCAAAUGCCUAGCAAGAUUCCAUGGUGUUUUUAUUUUUAAUUUCAGUGAUGGUUGAUCAAAUGAGAAAGAUGAUGUAAUUUGUCAUUUAGUUUAAUUCUUAUUUAUCAAAAUACCAUUAUAACCUUUAAAAUCUUUACUAAUUUCAUCAAAAUCAUGCCAUGCACAUCCACUAACUUCAUGAAUGGUUUAAUUACCACCUAAGUCCUUUCACUUUAAAAUUUCAUAACUAUUUGACACUUUUAACUAAUAGAACUCUACUUUUGCACCUUUUAUGAUUUAAUCAUUUUUACGUAAUUAAUUAUGCAAACGUCAAAAUUUCUUAACGAAAUUUUUAUACAACCUUAAUAACAUUUCAUAGAAAUUAAAAUAACAAUAAAAUAUUAAUUUACUUAUUAGAUUUGUGGUCCCAAAACCACUAUUCUGAUUUCACUGAAAACGGACUGUUACAACUCUUUUAUGUAAUAGCGACAUAAGGAGAAGAGAGCAAGAAUUCCAAGAUUGCGUUUAGUGUCGCGACACCACCAAGGGAUGUUGUGACACACCCCUGAAGGUACCCUAAGUAUGAGCAUACUGCCUUUGAUGUCGCGAUACAGACACUUAAGUGUCGUGACACCGAUCCUGUAUGAGAAAUAUUUAUGAGCUAGGGACGUUUUAAUAUGCAGAAUCAAAUAUUAAACACAAGAGCAUCAACUGACCUAGGAUUGAGGAUGACGAUAACCCUAACUCUAUAAAUAAACUCAUUUAACACUUGUUAUGGAGAACUUUUCAUACAAUAUAAUUUUCUUUAUAGUUUCAGUUUUUAGUUUUUCUUUUUUCUUAGGCUUUAGGUUAUUUUUAGUUGUGCAUUUGUCGGGAGAUCUUAAUUUUAGAACUCAAUCAACUUUUGGUGGAUUUCGUGCUUCAAUUAAAUACAAUUAAAGCUUUUCUUAAACCUUCGUAUCUUGAUUUACUAUUCAUGUUCAUCUAUUGUCAAGUUUAUUAUGUUUUUUUAGAUCCAUGAUGAACUAAUCCUCUUGUGGAGGAUUAGUGAAUUGAGGUCUGAUUAAUUGAUUGUUGUGCAAGGUUUUCUUAAUGGACCAAUUGUUUGGGAAAAUAAGAAUUUAAACCCUAGGCUUGACGACCUUAGGAAGUCAUUUAGGUGGGAAUUAACCCAAAAUUGAUAUAACUUAUCUGUAGACAUCUUUACCCCAAAGCAAUCUGGACUGUGAGGUUGAGAGAUAAGCAGUUCUUGCUGACUUAUUAUUCUAGUGGAAGAUUGAGAGAUCCUAAUAGGGUAAUGACUAGUUGAUUGAAUAGACAACCUGAAGAAAUAAUUAGUUAUGAUUAUCGAAGCGAGCUAGUCACCCAUGUUUAGAUCUGAUUGAGCUUCUAUAGCAAAUUUCCCAAAGUUUUUUUCUAUUUAUAUUAUUUUAUUUCUUUAGUUAUUAAAAACUCUCUCUUUAUAUUUAGUCGUAAUAUAAUUUUUUAAAGUACUAAUUAGCUCUAUUUGUGCUUAGGUUAGGAUUAAUUUAGUGCUCGUCUCCCUUAGAUACGAUCCUCAGAGUACUCACCUACUUCAUUGUAACUAUAUUACAACUUGACCCAUAUACUUACAGAUAGUGCUUAUUUAACAUAUUUUGUGCAGGAUUUCUACUCUAAGCAUUAGUACGUUUGGAGGUGGUCACCUGGCAGAACCUUAAAUUCCAGAGGUCGAAACCUUAGUGACAAUCUUAGCUCUAAAAUCCUUUGAAUCCACUUCAACUCUGAAAUUAAAUCAUGUUUACACAGAAAAAUGUUACCAUAGAUGUGUUUGUUCCAAUCUUGGACAACUUUCUAAAAAUUAUCCAAAUUCUAAAUCACCUCUGUAUUAUUCUUCCAACACCCCUUAACAAGAUCAUUAAACUCUGCAUGCAUCAUCUAAUUGGCUAAACAGCGAAAAGGCCGGUGGCUUCUCUCAUGUAACAUACAAAGUGAGACUAAAAUCGACCUGUGAUCAAAUUUUAGGCGAUGUAAGUGAUAGACUACACAAUUAGGUGCAAACAACUCCCACUCUGAAUUACACACAGCCCUGUCUAAACAUUGUAAUAAGUGACGCCCUGUCUAAACAUUGUGAUAAGUGACUUCUACUCCACAUAAAUUGAGGUAAAAAAACCUAAAUCUCGAAGUCUAUUGUCAAAAAUGAAAUAUUGGAAUCACUAACAUCCAAUUCAUAUGACAUUUGCGCCACCCAUUUUGUUUGAACCCUUUAAGAUAGAGUUGAAAUCCUUGGCAAUAACUCAUGAUCCAACAACUGAUUUUGCUAUCAAGUCCAAAAUACUCCAAAGAUGUUGUCUUUUUGCCGGCUGUGGGCUAGCAUGCACAACCAUACAUAAAAAACUAGUUGAAUCUUGCCUAUUGCAAAUUUUCAUGUGGAUCAAUUGAGGAUGCAACUCUAAAACAUCAAUGAAGACAUUAUCAUUCCAAAAACCCAAAUUCCACUAACAUAACCUUCAGCCUCAACUGGAAAGGAGUUAGGAAACCCAAUUCUUGCAAUAACUCCAUCAGCCUUAUCUUUGCUAAUUCUCAUCUUAAAAAGACAUAUCACAUCUGUGCAAAACUCCCUUCUAUAUUUGUUCACAAAAUUUGUGGAACCGGAGGUGUCCGACUCCCUGACAGUUCCAAAAAAAUAAUUUCAUAUCCAUAAUAUAAUAGCAAUAAACAAAAAAAAAAAUCCCAAAAUCAACAACGUGCCUCAUCUUCAACAUUAACUUCAUCAUCUAUUGCAUCCACAAUGGACGAAACCAUAUUCUCAUCACAUAAAGCUCUAGGUCUUGCUCAAUGACCCUAACAAUUCCUUCCAUUUCCAUUGUUAGAUCAACUGUGGGUGUUAUUUGCUUCUUCAAUGCUUUAUCCAGUGGCUUCUUUCAUUAGAAAUCGUUUUUGGUGGUAAACACACACCAAAAUUUGACCUAUCUACACCAUUUUCACCAAAGAAAAAGAAACCCUUUUCUCAUUGUCCAUUUUCGCACCCAAUUUUUCCUUCUUCAGUACCAUAAAAAUUUUGUUCAUACUCGUUUAUUUAACUUAGUAAACGAAUAUAAACGAACGCUAUACGAACGGUUCAUGAACAGUUCAUCAAAUGAUUUGUUCAUUUAGACUCCUAAAUAUUUCACGACCACUAUAAUUAAAUUAGAAUAUUUCUUCGCAUAUGCUAUGGUUUAAAAUAAUUAAAUAAAAUUAUUAUGAUAUUAACAUAGAAAUUAAAUUUGUGAUUAUUUUUUAUAAUAGAAUAUAAAGUCAUAACUUAUAAUGAUAACAUCAUGGAGAAAUAUAUUUUAAUUUAAAAAAAAGUAUAAAAUUUAUAUAUUAUCUCUUGAAUGAUUUAAAUGAUGAUGGCAAUGUUUAUAUAUUAAAAUUAAUAUAUUUAAGGAAAAAAAUUACUUAUUGAGUUAUUGCAUUUAUUCUAUGUGAUUUAAUUUUAAAUUUAAUUUAUCUAUUGUAUAAAAUUAUUAAAUAAUUUGAGCAACUUAGAGUAACUUGACUUGAGCGGGAAUAAGGUGGAGAAGUUCGUGCGCAUAAAGAUUAAAGGUAUAUGUUUUAAUUAAAUAAUAAAAAAUAUAUAAAAAUGUUUUAAUUAAAUAAUAAAAAAUAUAUAAAAAUAAAAAAUACUAUUGAGGGUCAAUAUUUUAUUAUUAAAGAAACCCAUUGAUUAUCGGACAGAAAACCUUUUAAAGAUUUAAAGAGUCGACCCCCCGACAAUAGUGAUAUAGCAAUAAUUUGAAGCAGUCAAGAAACCUGUAGUAAGGGCAUAGCAAGAGGGCUGGAGGCUUGACCCCAAAAGUCAAGAGACAUCCCCAUAAUGGCCACUUGUGUUGAGUGGUCUGCUUUUCUCCUUUGGGAUGCUUGAAUUUUCCACAUUCAAAGCCCACUUGGCAAAUUAUUGCUACGAAUGUCAUUGAAUUUUCCACAUGGAAUUUGUCCCAUAUGUAUUAAUUUUUUUUAUAUAUACCCCAUACGUCGUUUUACAAUACAAUAUACUUUUUAGUAAAUCAGUUCUUUAUAGCAAUUUGUUUCAAAUUUUAGCACAAUUAAUUCUAUUUCUAAAUGAAUAAAAAUAAUAAAUUUAGUUAAGAUAUUAUUUUAAUAAAAUAUUUAAAUUUUAUAUAAAAUAUAUUAAUCAUAUUAUAUAAGUUUAAAGGUGUAAAAAGUCUUUAAACUUAAAAAGAAAAAAGAGCAAUUAAACUUUAUUUUUUUACACCCAAUUAAUUACUUAAACUAUUAAAACUCAAUAAAAUAAUCCAUUGGCUGAUGUUGACUGUUAAUUUUUAACGGUCAAGAUGAUGUGACAGUUAAAUUUAACAUUUUUAUUUUAUUUUUGUCAACUAAAAUGUCACUUCAGAUGUCACGUGUAAUGUUGAUGACAUCAACAUUUUUUCUUGAUGCAAUGAUAUCUUUAUAAGUGAGAGAGAAAUCUUCUAUUUAUAGUUUUAUUCUCUUAAAUUUAACGAUACAUUUUAAUUUUCAUUGAGGAUCGAAAUCGAAAUCAAUCCACAAUUGAGAUUUUUAAAAAUUUACACAGUUUCCUAAUAUUACAAAAUCAAAUCUUCUCAAAUUUUUUUUUUUAUAUUUAUCAUGAUACCCAUCAAUUUUUUAAUUGUUUUUCUGAACCACCAGAAUUUUAUGUGGAUGAGAUUUUUUUAAUUGAGUGGUCUGCUUUUCUCCUUUUGGGUGACUGAAUUUUCUUGUCACCAUUGUUACGAAUGCCAUUGAAUUUUCUACAAGGAAUUUAUCCCAUAUAUAUUAAAAAUAUAUGUGUUUUAUUUUUCAAUUCAAUUAUUAUUGUUUAUUUUAUGCUUCAAUUCAGUUUAUUAUAUAUAAAUUUUAAUGUCAUUAAUUUAUUUUAUGAAAAUAUUAACAUGUUUGUUUAUUCAUGUCAUGUUGAUUCUAUUUUUUAAUUCUUUUUCAUAUUUUGGUUACUAAAUGAUGGGUAUAAAAUAUUAUAAAUAAAAUUAAAUUCUUUUCUAUUUAACUCCAAAGCCAAAUCUAAAGUUUUUUUUUUCUACAAUGAAAGUAUUAUAAAUCUCUAAACUUAAAAAUAUUUAUAAAAAACUUUGGUUGAAAGAAAAUCUUUAUAAAUUUUAAAACCAAAACACGAAACUUUAGAUUUCCUAACGUUUCACAAAAAACAUUAUAGUUGUUGAGUAAUAUUUUUCUUGUGUUUUAUUGGUGGGAGCCUUCGGGUAUUUAUACAUGUUAUUACAGCUCAUGAUAUGACCUCCACUACUUUAUCUUGACUCCAUUGUUCCUAGUUUGACAUUCUUUACGAACUCCAGCAUGCUGGACACGUGUCUGGGUUGCCUGUGGGGAGUGUGGUCCUUUUUACGAACCCGUAGGGCAUAUGCGAACUGAGAUCGUGGCAUUUCCUUGGUUCGUGCAAGUUGGAUUCUCGAGCUGGGUCCGCGACCUCGCCUUGCUAUCCUCUUGUGGUUCCCUUCACGCUAAAUCAUUUGGUGGAGCCUAUCUGGGUUACGGGUAAGUGACCCGGAUCCUAUCGAGGGCUCAAGUUAGUGAUCUUUAGUAUAUAACAAUAGUCCCCCUAGUGGGUUUAAGGAGGGUUAUAAAGUGGUGCUUCUUAGAUCCAUCACAGUAAGUUCAAAUGAAGUUUCUUAUGUACGCUGCGAGCUGUGAUGCAUAGUGACCGUCUUGUCAAGUGCGUGAGUGAGUUUCAUGUGCAUGUAUAUGAUCGUUGAAAGUUGAACCGUUUCCAUCUACUCGUAUCUGGGUCGUUGAUCUGCCUUAGUCAUAUGAACCGUCAAAAGUGGGGGGAAAAGAAUUCUUUAAAAGGGGGUUUCCUAAAACCCUAGAACUCACGCUAUUAGUAUAUUCAUAAUUGGAAUCGAUUGAAGUUCUUCUUCAAGGUAAAUAUCAAGAAUCCCUCAUUUUAGGUUUUAAAUUUCUUCCAUCCUUCUCUUUUUCUUUAUGCCAAAAACAUGUUGAGGAUGAGAGGGGGCCCAUGGCCAAAUAGUUCCGCACUAUCCACCCGAAAACAUCCUUCUAAAGCUCUUGUUUAGGCCAAUUUUGUCCAUUUCACUACAAAGCACGAAGAAAUGCUUCGAGCUCUACAUGCACGGGGAAUCAAAAUUCUCAAUUUUGCCUACGAAUUCUCCAUCCCUAAAGGUUCGCAUCGAUUCAGCGAUACCAGCAAUGGUAGUUUUCUACUUCCUUUCCACGCCUUGGAGGCUAGGUUUCAUUUGCAUUUGAACCCCUUCUUUUGCUAUUUACUUGAUGAUUACCAAAUUGCCUUUGGUCAACUUUCUGAGAUUUCAUGAUGGAUUGCAAUGCCCUACUUUAUUGAUUAUUGUUAUUGCAACAAAGCACCACAACUUGCAAUAUUCCAAAACUGUACCUAUUAAAGGCUCAAAUUCGAGUGAAUUCAGUAGGUUUUUAUUAUUUCUCUCAAUUGUGGGAAAGGCCCAAGUAUAAUUACGAACUGAUGCCCAAACCUUCAGUUGAACUAGAGUAAGUACAUCAGGGUAAAUUACAAGUUUGUCGAUGGGUUUGGGUUUCCUACAGAGUGGUCUACCCUUAAUAGAGAUAUGUGUUCUUUCUAGUGAACUGUUAGGACGGUUGGAGGUGAGGCCUAGCUGAGAAGGCUUAACGUUGGUAAUUCCUUAAUUAUUGAGGACGCUAUAAUUGUAAGGAGCAUAUUCUUAUAUUUUUUGAAAAGUCGCAACCCUAAUGGGUAAAGACAGGGUGAUACAAAAGAAGUUAUUGAGGCAUUAGGUGUGGUUUCUGGGAGGCAAUCAUGUUACAUGUGCUCUACGGUGAUAACGAUCAUUUGGGCUAAAUUUUAAUAGGGUUGAGGGGAGAGCCUAGAAAUUUCUAUUACACUUAUUGUGGGAUAAACAUUCAUCAUUGGACAAUAUCGGGCUUGCCAUAGAUGAAAAGUAAUCCCUCCGUUAAUCUGCUACAUGCUCCUACUGAUGUUAGGGUUGUUGAUGAUGCAGGCAUAAUUUACAGUUUGGAGAGUGACUUUAAGGAAAUGAUUAGUAUCUCAUCAGAAAUUAACGAGGCUAUCGAAGCUACUUAGGUAAUGAAUCUACGAGCUACUUUGAGGGACUAACGCAAGAGGCGUAGAACUGGUGUGAGCGCCAUUAACGUGGUUAUUACCAGUGAAGAGGAUAUAGAUAGUGGUAGGUUAGAGCAUUGUCGCAAAAAGAGGGAAGAUCAUGCUAGGACUUUUGCUAUGAUGGUUACAGCCUCUACUUCGCCUUUCGCGUGCUCACAAAGCACAGCUCGCGAAAGUUCUUCUACUCUUGCCUACUGUAACUCUUCUCCUUUCUGUAUCUCUCUCCCUACCGUGCCAUUCUCUAGGGGUUUAACUAUUGGGAACAAUAGUGAACCAACUUCUAGCCAUCAGAAUUUGAAUAGUCAGAAGCUACAAGAUAUCGUAUGGAAGUCGAGAGCUUCCGUUUUAGAAAUAGUAAAGAGGAAGCUAUGUAUCGACGAGUCAUCUAAGAGCUCGCAUGAAUCUGAAUUGCUAACACUCAACUUUUCUCUACAAGCUUUCCUUGCUGAGGCCUCUAUGAUUAGCUUAGGCCUCGAGGAGAGAAUUGGCAAGACAGGGGCUACUCAAAGGGAGCUAGAAUUGAAUCUUAAGGUUUUUGAUGAGCGAUGGAAAAAAAUAAAGACUGAGAAUGAGGUUCUCUAUAAGCAAAAUGAAGAACUGGUUAGAAGGUUGGACUGUUCAGUGAGGUCGUAGCCUUAAGUGUUGAGUUGAGAAGGGUCAUUGAAGAGCACAAAGCAGUUGUCAGCCAAAUUAAUUAUGAUUACAAGGAUGCAAUAGCAACGUUGAAACGCAAAUAAGAAAAAGAUUUUGAAGGGUUUAAGAAGAAUACUUUAAAGAUCUUGACUGAUAUCACUGUUGAGCUUAAAUCUAACAUUCUUCUGCAUACCUAAGUUGUUGCUGGGUCCUUUAAUUUUGGCAAGGUUAACUUUGACCUGCUCUUUGAGGUAAAAAUAAACCAUUUUAGCUGUGAUGUCCACUGCCUUUGGGAGCCACUUGGAAGGAGUUCACAUCCAAAUGGAAAAAAUCGAAGGAUUUUUACCUCGAGGGGAGCCUUGAACCAACCACUGUACUUAUUGGUGAUGAUAUUAUAGGUAAUUUUGUUGCUAGGAAUGUUGAUGUUGCUCAAGGAAAAGAGAGGAAGAAUAAAAGGGCAGGAAGGGUGAAUGAGGUCAUUGGUAACCAAACUGUAUUUAGAUGCUUGUUGUUUUGUGGCUUUGUAUUGUGGUUUUUAAUGAAUGAAAGAAAUAAAACUUUUGAGUUUUAAUGUCAUGAGGAUUUUUCUCUCCAUAAACUUGAGCAAAGUGUAACUUAAGAGGAAUUUAAACAAGUUUCGUAGGCUUCUAUAUUUUAAUUUGUGAACCUUAAUGUGACAACUAGAAACUUUUAACUCUCACUAAUUGUUUGAAGGUUGCGGUGUUAAACCUACGAGUCUUUAUAUGACAGCUGGGAGCUUUUAACUUUCACUAACUGUUUGGGGGCUGCGAUGUUAAACUUGCGAGCCGGAAUAAUAUGAUAGUUGGGAGCUUUUAACUCUCGGUAAUUGUUUGAGAGUGUGGUGUCAAAUCUACGAGCUUUAAUAUGACAACUAGGAGCUUUUAACUCUCGCUAACUGUUUGCGGGUGUAGUGUUAAACCUAUGAACCUUAAUAUGACAAUUGGGAGUUUUUAACUCUCGCUAACUGCUUGGGAGCUUUGGUGUUAAACCUGCGAGCCUUAAUAUGAUACGAAUGUUGUGAUGAGAGUUUUUUCAUUUAAGGGAUAAUGAAUUAUACAUAUUAUUUUUUAGGUGUUGGACAUUCCAUGUUCGCGGUACAAUUGCGCCCUCCAUUCUUGCUAACUUAUAUGCUCCAUAACCAAUUUUUUCUAUAAUUUUCUACAACCCUUCCCAAUUUGGAGAUGUUUUUCCUUGCUACGAGGCUAGUAGAUUGGUUUCAAUAUUUCUUAAAACAAGGUCGCCUACUUGGAACUGCUUGUUUUUAACUUUGGAGUUGUAGUAGUGAGCCAUUUGCUAAGCGCGUGGUGCGUUUUUUACUUCAAUUGUUUCCCUUAGUUCAUCAAUAAGAUCAAGGUUAAGUUUGAUGGCUUCUUGAUUAACUUCCUCAUUAAAGUGUUGCAUCCUGUGCGACUUCAAACUAAUUUCCAUUGGGAUUACAGCCUCUGUACCGUAAAUAAUGGAGAAUGUUGUUUCUCCUAUUGCAGUUUGGGGUGUAGUUCCCAGAGCCCAUAAAAUUUCAUGUAGUUCUUCCAACCAACCACUCUUGGCCUCACCAACCUCCUUUUUCAGGGCCACUAGGAUUUUCUUAUUUAACAUUUUUACUUGCCCAUUAGUUUGUGCUAUUUUUACCGAACUUUGAGCUAAAAUUAUUUAAAGGUCGGUAAAAAAGUUCUUAAAUUUCCCUUAAAAUUGUACGUCAUUGUCUGUGAUAAUCAACUAUAGUGCACUGUACCUACAUAUGAAAGAUUUUCAUAGAAAAGAUUUCAUUUGUCUUUUAGUGAUGGUAGCUAGGGCUUCAACAUCAAUCCAUUUAGAAAAGUAGUCCACUACGACCACUAUGAAUUUCUUUUGUGCCAUAACUAUGGGAAAUGGGCCAAGUAUAUCGAUUCCCUAUGUUGUGAACAACCAAGGGCUUGAUAUGAUCUGAAGAAGUUCUAUUGGCCGCCUCUGCACUUGGGCAUAUCUCUGGCAGUAAUCACUUGUGUGAACCAAAUCAUACUCGUCUUUCUGAAUUUUAAGCUAAUAAUAUCUCUCAUAAGAAUUUUCAGCAUGAGUAGUCUACCCCCCAAGUGAUCACCGUAGAUUCCCUCAUGAAUUUCCCGCAUUACAUAUUCAGCCUUAGGUUGUGAUAGACAUCGCAGCAGUGAGUGUGAAAACUCAUUUUUAUGUAGUACACCCUCCAAAAAGGUGUAUCUAUCAAAUGUAGAACAAAAUAUAUUGUUUUAAUUUAUUAUGUAAUUAAAUCAAUUCAUAUUAUUCAAGUAGUCGAUCAUGCACUAGGAGUUCUGUAGGUAUUUGUAAUUUGUGAUAAUGGUAUACCUCGUGACUUCAGGUUGUAGCCUCGCGAGCUCCUUUUUUUUUAUCUUGGUUAUCUUGUUCACCUUGGAGAGUGCGAACUAUUGGGGUCAUAUAGGUCUCCUUCCAAUCAAUGCAUAGUACUUGUAGCAUGUCAUAGCUCAAGGUCUCUUUAUGCUCGAGUAGGAUUUUCUUUUUUUUUGUUCUAUGGCAACCAAGGAUGCUAGUUUGGACAUCACCAGCAGGCGUGUUGUCACUUCUUCGGAGCUGUUUAAUUUGAACUUUGUCAAAUCCUGCGAGUAAGUGGCUGUAAUUGUAUUAUACUUCUUUAGUUUUGCCUCUUUGACCUCGUAUUUACCAUUCAUCUGUUUCACCACAGCUGUGAAUCUGUAUGGGCAAUCAAGUCCUUUACUCCUAGUUGGCGUGAUAAUUGUAAUCAUGAUACCAAAGCUUCAUACUCAGUAGUGUUGUUGGAUGUCUAAAACCCAAAUGAUAAUUCAUACUACCAUUCACUACUGUUGGGGUCAAUUAGGAGUAUAUCUGCUCUUGAUCCUAAUUUGGUUGUGGAGCCAUUGACAUAAACUAACUAACUUUUUGAGUUAUCAGUUGCAUGUACACUUUUUAGAGGUGGGUUAACUACUGUAAUGCCCAAAAAUUUCUAUUUUUAUUUCUGUGUGAUCUUGACAUGAAUCUGUAUUUGCUUCAGUGCUUAAGUAUUCUGGGUGUGUAUGAGAGGUCCUAAGUUCAAGCCUUAGCUUUAGCAAUCUUUGCUAUUUUAGAAAUUAAGCCCUAUCUUUGUUUAGUGGGCUUAUAUUUAGUUGCUUGCAAUUUCAUAUCAGAAUGAGCCUGUUGGUUCAAGUGGUAAGGUGUUUGUGUAAUUAGAGGACUUGUGUUUGAAUCCCUGCGCAAGCAUGGGUAUUUAUUUUGCUCGGUUUUGUAUACGUGUUUCGAUGGAGUUGGGUUUAUGAGGAAGUUGGGAUUUGGUAAUUAUCAAUUAUUUUAUUUUAUUUUUUUCUCCUCCCAAAACCUUCUGACGUUUUUUCUUCCAAAUAAAAAAUCCCCAAUUUUCUUUUUCUUGCCUUAUUUACUCUGUGAUGAAGUUAUCGAAUUUUUUCUUCUGUUACUGGUUGUUAUUUUUAAGCCUUGCUUUUGUGCGCUUUAAACACUUGGUUUCGAUUUAAUCGGUAAGUGAGUUAGUGGUAUCAUUCUUUAAUCGUUUGGUUUCUAGAGGCGGAACCUUUGCAGUAUUUUGUGCAUAGAGGAAGUAAGGGAAACAACAAUUUCUAUUUAAUGAUUGAAUCAAUGAGAGUGAGCGGAUGUGUUAGAGGUAAGUGGGUGCGUUGUUUUAGGUUUUGUUUUGAAGGGUUGUGAAUUGUUGGCUAAAUUCAUUAGGGGUUUUCAAUUUUUAGGUUUCUAGAGGCUCGAGAGUGGUUUCGCAUCGAAACGUUACCAAGUGUGUACCCAAAACACAAAGAAUGAGUUUUCAACAAAAGUAAAAAAAUGCUACUGUCGACGCCACAUGGGCGUGUGGUCACCCAUGUGGUAGGCCGUGUUUGAGGACACGAUUGUGUGAUUAACGAAGGCAUGGCCAUGAGCAGCGCACAGUCAUGUGAUGGCUCGAGCGUGGCCGUGUGGGCCACACAGACUAAACCAAGUUGAUCGUGUGGGCCUACAUGGGCAUGACACACGGGCGUGUCGAUUAUUAGGCCAGGCCGUGUGGGCCACAUGGGCAAGGCCAAUCUGGGCAUGUGGGCCCGCACUGACAUGCGAACCCAUUAUAUUGAGAUUUUUUAUAGGGUCGCACGGGUCAUCUUAAAAGACUGUGGGCCUAUUUUAAGGUCGGUAAGGCCUAUUUAAACAUUGAAAACUAAAUAUCUGUUGUUCUAUUCUGUGCACAUAGGCAUGAGUGAUUUAUCUGUUAAAUGUAUCUGUAUAUACAUGUUAUAUCCGUACAUAGACAUGUAAGCAUGGUUAAUCUGUAUGUUUGAAACUGAAUAUUCUGUAUAUGAUAUAGGGGUUGGGAUCAUAUAUAUGGAGGAAGUGUUCUGAAAGGCAUUUAUUGCCUAUAUUCUGGCAGCUUGGCUGCAGCUAAUCUAUUAUGUGCCGCAUCAGUACAAUGUGGUGUGUAUGGCUGAGUGGGUGUUUUAAACCCUACAUUGUGUAUAGAGAUGGUCAGAGAUGGUGUGUAGAGGAUGGGGGUAGGAUUCUGUUAUCUGAUUUGCAUAUCUGUAUCUAUAUCUACAUCUGAAAUGGGUUGUAGCCCGAAUCAGUAUUUGUAUCUGACAUGGGCCCAAGCCCGAACUUGAAUAUGUCUGAUUUGUGAUAUUCUGUGUGUGUGCAUGCUUAAUUCUGUGGGGUUACACACUGAGUUUACGUAAACUCACUCUUUUCUUUUUGUUCUGUACAGGUAAUCCACAGAGUUAGGUGAAUCAGUGCAGCAGAAGACUCGACGGUGACUACUGACUUUUACUGUUUAAUUUUGUUUUAUGGUUUUAUUUAAGUUAGGCAUUAUUUUUGGAGAGUUUGUAACUUUCGGGACUUUCUAUACUGUAUGGACUUUAACUGUGGUUUUGGUUUUGUUGCUCGUUUUAUACAUGCUUUAACAAAAUGAUUUCUCUUAAAACGAUGGUUUACUUAAACAAGGUUUUCUAAAUCACGAACUAUGUUACUUAAACAUCAUGAUUUUUUAUAAGCUUUCGAACUAAAGGAUUUUAUGGCAAAUGAAUAAAUGUUUUGAAAUAAAUGAAGGCAAAUAAGGGAUUAUAAGCUUAAGGUUUUUAUCGAGUUAGCUUUGUUUUCAAACCCAUUCCAUAUGACAUCACCAGAUUCGGCCAUAACGUCUAGGCCGGGUUUGUAGCGUUACAACUACUAAAUGGCGUACAACAAAUUAAAGAGAAAUCUUAGUAUAAAGUGCCGAAUUCAUUAAUAUAUUGAAUUGUUAGCUUUCAACAAUAUCCAUGUAACAUACGAUUUUCUCAGGAUUUUCAUCAUUCGAUAUUCCAAAUUAUAAAUUACAUUACCUGUUGUAUCAAUAGCUUUCUUAAAAAAACACUCCACCAUGAAGUUAGCUAGUACUUGUCCUUUUAUCACUAUUUACAAAGUGAAGUCUAUUUCGAACUCAGCCAGCUUAAUACCUCAAUUUGUCACCCUUCUUGAAGUGUCCAUCUUAGACAAUACUUGCUUCAUAAGUUGAUUGGUCACAACAACGAUCGAAUGGGCUUAGAAGUAUAGCCGCAACUUGCAAGCUACAAUUAUCAAGGUAAAAAUACACUUUUUCUAUUUUGGGUACCUUAGCUCGUCGUUUUGAAGUACUUUGCUAAUAUAGUACACAGGGAUUAGUGAUCACUUUCUGAUCUAAUUAACACUACCGUAACCGUCUCCUUUGAGGUAGCCAAGUAUAGGUAGAGCGUUUCUCCUAUGUGAGGUGAUUUCAAAAAUAGAGGAGGAGUAAGAUACAACUUCAAAUUUUCAAAGGCUGCAUAACAUCCUUCAGUUCAUGAGAGAGAGGUUCUCAAGGCUUUGAAGAAAGGGAGGGAUUUGUUUUCCAUCUUGGAAAUGAAUUUAUUGAGUGCCACUACUCUACUCGAGAGGCGCUGUAUGUCUUUUAUGGUUCGUGGUGGAGACAUUUCCAUGAUCACCUGGAUCAUGAAGCCUAAAAACCUUCCAGCUCUCUCUAAAUUCAUGAAGUCUAAAAACCUACUAGCUCGCACUCUAAAGGUAUAUUUCUUGGGAUUCAACUUCAUGUUAUGAGCUUUUAAGACUACAACUGUCUUAAAUAGGCUUAGCAUAUGUUCCCUUAUUGACCCACUUUUUACCAACAUGCCAUCAAUAUAGACUUCAAGCUCAUGCCCUAUCUGGUUUCUGAAUACUCUGUUCACUAAUCUCUGAUAGGGCAUGCCCACAUUCUUAAGGUCGAAAGACAUAACCCGAUAGCAGAAGAGUCACUAUUUAGUGAUAAAAUUUGUCUUUUCCUGAUCACCUUGAUAAAAAAAUUUGAUUAUAGCCUGAGAAAAUGUUCAUGGAGCUCAUAAACCCGUGACCUGCAGAAACAUUGACUGAAUGGUCAAUUGAAGGUAGAGAAAAGUUGUCCUUAGGGCACACUUUGUUGAAGUUAGUGAAAUCUAUACACAAUCUCCAUGUUCCAUUCAUUUUCUUCACCAUGACCAUGUUCGAAACCCAAUCUCGAUACUCCGCUUCUCUGAUGAAACCUUUUGAUAGCAAAUUAGAUACGUCUUGCAUUAUUGCUUCCACCACCUACGACAUGAGUUUCCUUAUUUUUUAUUUUAUUAGCUUUGCUUUUGGAAGGACAUUCAACUUGUGAACGAUUAUCCAAGGGUCCACCCUUGGCAUAUCCAUCGCAGACUAGGCAAAAACGUUUGAAUUCUCCUUUAAACACAGGAUCAGCAUGCUUUUGUCUUCCGCCAUGAAUGCUAAUGAGAUUCUGACAGUUUUUUCCUCAUUUCCACAAAAUAGCUGCAAAAUUUCUGUAUGCUACCAACCUCUGGUUUCUUGUUUCUCUCCUCGUCUUUUAUAUCCAAAUUAUUUAAAUCCAAGACUUGAUUUGCUAAUACUGCUCCCCGCAAACUCUGUCUUUCAGUGACGGGUUCUCGUGCCUGAUUAAUAAAUAACAUUUGACACUACCUUAUAGUUUGCUGAUCUGAGCUUAAAAAUCUGACCCCAAUGUUCGUCGAAAACAUGAUUUUCAUGCAAAACAUCGUGACCACCAUAUUUUUCGUCCUCAUCACCGGUCGUCCAAAGAUAGCAUUGUACGCCAUUAAAUGGUCUAUCACAUAGAAUUUGACAUACUCCAUAGUUGUGUGCUCGCCAUCUUUUAACAUUGGUAAGGUGAUUGAGCCUUUGACCUUAACGGGGUGGUUCACAAAGUUAUAUAACGGAUUAACCUUAGACAACACAUGUUUUUUCAAUCUCAUCUUUUGGUAUGCAUCCUAAAACAAAACCCCAAUUGCACUUCUACUGUUUAUGAAUAUCCUUUUGACCUCAAAACCUGAAAUUAUUGUCGAGACAACCAUUGGAUCAUUACCCUCUUCGUUAUAAACUAAUUCUCCAUUGUCACUAUUAAAUCCCACUCUCUAUUUUUCCUACCAGAGUGAUCUCUUGGAGCGCUAUUUGACAUCACGCUUCUCAUAUGUACCCUCUUUUUUACGUUGAAACCUACAUAGUCUUUAUCUGUGCCUACAAGCACAUGGAUGGUACAUUUAACUUUUUGUUAACCCUUAGGGUUGCUACGCGAACCUUGACCCUAUUGAAGACUGCUUUGGUUCACAAAUUUUGAGAGUUCAUCAUUUCGUACUACCUCAUCUAUGGCACCCUUUAACGCGAAACAAUAAUCAAUUUUGUGCCCAAUGUCAUCGUGGAAGGCACAUCUAUGCCUAGAAUUCAAUCUUCUUGCAAUGCUCCUCAUCGAGGGUGACUUGGGUAGGAUACCAUGGCUCUUGACUUGGCUAAGAAUGAAAGUGCAAGUGGCAUUCAACAGGGUGUAAGCUUCAAGUCCGCUAUCAAGAAAGUACCUCAUCGUGUACUCUAGUUGAGAACCUUGAGGGGCCUUGAGAGGGUUACCAUGAGCUUAAUUUCUGUAUGACUUAUCAUUUCUCACUUGUAAUAAUUGGUCAGGAGGGCCUAUCUACUUCAAGAUCCUUCCAUUUUCCUUGAUUGUCUGUUCUCCCUUUGAAAGGUUUCACGGUAUGCCCUAUUGAUUUCUUUCUCCUCCACAAACUUGUAGGUUCACUCGUAUAAGUUAGCCAAACUUUACGGUCUGUUAUAGGUAAAGGAGUAUUGUACAUGAUCAUUCUAUACUCACAUUAUAAAAGCAUCUAUUGCAAAUUGGUCUUCUAAAUUUUUUCUUGUUGAGGGUCAUUACAUGGAACCUCUUCACGUAAUACUGGAGGGACUCACAUUCUCUCUGUUUUACCAAUAUUAACCCCAUAGGUUUGUUCAUAAUUGCUCAAUGGACUCUAAAUCUUCCCAAAAUUAUCUGCCCCAACAGUGAGAAGUUUUUAACCAAACUUUGGGAGGGGAUAUAAACCAAUCCUUGGUGCUUCCCUUAAGCGUCAUUGAAAAGGCCUUGCACUUCGCUACAUUUGAUGCCUCUAGCACAUUCAUAUAGUCAUUGUAUUGCACCAAAUGGGAUUACGGAUCCCUUCCUUCUUUGAACAUAUCUAUUGGGACUUUGAAGUCACGUGAUAAGUUUACUAUUAUGAUCUCAAGGACCAAUAGAUUGUUAGAGUAGAACCAAUCGAUGUUCUGAUAUUUAGGGUGCAGCACCCUUAGACCCCUUUAUAACUCUUCUAUCUCAUUUUGCCAUUCUUUCACCUGUAUGCCUAGGGCUUCAUUCUGCAUGUUUACGUUGUCUUGGAAGCCAAAGUUAUCAGAAUGCAUUUUUAUUUUUAACUCAUCAUUUUACUUCAGCAGCUCAUGUUGGAAAGCCUGUUGUUGAUCAAACCGCACCUCUUGAGCAACCAUCUAUUCCCUUAUGAAUCUUACUUGCUCCUGAAGGGUAGAGAGCUACUACAGUGGUGCCUCUUGGUUAGGAAGGAGCGUCAACCCCUGGCCAACGGAAGUGUUCAGGUCUAGAGGGCCAAAAACUCUUGGAUGAGCUGUAUUGUCGAGGUUCUUCGUUCUGUCAGUAAACCACCCCAACAACAAAUUUGCUUUAUAAUGAUUAUUGCCAGAGCCUGUGGCUCCGACCUAUUCUAUCGAAUGGAUGAAGGGAAAACUCAAAUUUGGGUGAGCCAUUUCGAUUCUGAAAACUUGACAUAAAUAAAAUCAGACUUGUUGAAAUUUAACAAUUGAAAGAUUGUCCACACUCAUCCCACCAAUUUUUGAUAAUAUUUUCCUUAUGUUUUAUUGAUGGGAGCCUUUAGGUAUUUAUACAUGCUAUUACAACUCAUGAUAUGACUCUACUGUUUUGUCUUGACUCCACUACUCCUAGUACUGGCAUUCUCUGUCCCUAGUACUGGAAUUCUUUACGGACUCCGAGCCUACUAGACACGUGUCUAGUUGCCUACGAAGCACGUGGUCCUUUCUGUUUCUGGGACUGACACCCUAAGUAGGCUCUGAGCUUACUGGACAUAUGUCUAGGUUGCUUACGGAGCGCACGUUCCUUUUUGCGAACCCCUAAGGCAUAUGCGAACUAAGAUCGUGGCCUUUCCUUAGUUCUUACGAGUUGGGGUCGUGAACCCCCUUAUGAGCUAGGUUCGUGACCUCGCCUUGCUAUCCUCUCGUAGUUCGCUUCGCACUCAAUCGUCUGGUAGGGCCUAUCCGAAUUACAGGUAAGUAACUCAGAUCCUAUUAAAGACUUGGGUUAGUGUUCACUGGUAUAUAACAAUAGUAAUAAUUAAACUAAAAAUGUUUUAAGAUAAUUGCUUCAUUUAUAAAAUUCAACACAAUAUAAUAAAUCUGUUAUGCUUACCAAAAUUUAAAAAAAAUUAUGGUUGUCACGCUCAUAAUAUAGGUGAAAUUUUAUAUAAAUAUAUAUUUAUAAAAAUAUGAUAUAAAUAACAAAUAGUGAUUUUAUUGAAAGAUAAAAUAAAAAUAUUAAAAAUUGAUAUAUAUUUGGGUUUAAAUUUUAUGGGUUUAUAUUCUUUUCAAUUUUUCCUUAUAAAAGAUAUAGGAAAUGUUUGAUAAAUAAGGUUUUGGAUUUCUUUUAACUGAUUUGGGUACAAAUAGAGGAUUAGGUAGUUAAACCCUCUAAUUGUAGUGUUUGGUGAAUAGAGGUUUAUAAGAGCUUGUUGAGCUAAAACCUCCAAAACAAAAAAUGCAGGGAUCGGCAACGUUUUUCACAGCUGAUUAGGAAUGAGAUAUGUGAAAUGACAUAUCUGUCUGACCAUGCUUGCUAUAAAAUACUCUCUUUGCCAUAUACUCUCAAAUCUAAUAGAUAGAGGUGCCAAGAUAUCAGUAGUCUCCAUUAUCCAAUUUUCACUUUUACCCCCAAAAUUUAAACUAAAACUUCUUAUAUAAAACAUUUAGUUUAUAAUUUUUUUAAUAAAUUUGAUAUAAUUAUUUAUAAUUAUAUCUAAUUAAAUAAAAAGACAUAGCCCCCAAAUAGAGGUGCUCAUGGGCCGGGCGGCCACGCCCGAAAUAUGGGAGGCUUCGGGUAAAAAUAUAGGCCCGAAAUAUGGGUUUGGACAAAAAAAUGAGGCCCGUUUAGAAAACGGGCCGGGCCUCGAGCACCACUUUUUUGGUCCGAGCCCGGCCCGAAUAUAUAAUAAAUAUAUAUUUUUAUUUUUUAAUUUUAAAAUAUUUUUAAAAUACUUUUUUUAUUUUUUAUUUUUAAAAUAAAUUUUUGGUGUUUAUUAAAAAAAUGGGCUGAGACAGGCUCGGGCUUAAGAAUUUUUUCUCGGGCUGAGCCUGAAUAAAAUUUCAGGUCCAUGUUUUGGGCCAGGCUGGAAUUUUUCUGGGCCCGGCCCAUGAUCACCUCUACCCCAAAGCUUGAUUUUAUUUUUAGUAUAAUAAUUCUGUGGUUAGCAUAAUUAGAGAUAAAAAAAAUCAAUGCAGUGGGGCCCAACUUUUGGAGUAAGAGAGGACUUCAAGGUGUAUAAAGUCCAAGGCUUUGUUUGAUCGAAAUGGAGGCAGGUAUCAAGUGAGUGGUUUGUUGAUUUAGAGAAGAUGGAGGCUAAAUCGUUGUGGGUAUUACUCACUACACUUCUGUUCAUCAUACAAGGGUGGCGACAGAUUGAGGGGUGCUUGGAGCAGGAGAGAAUUGCUCUCUUCCAACUCAAAUCUUUUUUCAAUGACAGUAACUGGGUAGAUGUGAAAGGUUCGAAUUGUUGUGAAUGGGAAGGAGUUGAGUGCAACGUCACUACUGAACGAGUAAUAGGUCUCGAUCUUCGUUUCAAACGUCAAUGGGAUAACCGUGAAUGGAUAUCAGAUCGAUAUGGGUAUCUCAAUGUCUCUUUAUUUCUUCCAUUUGAGGAAUUGAAGAGCCUUGAUUUGAGUGGAAAUGAAAUUGCAGAUCUUGUAGAUAACCAAGGUUGGUUGCUUUUCAUCUCUUCGAUGACCGAUUAAUCCUUGAAUUAAUUUAUUCCUUUAAUUUUUUCUAAAUUAAGACACUCAUGAUCAAUAACUUUUUCUUGCAUGCAGUAUCUGUUUCAUCUGCUUUCAACAAGUUAGAAACUCUUGUAUUAACUCAGAAUUACUUCAAUGAUAGUAUCUUAUCAAGUAAGCUUCCAUCUCUCAAAUUCUAUCAAACUAAUUGUAAGUUUAUGCAAAAAAAUAAAAAAUAAAUAAAAUGAAAGAGUAUAAGGUUUGAUCAUACCAACUUACAAUUGAUUGCUAAAUUCUCUAUUAAUUUAUUUCAUAAUACGGUUAUUAAACUUUUUAACUAAUUUUAAUUGACAGACAAUAGGUUGAAAUAAACAAAUUAUUUCCCAUAUGUUAAUUAAAAGUUUGCAUAUAUUUAAACAAGUUAAAGCGUACAUGUACUUAAUGAGAGAAUGUAUUGUAUGAAAUUGUGAUUUUGUGUUAUUCUUAUCUCUUUUAAAUAGGAGAAUGAUAAAUCAGAAUUUUUCUUCUGAUUAAAAAUGCUUGUAUAAAAAAUCCUUGAAUAUUAGAUACAAGUGAGUGCCACUUUUAUAUUAAAAGAUUAAAAUUAAUUUUUUUAAUGUGAAUAAGCCUUGAAAUGUGUUGAUGUUUGAUAUAUUUCAUUGUUCUUGGAUAGAAUUGAAGAGUUUGACAAACUUGAAGACGUUAGAGUUAAACUUCAAUAGCAUCAAAAGCCUCCGACAGUUUCAAGGUAUAUCUAAAUUUGAUGUUCUAUGUACAAUCAACUAUGUCUUCAAGGCGUUUACCUAUAAAAGUAUAUUUAUGAAUAAAUCAAAGAUGAAAUCGAGAUACAAAUAAUUAUUCUUGGAUAUUAUACAAACAAAUCCUCCUUAAAAUUAUUCGACUUAAAUCUUUUAUAGGUGAGAAAGCGCAACCGAUGAUAAAUUUGGAAGUGCUUAAUUUGGAUUAUAAUUCCUUGAACAACAAUGAUUUGGCAUAUCUCAAGGGGUUAUCAAGUUUAAGGUCCUUGAGUAUUGGGGGAAACCAAUUGGAAGGGUCAGUAGGUAUUACAGGUAUGUAAAAUUUCAUAAAAUAAAAAUAAUAAGCUAAAUUUGGAGUUCAUUUUUCGGGUAGUAAAAUAAAGGCAUAAUGAUUUUUUGGUCCUUCAAUUUUAUAAAAAUAUUAUUUUAGCAUUUAAUUUAAUUUUUCACCUCUUUUAAUAUUUAAACUUGCUUUUUUAUCAAAUCACCCUAAAAUGAAUGAAAAAUUUAACGCUUGUUAACUUUGUUAAUGUGGCAUAUAUGUUGAUUUCCACGUAGAUGACAUAUAAACAUUUAAUUAACUUUUUAAAAUAAAUAUUUUUUUCUCUUUAAUAUAUAAAGUAAAAUAUAUGUACCACGAUAAUAGUAUUUCAAUUUCAAAUUUUUUUCUAUGUCUUUUAAAUUCUUUUAGUAUUAAAUUAAAAAAUUGUAUUUAAUUAAUACAUACCAUCAAUCUAAGCAACGCAUUGGAAAGAAACUAGUUAAUAUAUAUAAUCAGCCUUGUAGAUGUGGAAUUAAUUAUCUUUAUCUACUAUAAUAACAACAUUUAUAAAGUAUACAGUAUAUUAUUUACUAAAUUAGUUCUUUAUAACAAUCUGUUGUCUCAAAUUUUAGCACAGCUAAUUCUAUUUCUAAGUGAACUAAAAUUAACAAAUUUUAAUUAAGAUAUUAUUUCAAUAAAUUGUUUAAAUUUUAUAUAAAAUAUAUUAAUCAUAUUUUACGAAAUGAAAAUAGUUUUUAUAAAUGGAGUUACAUUAGUGAAUUUUAUUAAAGACACAAUCUAAAUCUUGUUAAUAAAUAUUUUUAUUAAUAUUUUUAAUUUAAAAUUUUUAUAAAUUUAAAUAUGACCUAAAUAUUAAAUGUGACCACUUACCUAUAACAUCCAAUAUUUUGCAGACAAAUGAAGUUGUUAUAUAAAAUUUGACCACAACUGAAUUUUUGUGAUGAUUACUUUAUUGGACUAACAAAAAAAUGCAUUCAAUUGAUUUGGAUAGUAUUGAAUAAUAUGACAAAGCUAAAGAAGUUGGACUUGAGUGCCAAUAAAAUUGAGAGCCUCCAAUCUCCCCAUGGUACGUGUCGAUAUGUUCUACUUUAUCUUUUUCUUACAUAUACAUACCAAUAUCUCAUUUAAUAUUUCAUUAGUAGUAAAUUUGCUUAUCUAAAUGCUUUGUAGAUGGUGAGAGGCCACUUAAUUUGACCAAUUUAGAAGAGCUUAAUUUGGAUCAGAACUCCUUCACGAACAACUUAUUGGCACAGCUUAGUGGGUUUUCCAAUCUAAAGUCAUUGAGUAUAAGGAAUAAUCAGCUUAAAGGAUCAAUAAAUAUUAAAGGUGGAAAUACUUAACAUAUUUAAUCUUCCUUUAAACAAAACAAAUUAUUUAUUGAAUUAUUGCAUUUAUUCUGUGUGAUUUUAAAUUUAAAUUUUAUUUGUCAAUUUUUACAGAAUUAUUAGAUACUUUAAGCAACUUAGAGGAGCUAGACAUGAGUCGAAAUGAGCUGAAGGAAUUUGUGCCCAUAAAGAAUAAAGGUAUAUGUAUCAACUAAAGAAAGUCUCACUUAUUGUUUGCCAUUAGAUAUCUAGUGAACUGAUGCCAAUUAUUAAUUUGACUCUCAGAAAAUGGAAGUUUAGGAAAGCUAAAGGUUGCUAACUUAAACGGGGUGUUCAACAAUGGAACUGCUUCUCUAAUACAACUCCUGGAGACAUUCUCAUCUGUUAAUACCAUAUAUUUGAGAGACAAUUACUUUAAUGACACCUUUUCUACUCAAGGUAAAAAAUAUGUGUGUGAAUAUAUAGUUUUAAAAAUAUUAUUUACUUAACAUCAAUCAUUUAAAUAACUCUUAUAAAUUUGUAAAGAUCAAUUGCAUGUGUCGAGCAAAAUUGAGGAAUUACUACUAGAUCGAUCAUCUCUAAACAACAACAUUCUUCAAAGCAUUGGUGCAUUGGCUUCUCUUAAAAUUUUGUCUUUGAGUGGUUGUGGGCUGUCUGGGACAUUACCUACCCAAGGUAAAUUAAUAAUUAUGACAUAAUUAUUUAGACAAUCUCUUGAUUAAUUAUUUUUUAUCCUCCUAGAAUAUUUAAAUAAUUUGUACAAAUUUAUUUUACAGGAUGGUGUGAUUUACGGAAAUUUGAGGUGUUGGAUCUUAGUGAAAAUGCUCUUAAAGGAACCCUCCCUUCAUGUUUGGCUAACUUGUCAUCACUUCAUUAUUUGGAUAUUUCCGGUAAUCAAUUCGUUGGGAAAGGUGCCUCCACUGCCUUAGCCAAUCUCACUUUGCUUAGAUUCAUUUCUCUUUCACGAAACCUAUUCGAAGUUCCUUCCAUUUUCAUAUCAUUUGCCAACCAUUCACACCUCAAAGUACUCUCCAGCAAUCAAAACAAGUUAGUCGAAGAGCCUACCAUUCCAACAUGGGUCCCAAAGUUCCAACUAAAAGCCUUCCGUUUGUCAAAUUGCACAACAAAGGAACUCCACACUGAAAUUCCGAAAUUCCUCUAUUACCAAAAUAACCUGGGUAUUAUUGAUCUUUCAUAUAAUAAUUUUGGAGGGAAGGUUCCUUUUUGGUUGUUAGAGAACAAUACAAGAAUAGAAGCAUUUUUAAUGAAGGGUAACUCUUUUAUGGGUCAUCUCAAUCUUCCAUCUCAUCCGAAUCCAAACAUAUCCUUUGUUGAUAUAUCUGACAACAAAAUACAAGGUCCAAUUCCAGCAAACAUUUGUUCAAUCUUUCCACAACUAAAUGGGUUAAACCUAGCAGGCAAUUCCCUUCAAGGUAAUAUUCCUCCUUGUCUGGGUAGUUUGACCACUUCGAAUUUAUUAUUAGAUCUGUCACAUAAUCAGCUAUCUGGAGGAAUACCAGAAAUAUUAGCUCAAAGUGACUCGUUGAGGUUUCUUAGGCUAUCAAAUAAUCAUCUAAGUGGAAAGAUAACCCCAACGAUCUUUUGCUCAACUUCAUUACGAUUGCUAUAUUUAGAUGGCAAUAACUUUGAUGGAAAUAUACCUAGCAUUGAUAUCUCAACUUUCCUUUCAUAUUCCCUUGUUGAUAUGGAUUUAAGUAACAAUAAUUUGUCCGGAGAGCUCCCAAGAUGGAUAUUGAAUGUGUCAAAUUUAAUGGCAUUGGCAGUAUCUAACAAUCAGCUCAAGGGUCUCAUUCCGAUGGAAUUGUGCUAUUUGGAUUCCCUUAGAAUUUUGGACCUUUCAGAAAAUAAAUUUUCUGGCCCAAUACCAUCUUGCUUCGGCACACAAUUUAUCAUACAUCUCCAUUUGAGCAAAAAUAGAUUAAGUGGCACCUUGACAAAUGCAUUCUUUAAUAGCUCUUCCUUGGUGACUUUAGAUCUUAGUGAAAAUCAGUUGAGUGGAGAAAUUCCAUACCAGAUUGGAACUCUUUCUGCUUUGAGUGUUCUCCUUCUAAAAGCCAAUUAUUUUAUUGGAGAAAUUCCCAUUGAGAUAUGCAAAUUAUAUUCUUUAAGUAUCAUUGAUCUUUCUCAAAACAAGCUUUUUGGUCUGAUACCUUCUUGUUUGAGUCGUUUAACUCUUGAUCCAAAUGAUGAAAAAUCUUCAACAAAUAUCUAUGUGGAGGGCUUUGGAGGAAUCUUUGAGCCGGGUAAUUACUUUGGAAUGACUGAAUUUGAAUUUCUCACUUUAAGAGGAUACGAGUCAUUAGAUGUAGAUUUCGAAAUUGAGAAUCAAAUGGAAGAAAAGGUGGAUUAUACAACAAAAAGAGCAUCUUACACAUACAAGGGAAACAUUCUUAAAUACAUGUCGGGAAUUGAUUUAUCAUGCAAUAGAUUAACAGGUGAAAUCCCCAUAGAGAUUGGAAAUUUGAGUGAAAUCCGAUCACUAAACUUGUCGCACAACAAUUUGACUGGACAUAUACCGUCAACGUUCUCAAAGCUCAAGCAAAUUGAGAGUUUGGACCUGUCUCACAACAACUUAAUUGGAAGAAUCCCUGUUCAAUUAACGGAGUUGUACACCUUAGCAGUCUUCAAUGUGUCACACAACAACUUGUCAGGGAGUAUUCCGUCUCCAAAAGCUCAAUUUGGAACCUUUGAUGAAAGCAGUUAUGUGGAGAAUCCUUUUCUCUGCGGGCCUCCCCUGCAUAAAAAUUGCAGCGACCUUGAUUCACCCCCGACAACAGCACCAAAGAGCUCAAACGAGGAAGAAGAAAGUGGUUUGAUGGACAAGUAUGUUUUCUGGGUGACCUUUUUUGUUUCUUACGUGAUUGUGUUACUGGUUAUUGUUCUCAUCCUGUAUAUAAAUCCUUAUUGGCGACAAGCAUGGUUUUCUUUUGUUGAACACUGCAUCAAGACUUGUCAGUACUUUCUUCUGCGAUUUUCCAUCUUCAAAAGGAG